Molecule: long non-coding RNA, 310720 nt
Filed under: Triticum aestivum (bread wheat)
Lineage: Eukaryota; Viridiplantae; Streptophyta; Magnoliopsida; Poales; Poaceae
Description: long non-coding RNA (TAES_LNC002040)
Source: RNAcentral
AAAGACAUGCUUAACAUGUCAAAAUAUGGUGAUUGGCUACCCUCUUGGUACAGCAACCAACAACAAGACUUGCUUAUAGAGAAAAACGAACACAACAUACAGCAAAACAUAGUCACUAGAGGACCAACCAACCAGGUACAGGUUUUACGCACAGCCUGUAGGCGGGGCGGCAACACAUCCACGACACACUAGAAUAUGGACUUGAUUCCUCUCGGAAAAAUGAAUAUGGACUAGACAAACAGACAUUAACACAGGACAACAAUUUUAGUUCACAGGAUUACGAGCCCAAAGUUCUGAUGCGAGAAUAUUCAUUUAAGUUUUACACACACACCGUUUAGUGCCAGACAACCUUUGAAAAAGCGUUAUAUCCUCAGAGACACAUGGACACCACAAUGCAAGGUAUUGAAUGGGGCCACGCUCUUCCCCCUUCACUUGCCGCUACUUAGGAGUUAGGACCACAUGCCGCGAUCUGCUCUUCGAGCUGCAUCAAAAGAUGAAUAAUAGGUCAAUUAUUAAGAUAAGUACCUUCCGAAAAAUGAUUAAGAUAAGUCUAUGGCACAUAAUGGUGCUCAAGGCACAUGGUUUCACUAAUCAGCCAUGCUACAAGUUGGCUAGUUUCUUAUUUGGGCAUUUGGCGAAGCUUAAUUUAAGCUAGGAAAUAAGAAGUUCUGCCACUUUUUUAGAGCUACCAUGUACAUCUACCAAACGUGAUGAAAAAAUUACAGGAUAAUCAUUCAACGGCAAAAUGAGAAUUUCCAGUACCUCCAACUAAGUGCUCCAAAACCAAACGUCAAAAGAAUAAGAUUAACGAUUUAAGAUUGUUCCCUUUUCUCUAUCUUAAUAUAAAAAUCUGUGGGUUAUGAAACUAGUGAGAAGUUGGUAUCAAAUCCAACAUUAGGCACAUAAGGUGCUACCUCGAUCAUGACCUCCAACUCAUGUCGCACAAUAAAUAACUCAUUCCUAACAAGAGCCAAGGACACGAGGCACCUGAAAUAAUGCAAAAAACACCACACGGUCAAAUUCUGAAGAGGUUAAUAGAACUGAGAUGAAAUGCCGUAUAUUUCGAAAAAGAAAAAUCUCUAGCCAUAUAAGAGUUUAGUUGUGCUGUAAACAGAAGUCUAGAGCCAAUAAAUGACAAAAGAAUCAUCAAAGAAUAGAAUAUUCAGAUAAUGAACCGAGUAAUAUCAACAAUGUGAAUGCAGAUGAACUGAAAAAGCAAAGCAUGGUUACUUCUUAAUAAUGUUAGAUUGGUAUGAGCUGUAAAUAACGACCAAAAAGACAACAUGAGUUGGCAGGUUUAAAUAGAGACAUUGAAAAAUAAUGCUGCCAAUAAUUAUUGUGUAACAUAUGUAAUAAGCUAUUGAGUUCUGACCCUUCUUUAUAUUUUAUGGCAUUGAAAUUGCCGAAGUGCAUGCAGGCGAGGUUCACUUGCUGUGCACCAACAUUGAAACAUGCAAAAAAAUAAAUAUGCGGAUCAGGAAAUUAGGAACUUAUUAUAAACUGAGACGUCAACUCAAUAAUAUCCUCAAGGAGCCAUUUCGUAUCAUGAUUGUCAACUCAACAAAUUAUUUGAUGAACCAGAAAAAGCACCAUUGGUGUUACGUAAAAUAGCAGAUAGUAGUACCAGAAAUGUUUACAAAAUGACAAAGUCUUUCUUGCCGGACCUUAACAUGGUCAUGAAUACCAAAAAUUCUGCUACAGAAAACAUAACUAAAUUCACGUCUUCUAAUUUUGGGUAUACGACAGCCAAAUAACGCCCAUGCCGUACACACCCGCCGUCUGACACAUCUGAAUAGAAACAACAACAUUCAGGUGGAGAAAUCGAAAAAAUGGCCAUUAGCGUUAUGUAGAAUAGCAGAUCAUUAAUACCAGCCAUACUUUGUUCAUUGUCAACCUAAAAUAAUGACAUUGCCUAAACUGAAGAUUCAAUAGUAUAAGAAACAUUCGCAAAACGACAAAAGUUGCCCUCACCAAGCUAUACCAUUACCAUUGGCAAGAGUACCAACAAUUCCAUUACAUGAGAUAUAUAACUAAACUCAGCUCUUCUAUGUAUGGCUAAUACAACGGCGGCCGCAAACAACACGAACCUUAUGCGGUCAUGCCCCAUGAGCUACACACCCUAUGCUGACGCACCCGAAUAAAAACAACAUCGAUGUCGUGGACAAACAAGAAAAACCACCGUUAGUGAUAUGCAUAGCAGCAUAUCAUUGAUACCUGAAAUGUUCACAAAAACGACAACUUUAUACUCAUCAUGCUACUGACGUUAACUGGGAUACCGGUAACUCAGUUACAGGAAACACGACUAAACUCGAUUCUUCAAAUGAUGGCUACAUGACAGUGCAAGCAACAUUCUUUUUUUGUGACAAAUAGAAUCCUUUGCCCAGUAUAAUAAACAGAUCUAAAUCGCACGACAUUGAUUCCGUGGAAAAACUAGAAAAAACACCAUUAGUGAUACAUAUAAUAGCAGAUCAUUAAUACCAGAAGAAACACCAUUAGUGAUACACAGAAUAGCAGAUCAUUAAUACCAGGAAUAUUCGAGAAACUACAACAGUUUAUCCUCAUCAUAACAUUGAUAUUCAUCGGGAUACCGGUAACUCCGUUACACUGAACACAACUAAACUCGACUCUUCCAAUUACGCCUAUGGGGCAGUGCAACCGACAUAUAUUAAUCCUUUGCCCAGUACAGUAAACAGAUCUGAAUCGCACGACAUCGACGCAGCGGACAAACAUUGAGUUAAAAAUAAGCGGGUGGAAGAGAGAGAAAGGGUUCGUGAUGGUCAAUUGGUCAUCACCUAGAGGUGCACCGCAUGAGCUGCUGCGUCAGGGCUUCCACCUCGUCGAAGUCCACUUGGGGCUGCUCCCUCCGAUUUCCAGAGCAGACAAGUUGAGUCAGUACCAGAGACCAAGAGCAGAGGGAAAGAUAGAGGGCGGCCGUACGGACAUCAGGGUGUCGAUGUCGUCGAUGAUCUCGUGGGCGUCAUUGAUGAAGAGGCGGGAGACCUCAACGGCGGUGCCCUCCUCCCGCAGCUCCUCAAACAUGUCUUCGUCCACCACACACUGGAUCGACGUCGACCACGCCAAGGCAAAGUCAAAUGCCAACCCAGGCCAAAAUCCACAACCACACGACUAGAAGGGAGGGGAAGGGAAGGGCCUCACCUCGGUGUACAUGCCGGCGAUAUGGGCGUUGAGCUGCGCCCUCAGUGCUGCGGCUGCCAUGGCAAGGCGAGGAGAGGUCUGGCGGUCUGGCGGACUGAGCAGUGGAGAAAGGGGAAUUCGGCUGCGGAGUGAACAAGGACGGGAGGAGGAGAGGAGGUUGUAUAGCUGGGCUCACGAGGGUCUCUCACGUAGGCGUUUGGCAGCGAGUACUGUACUAGCUGUACCCCGUCGUCGGCCGGGCGCCAUUAGUUAGCUUGGAAACGGCCCGCGUGCGUACUGCGUGCGAUGCAUGCAUGCAUGGAGCCACCGGUUAUGUGUCCACGUGUUCAUGGAAGUGAGCGUCUGUUUCAACUUAGUUUCUUUUCCUUUCAAAAGAAAACUUUAGUCUCUUAUUUUAUGUUUUUUAGACAAACUGCGAAGCUUUUUAUUGCACCUUCACAAUAUUUAUAGGGACGAAUAGAAGACCACCCAUUCUCCUCUGUCUCGAGAGCAUUCCACCACUUAUUGGCGAAUUACAAUUUUAACCUGAUUCACCGCCUACGUGGUCUUUAUGCCUAGUCAUUCGAAAGAACACUUGCCCUCCCCCCUCCCUCUUAUGGCGGCUGCUGGCACGGAGUUAGCCAGGGUUUCUUCCUCAAGUUCUAUCAUGAUCGCGUACUUGACAUAAGAGCUUUACAAGCCGCAUUGACCUUCAUGGGAGUCCGGGCUGUGUCUCAGUCACAGUGUGGCUGAUCAUCCAAAAAGACCAGCUAAGCAUAAUUGGCUUGGCCAGCCUUUACCUAACAAACUAACUAAUACUGUGAAGGCUCAUCAAACGGCACUUUGAGCUUUCUUCAGGAUUUGGCCUGAACUAUUCGGCAGAUUCCCAUGCGUUAUGCACCUGUUUGCCACUUUGUUCUCAACUAUUCAGAUUCUAGCAAACGGAUGCCAUUAGGUCAAAGCCGUGGUGCAUGCUCUGUAGUUUUCUAGCAAGGUGAGACAACUUUAGCUAUGGGGUGAUCUAAUCAAACAUGGCGGUCAACCCCUAGGAAUAAAGCAUGAUUCAAGAGUUUGUAAGCUUCAACAUUCGAGCUCCUAAAUUCAUGGCUAAUGAUACAAUUAAUAAAGGUAGCCUUCCGAUCUAUGAUCUCAUGUAUGAUUGCUCCGUAGAUAGCUGCGCUCUUCUGAUGUAUAUUUUCAAUGAUCACCUUGCAAUUUGAAGCCACCUGAAUCUUCCUCUCAUAGAGAUUAUCAGUAAGCAUAAGGGCCACCCUGAUUGCUAAAGAUUCGAGAGAUGCAAGAAACGAUAUAUGUGGGAACACAAUGGCCAACACAUCCGGAAAAUUGCCUGCUCGAUCUCUGCAUAUAGCUCGCACUGCGCCUCGAGUGCCGCCUGGUCCAACUGCCACAUCCACAUUGACCUUCACCAUAUCAUCCCAAGGAGCGAUACAUUGAUUUGGCAUAAUCAUGGGUGUCCCAGGAACUAGACUUUGAGUGCUUUGGGUAGCUCUCAGCUCAGCGAAGUUACUCUGCACAUAACCCUGAAAAGUGAAAGGGCUUUUAUAUAUCUCCUAAUGUAUAGCUUUGUGCGGAUCUCCCCAUAUCAUCCGCAAAAGUGAUCGUAAAAGUGAUGAAAUCCUCAUGCGAUAACACCUCAUGCAUGGUGAAUAGACAAUGUUUGGUGUCAUCAUUUACAUUCAGACUCAAUCGCUCGACAAUUUGCUCGUAUGAUAGUGCCCACGUGCUCCUUGAAACCAAGCAAUUUAGCAGGGUGUGCCUCAACGUAUCCAUGACCGGCACAAACAGCAAGCACUAGUCGUCGACAUGUUUCUAUGAUGAAGGACACUGUGAGUAUUGUGCGAAUCUCCACAGGAACACCUUGAUUUCGAGUGGACUUUUAUAUGCCAUAAGUCUGUCCAUCCUUGACAAUCAGCCUCUGAGUUUUAUCAGCCGCCCUGCUUAUACAGCCAUGAUUCUCUGAUGAUCUUGGUUCACUGUAUCAUCUUUUAAGUGGAACGCACAGUGAGCAUACCCCUUCUAUCCUCACUCCAAGCCCAAAAAUCAUAUAUCUGUCUCGUGCAAGGGAUCUUCAAUAUAGUCUCGGCAUCAAUGGGAAUAAGUAUCGGUUGAAUAAGCUGCUCAUCCCUUGACGACGCAGUGUGAUCAAUGAGUUCAACGACCCUUGUCGUCGGCGGCGGUAUUAAUGAGGUUAUAGGCCUCUUUAUAUGCUCUCUAGAUAUCUAGUUGUCGUUCCAGAUAUCAGUUGAUUCUCCCUCUCCUAUUCUCCUUAUCAAACCCUGAGUCAUUAUGUCUUUCCCAUGCAAAAUAGCACAUCAUAUCUGUCAUGAAUCUGGUCCAAGGUUGCAUUAAAAAAUGAAUUAUUUGGAUAGUAGACAACUUUUAAGAUUAGUGAACUUAGAGAACUGGGAUGAUCCGACAAGCAUUAGGCUUGCCUGACAAUUAGGGCUUGAUUGAAGAUCUGAAGGUCACAGACACUGAGGCAUCCCAAAUACUUCGGUCUCAUCAUAACAUCCCAUGAGACCCAGCAUGGCUUCCAUCUCCCCUGUUUACUUCCCUGCCAAAAUUGUCUGACAAAGAGGUGACACUCGUGCAACGUCCUCGCGGGACACGGAAGCAGGCCAUGGAAUAUACUGGAAUUGCCAAUGCCACAGACUUUAUCAAAACCUCUUUACCCACAGUUGACAGGAGCUUUUCCAUCCAUCCUCUCAGCUUUUCCCAAACUCUGUCACGUAACUAUUUGAAUGUCUUUGUUCUUGGACUGCCCGACAUCAGUUGGCACAUCCAAUUACCUGUCACUGAGCAACUCAUUUGAGACGUUCAAAGUAUUCUUGACAUCUUCCCUGAGAGCUUGAGGGCAUCCACUACUGAAAAAUAUAAAGGAAUUGACAUGAUUUAUUCUUUGUCUGGAUGCCAACGAAUAAUUCUCUAGUAGGUUUAAUACUUCAACUGCCCCGUCAUGACUUGACUUAAAAACUGGCAGGCUGGUCCAUACAUGGGUGACAUGGUUUCUUACAUGUGGGACCAUAUGUCAGUGUUAAAACCGGUGGAUCUCGGGUAGGGGGUCCCAAGCUGUGGAUCUUGGAUCGAUGGGUAACAGGGAACGUAGAGACAACGUUUACCCAGGUUCGGGCCCUCUCAAGGAGGUAAAAGCCUACGUCCUGCUUGAUUGUAUUGAUGUGGGUGUAUGACAAUUACAUAGUUGAUCUACCACGAGAUCGGAUGAACUAAACCCUAGGUGGGUAUGGUCGUAAUGGUUCCCCGAGCCCUCGCCGCCCCGCUGUGAGUCACCGCCGCCCCGGCAUGCUGUGCAUUUUUUUUAUACGAUGAAUAGUUUUUUGUUCAUAUAUAAUGUAUAUGUAGAUGCUUAGUGUUUAUUAAUCAUGUGUAUGUAUGUAUGUGUGUGUAUAUGUAAAUAUUGAUAUGAUGAAAUUUUUUUGUUCAUAUAUAAUGUAUAUGUAGAUGCUUAGUGUUUAUUAAUCAUGUGCAUGUAUGUAUGUGUAUGUAUAUGUAAAUAUUGAUAUGAUGAAAAAAAUUGUUCAUAUAUAAUGUAUAUGUAGAUGCUUAGUGUUUAUUAAUCAUGUGUAUGUAUGUAUGUGUAUAUAUAUGUAAAUAUUGAUAUGAUGACAUUUUUUUGUUCAUAUAUAAAGUAGAUGUAUAUGUAUGUAUGGAUGGAUAUCAAUGGAUGUAUGUAUAUAGAAAAUUCAUAGAAAAUUAACCGUAACUAGGAUGAAAAUAAUUUAUAUAUGAAUACCGAUCAGAAAAAUAUGACGAAUCUGAAUGUGCCCUUCGUUCGUCUAUCACAAGCAGCUAGCAUAGCGAACUUGGAACCGUCCCCCUCUGGUUCAUCAGCCCAAAAUUAAUGCAAACUUGGGGAAAACAUUCCCGGAUGUUACCCCCCUUCACCUAUAUCGUGUAGUGCCACGUUAGAACACCCCUAACUCUCUCGAGAAUUCAUCAUGUCCCCGAUAACUUCGACCUGAGGGCGGGGGGGGGGGUCCGCAAGUAUCCGUGACGACCAUGAGAGAGGCGGCCCGCAAAAUAUCCUCUCUCGAAAGAUAGCAUGACUCAUCAGACAUGAGGUGGGAGUGGUCCUCGACGAUCGUCUAAUACUGACUGUUAUAGAACUUGUCAACUUUGCAUGAUGUUUGCCACUAAUCCAUUGCUCAUAUGCAUAUGAUUCCUUGUUGUGAUAUGAAGUCCAUGUUUGCCACUAAUCCAUCUCUCAUGUUUGUAUAUUGCCGUGUUGUAAUAUUUGCAGAAACUUUGGAUAGAGACUUAGAACAAGAUGUCACAGCCCUAGAAUUGUUUGCAACUAGUGGGGAUUGUUGAAACCCUAGCACCAAAUGAGUUCAACCAGGUUCAAACUUAAAUGUUUUCAAUGAUCCCAAAAUACCCUUAAAAAUGUUCAUCAUUUUUGAAUUGGUCCAGCACCUCUCACAAAAAUGAUGCACAUAUUUUAAGGCCAUCCUGGAUUUUUGAAUUAAAUCAUAUGCUAUUUGCAAUUGGAAAUUUAAAUGCUAUAUAAUAUUUUAAAUGCUCAAUUAAUUCUGAACUUAAGUGAGGGCUGUUGGGAAUAUUCCAACCAGAGCCCACAAUUAUUUUCAGGAUGUUUGGAAACGUUCUGGUAUUUUUAAUAAAGCCCAGAAGUUACAGAUAAAUAGAAAACAGAAAGAAUUAGAAAAGAGAGAGAGAAGAGCUCACCUAGCCCACCUGGCGGCCCAACUAUGCAGCCCAGCCCAGCACCGCAGCCCCCUCUGUCGUCUUCCUCCUCAUGCCAGUAGGCAGGGCGUGUGGUCGCCGCGCGCGCGCCGGCUCCUGAUUCCACCGCGACGCCCCGGCUCUUCUGGAUGUGCCACAGAGACGCCCCGCUCCUCUCUCACUCUCUCUCGUUCUUUCCCCCUCCUAUGUCUCGCUCUCUCUCCCGAAGCCGAGCGGAGCCGUCGCCGCCGCUCGUUGUCGCCGCAGCCACUGACCACCCCUCGCCCUACCGAUGAGUCUAGAAGCUCCGCCGCGACGCCCUCGCCCUUCCCACCGAGCCACGCUUUGCCGGAGGCCCUGCAUUGCCGCUAUUGGGUCGUCUUCAACCUCGGUACCCGCCGGACGCCGUUCAUCGAUUCGCCUCGCUCCGGUCGCCCCCGAGCCCACUGAUCUGCUCAUCGACCUCCCCGUGAGCUCCGCCGCUUUCGCCCUCUUCUUUCCCGCGCAUUUGCACCCUCUAGGCCAUAGUUCCACCAUGGCCGAAGCUCGCCUCCGCUCGAGCUUGUCGCCGGCGUCGCUCCAGCGACCAUUUGGUCAUCCGUGCUACCCAACAUGCUUGCCGCAUCACGUAGUGCCUCGUUAGCGCCUCAGUUUCCGCGUUUGCACGCCGCAGCCCAACCCCGCACAUGGCCGAACUCCAUCCGCCGCCUUGGAUCUCGCCAUCGUUGGCUCCAGCCACGAUAGACCCGGCCUCCACCACCACUAGACGCGCGCCUGCAGGAGCUCUCCAACGAGCCCAAGAACGGCCUCGCCCGUGCCCUGUGGGCGUUUUCCGCGCCGCGCCACCGUCUCGGGCCUCGCCGGCGCCGAGUCGCCGAUGGGUUUGACCCCGCUGACCAUUGACCAUGUGGGCCCAGUUUGACCCCCUGGGUCACUAACAUGUGGGCCCCAGGCCACUAACUAAACUAGGAUUAGUAUUAGUUUAACACUAACUAACUUUAGUUAGUUAACUAACUACUGACCUGGACCGCGUCUGUUGACCAGAUGACAUCAGCAUGAUGCAAGGCUGACGCAGUAAAUGCUUUUCUGUAUUUUAAAUAAAUCUAAAUGAUUUAUUUAUUUUCAGAAAAUCCCCUAAACUUCCAAAAAUCAUAGAAAAUAAUCUAUAACUCAGAAUGAAAUAAAUUAUAUAUGAAAAAUUAUCAGAAAAAUUCAAGGAAUCUAUUUAUGGCAUUUGCAUGCAUGUUUGAACAACCUAGGGUUGUUGUACAGGGCAAUUUGCAUAAUUGACAUUUAAAUAAGCACAUAUGGAGUUUGAAUUUGAACCUUGGUUCAAACCAACUUCAUUUAAUAUGAUUGCUAGUUGCAUUAGCUCAAUCAACAGCAUAUUGCCAUGACAUUAUCAUGCAUCAUAACUGUUGCAUUGCAUUGAUUGUGUUCCUCUUUGUUUGCCGGUAUUUGUCCCCUCUCGAUGGACGUGGUUCCAAUGAUGAGUUCGAUGACACCGAUGAAGAACUAUACUAUCUUCAAAAGUGCCAGGCAAGCAAAACCCCCUUGUUCAUUCCGAUACAAUCCCACUCUCUCGCUCCUGCUCUCUUUUACUGCAUUAGGACAACAACGAUUCAUCUGUUACUUGUUGCGGUAGUUGAACCCCUUAUCCUCUGCAUGACCUGUCAUUGCCACAGUAAAUAGAUGAAACCCACUAGCAUGAGUAGGAGUUGUUUGAGCCCUGAUGUGCCUACUCAUUCAUGCUUCUUUGUCAUGCCUGCUAUUUCUUAGAGUUGUGUCAGGUCUGAUUCAUCGGGGAUGAAUUGGAAAGUUGUGAACAUGUCCUACUGUGUGUGAGCUAAGUGUGUUGAACACGAUUUGGUAAAGGUAUCGACGAGAGGCCAUGUAGGAGUACAUGGUGGGUUGUUUCAUUAGAACCGUCCUUAAGCACUGAGAUCUGUAUGUGUGAUUUAAGAAUCAGUUACUACCAUGCAUUGGGAUCCUUAAUUGACCCUCUCGGCUUCUUAACCACCCUAGUCCUCUGUCCAGGAGUUACAACUAGUUUCUGGUGUUUAUAGGAUAUGUGUUGGCGGCCGUGCAUAGCGCUGACCCUAGGGGUGGGCUAUGAUGCGGUAGAUACACCGUGGCCGGGUAUACCGGGCGCCCGUUUGGUGUCUUGGAACCCUGUACACAUCGUUCAGGGCCGUAUGUGGAAACCUCGGUUGGACUCCCUGCGGAUGAAACCUGGAUAGGCGAUAAACCUGGACUAGACUUGAGUGUUAGGUAGGCCGUGGCCAACAUCCUCGUUGGGCUUCCGCUUGAAGGUUGCCGAGUACAUGUCGUGUAAACGAAGGUAAGUGGUGAGAGCAUGUAUGAAGAAGUACACCCCUGCAGGGUUAACAUCAUCUAUUCGAAUAGCCGUGUCCGUGGUAAAGGACUGCUUGGUUGCCUAUACAGUUCAUAGAUAACUUGAAGUGGAUAGUCUAAAACUUGCACGAUAAGCGUGAGUGCUAUGGAUGGCGUUCUCGUAGGGAGACGGGAGCAGAUCCAUAGUGGUGUAUUGAUAUGGUGAAUAUGUGGACUCGUGUGCGCCACCUCAAAAGAGUUGCUUGCAGUCGUAGUUCAGGUUAGACACUGAGUCAAAGCUGGCUUGCUGCAGUUAAACUCCACUACCCCUUUGUUGAUACCGAUGCAUAUGUAGCUAGUUCUGAUGUAAGUCUUGCUGGGUACAUUUGUACUCACGUUUGCCUAUUCUAUGUUUUUGUAGAGAGACGUCAGUCUCGCUAGUAGUUCCGUGUGGACUUCGAUGUUUAGCUUGAUACCUCAGCUACGAUCUUGUGCCCUCGGCAGGAUCUGGUAGAUAGUCAGGCUUCUCAGCCUUUUUCAUUUGUAGAUGUCUGUACUCAGACAUGUUAAGCUUCCGCUUGUGUUUUGGUUUGUAUGUUAUGAUUGUUGUGUCAUGAGACCCAUGUUUGUAAUAUCUCGCUCCUUGGAGCCUAAUGAAUAAAUACUUGAGUCGUAGAGUUAUGUUGUGAUGCCAUGUUGUAUUUACACAUAUCGAGCAUAUUGUGUGUAUGAUUGAAAUGCUUGGUAUGUGUGGGAUCCGACAAUCUAGUUGUUUAUCCUUGGCAGCCUCUCUUAUGGGGAAAUGUAGUCUAGUGCUUCCAUGAGCCAUAGUAGUCCGCUACAGCCAGGUUCACCGGAGUCCUGCUAGCCCAGCACUACUGCUCAGGACACUUGACUGGCCGGCAUGUGAUUCAGUUCGUUCCUGUGUCUGUCCCUUAGGGGAAAUGUCACGCGGUGACAUCCGGAAUCCUGCCUAGCCUGCUACAGCCCAGGUUCCCGGAGUCCUGUUAGCCCAGUGCUACAGCCCGGAUUCACACGCUGCUGACCGACAUGCUCGAUGUUGAUUCAUGUAUGCAUGGCCCCAUAAGUUAGUGCCACUUUGGGUUCACGACUAGUCAUGUCGGCCCGGGUUCUCUGUCAUAUGGAUGCUAGCGACACUAUCAUAUACGUGAGCCAAAAGGCGCAAACAGUCCUGGGCCAUGGUAAGGCGACACCCGUGGGAAUACCGUGCAUGAGGCCGCAAAGUGAUAUGAGGUGUUACCGGCUAGAUUGAUGUGACUUGGAAUCGGGGUGCUGACAGCUUUGGUAUCAGAGCCUGACUGCCUGUAGGAAUACCAAGACAAACUGGUCGAAGUUGUGUCUAGAAAUGCUUUAGUUAUGCAGGGGAAUUUAUUGUGGAAGGGAACGUAAGGCUCUUUUUACUCCUUUACCUUAUGGCCUUCUGAUCUGAGUCAACCUCUUCUCUUCUCCGGGGAUUAAGUACUAGGCCUUCUCAUCUAUCUAUUAGGAUGACGUGUUACUAAUCCAUAGACUUAUAGAAUUGUUGGUUUUAGGCCUCAAUUCAGUUCCUAGUACUUUUAAUAUGUUGUACGUUGAACCACAACUUUGAUAUUGUGAUGUUAAGUGGUUAUGCCACCAUUUUGCAGGAUGUCUCAAAUCUUUUUCGAGCAUUUACAGCCGUUAUGCUGUCCGACUCAUCCCAGGUCUCUACAUAGUUUGAUGCAUUUGCAAAUCCUUUCUUUCCGUUCCCUAUGUCCUUUUGGGCCAGAUUAAGCACACUACACGAUCUGUGAGGUACUCCGUUGCCUCGGCGUAUAUGUUGGAGCUACUAUUAUGACCCUAGGUGUCUUAGGAAACCAUCUAGUAAUCUAGCCAUGUUUUGUGUUCCCGGUGUGAUGAAUCUGGCCACCAUUCUCGAAAGCAUCCCGUGAUGCCACUUAGAAGUAGGCAUUCUACUCCUGGGUUUUUGAACCCGACAUUCACCCUACUUCAUGUUGUUAGUAUUUGCUAGUUCCCUUAAGAUAUUAGUAACCUUUGUGAUAGUCCUCGAGGUCCGUGGUAUAUCCCUCUUCAAAUACCAUGAACCAAUAUGGCAGAAGUUCGUUGAACCAAAAGAUCACAAUAAGAGUGCUCUUGACGAGCUCUCCAUUCAAAUCGUGAGUCUGCCAGUCCUUCUUCUUCUGCAUGGGUUAUCCGGAAGAAAUAUGUUGAACUUGUUCAACAUACUAAUCCAUGCAUCCACAUCUCAAAAACAAUUAUAUGUUCCUUGAGUUGUCCCCCUUUAGUUGUAUUCCGACCUUAGCCUAUCAGUUGAUAGUCAAGAGUAUGUUUGCAUUCGUGUUUAUCGGUGCCUUUUACUCUUCUGGUCCGUCAAGCCAUUCUAUUUCGGAAUGACUAGGAGAAACAAACUCCAGUACCUCAUUCAUUUCUAGGAUUGGGUCAAGGCAGUUGUAUUCUGCAGAUCAAAUGCAAUCAAGCUUUGAUUCUGUUCUACCCUGAAGUAUUGCCCUCUUGAUGUCAGGAAUGUCAUGAUAAUUGCACCAACUCUUAUGAAUUCUUGAUGCAGUGAUACUUCUCACCAUCAUCAUUCUCUCCUCGGUUCCGUGUUUUUGCAACCGGAGUACCGACAAGUGAACCAUGAUGUGUGAAAUCAAUACUCCUGACAACUAGUUGCUUGGUAGUAAAUGGACAAUAUUCUCAUUCUUAGCGUGUUGGGUUUUGACUCAUGAUUCUAAGAUAGAUUGUGCUACCUAGUCCUUAUUUCCGGUGCACUCUUCGAUCAAUGAGUUAGGAUUAUUCAAUCCCUCACUCUUUUGAUCAUAUCAUCUUGCCUUGAAAAGCAAGGUUGUUCUCGAGCUUAGUAUCAUAUCAGUGGUUCGUGAUUUUCUGAUUAUCUUCUCGGAAGUAUCACUAGGUUGUCCCCUGACUGUUAUGUUGAGUUCGUGAUCAAGUUGGUUUUCUUAUAAAUCACCCCUUCUCCAAGAAUCUGUGUUGGAUAUCCCUGAGCUAGUUGGUUGAGCUAGACAACAACUUGGAGAGUUGGAAGAUAAAAGCUUGUAUGACUUAGUUCAUGUUAAGGGAUAUCUUUGUGUGUGUGUGUGUUUGUGUGUAUUGAAGAAAGAUGAUAUCCUCACCAGUUGGUCCUCGUGAUCAGUUGUUGAACCUAUUGUCUUGUUAAAAGUCUGACUUGAGUAUGGGCUAUCGUCAAGUCAAAUCAGAACCAACGAUGUUCGUAAUGCUGUCCUACUCGUGGUUGAUCCCUCGAGCAUACACCAUUACAUCUUUUGGUUUGACCAAUGCUAUCACCAUGUUCACAUGAUGGUGGAAGUCCAGUGAUAUGGAAAUUUCGAUGAGUAGCUAUUGAGUCCAUCAGCAGCAUCUUGUCUCCCCCAUGAUUCUGUUAAACAUUAAGCUAGUGUUGGAAACUUUGUAAACAAUGCCCUCAUGUUCCGUUCAUGAAGCAUAUGUUUGGAUGAAAGUAGUGACUUCCUCUAAGCUCACGUGCAAUCGAUGCAAGUUGUCGCCAUGAAUUCGAGAAAGCUUGUUUUUGCUUCCUCGGGAAUCAUCCCAAGUCGGCCAUGCACGUGCAAAGUAUUCUGUGGUAUGUUAGACUGAUCAUCUUCGUUCCAUAUGAAUUCCUAGCACCCAAGCCACUGAUUGACUUGUUCAAGGAAAAGAAGUCUAGCGCGCGUAAAGACUUCGAUAUCCUCGAUGAUGGUUCCCCACCUGAACCCGGUAGUGUUUUAUUAUAAGACUACUACGUGGUCAUGCUUGUCUUGGAUAGCGUGUUCACAAGUUUGUAGCAGAACCAGCUCAUGUUUUGGAGCUUGCUAUCGUAGUUCAUUCACCGAGAAUAUCGCAACGUCAUCUCGUCGAAUUGUGUUGCAAACUCUCAUUUUUCUUUCUAGACUUGAUGAGUCUGGAUUAUCCUGACACCGGCCAGAUCUGAAUCUCAGGCAGAUAUGAUGGUUGGAACUUUCCCAACAAUUGCAUUUUGUUCCCAGCUUGCGCCGCCAUUGUGCCAAUUCCCCAUGGGCUGCCCUUCUCAGUAGUUGCUGUCCAGGAUCAUCUUCAAAAGUGGUCCUGUCAUGGGUCCCAUCCAUUUUCAAUGAUAGGCAAAUAUCAUCCAUUGCGUUGACUUCAACAAGGUAGUCCACAUCAUCCAUUCUAGUCCGGGUAUGCCAUCCCUUCGUACUCCGCCAGAGGAUUGUUGUGGUUUGCCUUAGGCUAGUAUACAGAGUGUCAAUGAUCUCUGAAUCAAAAGUAAUUCUUUUUGCCACUUAAGGGAGUAUUUCUGCGAGUCACCUUCCUUAAGGUGUCUCGUUGUGGUAUCAUGGCAACCCAACUCCUCGCUAUGUUGACACCGUUCACCACCCUCCUAGGUGUGGGAAUUCUGCUACUUAUUUAAACCUUGUCAUAUGCUCAUAUCCAGCAUUCUUGAUGUGUGUAUCGUGUCUCAUCUCGACAGAUGUCGCUAUGUCUCGUUCUGUGAGUUGAAUGCCGGUUGCUCGAUCUUCGAGAAGAUCGAUUCUUCGAGAGUUCCUUUUCUUCCCAUUAUCAUGUUGGAUGGAGUUCUCAGAGCAAGACAUCGAGACAAAGAUGGUGAUCGUGUCAACGUUCCUAUGAAGUGCAACCUGGAUCGUGAAGACCGUGUUAGCUUGUGCCCCCUCUGUCUUCUUACCUCACGUCUUGAAUCUCGGGACGAGAUUCUUGUUUAGUGGGGGUGAGUUGUCACAGCCCUAGAAUUGUUCGCAACUAGUGGCAUUGCAUCCAUGCAUCAUGUUUAAAUUUCAUGAAACUUGAAAUGUGGAUUGUUGAAACCCUAGAACCAAAUGAAUUCAACCAGGUUCAAACUUAAAUCUUUUCAAUGAUCCCAAAAUACCCUUUAGAAAUGUUCAUCAUUUUUGAAUUGGUCCAGCACCUCUGACAAAAAUGAUGCACAUAUUUUCAGGCCAUCCUGAAUUUUUGAAUUAAAUCAUAUGCUAUUUGCAAUUGGGCAUUUAAAUGCUAUAUAAUAUUUUUAAAUGCUCAUUUAAUUCUGAACUUAAGUGAGGGCUGUUGGGAAUACUCCAACCAGAGCCCACAAUUAUUUUCAGGAUUUUUGGAAACGUUCUGGUAUUUUUAAUAAAGCCCAGAAGUUACAGAUAAAUAGAAAACAGAAAGAAUUAGAAAAGAGAGAGAGAGAAGAGCUCACCUAGCCCACCUGGCGGCCCAACUAUGCAUGCAGCCCAGCCCAGCACCGCAGCCCCCUCUGUCGUCUUUCUCCUCACGCUAGUAGGCAGGGCGCGUGGUCGCCGCGCCCGCGCCAGCUCCUGCUUCCACCGCGACGCCCCGGCUCUUCUGGAUGUGCCACGGAGAUGCCCCGCUCCUCUCUCACUCUCUCUCGUUCUUUCCCCCUCCUCUGUCUCGUUCUCUCUCCCGAAGCCGAGCGGAGCCGUCGCCGCCGCUCGCUGCCGCCGCUCGCUGCCGACCACCCCUCGCCCUACCGAUGAGUCCAGAAGCUCCGCCGCGACGCCCUCGCCCUCCCCACCGAGCCACGCUUCGCCGGAGGCCCUGCAUCGCCGCCAUCAGGUCGUCCUCAAGCUCGGUACCUGCCGGACACUGUUCAUCGAUUCGCCUCGCUCCGGUCGCCCCCGAGCCCACUGAUCUGCUCAUCGACCUCCCUGUGAGCUCCCCCGCUUUCCCCUCUUCUUUCCCGCGCGUUUGCACCCUCUAGGCCAUAGUUCCACCAUGGCCGAAGCUCGCCUCCGCUUGAGCUUGUCGCCGGCGUCACUCCGGCGACCAUUUGGUCAUCCCGUGCUACCCAACAUGCUUGUGGCAUCGCAUAGUGCCUCGCUAGCGCCUCAGUUUCCGCGUUUGCACGCCGCAGCCCAACCCCGCACAUGGCUGAACUCCGUUCGCCGCCUUGGAGCUCGCCGUCGUUGGCUCCGGCCACGAUAGACCCGACCUCCACCACCACUAGACGCACGCCUGCAGGAGCUCUCCAACGAGCCCAAGAACGGCCUCGCCCGUGCCCUGUGGGCAUUUUCCGAGCCGCGCCACCGUCUCGGGCCUCGCCGGCGCUGAGUCGCCGGUGGGUUUGACCCCGCUGACCGUUGACCAUGUGGGCCUAGUUUGACCGCCUGGGUCACUGACGUGUGGGCCCCAGGCUACUAACUAAACUAGGAUUAGUAUUAGUUUAACACUAACUAACUUUAGUCAGUUAACUAACUACUGACCAGUGGGUCCCACUAGUCAGGUUUAACCUGGACCGCGUCUGUUGACCAGAUGAUGUCAGCAUGACGCAAGGCUGAUGCGGUAAAUGCUUUUCUGUAUUUUAAAUAAAUCUAAAUGAUUUAUUUAUUUUCAGAAAAUCCCCUAAACUUCCAAAAAUCAUAGAAAAUAAUCUAUAACUCAGAAUGAAAUAAAUUAUAUAUGAAAAAAUAUCAGAAAAAUUCAAGGAAUCUGUUUAUGGCAUUUGCAUGCAUGUUUGAACAACCUAGGGUUGCUGUACAGGGCAAUUUGCAUAAUUGACAUUUAAAUAAGCACAUAUGGAGUUUGAAUUUGAACCUUGGUUCAAACCAACUUCAUUUAAUGUGAUUGCUAGUUGCAUUAGCUCAAUCAACAACAUAUUGCCACGACAUUAUUAUGCAUCAUAACUGUUGCAUUGCAUUGAUUGUGUUCCUCUUUGUUUGCCGGUAUUUGUCCCCUCUCGAUAGACGUGGUUCCGACGAUGAGUUCGAUGACACCGAUGAAGAACUAUACUAUCUUCAGAAGUGCCAGGCAAGCAAAACCCCCUUGUUCAUUCCGAUACAAUCCCACUCUCUCGCUCCUGCUCUCUUUUACUGCACUAGGACAACAACGAUUCAUAUGUUACUUGUUGCGGUAGUUGAACCCCUUAUCCUCUGCAUGACCUGUCAUUGCCACAGUAAAUAGAUGAAACCCACUAGCAUGAGUAGGAGUUGUUUGAGCCCUGAUGUGCCUACUCAUUCAUGCUUGUUUGUCAUGCUUGCUAUUGCUUAGAGUUGUGUCAGGUCUGAUUCAUCGGGGAUGAAUUGGAAAGUUGUGAACAUGUCCUACUGUGUGUGAGCUAAGUGUGUUGAACACGAUUUGGUAAAGGUAUCGAUGAGAGGCCAUGUAGGACACUAGUGCAGAACCGGGCAAUAGCACCGGUUCGUAAGGCCCUUUAGUGUCGGUUUGGUAACCGGCGCUAAAAUGUAGGCACUAAAGGCCCCCCCCCCCCAUUUAGUACCGGUUCAACAUGAACCGGUGCGAAAGGGCAACCACAUGGCACGAGUCAGCUUCGGGGGCAGGGAGCCCUUUAGUACCGGUUGGUGUCACCAACCGGUAUUAAAAUGUUGGGGGGGGGGUUUGGGUUUAUGAUUUGUUUUUCAUUUAAUUUUGUGUUUUCCAUUUAAUUCUUUUUCGUUUGCUGGUAUUUUANNNNNNNNNNNNNNNNNNNNNNNNNNNNNNNNNNNNNNNNNNNNNNNNNNNNNNNNNNNNNNNNNNNNNNNNNNNNNNNNNNNNNNNNNNNNNNNNNNNNNNNNNNNNNNNNNNNNNNNNNNNNNNNNNNNNNNNNNNNNNNNNNNNNNNNNNNNNNNNNNNNNNNNNNNNNNNNNNNNNNNNNNNNNNNNNNNNNNNNNNNNNNNNNNNNNNNNNNNNNNNNNNNNNNNNNNNNNNNNNNNNNNNNNNNNNNNNNNNNNNAGUAGGAUUUUCUACAAGUGCUUGCCACAGAACUAGUUAAGGGUUUCAACGGUGCAAAAAAUUUCAAAAAUUCUGAAAAAAAUACUGAACCAACACACCUAUAAUAUAACAUGAUCCAACGGAGGGAUUAAAAAAAUACGACUGUAUGUGUCCUGGACAAAAAACAAAUAGUUCAGUAUAUAUUUAUGUCGCAGUGAGCUGAAAUGCUUAUUAUUUUUGCCGACGACACAUAGAUGCAUAUUUUGACAAUCCCUCCGUUGGAUCAUCUUAUUACAUUAGAGAUAUGCUUUAGGGACACUUAACUAGUUCUGUGGCAAGCUAUGGUAGACACAGUUAUAUAUAUGGUCCUGUGCUAUGCGGUCCUGUGCUAGGAGCUUGUCCCGCACCUCUUUGAACUGUUAAGAAGGAGAUCAAUAUACAUGUGUAUUAGUUGUGUGACUAGAUAUCGAUAAUGGUGUAAAAAUUGUGAAUAGUGUUCUGACAAUCGAUAUCGUACCCACUUUUGUCUUUGAGAUUUGCUCCUUUCGGACGCCAUCAUGCGAAUGUUCUCGCAAAUGUAGUAUGCACAUAGAUCAUUCCCUGGCACCUGCCUCAGGGCCGUUACGAAAAUGGAAUUUUGAUCAGAUAAUAAUUAAUCAAGCAUGAUAAUUAAAGAGAUGGCAGCUAGCUAGUACUACUUAAUUACUUACCUUGGGCCGAUACCAUUUCAGACUUUAUUUCUAUGGGCCUGGAGUGACCCUGAUGAACUUUGCCCAAGCCCUGCCCGCCGACAAAGAUAAUGAAUAAAUGGGUUAUUAGAUAGUUGUUAUCAAGAAAUGACGAACUAAUUAAAUAGGCUGAGAUAUAGUUAAUAAUGAUUGAAAUUACCUGUUGACUAUCCCGUUCACGAUGGUGUAGUCACUUGCUUUCUUAAGUAGCGAGUCUAGUACUUCAACUAUUCGUUCAUCAACUUUAAUGAUUAACAAGAUCCAGUGAUAUCUGCAUGCACACACGUUUGCAUGUCUUAAUUAAGCAGGCAUAUGUAAGCAAAAACAUGUAGCUAUAGCUAGUAGGGAAAAACAGAAUUUGUAGUACAAGACAGUGUGACUCACUGGAAGUUGUAAGGAAGUAGUAUAUCUUCAUUGUAUUUGAGUUCCUUGAAUAACUGUAGCAUACUUUCCUCUACACAUUUUGCGUGACAUGGAUCUAAUUUCCAUGUGUAUUCAUUAAUGGUAUUUGGGUCAACGAACCCAAUGCCAUAGCAUCCACCUUUUUUCAUUUCAUAAAUCUUCAUCCUGCAUAAUACCACAGAAAAGAAUAUUGUGAGGAUAAUUACAGGUAAUGAUUGAUCAAAAUGAUCAGCUAGCUUGAGACUUAAAUUACAGAAAGGAAUCACUUACAGAAAAUAGCAACUGUCGAUAGAUUUGUCAAGUGCGUCUUUAUUGUAUAGCUGAAAAAGUUCUGAAUACUCAACGGUCACAACUUUCUUAUGGUAGUAAUGCUCCUCAUUGACAUUCACCAUGAGGGACUCUCGAUUGGAAAUCUUGGUAAUGUCCAUGUACCAUUGAUGCAAUUCAUACAUUCUCAUUGGGAGCUUACUGACCUCCUCUGGCUCGACCAAAGGUUGGCCCCAGGCAUAUUUUCGUUUUAUUUCCUCCUCUCUAGUCGGAGACAUGGGAUCGAUAUCGAGGAGUUGUCCAACAGUGAUCCCGAUCAAUUGAGCCUGCGCAAUAUGCUCCUCGGUUAUUACCACAUCGCCCACCCCGGGAACGUUAAUGGUUUGCCCACAAUAAUAUUGGGCGCGCCUACUCUCAUGUGUUGUUGGCACAACAAGCGGGGGGAUUGAGUGCGCAACCUGUUCUCCCAGCUGGGGAACGGUUUUACCGCUCCUUUUGCUAGCUGAUUUGCUCGAGCUCGAGCUCGCCUCUUUCUGUAGACGUGCUCGAUUUAACUUCCUGAGGUGGCGCUCAUAGUCUGUGUCAACAGGCUUGGGAGCUGGUGGUUUAGCCAUACGAAUGAAGUGGUCAAUCUUUUCCACAGGCACUUUCUCCCUUGGCGGCGGUGGCGGUUUCGGUGCAAAAUGGGCUUCCACCUCGGCCUUUGAUAUGGCUACGUUUUCCUCCUCGGACUUGUCGUAAGGCCUCUGCGAAAGAGGCGCGAGGCUUGGACCAUAUUGAAAUCGCUUGCCUCCGCCCGUACCUGUAGUACUACCUCGACUUGUACCGCUACGCACCAUAGCUGAGGCGGCUCUCUUCCGUGAUUGCUGAGGCGGCGAAGAUGGCUGACGUGGCUGAGUUGGAGGAGGAGGAGUGGCCUGAAGCUGUGCCGGACUUGGAGGAGGAGUGGCCUGAAGCUGUGCCGGACAUGGAGGAGGAGUGGCCUGACGCUUUGCCAGACUUGGAGGAGGAGUGGCCUGAAGCUGUGCCGGACUUGGAGGAGGAGUGGCCUGACGCGUUGGUGGACUUGGAGGAGCGGGAGUCUGCUGACUCGGUGGCGGACUGCGACGAGGAGUCGGAUGACGCGGUGUCGGUGGCCUUUGAAAGAUGAUGCAAUCCUUUCUCCAUAGGAUGAUACGAUGGUUGGCCUCUCCUAGUGUGUGCUCAUCGUCACCUCCAGGAAUGUCAAGCUAUAGCCCCGAAUAUUGGUCCACCACCUCAUCAACCAAGACACGAGCAUAGCCCGCUGGAAUCGGGUUGCAAUGGAAGGUUGCCUCGGGGGGAUUUGUAAAAGCAAGGGCGUCCGCCACCUUCAUGGAUAUGUUCUUCAUUUUGAAGUGUAGCUCGCAGUUAGUGUUCUCCAUGAUGUCAUCCACUGGGUAGCUAUCCAGCAAUGCGUCGCCUGGAGCGGAGCCCACGCUGCUUCUCGGCAUGGAUGGGACGGUGCUAUCCAUUGGUGGAUCAUCCGCUAGCUGCUGAGACCCCCUUUGCUGGCUAAGUGAGUCGAUCUACUACUGCUGCCGUUGGAAUUUGAUUUCCAAGUCCGCGUGCGCUGAUUCUAGGCCUUGAAGGCGUUCAUAGUCUAGCUUCCUCUGCUCCUCCUCCAUAUUCCUCUUCUUAUCCUCCGCAAUCUUCUUUCUCGCACGGGUUCUGUAGUCGGUGUUCCAGUCCGAAAACCCCUCAUACCACGGAAUAGCGCCCAUGCCUCGUGUUCUUCCCAGGUGUUCAGGAUUUCCCAGGGCACGCGUAAGCUCGUCGUUCUCUCUAUUGGGCUCGAACAACCCGGAUCAAGCCUCUUCUAUUGCAACAAGUAGCUUAUCUUCGGCUCCGUCCAGACACGCCUUCUUGGAAACUUUUCCUGUCUUCAGGUCCAACUCCCCCCCAUGCGCAUAGAACCAAGUCCGGCACCUGGGGGGCCAGCGCAAUGUUUCUGGAGUGACACCUGCAUCCAGCAUCUCUUUCUCAGACUUAUCCCACUUAGGCAAUCCCACCGCAUAGCCACCUGGCCCCAGCUUAUGGAACUUAUCCUUUUUUGCGGCAUUGGCCUUGUUUAUUCUCGACCGUUCCUUAGAUAAUUCUGAAUCCUUGAAUUUCACGAAAUCGUCCCAAUGAGCACUUUGGUUCUCUAGUUUUCCCUCGAAUACUGGACUCUUCCUUCCUCCGUUGACGUACUUGGCCCAUUCACGAAUCUUGUGGUUCCUGAAUGCAACCGCCAUCUUCCUAAGAGCAUCGUCCUUGACUUUCUCCACAUCUGCAUUUGUGAAAUGAUCUGGUAGGGUGAAAUGUUCCAUGAGCGUUUCCCAAAGCAACUAUUUUUGUCUGUCGUCGACAAAAGUAACUCCUGGACGUGGCUUUGAUGGCUCUCUCCAUUCUUGAAGGGAUAUCGGGAGUUGGUCCUUCACAAGAACUCCGCACUGACGAACGAACUUGUCCGCAAUCUUCUUAGGCGCGAAUGGUUCUCCAUUAGGUCUGAUUGCCUCGAUAUUGUACUUUAUGCCCUCCUUCAACUUUUUGUUCGGGCCUCGUUUCGUCCUGUUGCCUGAAGAUUUGCUCGAUCUGGAUGGCUGAAAGAAGAAAGAUCGAUUCGUUAAUAUAUCUUCAAGUCAUAUAAAACAUGUGAUGAUCACCAGAUGCCUGCUUAGAUAAAUAUAUAUACCUCGCCGGUCUUUGUUGUUUCAAGAUCAACAUUUUCAUCGUCAUGUUCAUAGUUGACGACUUCAUCAAUUCAGUCGUCGCGAUCGAAUAUCAUAUCACCCUCCCCGGUGUUGUUUAGAUAUUCGGAGCCGUCAUAAUCUUCUUCAUUCUGAUCAUCAUCUGGCCCGCGAGGAUUGCGUAUGAUAUUGAACAGGGCCUCUUCUCCCUCUCUGCCGGUAUUGUCCGCCAUAGGUUUUGUUUAACUAAUCCAAAAGAAAUAUAUUCAAAUUACAAUGCAUGGAUGCAAUCAAUUAAUAAGGAAAAACUGAAUCAAUCAUAGUACAUAAUAAGCAUCAUCGAAUAUAAUCUCGAAUAUGUCGUCUCGAAUAAUAGAUAUAAUCUCGAAUACAUCGUCUCGAAUAAUAGAUAUAAUCUCGAAUACAUAGUCUCGAAUAAUAGAUAUAAUCUCGAAUACAUCGUCUCGAAUAAUAUAUAAUCUCGAAUACAUCGUCUCGAAUAUUAUAUAUUGAGUACAUCACUGGCUAGGUAGCUAAUAAAGAUCGAAUACUACAGAAGAAUCUAGGACACUCGCGGUUCCUGCGGCGCGGCGGUGGACACCCAAAGAGAAGGAACCCUCACAGGAUCAUAGCUGAAGUGAGAUCCCUGAAGAAACUGCCAGGUAUUGGAGAACCCUCUAACGCAACCAUGUAGCGAUGGACGUGCUCGUCCUCCUCCCUGACACGGUGACGUACCACCUCCGGCGGGGCCGGCUCCCUCCGCACCGACACUGGCCCACGCGAACGCCACCAAACGAGAUCAGGGUCGACGAUGAGACCCGGGGCCGGGUUCCUCAUCAAGCGGCGCACCCCUCCAGGAAGCACCUCCCAGUGCUAGCCCGGCGGAGCCCAGUCCCGGACAUGGGUCAGCCGGACAUCGUCGCGGACAGGUCGACGGCGAGGAUGCGGGCCGGGCAUCGUCGAGAACAAAUACUAGCUAUAUGCCCGCAAAAAGUAACAUUUUUUUAAUGAUUGGAUUUUGAUAACUAAAAUUUCUAACAUUUCUAUAUAUCUAACAUUCCUAUAACAUUUCUAACAAUGCUAUAUAACUAACAUUUCUAUAACAUUUCUAAUAUUUCUAUAACUAAAAAACAGAAAAAAAAUUAUAACAUUUCUAUAUAUAUAACUAACAUUUGUAUAACAUUUAUAAUAUUUCUAUAACUAAAAAGAGAAAAAUUUCUAACUUUUUUAUAACUAUUUUUAUAACUAAAAAACAGAAAAAAUUUCUAACAAUUCUAACUAUUUUAUAACUAUUUCUAUAACUAAAAAACAGAAAAAUUUCUAACAAUUCUAACAUUUCUAACAAUGCUAUAUAACUAACUAUUUCUAUAACUAAGAAAAGAAAAAUUUCUAACAAUGAUAUAUGUGUGUGUGUGUGUGCUCACCGGCGAGGCGAGAGGCGACGGGGGGCGGCGACGGGGACGGCGACGGGCGCGCUGACGACGGGGAUGGCGACGACGGGGACAGGGACAGGGCGGUGACGACGGGGACGAGGCGGCGAUGACGGGGACGGGGACGACGCGGGACGAGCCGGGACGGUGCGGCGGUGAUGAUGGGGACGACUGGGACGGGGACGAUGUGGCGGCGACGACGGGGACGGGGGCGGCGACGAGGGUUAUGGAGACGGGGGCGGCAGGCGACGGGGUAGAGGAGAAGAAGCAGACGAGAAACUGAAAUUUUUGAAGUGUUUAGUUAUAUAGGAUGGACCUUUAGUACCGGUUGGAGCCACCAACCGAUACUAAAGGCCUAUUUUGGCCAGGCCAAGCGGCAGGAACCGUACCCCCUUUAGUGCCGGGUGGUGUCUCCAACCGGUACUAAAGGCCCCCCCCUUUAGUACCGGUUGGUGCUACCACCUGGCACUAAAGGGGGUGCGCUGGCGCAGGUGCGGUGUGAAAUGUUUAGUCCCACCUCGCUAGCCGAGGGGCGUCCACACUGGUUUAUAAGCCCCAGUGCGGUAGCUGCCUCGAGCUCCUCUCCAAAGCAGACCUACUGGGCCUAAAUGUUCUGUGUUGCCCUGUGGGCCUACUGGGCCUUUGCUGGCCUGCAUCCUGGCCCAACAAUAGGUUGGGUUUCUAGUCGUAUGCAGGCCGCUGUGGCGCAGUAGGUGGGCUUCUUUUUCUUAUUUUUUUGCUUUAUUUAUUUUUGUUUGAGUUGUUUUUUUGUUGUAUUCAGAGUUUCUUUCUGAAUAUUUUUGCUUUAGGUAGAAAAAAUUACAAACUUUAUGUUAGUACCGGUAGUUUACAAAUUUGAAUAGUUUAAAUUUUGAUUUAUUUGAAAUUUGUGUGAAUCACUAGUUUGUGAAUAACUUAACUUUGAGAAUAGAUUUUUCAGUGAUUCUUUUUUCUUAUGUUUAAUAUUAGUGUGUUUUAUCAUUAUAUUCAAUUUGGUAAUGCUUAGGUUAUUUAAAAAAAUGAAAUGCCUUUUGUAACGGAUGAGUUUUCGUCCGAAACCCUGAUACUUCGAAAGAGAUUGUCCAUUUAGUACACGAAGUGCAUCUAGUUUUUGCGGUAACCCUCUCUACUUUUUUGCACAUGCUAUGUGGGUGAAAUUAUGAUACCAUGCCAACUUUCAACCUUUUCUGAGUUCAUUUGAAAUGCUUUUCAAUUUCAGGGUCAUUUAGCUUAAAAAAAAUCAGUAAAGGCAUGAAAGAAUUUGUUUGCACAUAAAAUUUCUUCGCGUUUCAAAUGCCAAAACACAUAACUACCCUAACUAUUACAGAGAUUCCCUCCUAGGUGUGAAACACAGAAGAAAGUGAUGAUAGUGAAGCCGAUCACAUCCCAGAUCUUUGGGUGUGAAACUUUUUCUUCGCGUGUGUCCCUUUGCACCGUAACCAUGGAAAAUCUUCAUCAUUUAGCGGGAUGCUCGGGUCAAUAUUCAGUGUGAAUGGAGCAAUUUCAUCAAACUUUUCAUAAUCUUCUGACAUGUCUGUCUUGUCAUCCAUUCCCACGAUGUUUCUCUUCCCAGAAAGAACUAUGUGCCUCUUUGGCUCAUCGUACGAUGCAUUCGCUUCCUUAUCUUUUCUUUUUCUUGGCUUGGUAGACAUGUCCUUCACAUAGAAAACCUAUGCCACAUCAUUGGCUAGGACGAAUGGUUCGUCAGCAUACGCAAGAUUGUUGAGAUCCACUGUUGUCAUUCCGUACUGCGGGUCUUCCGUUACCCCGCCUCGUGUCAUAUUGACCCAUUUGCACCGAAACAAAGGGACCUUCAAACCACGUCGAUAGUCAAGUUCCCAUAUGUCCUGUAUAUAACCAUAAUAUGUUUCCUUUCCUGUCUUCGUUUCCGCAUCAAAGCGGACACCACUGUUUUGGUUGGUGCUCUUCUUAUCUUGGGCGAUCGUGUAAAAUGUAUUACCAUUUAUCUCGUACCCUUUGAAAGUCAUUAUAUUCGAAGAUGGUAACUGGGGCAGCAAGUACAUGUCAUCUUCAAUAGAGGUGUCAUGCAUGGUACGUGUCUGCAACCAGCUGGCGAAACUCCUAGUUUGUUCACGUGUAAUCCAGUCAUCAGACCGCUUCGGGUGUUUGGAGCAUAGCAAAUUCUUGUGUUUAUCCAUAUACGGAGCCACCAAGGCGGAAUUCUGUAGAACUGUGUAGUGUGCUUCAGUGAGAGAUUGUCCGUCCAUACAUAUUAUUUGUUCCCCUCCUAGCAUGCCUUUUCCAUCCAGUCUGCCCUUAUGCCACGAUUCAGGAACACCAAUCGGCUUAAGGUCAGGAAUAAAGUCAAUACAAAACUCAAUGACCUCCUCAUUUUCAUGGCCCAUGGAGAUGCUUCCUUCUGGCCUAGCACGGUUAUGAACAUAUUUCUUUAAGACUCCCAUGAACCUCUCAAAGGGAAACAUAUUGUGUAGAAAUACAUGACCCAAAAUGUUAAUCUCUUCGCAUAGGUGAACUAGGACGUGCGUCAUGAUGUUGAAGAAGGAUGGUGGGAACACCAACUCAAAACUGACAAGACAUUCCACCAAAUCAUUCUCUAACCUUGGUAUGAUUUCUGGAUCGAUUACCUUCUAAGAGAUUGCAUUGAGAAAUGCACAUAGCUUCACAAUGGCUAAUCGAACGUUUUCCAGUAGAAGCCCCCUCAAUGCAACCGGAAGCAGUUGCGUCAUAAUCACGUGGCAGUCAUGAGACUUUAGGUUCUGGAACUUUUUCUCUGCCAUGUUUAUUAUUCCGUUUAUAUUCGACGAGAAGCCAUACGGUACCUUAAUACUAAGCAGGCAUUCAAAGAAGAUUUCCUUCUCUUCUUUGGUAAGAGCGUAGCUUGCAUGACCUUGAUGUAUGCCGUCUUUUCCGUGCAUACGUUGCUGGUCCUCCCGUGCCUCAGGUGUAUCUUUUGUCUUCCCAUACACGCCCAAGAAGCUAAGCAGGGUCACACAAAGAUUCUUCGUCACGUGUAUCACGUCGAUUGCGGAGCGGACCUCCAGGUCUUUCCAAUAGGGCAGGUCCCAAAAUAUAGAUUUCUUCUUCCACAUGGGUGCGCGUCCAUCAGCGUCAUUCGGAACAGGUUGUCCACCAGGACCCUUUCCAAAGACCACCUUCAAAUCCUUGACCAUAUCAUGUACAUCAGCACCGGUACGGUGGCGAGGCUUCAUCCAGUGAUCCGCCUCACCGGAGAAAUGCUUGCCUUUCUUUCUUACGGGAUGCCUGCUCGGAAGAAAUCGACGAUGUCCCAGGUACACAUUCUUCUUACAAUUAGCCAAAUAUAUACUGUCGGUAUCGUCCAAACAGUGCGUGCAUGCACGGUAUCCCUUGUUUGUCUGUCCUGAAAGGUUACUGAGAGCAGGCCAAUCAUUGAUGGUCACGAACAACAACGCCUUUAGGUCAAAUUCUUCCCCCAUGUGCUCAUCCCACGCACGUACACCUGUUCCAUUCCACAGUUGUAAGAGUUCUUCAACUAAUGGCCUUAGGUACACAUCAAUGUCGUUGCCGGGUUGCUUAGGGCCUUGGAUGAGCACUGGCAUCAUAAUGAACUUCCGCUUCAUGCAUAACCAAGGAGGAAGGUUAUACAAACAUAGAGUCAUAGGCCAGGUGCUAUGGUUGCUGCUCUGCUCCCCAAAAGGAUUAAUGCCAUCUGCGCUUAGACCAAACCAUACGUUCCUUGCAUCAUCUGCAAACUCCUUCCCAUACUUUCUUUCGAUUUUUCUCCACUGCGACCCGUCAGCAGGUACUCUCAACUUUCCGUCUUUCUUACGGUCUUCUCUAUGCCAUCGCAUCGCCUUGGCAUGCUCUUUGUUUUGGAACAAACGUUUCAACCGUGGUAUUAUAGGAGCAUACCACAUCACCUUGGCAGGAAUCUUCUUCCUGGGGCCCUCGCCCUCGACAUCACCAGGGUCAUCGCGGCCGAUCUUAUAGCGCAAUGCACCGCAUACCGGGCAAGCAUUCAAAUCCUCAUACUCACGGCGGUAGAGGAUGCAAUCAUUAGGGCAUGCAUGUAUGUUCUUCACCUCUAACCCUAGAGGGCAGACAACCUUCUUUGCUUGGUACGUACUCUCGGGCAAUUCGUUGUCCUUUGGAAGCAUAUCCUUUAUCAUUACCAGCAACUUUCCAAAUCCCUUGUCAGAUACACCAUUCUUUGCCUUCCAUUGUAGCAAUUCCAGUGUGGUGCCCAACUUUUUCUUGUCACCUUCGGAAUUCGGGUACAACAAUUUUUUGUGAUCCUCUAACAUGCGCUACAACUUCUUCUUCUCCAAAUCACUUGCGCAGUUUCUCUUUGCAUCAGCAAUGGCCCGACCUAGAUCAUCAACGGGCUCAUCCCAUGCCUCUUCUUCAGCUUCUUCCCGCGUUGUAGGCUCAGCUUCUUCCCGCAUUACCGGCUCAGCUUCUUCCCUCAUUGUUGUAUCAUCAUAUUCAGGGAACCCAUGGCCAGGAUAGCUGUCGUCGUCCUCUUCUUCUUCAUUGUCUUCCAUCAUAACCCCUCUUUCUCCAUGGUUGGUCCAAACAUUAUAGUGGGGCAUGGAACCGGACUCAAACAGGUGGACGUGAAUGGUUCUUGACGUAGAGUAAUUGCGACCAUUCUUACAGCCAGCACAUGGACAAUGCAUAAAACCAUCCGCUCGCUUGUUUGCCUCAGCUGCAAGCAGAAAAGUACGCACGCCAUUAAUGAAUACACAGCACCGAAAACAUCAAAUUAAUACAAUACAUAAAGUUCAUACAUAAAGAGCAUACAACACUUCAAUGCAACAAACAAAUAACUCUCUAGCUAAAGAAUUUAAAUGCAACAACAAAUGCAAUCAAUAUCGCAACUAAGGUAACAAUUGAUCCAACAGCAUAAUGAUACCAAGCCUCACUAUGAAUGGCAUAUUUUCUAAUCUUUCUAAUCUCCAAGCGCAUUUUCUCCAUCUUAAUCUUGUGAUCAUCGACGACAUCGGCAACAUGCAACUCCAAUUCCAUCUUCUCCCCCUCAAUUCUUUUCAAUUUUUCCUUCAAAUCCUCGUUUUCUCUUUCAACUAAAUUUAACCUCUCGAUAAUAGGGUCAGUUGGAAUUUCGGGUUCAACUACCUCCUACAUACAAAUAUCCAUGUCAACUUGAUGGGCAUAAUUUGUCAUAAACACGAAAUGCAAUGAAUAGUUUUAAAAGAGAAUAUACCACAUCCGAAUCAUAACCCAGACGAGGGCCGACGGGGACGGAUAUCAGAACCAUGGCACUAUGCAUAAAAAACAAUGUAUGGGUAAGAUAAUUAUACGAGUAACUAUAUAUCCAAAUCACACAAACAUCAUUUUUUAUAUAAAACUUCAUGAACAAGAGCUCACCACAAGGUGGUGCCGGCGACGGGAUGUUGCGAGCGAUCGACGGUGGUUACGACGGAGAUUUGGAAGGUACUAAGUAAACCACACCUACAUAUGCAAAACUAAGUGUUAUUUUUGACCUCAAAUUGCAUAUAAAUCAAAUACUAGCACAUAUAUAUAAUUCCUCCCAAAUUACUAAACUCAAAAAUCAAUCACUAUAUAAAGCAUUGCACGAGCUAAUCUAGCAAUGAGAGAUGAAAGGAAAGAGUUGCUAACCUUUGUGAUCAUUUGAAUGGAUGGGGCCUUCAAAUCUUGGGCAAAAUGUGUGAUGAGCUUGAGAGGAAGAGGGGAAAGAACAGAGAGGAGAGGGGAAAGGGGAAGAAAAGAGCGAGCUUAGGUGGACGAAGGGUCUAUGUAGGAUGACCUUUAGUACCGGUUCAUGAUACGACCCGGUACUAAAGGUGCUGGAGGGGCCCUGGACUGACAACAUCCUGCCACCACUCACUUUAGUACCGGUUCGUGGCAUGAACCGGUGCUAAAGGUUCACCACGAACCGGUACUAAUGAGAGCGGCCCGGCUAGCCGUGUUGCUAAGUACAUGUCGUGUAAAUGACGGUAAGUGGUGAGAGCGUGUAUGAAGAAGUACACCCCUGCAGGGUUAACAUCAUCUAUUCGAAUAGCCGCGUCCGCGGUGAAGGACUGCUUGGUUGCCUAUAUAGUUCAUAGAUAACUUGAAGUGGAUACUCUAAAACUGGCAAGAUAAGCAUGAGUGCUAUGGAUGGUGUUCUCGUAGGGAGAUGGGAGCAGAUCCAUAGUGGUGUAUUGAUAUGGUGAAUAUGUGCACUCGUGUGCGCCACCUCAAAAGAGUUGCUUGUAGUCAUAGUUCAGGUUAGACACUGAGUCAAAGCUGGCUUGCUGCAGUUAAACUCCACUACCCUUUGUUGAUACCGAUGCAUAUGUAGCUAGUUCUGAUGUACGUCUUGCAGGGUACAUUUGUACUGACGUUUGCCUACUCUAUGUUUUUGCAGAGAGACGUCAGUCUCGCUAGUAGUUCCGUGUGGACUUCGACGUUUAUCUUGAUACCUCAGCAAUGAUCUUGUGCCCUCGGCAGGAUCUGGUAGAUAGUCAGGCUUCUCAGCCUUUUUCAUUUGUAGAUGUCUGUACUCAGAAAUGUUAAGCUUCUGCUUGUGUUUUGGUUUGUAUGUUAUGAUUGUUGGGUCAUGAGACCCAUGUUUGUAAUAUCUCGCUCCUCGGAGCCUAAUGAAUAAAUACGUGAGUCGUAGAGUUAUGUUGUGAUGCCAUGUUGUAUUUACACAUAUCGAGCAUAUUGUGUGUAUGAUUGAAAUGCUUGGUAUGUGUGGGAUCCGACAAUCUAGUUGUUUAUCCUUGGCAGCCUCUCUUAUGGGGAAAUGUAGUCUAGUGCUUCCAUGAGCCAUAAUAGUCCGCUACAACCCGGUUCACUGGAGUCCUGCUAGCCCAGCACUAUUGCUCAGGACACUUGACUGGCCGACAUGUGAUUCACUUCGUUCCUGUGUCUGUCCCUUCGGGGAAAUGUCACGCGGUGACAUCCGGAGUCCUGCCUAGCCUGCUACAGCCCGGGUUCCCGGAGUCCUGUUAGCCCAGUGCUAUAUCCCAGAUUCACACGCUGCUGACGAACAUGCUCGAUGUUGAUUCAUGUAUGCCUGUCCCCGUAAGUUAGUGCCACUUUGGGUUCACGACUAGUCAUGUCGGUCCGGGUUCUCUGUCAUAUGGAUGCUAGCGACACUAUCAUAUACGUGAGCCAAAAGGCGCAAACGGUCCCGGGCCAUGGUAAGGCGACACCCGUGGGAAUACCGUGCAUGAGGCCGCAAAGUGAUAUGAGGUGUUACCGGCUAGAUCGAUGUGACUUGGAAUCGGGGUCCUGACACAAGAAGACUUGUUGGGGGAUAUAAUCCACGAUGGAGUUGAUCCCUUGUCAUUUCUCAACGACACCGAUGGUCAAGAAGGAGAGGAUGACGGCUCCGGUGAUCCAACAAGGGAGGAGGAAGGAGAUCAUGACGGCUCCAGUGACCGAAUGGCGGAGGAAGGAGAUCAUGAUCACGGCUCCAAUGACGAACGGAGGAGGGAGUCUUAACUGUUGCAAAGUCCGGCGAGGUAUAUAUAUGUUUUAAUUAAUCAUGUGUUGACUUGAUGCAUUAAUUUUUUUGUAUGUACAUAUAUUAACACUUCUUUCUUCUUUAAGCCCUCCGGAUCGAGCCAAACUUUUGUAAGGAGACGAGUCCUGAAGAAAAGGUUGCGCUAGGAUGAAAGGUUCACGAUCACAGAAGUCGUGAAAGAUGGCCAACUGAUUGCUCCCAAGCGGACCAAGGAUGCAUUUGUACAUCAGUGCAGAGUUGUUGUAAGGGACAUCGUCCUGAUCAACAUCCAACAACGGAAUAAGAAGAAGGACCCUAAAGUUUCUUAUGUCCAGGAUAGACUGAAAGAUGAUCUUUGGACCUCGUUGAUGAAAAUUUUCAUCCUACCGUCAGAGGAGGAUCCCAAUAACCCAGUUACAGAGCGAAAGGUCAAGGUGUUUGUUCUUAAGAAGAUGGCAGAACUAUUCAAGAACUAGAAGAAACAUUUGAAAACAAAAUUUGUCAAGAAAGACCAGACUCAUAAUUCAUCAGUCAAUAUGAGAAGAUAAGAGAUCACUGGCCCGCAUUUGUGGCUUACAAGAAAUCGGACAAGGGUAAGCAAAGGUCACUGACAAACAAGCAAAAUGCUGCAAAGAAGAAGUAUCACCAUACCACGGGGUUAGGUGGCUACAGCAAAGCCCGACCAUUGUGGGACAAAGCUGUGUAAGACCUGCUUGCUAAAGGGGUCCAACUAGCGGCAUUGCACUGGCCAGAUCGAGCAAGGACUUGGUUCUUUAGGGUUGGGGGAACUUUGGACCCAGGAUCAGGGAAGUGUGUUUGGACGAACGAUCAACUUACAAUACCCAUCAAGAAUCUUGAGAAAGCAAUCAAGGCAACACAGGAAGGGACGUUCAUUCCUGACAGAGAGAAGGACAAGCUGAGACAGAGGGCCUCGGGAAUCCUGAACACCCUGGAUGAACAUGAGGCACAUCAGGAUCCAUUGCAUGGGUGCAUGGGUUUGCCGACAACGGUGGUUAUAGAAGCCGGGAGAGAAAGAAGAAAGAGGAAGCACUCGAAAUGCAGAAGCUUAGUGCAAGAUUAGCGUAACUAGAGGAACUUGAGAGCCAGCAAUCUACCGGCCAACCAUCUCAGCGGCACGAAGAUCCUUCCUUCGACGCUGCCCCAGAAGCGACCCCACCAUCUCAGCGGAGAAGCAGCAUGCCUUCCAUGGAUCUCGUUCAGCCUGAUUUCACUGCUCCUCGCUACCCUGUGGAUAGUAUCACGGAGGUUGAACAUUGUGUGCUAAUGGCGAAAUGCCAGAACCUGACCUUGAAGGCGAAGGCCGGCUCUGUUGUACCUCCUCGAGCUGAGGGAAAUUUCCAUUGUCGUCAGAUUCCACAUGGCUAUCCUAUUGUGACGGUGGAUGAAAUAAUGGAGGGAUUUUAGGGGCGGGAGCUUGACUACCCUACAAUUUAAGGGGAUAUUCUUUUGGAAAAUGCUUUAAGGAGUAACUGUCUAUGGAGAAAGGAGUACAUCAAGCUUCCAAACUGGAAGCCUCAGCAGACUCAGCUGCAUGAGGCCCCUCAACAGACUCAGCCAGAUGAGGCCCCUCAGCAGAGUCCUCUUCCGCCUUUGCUAUCUCUGACGCGUCACCGGACUCUGCCUCCUCCUCUUCCGCCUCCUCCGGCGCGUCAGCGCACCCCGUCUCCUCCUCCUCCUCCUCCGGCGCGUCAGCAGAAUUCGUCGCCUCAGCAAUGGCGGAAGAGAGACAUCACCACUCUGGCGGCUAGCAGUACAAGAGGCAGGAAGAAAUUCAAAUUUGAUCCAAGCCUCAAGGCUCCUGCAAAGUUACAAUAUGAGAGAACUGAAGAGGAAAACGCGGACAUCAUGGAAGCUAAAGUGCAUGCCCAUUUUGAGCGGAAACGUCCACCUCCAAAGGAAACAAUAGAUCCGGUGAACGCGAAGCACACUCUGGAUGCCCUUAAGCGACCACCACCGCCUCUGCCGCAACCCAACUAUGACCGUUGUAUUGAAAAGACAUAUGAUGAAGUGCGGUAGUUGGGAAGUACUUCCAGUGCUGCAAGAGAAGCAAAACGAAGAAGUGGCAAAACAAUUCCCCAGCUGGGCUUAGAGGAGAAGCAAUCGUGCCCCCCGCUCAAGGUGUCUAGUGAUAUCGCUAAUCAUCCGGGGCUACUGCCCGGUACCACUCUUAGUGAUUACGUGGGCGAUGAUGUACAGUUUGAAAUGGAUGAGGUAGUAGAUAUCUUUAGAUACAAGCACGGGAAGCCUCUCGUCAAACCUGAUCAUCCUCCACUAACAAUGAUGAUACGAAGAUUGCAUGACUGGUACAUGGAAAGCUGCAGGAAGAAUGGGACUGAUAGUUUGAUGGUGAGAAUUAAAGAUGAGCACGACCUCAUUGGAGUCGACCUAAUGCCUAUUGAAUUUGUGGAAUUAUUUCAGUUACUCAAUCAAGAGGCCCUCGACAAACAACUUAUGACUUGCUAUUGUCUGUAAGUAUUACUUUCGUAAUUAAGUCUCUAGCUCAUCUCGUUCAUUACAUGUAUAUAUAAUUAUCCUCACUAUAUUAUAAAGAUUGAAGAUCGUCGAAUGCAAAAAAUGACAAAUAUAUGACAUUGGGCUCAUUAGCCCAGAUACAGUAAAUGAAUGGUCGGUAGAAAAUAGAGUUGGAGAUACUGCGCAAAACUUGCUAAAAGCAUUCAUUCGACAUCAAACAAAAGGGAAAUACUCUAUCCUUACAACUUCAAGUGAGUGUUACUGUCUUGUGCAUAUUCGAUUUCACUUACUCGAGGUUAAGUAAUGUAAUUGAUGAGUUAUGCGUGCGCAGGUUCCACUUUAUUCUGCUAUCCAUUAAUCUUGACGGGGGAGUAGUAAUUGUCUUAGACUCGAGACGUAAAGAUCCCCAAGAUUAUGCGGACAUGAGUGGAAUGCUCCAGAAUAAGUUCAAUCAUUAUCGCACCGUAUCGGCAACUUUCGCUCAUUUCCUAAUAUCAAGAAAUCAUUUUCUUUGCUUGGCAGGGUUUGGAAAAAGUUCACCGGAAUGGUUCCGUGUCUGAAGAAGGAGCUAUGAUUUGCGCACACUAUCAGAGAUAUACCCCGCGGUGUAAACCGGCCGGAAGUAUAACCCGGCCAGACUUGGCGGUUUACUUGAGGCCCGGCUGAGACUUGAUGAUUCACUGGUGACCCGUUUGGACCUGGCGGUUUAUGAUUUAUUGGUAAUCCGACAGGCGGGUCAGAGGAGCGACAAGACCCAGCGGCCCAACGGGCGGUUCAUGAAGGCCGGUUCAUACUAUGGUGGUCCAGUUUAAGAGAAAAGGCAUGAGGAAUAUUUGUCUUACAAAGAGUUAAGACCUGGACUUGUAUCCGGGUUGUAUUAGAGAUAGACUAGUCCUAAUCCUAAUAGGACUCCACAUGUAAACCGCCCCUUCAACAUAUAUAAGGAGGGGCAGGGCUCCUCAAAGGAGGACAAGAUUCACAAGUUCCACAAGUUGGACAAGUUAGGUUUAGACAAUAGCUCUCGAGAUAGAGCACACUUGUAAUCAUGAUCAUCAUCAUCAAUAUCAAUGAAGCAGGAUGUAGGCUUUUACCUCCACCGUGAGGGGCCGAACUUGGGUAAAACAUCGUGUCUCUCGUCCCGCUCAACCCCUCUCAAGCUACCACAUAGAUGCGUGGCCUCGCGACUAAGUCCUGACACUAAGGACAUCUGCCGUGACAAUUCCACGACAAUUGGCAUCCACCGUGGGGCCUGCGCACGGUGGUGUUGAGAUUCUUGGAGGGAUCUUUCCCAGGGAUCAAGAAGGUUACAACUUUCCAGAUGAAGAAAAGCUCAACUCGGAAGGGUUUUCAUCACCUUCGAGUUCACCGGUCCAGAUUUUACAAAUCCAUGAGAUUUAAGGCAAAGAAGAAUUAGGGUCAAGAUCGAUCCACAACCGCUAUCUUACGAUUUAGUCAGUUGUUUUCAAAUCGCCAAAGCGGAAGGACGCAUCCGAUUAAAUUAAUGCCUCGUGUGUGCCUGCUCGCUUAAGAAGGAUUACUCUUCGGGCCCGUCUUGAAUCGGUUGUGCUUUAAGCCGCCGCGACCUAGAGUACCUUGCCGGCUCUGACCUCCUCUGGCUUGUUCCACGCGUGGCCAAGCUGCCCGCCGGUUCACAUGCUCCAAGCAAAUAUACUGAUAAAGUUUCUCGAUGAGAUCAUCACAUCUACGGAAGACUCCGGGUCGUUCCCGUGGCCUUAGAUGGGUUCCGAGUCAGCUUUGCCAUGAGAUGGUUUUGGCAAUUCUCCGUGAUUUAGCGGACUUGGAUGUGGAUUAAUCAAAUCACCACAACCCGGCCCCGCUUCAGAGCUGCUGCCGCUGGCUCACUGUUCAACCCACCUCCAUCAGUACACUUUGGGGCCACCUUGUGUUAAGCCGUCAAUGAUCGAGUCCGCAGCUGCGGAGACCUCAAACCGCUCGAAUCUGCUGCUGCAGAUAGGACGGCCACAGUCGACCCGUUUAUGCCACGGCUUUCCACCUCCAAACCGGCUACCUCCUGCUGCCGCUUUGCUUUGCAUCUUCGCCACCGAGCGAUGUCACCGAGUCUCCCUCGCCUUCACACGCAGCCGCAAGUCGCCGAGCCAUAGUGGGUUUGCCUUGUUCUCCAACGCCCGCGUCUCCCCUGGCCGUGCUCUGUCCCCGUCGUGGUCAAGUGGCCUCCGAUCGAGCAACACCGCCGCCGGGUCAAGCCCCUGCUACAAACCGCCUCGUCGGCCUCUGGCUUGAAUCGCCAUCGAGUUGCCGCACAGAUAACCCGGCGCCGUCGCCGAGCUACAACAAAUUUUUUCCCAAAGCCAGACCGCCGCUGCAACCCGUCGAAGCACUGGAACGAUGAAGGAUAUGAGUCUUCCCCGCAUCAUGCUGCCUCCCCGAAUCCGCCUCUGCGCUUACCACCAUCGCCCAAGUCACCGCCGUCCGAGCCGCCCUGGAUUGGGAGCUCACGAUUGUUGCCUCUAUGGUCGAGGACCCAUCUUCGGUCGAUCUGCCGUGGCCCACUCUGUCAACUCGGUCGCCUCAAAUUUGGGGGCUCCUCUCAGCCACUGCGCUGUAAGCCGACAGAACCACCGCCGCCUCCAAGUGGCCCGCUCCCGAGUCGCCGAGCCUCUCCCACCGUCCUCAGAGUACGCGCGCCCGGCGGGCUGACUCCAUCUCCUCCCGCGCACCGGCGCCUUCUGAACCAGCCCUGGUCAGGGUUCCACCGCCGACCCGGCCUAUUUUCGUGCGUUGACCCGGGCUUGUCUCACCCUUCUGCCGUGGGUGUUUUCGUUGCUACAAACAUUAUUUAUGGAACAUCGGACGGCCGAGCAAAUCAGGUGAUAUCCAUCUAAAUUUGUUUUAUUAACACAUAUUAUUUCCAUCAAAGGACAAAUUACUUUGAUUUGUAUAUUUUUAUACACAGGAUUAUUAUUCAUUACAAACGUGGUUUACACCACGGAUUGAUAAUAUUCCGCCUAGGGAUAAUCCGAGACAUAUCACAUAAUGAAUGGACGCACACCAGCUAUUGCCCUUGCGGUCCAGUCUACAUCAGCUUGUUGGGAUCACGUCUGCUCAUUGUCAAUGGACGUGCACAAAUCGCUGCCAACCGUGCGGUCUGGUCUAUGUCAACUCACCAGGCCGCACCUGUCUGCAUGAGCUGUUUCUUGAGUAUGAGCAAGUCAUUACUUGGGUAGCCCGCUUUUCUUCCCACAACUUGGAGGCAAAUUAUCAUCAAUCGUCGUCUGCACUGGAUGGUUCAAUGGACAUGCACACAAGUCGCCGCCACUACAGUUUGGUUAAACUUCAAAGAGCCAGUUGGAAGGAACCAUUGGCCGAGUUGCUGACAUGGCUCAUACGGGAUCAUUUAUAACCCGCCGCAGUCACCUCAACCUUCUAUGGAUUCACAUCGUGCUAUCAACGCCAAUGAUAUACAAGUUAUGCCAGUUUAUAUCACGGUCAAAUAUGGAGAGUCUCAAGCCAACUCCUCGAGUCACCUUUGAAACUCGGGGGCUACGAUGACAUGACUCAGCGAAUCUUGCCAGUUUUAUCAAAUUUAAGAAUCCCAGGAUGAUGGAGGGAAGGAUAACCCAGUCCCGGAGGCUACUGUUAUAUUGAUGAAAGUUUAAAGGCCAUCAGAAAAUUUCCGGUUUAGAAAGUAUAUAACAGUUACAAAAUCCCGGCUCAAUGAAGAAGAUCCGGGUCAUCAGAAAGGAUUCCUGUUUAAAAUCCGGCUCAAGGGAAGUCAGUAUGACUGCAGCUCUCAAAUAUACGGUUUACAGUCUGGUUCAAGGGAAAUCUGUUCUCCCACAAAGCUCUGAAGCACUCAAUUCUGGUUUAACAAUGUCCGGUUCAAAAAGGAAUUAACUUCUUGCAAGUUCGAGUUUAAAGGCCGUCAGAAAAUUUUCUGGUUGAAAAUGAAGAUUCCGGUUUAAAAUCCGGUUCAAGGGAAAGAUAUCUCUCACAAAGCUUUGAAGCUCUCAAUAUCCGGUUCCAGAUCCCGGUUCAAGAAGAAUUUAUCUCUUGCGAAAAGUUAAAAAUUGCCAAAGAGGACCUGCUGCCAUGAUGCGCGGUUCAAACAUGGGUAUCCCGCCUUAGUGGCCAGACAUAUUAUUGAUCAUAUGGGGGCGUCUGCUUCAUAAAGCGGGGUAUCUGUUCUUUUACAUCAUGUGUGGUUACACGGAGUUGUUCUAAAGCGGCCUCCGGUUUACCCCUUGAGUUAGCUUUUUAAAAGCAUCAUGUUAUAUCACUUGGGGUUUUGGUCGUGUCCGAACCAAUACAAUACCUUUUGAUAGGCGACAGCCACCAGAUCACUUGGGGACUUGGUCAUGUCUGAACCAGUCAUGCCUCUUGAUUGGCCUAAGGCCACAUAAUCACUUGGGGGCUUGGUCGAACCCGAACCAUUGCCAUGCCACUUGAUCGACAUAAAUGCCACGGUUUCAUUUGGGGACCUGGCUGACUAGAACCAUCGCUACACCUAUCGGGAGCUUGGUCGUGUUCAGCCAUGGUAACGCCAUCUGAUCAGCUCAAAUAAACCUUUUUUUCUUUGCAAACGGUUUUUCAUUGCCUUUGUUUCACACUUUUCUUUGAAAGCUUUUUCUUUCUUUUUAUUGCGUUUUUUAAACCGACAAAGUUUUCAGCCAGUUUAAACUAUCAAUUGACGGAGCACGGUUCAUUUCAAUCUGGAGACUAUUUGCCCGGUUUGAUCUUUUUUGUUAACAUCCUAUUAUGGAGUAAACCGGUGUUAUCACAGCCUGGCACAGUUUUAUCAUAAACUGGCACAAUAUGGAAGGAGUUAUCAGUACUCAAGAUUGGGGUUAUAACCUUUACUACAAAAAGUUGGUAAAACCAACAAUGUGAUUCAAUGUCAUAGGUAUGAUCUAUUUCAUAUUUGAUUAUUCUUAAAGGCAGCCUUGGUUAUAAACCCGGGUUAUAUGUUGGGCAUCAUGACUCGUCCGGCGGUAAACCACCAGGACACUUUAAACUUGUUGUAUGUAGAAACAGGUUUGUUAAACCGGCCUGGCUUUGGACUAUAAUUCGCCAGUAUAUAUAUUUGGAUUGCGCCAUUGGAAUCAUGCGCUUAUAAAUCAUUGAGUCAUAUUAUUCAAAUAGCCAAACUUGGCUGAAUUUUCAUUAUGAUAUUGAAUGAAUAAGGUUUUCAUACCGGAUUAUAUUAUCUUGAAUAGCCAACAUGGUUGGAUUUUUAUGGUUAUUAAUAACCGGUAUUAUUAAGUUUUCAAAGUCGCUUUAGCGCAAUGGCUAUUAUUUUAUCAAAGGAUAUGAUUUAUUCUACAAUGAAAGGAAUAGUCCUGAGUCGUUGCAUGCUUACAACCCGGCACUUGGGGGCUACAUUAUUCAAAUUGAGAUUACAUGCAAGUCUCUUGUCACUGCAAGCAUGCACCAUGACACUUGGGGGCUAAUGCAAAGUCAUUUUUACUAGUCUUAUUGAAGACCCGUAUUAUAAUGAGCCGGCCCUUGGGGGCUACCAAUUUCUCCUGUCAACAAUUCAAGGUACACAAGUUUUCGUCCAUAAUAUUGAAGAAUCCAUUGCUCAGUUGGUAAAGCACAAAGCUCUUAACCUUGUGGACGUGGGUUCAAGCGCUACGAUGGAAGCUACAUUAUAAUAUGUUAUUUUCAUUAAAGUAUAUAUAUCAAGUCCCGGUUCAGUAUUAUCUUACUAAGCCGGUCCUUGGGGGCUACACAUCACUGCUAAAAUCUACAUAACUAUAUUUACAAAGUUCCUGCUCAUUAUUGCAUAAUGACCCGGCCCUUGGGGGUUACACUGAUUGAAGUUUUUAUAAGCAAUUACAAGUCCCAGGUUGCUGCAAGCAUGACAACCCGGCACUUGGGGGCUACAUAUAUGGAGUAUUCAGUUUAUAUGAUUGAGAUGAACAAACCGGAUUUCUUCAAGGUUGAAACACUUAUUGGAGCAAGUCUUAAGUUAUCACUAUGUUCUCCUCUUAAGACUUGGGGGCUACAGGUAUUAUGCAUAUAAAGGAGGAACAUCUUCAUUUUAUCAGUUUUGAGCAAAUCAGGAAGAUCAAUUACAUGACCCGGUGUCGACAACAAUUAUGACCCGGCGCCAUCAAUAUUUAUAAACUGGCCAUUUUGGUAAUAUUAAACCGGCAAGUUUUACAUCUUCAAACCGGCUGAAUAUCAGAUAAGUAUUUCAAGACCCAUAUUUCUUAAAACGGCGCUCUGGGAGAUGAGUCAGAGGAGUUAUUCUUCACAAUAUUUCUCUGUGACAAGCCAAUGUCGGCAAAUUGAUUAUGAAGCUGGUCUGUUGACCCGGACUUCCCAAAGGAGGAAAUAACAAGGACUUAAGGGUGAUCAGGUGCCGGUUUACAAAGAAUUCUUAACUCGGAGCAUAACCUGUCAAAUUUGUUCUUGUGUUUAUUUUGCAGCAUAAGUUUACCAUGGAUAAAUGCAAGCUAAACUUGGGGGCUAAUGUCGAAGAUAUACCCCGCGGCGUAAACCGGCCGGAAGUAUAACCCGGCCGGACUUGGCGGUUUACUUGAGGCCUGGCUGAGACUUGACGAUUCACUGGUGACCCGUUUGGACCUGGCGGUUUAUGAUUCAUUGGUAAUCCGGCAGGCGGGUCAGAGGAGCGACAAGACCCGGUGGCCCAAUGGGCGGUUCAUGAAGGCCGGUUCAUACUAUGGUGGGCCGGUUUAAGAGAAAAGACAUGAGGAAUAUUUGUCUUACAAAGAGUUAAGACCUGGACUUGUAUCCGGGUUGUAUUAGAGAUAGACUAGUCCUAAUCCUAAUAGGACUGCACAUGUAAACCGCCCCUUCAAUAUAUAUAAGGAGGGGCAGGGCUCCUCAAAGGAGGACAAGAUUCACAAGUUCCACAAGUUGGACAAGUUAGGUUUAGACAAUAGCUCUCGAGAUAGAGCACACUUGUAAUCGUGAUCAUCAUCAUCAAUAUCAAUGAAGCAGGAUGUAGGCUUUUACCUCCAUCGUGAGGGGCCGAACCUGGGUAAAACAUUGUGUCUCUCGUCCCGCUCAACCCCUCUCAAGCUACCACAUAGAUGCAUGGCCUCGCGACUAAGUCCUGACACUAAGGACAUCUGCCGUGACAAUUCCAUGACACACUAGCAAGUAAGUAGUACUAGCUAGUUCCGCGCAUCUCUCAUUGAUUCUAGUUUCAUCGGUACCAUUUAUCAUGCUUGAUUAUCAGUUUGAUUGAACUUUAUUCUCGUAAAGUGCUUGUGGUAGGAAGGCGGGAAUAAUUUAUGUGGGUACUAGGUUUGCGGGUUCAUGCGCCACUCAACCUCCGAGCGGGGCUACUCUCACAAACAAUUUGAAGUACGUAAACAAUAUUCAUAAUUUUAUUUUAUUACCAUCGAUUGUGUUCAGUUUCAUUCAUAUAUAUGUAUUGAACCCCUUCUUUAAAUUAGAUGUGGCAGAUGCGGGAUGAACUCCUACCACAUGAUCGCAUACGAGAAAUUCAAGAGGAAUUGGCGUGAUUCUUUCUUGAGAAGGUCAUACAUAAAGACGGAGAAUACCAUACGGAAAUUCAAUGGGAGUUUGGCGCUUGAUGAUGUCAGGGAUGUUAUAUUGUAUAUAUGUAGUAGCGUCGGAUAGACAUAAAAAAACUUGUUGUUUGACCAAGCACGAAGAAAGAGAGGUCACUUCUCUCUAUAUAUGUUCUAUAUGUUCAUGAUCAUGAUGUUGUGUAAUUAAUGGUUCCUUCAUUUGCUUACUAGCUAGCGUCGAGUUCUCUCUAUAUGUAGUAGCUACUGUCGACCAAGCACGGAGAAAGAGAGGUCACUUCUCUCUAUAUGUAGUAGCUAACUAACACAACAUGAAAUCCCUAAACCCUCCAAAACCCCUAACCCCCCUUCAAAAAAACAAAAGCCCCAGCGCCUGGGAGCUGCUAAUGUGUAGCUGCCUUUUAGUCCCGGUCGGUGUUACCAACCGAGACUAAAGGUCCUCCUUCCUGGGCGCCCCACAGCGGCCAUGUGGACUUCCUUUAGUCCCGGUUCGUAAGCCAACCCGGACUAAAUGUUUUGGGCAUUAGUCCCAACCAUUUUGUCCCAGUUCCAGAACCGGGAAUAAAGGCCCUCUGGAACCGGGACUAGUGCCCUGUUUUCUACUAGUGCAUUCAUUGCAUGGCAAUCCCUACUCCUCGCAUUGAAAUCAAUUGAUGGGCAUCUCCAUAGCCCGUUGGUUAGCCGCGUUGAUGUGAGACAUUCUUACUUUUUUGUCUUCCCUAUAUUUACCCCUAUCAUCAUACUCUAUUCCACCCAUAGUGCUAUAUCCAUGGCUUGCGCUCAUGUAUUGUGUGGGAGUUGAAAAAGCUGAAGCGCGUUAAAAAGUAUGAACCAAUUGCUCGGCUUGUCAUCGGGGUUGUGCAUGAUAAAUACUAUGUGUUAAGAAGACUGAGCAUGACAAGACUAUAUGAUUUUGUAGUGAUAUCUUUCUUUAGCGUUGAUAUUUUGAAAGACACGAUUGUUUUUGGGAUGCCUGAGUAUUGAUGUCUUUCUGUCAAAUUAUAGACUAUUGAUUUGAAUAACUCAUGUCUUAAUAUUCAUGCGAUGAUUAGAUAUAGGAUCAAGAUUAUGCUAGGUAGCAUUCCACAUAAAAAAUUACCUUUUUAUCAUUUACCUGCUCGAGGACGAACAUGCAUUAAGCUUGGGGAUGCUGAUAUGCCUCCAUCGUAUCCACAAUUAUUGAUUGUUCCAUGCCAAUAUUAUACAACUUUUACAUACUUUGGCAGCAAUUUAUAUGAUUUAUUGGACGAACCUAUUGAUCCAGUUCCUAGUGCCAGUUCCUGUUUUUUGCAUGUUUUUUGUUUUGCGAAAUAUCCAUAUCAAACGAAGUCCAAAUACAAUAAAAAUUUACGGAGAAUUAUUUUGGAAUAUAUGUGAUUUUUGGGAGUUGGAAUCAAUGCAAACAAGGGCCCACAACCAUCAGAAGACACCUGGGCGCGCCAGGCAGCCUAGGCGCAUGGUGGCGUGUUGUGCUCUCCUCGUACGUCAGUUGGAGCUCUACUUCGGGUGCAAGGAAGCUUAUAUCCGGAAAAAAACCAUGUUAAAAUCUCAGCGCAAUCGGAGUUAUGGAUCUCUGGGAAUAUAAGAAACGGUAUUCGGCCAGAAAACAGGAAUGUGAAACAGAAGAGAACAAAGAGGGAGAUCCAAUCUUGGAGGGGCUCGUGCCCCUCUGCCGCCACGGAGGCCAUGGACUAGAGGGGGGAAUCUCCUCCCAUCUGGUGGGGAGGCCAAGGAAGAAGAAGAAGGAGGGGGCUCUCUCCCCCUCUCUCCCGAUGGUGCCGGAGUGCCGCUAGGGCAAGGAUUGUGACGACGAUCUACAUCAACAAUCUUGCUACCGUCAACACCAACUUUCUCCCCCACUAUGCGGAAGUGUAACACCUAUUUUCCCCGCUAUAAUCUCUACUUAAACAUGGUGCUCAACGCUAUAUAUUAUUUCCCAAUGAUAUGUGGUUAUACUAUGAUGUUUGAGUAGAUUCGUUUUGUCUUGUAGGCUAAUCGUGAUCUUGGUUGGUAAGAGUGUAUAUUUUAUUUAUGGUGCUGUCCUACGGUGCCAUCUGUCUCGCACAAACAUGAGGGGUCCCUAAUGUAGGGUGUUUCAAUACAUUCAUAAUUUGCUUAUUGUCGGUUGCCGGAGUGAAAGAAGCCUGAACACAGAUAGGUGGGUUAUUGCGUAUGGGUGUAAUGAGGACUUGAUACUUAAUUCUAUGGUUUGGUUUUACCUUAAUGAUCUUUAGUAGUUGUUGAUGAUUGCUAGAGUUCCAAUCAUAAGUGCAUAUGAUCCAUGUAGAGAAAGUAUGUUGGCUCAUGCCUCUCCUUCAUAUAAAAUUGCAAGAAUGAUUACUGGUCUAGUUAUCGAUUGCCUAGGGACAAAUGACUUUCUUGCUUGACAAAAGCUACCCACUUUUAGUACCUUGCAAUUUAUUUGUAGUUUUAUUCUCGCAAAGUACUCAUAGUUUUAUUCUUGCAAAAUAGUUUCAUACUUGUUUUAGGUAAAUCAAACGUCAAAGUGUGCGUAGAGUUGUAUCAGUGGUCGAUAUAACUUGAGGGAAUAUUUGUUCUACCUUUAGCUCCUCGUUGGGUUCGACACUCUUAUUUAUCGAAGAGGGCUACAAACGAACCCCUAUACUUGUGGGUUAUCAGGAGGAUAUUAUAACCACAUUGGGCUUCUACUUAUGAGGAUUAGAUGAUCUAGUUCUAGCUCUAAUUAGAUCAACUAUGAUCAACUAGAACUAGAACUAGAGGGAACUAUAGGAGGCUCCAAACUUUUAAAUGUCCAUAGAGUAAAAAAACCUAGUAUAUAUAGGUUGGAGGUGAGGGACAGGGCAGCCAAGGAGGGAAAGUCCAUCCUUGGGGCACUAUCCUUGGGAGGAGUAGUUGGACUCCUCCCCCCCCCCCACACACACAAGGAAGGAGGGCGCCACUUCCUAUUGGGCCAAGAUCCCCGGCAUGGCUUUUUAAGUCCCGUUGGUAUUAAAUUUAUUAUAAAAUCCUUCUAAUAAAAAUUAGACCCUUUUAUAUAAAAUUUCAUAGCCCCAGAAACAAUUUACGCCUAUAUUAUUUAUCGCUAAUACACGGUAUUACCUGAUACUCUCCGAAAUCUUUUCGGUGACCCUGAAACGCUUACGGAUAUUUAUGAAACAAUUCAACAAAUAUAUUCCCACUAUUCCCAUCCUACUAACACUCAGCAAAUCGUGAAUGCCUUAAUCUUGUGACCCCAUAGGUUCGAUAACUCAUAGACAUGAACGAAACCCCUUUGUUCAAUGACCGAUAGAAGAAACAUGGACGUCCAUAUCGAUCCCCACAAGUAGGGAAAACCUUAGUAGUAGCGUGGGGUUUUGGUAUAGCAGUAGCACGGACGGGCGCGCUACUAGUAUGGUGCUACAUCGAAAUUUAGAAGUAGGGUAGUUCACACACGCGCUACUACUAACUCAUAUAGCAGUAGCGCUGGCCCUACCCAGCUCUACUGAUAGUUACUAGUAGCGCACCCAGGACCCGUGCUACCACUACUCAUCUGUAUUUCAUUUCUCUAUUGUUUUAUAGUGUAUUUAUACACCGUUAUACAAGUUUUGAUACAGUAGCAAUUUAGAUAUUAUUAUAUCAUUAUGAUCACGAUGAAAUUGUUAUAUCACGCACUAAUAUAAUAAUUCAUCAUGCUCAUAAUGAUAUAACAACUCAGCAUCAUCAUCAUCACCAUAAUAACUCAAAGUCAUUAUCGUAAUAACAGGUCAUACUCACCAUCAUAGUCAUCUAACAACUCAUCAUUCUAGCACAUCACUCACCAUUAUCAUCAUAAUAACAACUCAUCGUCAUCGUCAUCAUAGUCAUAACCAACACUAGUUAAUUGUUCUUAGCACAUGAUCAUGAGUACUAUCUAGGACCCGUUACCCUCGCUAAGGUAAAAUAACAUAAAACAGGAUAGCCCCUGACUCUCCAUUAUGGAGAAUGGAGAUCAUACUGUCUCCAAUUCGUGGGUUUGGUACCAUGUUGCCUCCAUGUAGCUCCCUGCGAUCAUUCAUAACUUAUUUCCAUCCUUUUAUUGUGGGAUAUUCAUCUCCUCGAGAAAUCGUGUAUGCACAGCGAAGAAUCGUAGGAAGACUUGGUCGUAAGCUAAUAAUAUCAAUGGGACCUUUCGUAUGCAUCAGAUGAGGCACACAAUCCUGCUUUCUUUUUAGGAGCAUAAUAAUAACGUAGUUAGCAAUGUAGUUUAGCUUUAGAGGAAUGUAUGCAAAAGAUGCACUGGUGUCAUAAUAGUAAACAUUCUUACCAUUCCAUUUCCAUGGAUGUUACUGUAGUUCAACACAUGGAGUAGUGGCACUUAUUGACCAUAAAGUGGAGGAGAUUCAUAAUUGUUAUUGAAAGUCUCAACAUCAAUAAUAAAUGAGACAAGAUGAUCUUUCUCCUUGUAAGUUAAUUUAGAGCCAUCGGUGUAGUAGGUUUUGUCUAAUGUCUUUCGUACAUUUUUUGAAGAAUGGAAAUAAACCAUCAAUGAUUUUUAACAAACAAUAUAAAUUACUUAAAAUAUUUAUUUGACAAACUCACAAAAAGGUAGAAUUAGAAGUGUGUCCACAUCCACCCAAAUGUCAAUAUUAUCAUGAAUUCCAUCUUCGGGUUGAAUAUCUAAGGUUAUUUUCGCAUCCUCCUUAAAUUCAUAGGCCUUGCAAAGUCCUCUGCAAAUUGAGCAACCAAAAUGUGAGCUAUUUGGUGCAUUAAAUAUGUGAACCCAAAAAGUGAAACCAUACUUCGUCCUAAGGUGAGCUCUCUUUGUCUCUGUUCUCUCCCUAUCUUUGCCAAGCUUUUCUAAGACAUACGGUCUUGCAUGAAUUGGGAUUUACUAUACAAAUUGUCAAAAAUGGAAAUUACAGGUUGAAGCCCAAAAUCACAAGUAAUGCUUAAUUACAGAAAAAUACUUGUCGUCGGUAUGUACCGUAAAAACGUCGAAACUCUCCUUCGGCACGAUGGUGAAGCGCAUACUUUUUGCAGAUGAGGCAUACUGUCACACAUACCCUGGUCAUCUUCACGGUAGUGACACUCAGGGAUCCUAUCGUCGUUAGACAUUUCUUGUGUUCAUAAGUCAAAGAUUAAAAAUCGACGACACAUAACAGGAACUCAAUACAUAGAUCAUUAUUAUUCACCACAGAUUGACUCUCGGUCUGUUGAGUCUUUCCUUGAAAACUCUCAACUCACGUGGUGUAUAUGGUGGGCACUGCCUCUCUGAUAUAUUACACCAAAAUGUCUUGUAAAGGGGAAUGAAGGAGAAGCGACCCCCACGACAACAGUCGGGAUUCUUCCUCUCUGAUAUUUGCGACGUCGGUGAUGGUCGCUCCUCCCUUCACUCGAAAGUGCAUUACAUCAAAAAGUCUAGCACCUUCAAAUGAAGAAGAAGUGUCCCCGACGACAACAGUCGGGAUUCUUCCUCUCUCAUAUUUGAAUAGUAUAUGGUGGACUCUCCCUCACGGAUAUUUCGAUCGUUGGUGACGAUCUCUUCACCUCCUCCUCUCAUGCAUUACCAAGGUAUAUCACGAGAAGAAGGAAAGGAAGCAACCCCCAUGACAACAGUCAACAUUCUCCCCUCUCAUAUUUCGAUAGUAUAUGGUGGACUCUCCCUCCCGGAUAUUUCGACCGUCGGUGAUGGUCUCUUCCCCUCCUUCUCUCAUGCAUUACCAAGGUAUAUCAUGAGAAGAAGGAAAGAAAGCGACCCCCACGACAAUAGUCGGCAUCCUUCCUUCAGGCAUACUGAAGGUUACACAAGGAGCCCCGACAGAAUGACAGUCAACCUGUUACAUAUAUCGAGUAAUGACGUAGAAAAAUGACCUAUGGGUUGCCGGAAUGUCAUUUAAUUCCUCUUCCGGCAAAUCACAGGCACUCAAUAUCUCCUACUUUAUAGCACAAGUCAUGCUGAAAUCCACGGAAAAUUCCGGCAUGACCUUUGCUAUAACAGGAACAUAUCAAGCACCUGAAAUUAGCCAAAAUAGAAAUUAAUUGACAUUCCGGCAAAACAUAGGCCACUCGGAGGUGUUCCCUGCAAAAUGCAUCCAUGCAUCCAUUUUGUCAGAUUUUUUUUCAAAAUCAAUAAUGAAACAAAAGUGCAACAACCAAUAACACAUCCAUUCUAGCAAACAUGCAUACAUCUACAUGUAUAUAUUAAAAUAAAACUAAACACAAACUAAGCAGAUAGGAGAUGGAGGUGCUAACGGCGGCAGGAUGGGACCGAGCGGGAGAGGGAAACGCGACACGAGAAAUCAUGUAUAGUCCACCGAUUGAACAAAUAUAUCAUUAAUAUAAUUGGCAACAAAAAUUUUACAUUCCAUUACUAAUUUUCUAUUUAAAAUUUUAUAUUCUAUUACUAUUUUUUACUCAAAAUUUUCUAUUUUAUUAGCAUUCAUGAAAAUUGUAUUAGCAACACCAUUCAAAAUUGUAUUAGCAAUCUUUGAGGUUGUACUACCUAACGAGAAAUCAACCCGCUCAUCGAUCCCAUGGAUCUUAAUCGAUAUUUUUCGCUUUAAUUUUCUCGUCUUCCCGCUCGAAACAACGCACCCCAUCAAUCCUCCCCUAAAACCAACCUAUCAUUUAAUUUGCAUCACUCUGCCCAAUUCACCCACCUCCAUCUCCUCCAGCACUCCCUCUCCCCAUAGGAUCUAGCCCGUUUUGAUCCAUCCAAUGCGCCUCCACAAGAGUGCCUCACAUGGAUCGGGAUGCCCACCAGCCAGCCAUCUUACUGAUCCGUGGCUUCCUCGCUCUCUCCACCAUGCCUUCUAAGACCAUCUCCAUCUUCAUCUCUACCUCUAUAUAAACUAGAAACGGUCUUUCAUCCACGUGCGGGGUGCGCGUGCGACUUUGGACUUUGGGCGACAAUGAAAGGAGAGGAGAGGCGAGGACGCUUUCCUUGGUUGGUCAUUGCUGGUGAUUGAUCUGUUGACAAUGUUGCCAAUUUGCCUCCUCUGGAUCUCCAUCUGUGUCGGUGGCGGCUAAGACGCCCACCUUCAUCUCCAUCAACUCCACCCUCCUCUGAGACAUCGCAGGUUGAUCGUCUCCUCCCCAUGGCGGUAGUCGCCGAUGACGCAACUGCAUUGUUCUUGUUGUCCUGGAAAUACCUGUACAUGCUCUUUGUCCUUGUAAAGGUUGCUCCAGCUGCCCUAGUCAGAGUCUUGGAAGCAAGAUCAGCUUUGAUAAUUUCAGUGCUUAGGAUAAGCUCGUUGCCUGCCAACACAUGAUCAUGAAUAUGCUCAGAUCUAAAAUCAUUACAUUAAGAACAAACACAUGGAAUGCAUACUCUUGAAGACAUGUAUUGCUUUGGUAUUUUGUGAACCUUAAUUUAAUCUAGGAAACAAAAGAUUCGAAUACUUUUUUGGAGCUACGCCAUACAUCUAUAAAAUACGAUAAAAAAAUUACGACAUAAAUAUUCAGUGGAAAAAUGAGACUUUUCAAGACCUCAAGCUAAGCGCUCCAAAAUAGAACGUCAAAAGAAUAAGAUUAAGGACUUAAGGUUGUUCUUUCCCCCAAUCUUAAAUAAUAUAUCACUAAUCUAGUCAUGUAAAACUUAACAAUCUUGACAUCAUCAGUUGCUAGGCUACUAUAUCUCUUACUUCAGUGGAUUUUUUGUGUCUGAUCAAACUAUCCGUGAAGUCUCAACAUGUAAUUAUUAUUUUUGCUCAACUGUCUGAUGAAUUUAUAUGAUUACAUAUUUUCUAGAUGUUUCUGAGUGGCGUCUGGAUCGAACACUCAAUCUUAUAUUGCUGGGUUUGGAUCUGGGACUGCCGAUGAUACAGAGGAGAACCAAUAUUCUAAUCCUAAGUUUCCCCUGUGGGUUCAUGUUACAUGAUAUGGAGGGAAUGCAAGAUUUAAUUUCCACUUUUGUGAUGGGGUUUUCUCUAUAAGUUAUUCAAGAGUGAGAGCACAUAUUUUGAAGACUAAAGGUGCUAGCAUGAAGAUAUGCACCAAUAUUGCUUAUACUAUUCUUAAGAAACUUCGGAAGGAAGAUCGUGAAGCUAGUGCAGCUGUAGCCAAUAGUGCACCAAAAAAUAAAUUAAUCUCGCUACUUCCUUAUGGGUUCGUCGGAGGGGAAGAAGGACCUCUUCGCUCCAUCUAUACCAAGACCAACCACAGACCCAACACUCAAGCACAGGUACCCCCUCAUUCAUCCUCAACAAAUCUUAAUCUAUUAUAUUGUUACCCUGGGACUGGGAGCAGGAGGUGCAUACAUAUAUCAUCCGUAAUUAGGAUGACCAUACAUCUAUUGAUAUGAUCCAUGCUCUUUCUUGUCAUGUCUAGUAAUAUAUAUGAUGCUUAGAUGAAGUCGCAAUGAGAUAUGCAGGUAGCAUGAGAAGCAGAUUUGUCCUCCCUCUGGUUUGGUGUUAUUCUUUUGCUUUGCUUUGCUUUAUCGAUUGACAUGAUACUGUUAAUCUGUAGCACUAUAGGGACAACAUAUUUAGUCUUCGUCUCUUCUGUUUGGUUCCAGCGAGCUAUGCUGAGUCUAAUGAUUAUGAUUUUUUGCUUGUUCACUCAAAAAGUUGAGUGCAGUUAAUGGAAUCCCCAAAGUUGUGUUUGUGUCUUGAGCAAUGCUAACUACUAUGUUAUGUUGCAGACUCAUUUGAAAGAUGUUUGAACCAUUUGAAAUGAAGCUAUAUCUUUGUUGGAAAUGAUGUUUUUUAGGGCAGCAAAGAAGGGUAACAGAAACCACACUGGUUUGUUGGAGAUCUAUGACUCAGACAAAGAAGUGUGGAGGUUUUGGUUUUAGGGACAUCGAGCUAUUUAACCUAGCUUUAUUAGCUCACCAGUCAUGGCGCAUCCUAACAGUACCAGACUCUCUUUGCGCACAUCUUCUUAAAUCUAUUUAUUACCCAAACAAUGAUAUUCCCAAUGCUGAGCUGGGUUCGCAUACGUAUCAAGUAUCGAGAUGGCAUGGAUGUUCAGGAUGGCUCACCGGUAAGGUCUCCCUAGGGGAGCCAUCAUGUGGGAGAUGGAGUGGAAAGGAGGUCUCCCUGGUGAUCCAGGAAUCAUAGUUGAGAUGGGGGUUGGACUACCUAAUGUAAGGAUGGCACACCACCGAUCUCGCCCAGUGGACGCAUCGAUGGAGUAGAGGAUGGGGCUGUCGGGCUAUAAUAGCGUGAAACAAUAAAAAAUUAUUGAUACGCCAGAGACGUAUAAACGCUUGGUAACUAUUGUGCCACUUCUUUAUUUUCCUUCUUUUUGUGUUUUUGUACGGCACUCUCUUUUUGUGUUUAAUAUUUCAUAUCCUUUUAUGACUAAAGUUUCAAAAUGCCAUGACUUUUGAUGACUCAUGUUCUAGGCUAAAUUCUUUCGAAUCUCAACUUCUAAGCACUAUAAAGUAAAAAAGCAUGAGAACGAGGACCUGCCAUAACACGGAGAACCGUUUGCGUAGGACGUGCGUAGGACGUCUCUGCACCAGUGUUAGAUCUCCGAGUGCCCAUGGCCUGCAUGCUGAUACGUCCAUUUCGCAUCAUGCUUUUAUAUCAAUAUUUAAUGCAUUAUGGGCUAUUAUUACACAUUAUAUCACAAUACUUAUGCCUAUUCUCUCUUAUUUCACAAGGUUUACAUGAAGAGGGGAAUGCCUGCACCUGGAAUUCUGGACUGGAAAAGGAGCAAAUAUUAGAGACCUAUUUUGAAAAACUCCAAAAGUCCUAAAACUUCACGGAUAUUAUUUUUGGGAUAUAUAAAAAAUAUUGGGCGAAGAAAUAAUCGGAGGGGGGGGCACCAGCUAGCCACAAGGGUGGAGGGCGUGCCCCCCGACCUUGUGGGCCCCCUGGCAGGCCUCCGGUGCCCAUCUUCUUCUAUAUGGUGUCUCUUACCAUGGAAAAAAUCAUAAGGAAGCUUUCAGGAGGAAGCGCCGCCGUCUCGAGGCGGAACCUGGGCAGAACCAAUCUGGGCCUCUGGCGGAGCUGUUCUACCGAGGAAACAUCCCUCUCGGAGGGGGAAAUCAUUGCCAUCAUCAUCACCAUCGAUCCUCUCAUUGAGGGAGGGUCAAAAUCCAUCAACAUCUUCACUAGCGCCAUCUCCUCUCAAACCCUAGUUCAUCUCUUGUAUUCGAUCUUGGUCCGAAAACCUCAGAUUGGUACCUGUGGGUUGCUAGUAGUGUUGAUUACUCCUUGUAGUUGAUGCUAGUUGGUUUAUUCGGUGGAAGAUCAUAUGUUCAGAUCCUUAAUGAUAAUUUGUACUCCUCUGAUUAUGAUUAUGAAUAUUCUUUGUGAGUAGUUACAUUUGUUCCUGGGGACAUGGGAGAGGUCUUGUCAUAAGUAAUCAUGUGAAUUUGGUAUUCGUUCAAUAUUUUGAUGAGAUGUAUGUUGUCUCUCCUCUAGUGGUGUUAUGUGAACGUCGACUACAUGACACUUCACCAUUAUUUGGGCCUAGGGGCAGGCAUUGGGAAGUAAUAAGUAGAAGAUGGGUUGCUAGAGUGACAGAAGAUUAAACCCUAGUUUAUGCGUUGCUUCGUAAAGUGCUGAUUUGGAUCCAUAUGUUUCAUGCUAUGGUUAGAUUUACCUUAAUACUUCUUUCGUAGUUGUGGAUGCUUGCGAGAUGGGUUAAUCAUAAAUGGGAGGCUUGUCCAAGGAAGGGCAGCACCCAAGCACCGGUCCACCCACAUAUCACACUAUCAAAGUAAUGAACGCGAAUCAUAUGAGCAUGAUGAAAACUAGCUUGACAAUAAUUCCCAUGUGUCCUCGGGAGCGCUUUGCUUUAUAUAAGAGUUCGUCCAGGCUUGUCCUUUGCUACAAAAAGGAUUGGGCCACCUUGCUGCACCUUUUUUACUUCUAUUACUUGUUACCUGUUACGAUUUAUCCUAUCACAAAACUAUCUGUUAUCGAUAAUUUCAGUGCUUGUAGAAAAUACCUUGCUGAAAACCACUUGUCAUUUCCUUCUGCUCCUCGUUGGGUUCGACGCUCUUACUUAUCGAAAGGACUACGAUAGAUCCCCUAUACUUGUGGUUCACCAAGACUCUUUUCUAGUGCUGUUGCCAGGGAGUGAAGCGCCUUUGGUAAUUGGAAUCUGGUAAGGAAACAUUUAUAGUGUGCUGAAAUUUAAUGUCACUUGUAACUAUGGAAAAUAAUCCUUUGGGGGGUUUGUUUGGGGUAUCUUCACCUCAAUCGAAACCACAAUUAGUUUCUCCUCAUCCUACUGUACCUACUGAAAAUAUUUAUUAUGAAAUUCCGUCGGGUAUGAUAGAGAAACUGCUAGCUAAUCCUUAUGCAGGAGAUUGAACAUGACAUCCCGAUAUGCACCUAAUAUAUGUGGAUGAAGUUUGUGGAUUAUUUAAGCUUGCAGGUAAACCCGAGGAUGUUGUCAAGAAGAAAGUCUUCCCUUUAUCUUUGAAGGAAAAGGCAUUGACAUGGUAUAGGCUAUUGGAUGAUAUUGGAUCAUGGAACUACAACCGAUUGAAAUUGGAAUUUCAUCAUAAAUUUUAUCCUAUGCAUCUGGUUCAUCGUGAUCGAAAUUAUCUCUAUCAUUUUUGGCCUUGUGAAGGAGAAAGUAUCGCUCAAGCUUGGGGGAGGCUUAAAUCAAUGUUAUAUUCAUGCCCCAAUCAUGAGCUCUCAAGAGAAAUUAUUAUUCAAAAAAUUUAUGCUCAGCUUUCUCAUAAUGAUCGAUCCAUGCUUGAUACUUCUUGUACUGGUUCCUAUAUGAAGAAGGAUAUUGAAUUCAAAUGAAAUUUAUUUGAAAGAAUUAAACGCAACUCUGAAAAUUGGGAUCUCCACAAAAGGUAAGGAGUCAGGUAUAAACCUUAAGUUCGAUUGUGUUAAAUCCUUUAUGGAUACCGAUGCUUUCACUACUAGGAAAAGGGCCAUAGAUGGAAUUGACACUAAUGGCGCACCAGACAUGUGGUGCGCCAUUACUAUAUACUAAUGGCGCACCAUGUGUUGGUGCGCCAUUAGUGUGCAAAUACUAAUGGCGCACCACAUCCACGGUGCGCCAUUAGUAAUUUUAUUUUAAUUUUUUCAAAACUACUAAUGGCGCACCGUGGGAGUGGCCCUACUAGGAAAAUGGCUAUAGAUGGGAUUGACACUAAUGGCGCACCAGAAAGAUGGUGCGCCAUUAGUAUAUACUAAUGGCGCACCACAAUCUGAUGCGCCAUUAGAGUUUAAACAACUAAUGGCGCACCAUGCUACGGGUGCGCCAUUAGUAUCAAAUUUUUUUUAACUAGUGCGCCUGUCCAAACAUACUAAUGGCGCAUCCCGGCAAAGUGCGCCAUUAGUAGUUGUAACUACUAAUGGCGCACUAGGCAGCAGGUGCGCCAUUAGUAUAGAUUUUUUUUUUGAACUAGUGCGCCUAUCCAAACAUACUAAUGGCGCAUCCUGCCCAAGUGCGCCAUUAGUAGUUGUAACUACUAAUGGCGCACCAGGCAGUGGGUGCGCCAUUAGUAUAGGAUUUUUUUUUGAACUAGUGCGCCUAUCCAAACAUACUAAUGGCGCAUCCUGCUUAAGUGCGCCAUUAGUAGUUGUAAGUACUAAUGGUGCACCAUGCAAGAGGUGCGCCAUUAGUAAGUGGGCAGCAACAAGAUAUUUGGGACAGCCUCUCCUACCCACACACUCACUUUCUCCCAACUUCAUUCUCUCCACCUCCUCCUUGUCUCGGGUGCCUCCUCUUUUUCACCUCAUUUCCACCAUAGAUUCAUUCAAAUUAAGUGGUUAAAUUACCUUGUUUUAAUAGGUAAGUAAGGGGGGAAGCUAUAUUUAGGUUGAUCUCCUUACAACAAUGUGCACAUGCACUUUUUACGGCCUAGCUAGAUCUAUGUAUGUUUGUGGUGUUGCAUAUGUUUGUGGUGUUGCAUAUGUGUUUGUGUUUGGAGGUGUACCGGUAUUUGAUAUGCGAUAGUUGCCAAUAUUUUGCCGGAAUGUUGAUUCAUUUCCGUUUCGGCGAGAAUUUUGGCAUUAAGCAUUCUUUUUGGUCCUAUUUUUAGGGAAGGUCAUGCCAAAUUUUUGUUUGGUUCUAAAAUAUCGUUUUGCUCUACCCCGCAGGCGACCAUGGUCCGCACGAUGACCGAAGGCAUCGUGAAUAGGUUUUUGAGGUCCGCGAAGGCCGAGAUGCUUCAAAAGAACGAGAUGGAGAUAAGAUGUCCGUGUCGAAGAUGCAAGCUGAAGAGCCUUAUUGCGGACCCGGAUUCCGGGCAGGUGCGGGACCACCUGCUGUUGCGUGGUUUCAUGGAUGGCUCUCGGUGGCAAGGUGAUGAAGAUGACUACGAAGUCGUCCAUGCGGGCCGGGCAAGAAAUGAGGAAGGGCAGCAAGACAACCACUGCGGCUCGGGCGGGCGAGAAGACGAAGAAUCCCCAGGAGAUGAUCACGACUGUGAUGCUGUACACAGUCAUCAUGUAGAAGAUGCAGGACAUGAUGAUGAGGAAGAUGCCGGAGCAGGCGACGGGCAUGAUCAUGAAGAUGAUGAUGCCGGCGGAGCAAACGACGCUGGACCAUCGAUGGGCUGGGUGCAGGGCCCUCAUAUUCAAGAGCUGCUUCUCAAGCAGACGGAUAACGCAAGAGCUGCCGCCCGAGAGAAAGCCAAGAUGGAUCAACUUGAGUUAGACGCGGUUACUCCAUUGUAUGAAGGAUGCAGGCCCGAGGAUACCCGCCUGAAAGUAACGCUCAUGGCCCUGGAGAUGAAGGUAAAACACAAAAUGACCGACGCAUGCUUCGACGAGAACAUGUCAUUCUGGCACGAACGUCUUCCCAAGGGGAACAAGUGCCCGACCAGUUUGGAGGAGGCGAAGAAAAUCGUGUGUCCUCUGGAUUUACCGCACGUGAAAUACCAUGUGUGCAUGAACAAUUGCAUCAUUUAUUGGGACGAGCACGCGGAGUCUACAAUAUGUCCGGUGUGCGGUGUCACUCGAUACAAGAAGAGGAAGAAAGCUCCUCGAAAAGUGGUGUGGUACUUUCCGAUCACUCCUCGUCUGCAGCGGUAUUUCGCGGAUCCUAAGGUAGCAAAGCUCCUACGUUGGCAUCUGCUGGUCCAUAUAGUGGAGGAUAUCAUCCAACUCGGGCCGACAUUCCUGCACAGCAUGAUGCCGUUCGAAAGGAUGAAUGGUGUCAUCAAAGGAUACGUUCGCAACAUGUCACGUCCAGAAGGAAGCAUAGCCAGGGGCUUUCUGACCGAAGAGUGCAUCUCCUACUGCACGAAUUAUCUAGGCAUCGAGAACCCCGUUGGUCUGCCCGUCAACAGGCACCUCGGCAGGCUCGCUGGAUGGGGUCACCGUGAGGGUCGCCGCGAAAUGCAUGUCGACUUCGAGGGUCGACUCGCCGACUUUGAAAGAGCAAACCUAGUCGCGCUACAACACAUAGACGUGGUCGAUCCUUGGUUGGUAGAGCACAAAACCUUUAUUAAAAAGACGUACAAUGACCGAGGCCAACAGAGGACGGACGGAGAUAUACUCAAAGAGCACAACUCAUGUUUCACGCGUUGGUUCAAGCAUAAGCUUCUGUCNNNNNNNNNNNNNNNNNNNNNNNNNNNNNNNNNNNNNNNNNNNNNNNNNNNNNNNNNNNNNNNNNNNNNNNNNNNNNNNNNNNNNNNNNNNNNNNNNNNNNNNNNNNNNNNNNNNNNNNNNNNNNNNNNNNNNNNNNNNNNNNNNNNNNNNNNNNNNNNNNNNNNNNNNNNNNNNNNNNNNNNNNNNNNNNNNNNNNNNNNNNNNNNNNNNNNNNNNNNNNNNNNNNNNNNNNNNNNNNNNNNNNNNNNNNNNNNNNNNNNNNNNNNNNNNNNNNNNNNNNNNNNNNNNNNNNNNNNNNNNNNNNNNNNNNNNNNNNNNNNNNNNNNNNNNNNNNNNNNNNNNNNNNNNNNNNNNNNNNNNNNNNNNNNNNNNNNNNNNNNNNNNNNNNNNNNNNNNNNNNNNNNNNNNNNNNNNNNNNNNNNNNNNNNNNNNNNNNNNNNNNNNNNNNNNNNNNNNNNNNNNNNNNNNNNNNNNNNNNNNNNNNNNNNNNNNNNNNNNNNNNNNNNNNNNNNNNNNNNNNNNNNNNNNNNNNNNNNNNNNNNNNNNNNNNNNNNNNNNNNNNNNNNNNNNNNNNNNNNNNNNNNNNNNNNNNNNNNNNNNNNNNNNNNNNNNNNNNNNNNNNNNNNNNNNNNNNNNNNNNNNNNNNNNNNNNNNNNNNNNNNNNNNNNNNNNNNNNNNNNNNNNNNNNNNNNNNNNNNNNNNNNNNNNNNNNNNNNNNNNNNNNNNNNNNNNNNNNNNNNNNNNNNNNNNNNNNNNNNNNNNNNNNNNNNNNNNNNNNNNNNNNNNNNNNNNNNNNNNNNNNNNNNNNNNNNNNNNNNNNNNNNNNNNNNNNNNNNNNNNNNNNNNNNNNNNNNNNNNNNNNNNNNNNNNNNNNNNNNNNNNNNNNNNNNNNNNNNNNNNNNNNNNNNNNNNNNNNNNNNNNNNNNNNNNNNNNNNNNNNNNNNNNNNNNNNNNNNNNNNNNNNNNNNNNNNNNNNNNNNNNNNNNNNNNNNNNNNNNNNNNNNNNNNNNNNNNNNNNNNNNNNNNNNNNNNNNNNNNNNNNNNNNNNNNNNNNNNNNNNNNNNNNNNNNNNNNNNNNNNNNNNNNNNNNNNNNNNNNNNNNNNNNNNNNNNNNNNNNNNNNNNNNNNNNNNNNNNNNNNNNNNNNNNNNNNNNNNNNNNNNNNNNNNNNNNNNNNNNNNNNNNNNNNNNNNNNNNNNNNNNNNNNNNNNNNNNNNNNNNNNNNNNNNNNNNNNNNNNNNNNNNNNNNNNNNNNNNNNNNNNNNNNNNNNNNNNNNNNNNNNNNNNNNNNNNNNNNNNNNNNNNNNNNNNNNNNNNNNNNNNNNNNNNNNNNNNNNNNNNNNNNNNNNNNNNNNNNNNNNNNNNNNNNNNNNNNNNNNNNNNNNNNNNNNNNNNNNNNNNNNNNNNNNNNNNNNNNNNNNNNNNNNNNNNNNNNNNNNNNNNNNNNNNNNNNNNNNNNNNNNNNNNNNNNNNNNNNNNNNNNNNNNNNNNNNNNNNNNNNNNNNNNNNNNNNNNNNNNNNNNNNNNNNNNNNNNNNNNNNNNNNNNNNNNNNNNNNNNNNNNNNNNNNNNNNNNNNNNNNNNNNNNNNNNNNNNNNNNNNNNNNNNNNNNNNNNNNNNNNNNNNNNNNNNNNNNNNNNNNNNNNNNNNNNNNNNNNNNNNNNNNNNNNNNNNNNNNNNNNNNNNNNNNNNNNNNNNNNNNNNNNNNNNNNNNNNNNNNNNNNNNNNNNNNNNNNNNNNNNNNNNNNNNNNNNNNNNNNNNNNNNNNNNNNNNNNNNNNNNNNNNNNNNNNNNNNNNNNNNNNNNNNNNNNNNNNNNNNNNNNNNNNNNNNNNNNNNNNNNNNNNNNNNNNNNNNNNNNNNNNNNNNNNNNNNNNNNNNNNNNNNNNNNNNNNNNNNNNNNNNNNNNNNNNNNNNNNNNNNNNNNNNNNNNNNNNNNNNNNNNNNNNNNNNNNNNNNNNNNNNNNNNNNNNNNNNNNNNNNNNNNNNNNNNNNNNNNNNNNNNNNNNNNNNNNNNNNNNNNNNNNNNNNNNNNNNNNNNNNNNNNNNNNNNNNNNNNNNNNNNNNNNNNNNNNNNNNNNNNNNNNNNNNNNNNNNNNNNNNNNNNNNNNNNNNNNNNNNNNNNNNNNNNNNNNNNNNNNNNNNNNNNNNNNNNNNNNNNNNNNNNNNNNNNNNNNNNNNNNNNNNNNNNNNNNNNNNNNNNNNNNNNNNNNNNNNNNNNNNNNNNNNNNNNNNNNNNNNNNNNNNNNNNNNNNNNNNNNNNNNNNNNNNNNNNNNNNNNNNNNNNNNNNNNNNNNNNNNNNNNNNNNNNNNNNNNNNNNNNNNNNNNNNNNNNNNNNNNNNNNNNNNNNNNNNNNNNNNNNNNNNNNNNNNNNNNNNNNNNNNNNNNNNNNNNNNNNNNNNNNNNNNNNNNNNNNNNNNNNNNNNNNNNNNNNNNNNNNNNNNNNNNNNNNNNNNNNNNNNNNNNNNNNNNNNNNNNNNNNNNNNNNNNNNNNNNNNNNNNNNNNNNNNNNNNNNNNNNNNNNNNNNNNNNNNNNNNNNNNNNNNNNNNNNNNNNNNNNNNNNNNNNNNNNNNNNNNNNNNNNNNNNNNNNNNNNNNNNNNNNNNNNNNNNNNNNNNNNNNNNNNNNNNNNNNNNNNNNNNNNNNNNNNNNNNNNNNNNNNNNNNNNNNNNNNNNNNNNNNNNNNNNNNNNNNNNNNNNNNNNNNNNNNNNNNNGAUAUAGAAAAAACAGCUAUUUAUCUCUCCCUGCAAACUGACUGAUGCUAGUAUAGAUAUUUAGUAGAAUGAGCAGAGUUUGGUUUAUAAAUGUACCUUGGAAUUCGAUGUUCUUCAUGACAUCAAGGUCGAUGCCAGAGGCCACCUGGUAGAGUGUCACCAAGGUCUGAAGAAGAAAAGGAGUCCAUUAAAAAGAGAUAUUGCUCUUUCUAGCUUACAACAAAACUAGGGUUCAUUAUAACAACAUAUUACGCGAAGCAACAGGAUUGCAUCCUACCGCAAUAGUAGAAAUUACGCAAGGAGACCAGGAGUCUAUUAGUGGUCAUUACUGCUAGUCAAAGGAAGUAGUGAACCAAAAUCUCAAUGUCCCUCUACAAGUUAUGGCAUACAAAGACUGGAAACUUUCGGUUAAAGAAAUUCCUCUUUCUCUGAACAAAAACAUUUUCAUUCAGUUAAAUGCAAAUUCACAAGUACAACCAUCCACAGUAAAGGAGCUAUGAACAUAUUAUUAUUUUGGUCACAGAAGCAUCCACGCCAAAAUAUACAGGGAUGUAAAAAACACUUAGAAAGAAAGCACUUCAUCAAAACAAAGAGUUAAACCACUUGACAGAUAGGUAAGCUCUCCAUACAAAGCAUCCUAAAAUCGGUGCUGCACACAACAGUUGUUCUUGAGAUCGUGGUGGUGGGUAUAAUUGAUGGAUUCAAUUACAUCAUAGAAAAUGUGAGUAACUCUUUUGCUAAGAGAGAACAGUGUUUCCUGACCAACAAUGAGACUACUAAUAGCAACUUAACGAGACGACCGAAUAAACAUACACAUGCAUAGGCAGUACACCUAGCAAUCUGACAUGGCAUCACAUAUUCACUGAAAGGCAUAGGCAUAGGCAAGAUUUUUCUGGUGCAAAUCAUGUAAUAAAGAACUGAAAGGGAGUCAGUUAGUAUGGCCACCUAAAGUUUGGUCCAGGAUGGACGAAGCUCCAAAAGUUUGAAUUUGAGAUCGAGGGAGAACUUCUGGGGUUCUGUUGUGGGUUAUGAUUCCUCGUACAACGCUCACAACCUGAAUAGAUAUGAUUUUCUGUUGUGAGAAGUUGAAGGAUUUGAGGUUGGCUCCUGUUGAAACUUGGCUAGAGAUACAACUUUGUUUUGUCAUUGGGAAGUGUAAAGCAUUGGAGAAGAUUUAUUGUUGAUGCUCACACCUCCAGAAUAUUUAGUUAAAACCUUCUGUUGAACUCAUUAAGUUGUUGACUGCGCAUUAUGGAGAAAAUUGUAUUUCUGCAACCAGAUUCAGCAACUGUCGUUACAACACUGUCUUUUGAGUAAAUUGAGACUCCACAUCAUCACUGACAUCGCAGGGCCAUUUCUGUCAGAUCCGUUGUCGAACUCCUCUAACUUGGAAACUUGGGUUAUGUGUUACUCUUUCUUCUGAAGUUGUGCUUCUGUGUUAUAAAUCUCUGAAGUUGUGGUUCUGCAAAAAUCGCGCCGCUGAAGUUGUUUGUUAGUGCUUCAAGUUAUUUAUCUUCUUUUAGGUUAUUUAUCACUUGUGUUAUUAUUAUACAUCUUGUGCUCAUCUUGUUUAGCUUAGGUUGUUGGUACACUUAGUUUUUGGGCCUCAACAUAUUUACCAUUUGUGUUUGAAAACUAAACGAGUAGUUUGUUUAUACAUUUGAACCUAAUACCAAUUCAUUCAUCUCCAUACCACUGCAGACACAACAGAACAGAGGCACUUCAUCACCCACGGCUGAGAAAGCAAGGUAGAAUCACCACUGCGUACAUACUAUUUCUCUUUUUUUUCUGUUCUUUUCAGAUCAAUAUUGUUGUGAUCUUUCAUGUCUUUUAUAACAGGGAAAAUGGUUGUAUAUGAUAGACAUCGAACCGUUUCUGUAAACUGAGUACUAACUGAGUUCCCUAAAAAAAGAACCUUAGUACUAACUGAAAUAUGAUGGAACAGAAAAUACAAUGAAAUCAAUACGGAACAUGCUAGAUAAAUAUUGCCAUGAAACCAGAUGACACUGAUAAUUUUAGUGGAAAACAAAGGACUCUUCUGUUAUUUUUAGUGAAAAGUUGGUCCACCGACCACUCACAUAUCCAAUUUCCAUGAUCCUCAACGGAAGUCAGAAACACAACAUAUCCAUGGACUUCUCAUUGUUCAAAAUCUUCUCUUAGGAUUAACCACAACAGCAUAUCGGGGGUUCAGGAAUCAAAAUAUCAGUUACAUCAAGAGUUAGCAAUGACCAAACUGGCAUGUAACAGAGACACUAUAAAAGAUAGCUAACAUCCAGUUAGCCCUAGUACUUGGUGUUUAUAGAAAACCAGGAGUGCCAAUGGGACUAGAAUUCACUUGUUCUUAUAUGGGUUUGUAAAACUUGUUCAUGUACUGAACUACUAAUGCCUUGUGAUGCUCUGAAUUACUUGUGAUGCCUCUGAAUUACUUGUGAUCACAUUGAGAAAGACUUGUAAAGAUGAUGAUCAUCUUUAACAGAAAACAAUUUGUGAUGAUUUUGCUAGUUUGCUGGGUUUUGUCUCCGACCAUCGUGUCGUGAUGAUUUUGCAGGUACCCCGAGAGGCCCUUGAGUUUGCCGGAAUGUCGAUUAACUUCCGUUCCGGCAAAUUCGGGUACUCCAUAUGUCCUAUUUUCAGCAAAGGUCAUGCUGAAAUUUUCCGUGAAUUUUAGCAUGACUUUGCUAAAAAUAGGACAUAUGGGGUACUUGUGACUAAUGCAUGGGCCGGGGUAUCUUAGUAGUUAAUUAAGUAGGAUCAAGUGCCCCGGCGUACUUGUGACUAAUGCAUGGCUUUUAGGGUGCCUCGGUGUCGAUAAAAACCGAAAUGAUGAAAAGUUAGGCUUUUAGGGUGCCUUGGCGUCGAAAAACCCUCAAUGAUAAAAGCUUAGAUUUUAGGAUGCCUCGGUGUCGACAAACCCUAAAUGAUGAGACCAUGAUCUUGUUCCUUGACAAUAACCAACUUUUUGACCAAACUUUGUUUCUAUUUAGAGAGAAACAUGGCCCACAACGAUGAGGCCGUUGGUUCGGGCGGCAAGGCAUUCUGGGAGCUGUCCCAGGAGAUGGAGGAACAACCUCACUUGUAUGAGGCCGCCGCCUUCCCCACCGAUCCUGAGACCACGGAUGGUGCCGCCGAGGAUGACCACACUGAUGCCACCACUGAUGGUGCCGCCGAGGAUGCCACCACUGAUGAUGGCGGCGCACGCACAGAUUGCAGCCAGCCGAAGAGGCAACGGAAGGACCGGCGCCCGAUCGUGCUCCGCACCCUCAAGGAGGAAGUUACUGAAGUGGACUCCAACGGGAAUCCAACGGCGCCCGAACGAAUAGUCAAGGGGUACUCGCUUCAGCUCGGGUGCAUUGUCCGGAGCACCGUCUCGAUCAACACCGAGAACCUGAGGCAUCCUGACCGGGGGAAUUUGCGCCACCUCCUCUUCACGAAGCUGCACGAACGAUACAAGUUCCCCGCUGAAUUCGAAAACACAAGCCUCAAAGGGAAUAAAGUGAACAAUGCUGCCCUCACGAAGAUGAGCAAGGCCCUGUCUACUUGGAAAAGCAAUGUGAAGAGAAUGAUCGAGAAAGGUGAGAGUUAUGAGAAGAUCAAGGAGAAAAAUCCUUCGAUCACCGAAGAUGACUACAACGACUUCAAGAUUAAUUGCUCGAGCACCGCAAGAUCCCAAUCAAGUGAGUGGGGGAAACAAAUGCGGGAGAUGAACAUAGGGGAACACACACUCGGUCCCGGCGGUUACAGAGUGGCGGAGCCUAUAUGGGACAAGGAGGAGGCGGACCGUGCCGAGCAAGGCCUACCGCCCCUCUUCGAUAAAUACGGUGACAAGCAGACCAGGAACUUUGUCAGGGCCCGGUACAAGAAGGACCCGAAAACAAAGGAGCUUACCACGGAUCCGAAGACCGGGCAGCUUGAGCUUGUUUUGGUAAGGAAUACACCCCCGCGUAAUUAGCUCCAUAUGGUUGCAUUCUAAUUAAUGAAGCCGAAUUUCUAAAUGGUUCACAUUCCUUCCGCAGGCGACUGAAAGCAGUAGCGCGGGGUCGACUCAGAGCAACCCUUGGGACACCACUCUAAAUAGGGGGUUGAAUAUAAUGAAGAACAAGGAUAAGCUCAGUAAGCCGACGUCAGCUGGUCGUGUGGCCGGCAAAGGCUUGUCGACAAAAUGGGGGUCAUACUAUACCGCUGGUGUGCGGAAGGAGAAAAAGACCAGCUCGGAAAGCCAGGCGCGAGAGGUUCAAGAACUCAAGGCACAGGUGGCGCGGAUUCCGGAGAUUUUCCAAGAGCAAGUGGAACAACGACUCGGAGCGACGAUCACCACCCUUGUGCCUACCUUGAUCUCGGGGUUGAGUGCGUGGAUUGCGGGCGGCCAACAGGGGCCGCCCCCGAUUCCUAGCUUGACGGCCAGCAACUCGCAUAAUGCGAUGGCGGGGCCAUUGGUGCCUCCGGCGGAGGCGGCAUUGGUGUCUCCGACGCCGGCACGGGAGCUUAAUGCACCCGGGUGUACGCCGGCCGGCACCUCUUCAGCAAGCGGCCGCUCCGUCAACUGCAUGCCCGCCGUUGGCGGUGCCUCGACAUUAGCCGAGCUCGACGCCAUCAUCACGGUAACUAAUUAAGCCUCUCUCGGCCGAGGACUUCAUCUCCUUGCCUUUGACUGGGCAUCCCUGAUGCCCUACAUGUUUUCGCAGGGCGCCGCCGACGUUCCGUGCACUCUCCUCCACUUCGUGAACAACGAGUUGGUCGAUGUCGCCAAGGGCAAAAUCGUUCAACCGGGCAACCCCUUGUUCCACGGUACCCAGAUGCCACCCAACUUGUUUAGGGUUCAACUGGUUCGGGUGCUGCCAGGCUGCGUCGACUUGUUACCUCCGAUUCGACCCGUCGGGGCCGACGAUGAUGACGUGAUGACCCUCAGCGCCUGCCUGAGCUGGCCCCUGCUUUGGCCGAAGAGCCAGAUUCGUUUGGGGGCGGGGGACACCACCCCAAAGACAACACCGCCAGUCGUGCCGGCGCCAAGUCGGCCCCAUGGCAAGACCGCCGUAACGGUGCCGGACAUCCCUAUGCCACUGGAUCCAAACAUGCAUAUGGCACAGGAUCAGAACGACGACGACGACGACGAUGAUACAUUUGGCAACGUCAAUCAGUACUUUGCCGAGCAUGGGUACGAUGGCGACUUCAUGGGGCCUCCUUCUCAAGAACCAAACCCAACAAAAGACGUGUGCGAUCUAGCUCGUACCGCGGAGAAGCCAAGUUGCAACAGGCGUCGUCUGGCGUUCAGCUCUCAGGAGACGCCUCCAGCUGCCGACUUCACCGAGCCUCAGAUAGGCGAGGUGCGAAAUAUUAUCAGCCCCAACACACUCAAGAAGGCGGUCUGUGAGCAGAACUCGGUCCCAUUACAGGAGAAGAAGAAGGCACACAAAAGAAAGACUAAGAAGGGUGCGAGCCAGCCGGCACCGAGUACGAUCCGUGCUCAGGACGGGCCACCUUCACCGCAGGAUAUCUCGAGGAGGGUGCAUGUGGCGGGUAGGGCGAUGCUACCACCAAAUAUGCUCAAUGCUGCAACCGGUGCUAUGCGGAGUCUGCACGACAGUGUUCUUUCUUUGGAGAAGCGGCGUCUCAGAGAGAAGGAUGUGGCAUACCCGGUUUUCGUGGCCAAGGUGCCAGAGGGCAAGGGCUUUCUGGAUGGCGACAUCGAGGGUACGAUCGUCCUGCGGUUUGAUGACAUCUUUGCUAUGUUUAACCUUCAUCCGCUGCACUACACCUUCGUUCGGCUAUUUUCGCUGAGUAUGGAGAUGCGGAUCAUUCGCGACAAGACCCCAGACAUCGUGAUAGUCGACCCCUUCUACAUGUGUGCCAAGAUCUUGGGCAGCGCUGGGGACCGGCAAGUCACGAGUUCUUACCUCCAAGGUGUCAUUCUGUUAAACCAAGAUAAGGAUAACUUCCUCGUGCCUUACUUUCCCGAGUAAGUCCUCCCCUCAACCGGCCCGUAACAUAUGAAUUCUUACUUUUCGAUCGUUUUUCUUUUAACAUUCCGUGUUUUCUGCAGUGACACACGUUGCACGCUCAUCCUCCUAAGCCCCAAAUAUUCCAUGGCCACGUAUUUCGACCCGGACCGUCAGUCGAACGUAGACUACACAAAUGUCAAGAAGGUUCUUGAUGAUGUUCUCCCCGGCUACGCCCAAUCUGGAGGCACCUUCACCAGGCCUAUUCGUAAGUACGGCAAGCACGUGUUCUCCCACAAUACGAUGUUCUUCUGCGUCAAGCAGCCGCCUGGCGGUCAGAAGGGUGCCUACUACGCCAUCCAUCACAUGCGGGCGAUCGUACGGGACCAUCAUCAACUUCUGCUACCGAGUAAACUCCAAGAUUGGGCCGCGAGCGUGUCGGCAAUCCAGGACGCGGACCUCCGACAAGAAUUCUUUCGCAUCCAGUCGGAGUUUGCGGAAAUCAUCCAUCAAGAUGUCCUUCGUACCUCGGGGCAGUUCUACCUCAGAAAUCAACCGUCCAACAGUGACAUCGACACAAUGCUACAAAUGCAGGAUGACAACGCCCGUUCUUUCAUGACUCCCACGAUAGACGGCGGCUUCAUCCACGCUCCGGUCCCUUGAGUCGAGUUGUCUAGUUCUGAAACAUCGAUUGGCUGAUGUUGUAAUUAAACUUUAAUGAACUUGUAGUAUGUCUCUUUGGUUUUGAGAGUCGUUCAACUUAGAUGUAAUCGAUGCUAUUAAUGUCUUGCUUUUCUCUUCCGAUCGUUCUGUUGCAUAAUUAUAUAUUGCUUAUGUAUUGUCUGUGAAUUGGUACUAAUGUUUCGUUUGGCUAGUGCAUAGUGAUGCCGACGUAUGUCGUGUACAAGGGUAAGGUUCCCGGAGUCUACGAUGACUGGGAGGAGUGUCGGAGACAGGUUCACCGAUUCAGCGGUAACAGUUACAAAGGGUACACCACUAGGGCCGAGGCCGAAUCUAGAUACGCCCGCUAUCUAGCGGGAGAGGGGAGGGAGCGUUGGAGGAACCGGAUGAAGACGAGUUUCAUCGUGAUGAUGCUCAUCGUGAUGACCGCAGCUCUCUUCUAUGUGAUGGUAGUUUAGAUGAUCGAUAUCGACUUGUAAUGCGAAGACAAACUCGCUACUCGCGGUCUCGAGACUUNNNNNNNNNNNNNNNNNNNNNNNNNNNNNNNNNNNNNNNNNNNNNNNNNNNNNNNNNNNNNNNNNNNNNNNNNNNNNNNNNNNNNNNNNNNNNNNNNNNNNNNNNNNNNNNNNNNNNNNNNNNNNNNNNNNNNNNNNNNNNNNNNNNNNNNNNNNNNNNNNNNNNNNNNNNNNNNNNNNNNNNNNNNNNNNNNNNNNNNNNNNNNNNNNNNNNNNNNNNNNNNNNNNNNNNNNNNNNNNNNNNNNNNNNNNNNNNNNNNNNNNNNNNNNNNNNNNNNNNNNNNNNNNNNNNNNNNNNNNNNNNNNNNNNNNNNNNNNNNNNNNNNNNNNNNNNNNNNNNNNNNNNNNNNNNNNNNNNNNNNNNNNNNNNNNNNNNNNNNNNNNNNNNNNNNNNNNNNNNNNNNNNNNNNNNNNNNNNNNNNNNNNNNNNNNNNNNNNNNNNNNNNNNNNNNNNNNNNNNNNNNNNNNNNNNNNNNNNNNNNNNNNNNNNNNNNNNNNNNNNNNNNNNNNNNNNNNNNNNNNNNNNNNNNNNNNNNNNNNNNNNNNNNNNNNNNNNNNNNNNNNNNNNNNNNNNNNNNNNNNNNNNNNNNNNNNNNNNNNNNNNNNNNNNNNNNNNNNNNNNNNNNNNNNNNNNNNNNNNNNNNNNUGUCAAAAAAAUAAAAGAAAAUAAGAUUCCCAUGUGAUAUGUGGUCUAGUUGUUAGCAAAACUUACAAACAUGAAUUUUCGACUUCUUUGCAAAAUCUCUCGAGAAUUUGUAAAAAUGGGCAUAACUUUUGCGUACGAACUCGGAUGAAAAAGUUUUUUAUAUGAAAAAUCAUCUACUCGAAAAGUUACAUCCGAAUUUAAUGGGGAAACCCCGUUAAACAUUUUCAAAAUCCUCAAAAACCUAACAGAAAAAAGAGACAGGGCUUUUAAGAUUUGGAGAGGCAAAAAAAAUCAAGAAAAUUCAAACUUACUAAUGGCGCACCUGCCCAUGGUGCACCAUUAGUAUCUUCCCGCCUUCAAAAUUCAAAAUAAGUCAAAAAAAUAAAAAAAAAUUACUAAUGGCGCACCUGCCCAUGGUGCGCCAUUAGUAUCUUCCCGCCUUCAAAAUUCAAAGUAAAUCAAAAAAAUACAAAAAAAGUUAGUAAUGGCGCACCUGCCCACGGUGCGUCAUUACUAUGCCUUAUAUAUGGCUGGGCGUGGUCCUCUCCUCCUUACCUCUUCAUUCUUCUCCUGCACUCCACCUCUCCUCCACUCCAUCUCCUCCUAUCCUUCACUCCAUCUUCCCUUCUCUCCUCCACCAUACUACCCUCCUCCUCUCCGGCGACCUCCUCCUCCUCUCCGGCGACCUCCUCCUCNNNNNNNNNNNNNNNNNNNNNNNNNNNNNNNNNNNNNNNNNNNNNNNNNNNNNNNNNNNNNNNNNNNNNNNNNNNNNNNNNNNNNNNNNNNNNNNNNNNNNNNNNNNNNNNNNNNNNNNNNNNNNNNNNNNNNNNNNNNNNNNNNNNNNNNNNNNNNNNNNNNNNNNNNNNNNNNNNNNNNNNNNNNNNNNNNNNNNNNNNNNNNNNNNNNNNNNNNNNNNNNNNNNNNNNNNNNNNNNNNNNNNNNNNNNNNNNNNNNNNNNNNNNNNNNNNNNNNNNNNNNNNNNNNNNNNNNNNNNNNNNNNNNNNNNNNNNNNNNNNNNNNNNNNNNNNNNNNNNNNNNNNNNNNNNNNNNNNNNNNNNNNNNNNNNNNNNNNNNNNNNNNNNNNNNNNNNNNNNNNNNNNNNNNNNNNNNNNNNNNNNNNNNNNNNNNCCCUCCUCUCCGGUGAGCUCCUCCUUCCUCCUCUCCGGUGAGCUCCUCCCAUUCCCUCAUGGUUUCUCCUUCCUCCUCUCCGAUGCUUCGGUGAACUCCUCUCCAGCGACCUCCUCCUCCUCUCCGGUGAUGUAGGUGAGCGCCUCUCCGGUGACCUCCUCCUCCUCCUCUCCGGCAAAAGAACACGGCAAAAGAACGUACAAGAUCCAAAAACAGGAACAAAAUUUGAAAUAAUAUCGUGCCAAAAAACGAGCAAAAAAUGGGCAAAAAAAUCAUGAUCCAAAUCCAAAUUCAAAAUUCAAAAAUAGCAAUGGCGCACGGUGGGGGUUAGACGGUGCGCCACUACUAUUUUCCCGCCUUCAAAAUUCAAAAAUACUAAUGGCGCACCGUGGCCUAUACUAAUGGCGCACCAGUGGCCUAUACUAAUGGCACACCGUGGCCUAUACUAGUGGCGCACCAGUGGUGCGCCAUUACUAUACCAGAUACUAAUGGCGCACCAGUGGUGCGCCAUUAGUAAAAAAUACUAGUGACGUGAUACUAAUGGCGCACCAGUGAUGCGCCAUUAGUAGGCAAAACUGGUGCGCCAUUAGUAGCCCUUUUCCUAGUAGUGUUUCCAUGAUUUUAGCACUAAAUAUGGACUUGACUCUGAGAUAUAGUAGCUUCUUUCUGUGAACCAUUUGCUACUCAUGUUGAUCUCCCUAAGGAGAAGUGGUUUAAAUAUCAUCCUCCCAUUGAAGUUAAAGUAGUUGAACCUAUUAAAGUUGAAGAAAAAACUAUUACUUAUAAUGUUGAUCCUAUCAUUGCUACUGCUUAUAUUGAGAAACCACCAUUCCAUGUUAGAAUAAAGCAUCUUGCUAAAGCUUCAACUAUGGUUCGUAAGAGUUAUACAAAAACACCUACACCCUCUGAACAAAUUAAAGUUGAACCUAGUAUUGCUAUGGUUAAAGAUCUCUUGGCUGAUAAUAUUGGGCAUGUUAUUUAUUUCUGUGAUGAAGUUGCUAGGAUUGCUAAAGCUGAUACUAAAGACAAACAUAGACGUGUUGUUGGCAUGCCUGUUGUUUCUGUUAAAAAGGAGAUCAUUGUUAUCAUGGCUUAUGUGAUGUGGGUGCUAGUGUGAGUGCGAUUCCUUUUAUCUUAUAUAAAGAAAUUAUGAACGAUAUUGCUCCUACUGAGAUAGAAGCUAUUGAUGUUACUAUUAAGCUUGCUAAUAGAGAUACUAUAUCACUAAUUGGGAUUGUUAGAGAUGUUGAAGUCUUGGGUGGGAAGAUAAAAUAUCCUACUGGUUUUCUUGUUCUUUCUUCCCCACAAGAUAAUUUUUGUCCCAUUAUAUUUGGUAGACCUUUCUUGAAUACUGUUAAUGCUAAGAUAGACUGCGAGAAAGAUUUUGAUUUCUCUAAAUUUCGUAGACAGCCCCAUGAUAAAGAAUUGCCUAGUAAGGGUGAAAUUAUUGGUCUUGCUUCUAUUGUCGUGUCUCCUAAUGAUCGUUUAGAACAAUAUUUACUAGACCAUGAAAAUGAUAUGUUUAUGAAUGAAAGAAGAGAAAUAGAUGAAUUAUUCUUUAAUCAGGGACCUAUUUUGAAACACAAUUUUCCUGUUGAAAUCCUUGGAGAUCCUCCUCCAUCUAAGGGUGAUCCCGUGUUUGAGCUUACAAAAUUACCUAAUACUUUGAAAUAUUAUUAUCUUGAUGAAAAGAAGAUAUACCAUGUUAUUAUUAUUGCUAACCUUUUAGAGGAUGAAGAAAAGAAACUAUUGAAAACUCUAAAGAAGUACCAUGCCGCUAUUGGGUAUACUCUUGAUGAUCUUAAGGGCAUUAGUCCCACUUCAUGUCAGCACAAGAUUAAAUUGGAGAAAGAUGCUAAACCAGUUGUGGAUCAUCACCGACGGUUAAAUCCUAAGAUGAAACAAGUGGUAAGAAAUGAAAUACUAAAGCUUCUAGCAGUAGGUAUAAUUAAUCCUAUUGCUAAUAGUCAAUGGGUAAGCCCUAUUCAUUGUGUCCCUAAGAAGGGAGGUAUUACUGUUGUUCCUAAUGAUAAGAAUGAAUUGAUUCCUCAAAGAAUUGUUACAGGUUAUAGAAUGGUAAUUGAUUUUCGCAAAUUAAAUAAAGCUACUAGAAAAGAUCAAUACCCUAUGCCUUUUAUUGAUAAAAUGCUAGAAAGACUAUCUAAACAUACACACUUUUGCUUUCUAGAUGGUUAUUGGCGUGUCUCUCAAAUACCUGUGUCAAAAAAGGAUCAAGAGAAAACCACUUUUACUUGCCCUUUCUGUACCUUUGCUUAUAGACAUACGCCUUUUGGUUUAUGCAAUGCACAUGCUACCUUUCAAAGAUGUAUGACUGCUAUAUUCUCUGACUUUUGAGAGAAGAUUGUCGAGGUUUUCAUGGAUGAUUUCUCCGUUUACGGAACUUCUUUUGAUGAUUGCUUAAGCAACCUUAAUUGAGUUUUGCAGAGAUGUGAAGAAACUAAUCUUUUCUUGAAUUGGGAGAAGUGCCACUUUAUGGUUAAUGAAGGUAUUAUCUUGGGGCAUAAAAUUUCUGAAAGAGGUAUUGAAGUUGAUAAAGCUAAAGUUGAUGCUAUUGAAAAGAUGCCAUGUCCUAAAGAUAUCAAAGGUAUAAGAAGUUUCCUUGGUCAUGCUGGUUUCUAUAUGAGGAUUAUUAAAGACUUCUCUAAAUUUCUAGGCCUCUCACUAAUCUAUUAAAAAAGAUCACUACUAGGAAAAGGGUUAUAGAUAGGAUUGAUACUAAUGGCGCACCAGGGAAGCAGUGCGCCACUACUAUAUACUAAUGGCGCACCUGUUGGUGAUGCGUCAUUAGUGUGGAAGACACUAAUGGCGCACCAGAAACAGGGUGCGCCACUAGUAUUAAUUUUUUUUCCAUUUUUCCAUACAUACUAAUGGCGCAUCAGGUAGACAAUGCGCCAUUACUAAUUCUAACUUGUAAUGGCGCACCUGGCAGAGAGUGCGUCAUUACUGUAAUUUUUUUCUUAUUCUUUUUUUUGCAAAACUACUAAUGGCGCACCGUUUCACAGUGCGCCAUUACUAGUUUAAACUAGUAAAGUUUAAACUAGUAAUGGCGCACUAUUAGGCGGUGCGCCAUUAGUAUAUAUAUUUAUAUUUUUACUUUUUUGCAAAACAGUAAUAUUUUUUGAACUCAUGCAUGAAUAUUUUUAAAUUUCAUGGGCAUGUUUUGAAUUCAUGAAUAUUUUUUCAAAUUUGAUGAUAUUUUUUCAUAUUCAUAAAUGUUUUACCAAUUCACAAAUGAAUGCAACUAAAAAUCCAAAAAAACAAAUUUGAUGAUAUUUUCAAAUAACAAAUUUGAUGAUAUUUUUUCAUAUUCAUAAAUAUUUCCAAAUAACAAAUUUGACAAUAUUUUUAAAACAUUAUUACUAUUUUUAUAAAAAAUUAUUACUGUUUCAUAUUCAUAUUCAUUUUCUAAAAACUUAUUCAAUGCAAAUAAUAAUAAUAAUAAUAAUAAUAAUAAUUACUAAUGGCGCACCGCUGGGUGGUGCGCCAUUGAUAUACAAAAAAAAUAGUUACUUAUGGCGCACCGCUGGGUGGUGCGCCAUUGCUAUCCAAAAAAAUAGUUACUUAUGGCGCACCGCUAGGUGGUGCGCCAUUGCUAUCCAAAAAAAGGUUACUUAUGGCGCACCGCUAGGUGGUGCGCCAAUGCUAUCCCUCCCCCGACUAAAAUCCCCAAUCCCCAUCACGGUAUCCCCUCCACCAUCCUCUGCCGCCCCAACAACCACUCCACUACUCCCGGCCACCACCGUCGUCGCCCCACUCCAGAGCAGCGCCGUCGAGCACCCGUUUGAUAGGGAGCACCACCGUCGUCGUGGAGCCACUCCACCGGCAGCCACCAUCCUCGCGCGCUUCCUCCUCGAGCAGGCUCCUCGCGAUUUAGGGUUUGCUGGCGCCUCCGGCCACCGGCGCGGCCCCUCCUCAACCACCGCCACGGGAGCUCCCACCCACGCCCGCCUCCUCUUCCGUCUUCUCUAGCCGCAGCCCAGCUGCUCUCCACCGGCGCUGCCCCUCAUCGACCACCGCCAACGGCCAACGCAGGAGCCUCACCGCCCCCGGGUCCGCCUCGAGCAGCAGGAGCUCCACCUCUUCCCGCAUCCGCCAUCCCCAUCCACCUCGAGCAGCAGGAGCACGCCUUGAGUCUCUGCUCUUCCCCUCCUCCCUGUAACCAGAGAUAAAGAAGCAAACUUACUUGCAUAUGCUGCUUCUAUGUUUCUAAUCCUUAUGGAUAAAUCCCAGCAUGAAAACAUAUGUGUAGAUUCGUAUGUUGUGUGUGUCCUCAACAUGCAUUAUUUCCUGGUUAUGUUGAUACAUAUCAGCUUGUGUGUGAAACAUGUACUACUAUUACUUCCUGGUUAUGUUGAUGUGAAGUGUGUGGCAGUUUACCUUUUAUACAUGCUUGAUUGAAAUUUGUGAUGUGAAAUGGAUGAAAAAGGAAAAGGAAAAUUGGGAUAUGCACACCACAUAGCCAUUUUAUGCCAGUAUGUGCAAAGAAGAGGUUGAAAAUCAUAAUGGGCCAGGGGGAUGUUUGAACCGUAGAGGUUAUGAUAAAAAUCUUGGAGAGAAGUUCUUGGUUAGGUUCUUUGGUUACUAGCAACUAGCAUUGUUAGAUGAGUUCUUAUGCUAUCUUGUGAUAAUUGUAGUAGAUUAUAGCUUGCUUCAGUUUGUCAUCAUAAGUUGGUUAAUUAGAUUUUAGAUUUAUAAGAAACAGGGUCACUAGGUGCACCCUAUAGCUAGCAGCUCUUGAUUAAGGAGAUUAUGUAGCCACCAACAUCUGUGACUGAAGUUAGUCCAUAGUUCACCUGGUCCUUAGUUUCCCAUGAAAAUGAAAUUUUUUGCUUGAUGUAACAAGGUGAUUGGUGAAUGUGGAUGAUUUUUUUGUCCUAUGAACUAAUUGUACUGCUACAAGAAUUUGGUAUCAUCAUGGUGUAAUUGACUGCUUGAGAAAACUGGGUAAUUUGGCAGUAGAAACAACUAUUUUUUACAGUCAAACAGUUCUUGAUGCUUUGGUGCUGUUAGCUAGCUUAGUGGUGGGUCGCUUGGUGCCAGGCUGUGCUAUCUAUACAUUCAUGCCCUUUUUGUCACUGAUGAUUGUUAGAUUGGGUUCCUACUGCUGUCAUGGGGUGGAUGAUCCUGCUGCUUUGUAUAUGGAUAUAUUGCAAUUUCAUUUAUGUUGUUAUAAGUUUGUUGUUGUCAGCAUGAGUUAACUUGCUGUCAUUUAUCGAAAUUCAGAAUGCGUUGGACUAUAUGUUCAUUGGUACUACUUGUGAUGCUGCUGCUGUACUACUUGGGAAUUUUGUCAACUUGUGAUGCUACUAUUGUACCCCGAGAGGCCCUUGAGUUUGCCGGAAUGUCGAUUAACUUCCGUUCCGGCAAAUUUGGGUACUCCAUAUGUCCUAUUUUCAGCAAAGGUCAUGCUGAAAUUUUUCGUGAAUUUUAGCAUGACUUUGCUAAAAAUCGGACAUAUGAGGUACUUGCUACUAAUGCAUGGGCCGGGGUAUCUUAGUACUUAGUUAAGUAGGAUCAACUGCCCCUUUAUUCUUGCUGCAUUAAACCAUAGGUGGCAAUAGAGCCAAGUGAUUAGUGCCAAGUGAUUAGGCCCAACCUAGGGUGCCUCGGCAUCGAUAAACCCUAAAUGAUGAAAACUUAACUUGGCUGCCCCGGAUGCCUCGGUGUCGAUGAGAACCUAAAUGAUGUACGCUUAGGCUUUUAGGGUGCCUCGGCGUCGAAAAACCCUAAAUGAUGAAAGCUUAGGCUUUUAGGGUGCCUCGGUGUCGACAAACCCUAAAUGAUCAGACCAUGAUCUUGUUCCUUGACAAUAACCAACUUUUUGACCAAACUUUUUUCCUAUUUAGAGCAAAACAUGGCCCACAACGAUGAGGCCGGUGGUUCAGGUGGCAAGAAAUUCUGGGAGCUGUCCCAGGAGAUGGAAGAACAACCUCACCGCUAUGAGGACGCCGCGGAAGACACCGAUCCAGAUUAGACAACCCCUAGUGGCGUCGGGGAUGACACCACUGAUGGUGCCGCCGAGGAUGCCACCACUGAUGAUGGCGGCGCACACACAGAUGGCAGCCAACUGAAGAAGCAAAGGAAGGACCGGCGCCCGAAUGCGCUCCGCAUGCUCAAGGAGGAAUUCACUCAAGUGGACUCCGACAGGAAUCCAACGGAGCCCAAACAUAUAGUCAAGGGGUACUCACUUCAGCUCGGGUGCAUUCUCCGGAGCAUCGUCUCGAUCAACACCGAGAACCUUAGGCAUAAGGACCGAGGGAAUUUGCGCAACCUCCUCUUCACGAAGCUGCACGAACGAUACAAGUUCCCCGCCGAAUUUGAAAACACACGCCUCUCCGGGAAUAAAGUGAAUAGUGCCGCCCUCACGAAGAUGAGCACGACCCUGUCUACUUGGAAAAGCGUGGUGAAGAGAAUGAUUGAUAAAGGUGAUAGUUAUGAGAAGAUCAAGGCGAAAUAUCCUUUGAUGAGCGAAGAUGAGUACAAGGAGUUCAAGAUCAAGUGCGAGAGCAGUGCAACCUCCGAAUCAAGUCAGUGGGGGAAAGAAAUGUGGGAUUUGAACUUAGGGGAACACAAACUCGGUCCCGGCGGUUACAGAGUGGCGGAGCCUAUAUGGGACAAGGAGGAUGCGGAGCGUGCCGAGCAAGGCCUACCGCCCCGCUUCGAGAAAUACAGCGGUGACAAGCAGACCAGGAACUAUGUCAGGGCCCGGUACAAGGAGGACCCGAUAACAAAGGAGCUUACCACGGAUCCGAAGACCAGGGCGCUUGAGCUUCUUCUGGUAAGGAAUACACCCCCGCCUAAUUAGCUCCAUAUGGUUGCACUCUAAUUAAUCCCCAAUAUUUCUAAAUGGUUCACGUUCCUUUCGCAGGACACUGAAAGCAGUAGCGCAGGGUCGUCUAAGAGCUCCCCUUUCGACACCCCUUUAAAUAGGGCGUUGAACGUAAUGAAAAACAAGGAUAAGCUCACUAAGCCGACAUCAGCUGGUCGUGUGGCCGGCAAAGGCUUGUCCACAAAAUGGGGGUCAUACUAUACCGCUGGUGUGUGGAAGGAGAAAAAGACCAGCUCGGAAAGCCAGACGCACGAGGUUGAAGAACUCAAGGCACAAGUGGCGCGAAUUCCGGAGCUUUUCCAAGAACAAGUGCAACAACAACUUGGAACGACGCUCAACGCCAUGGUGCCUACGUUGAUUCAUGGGCUGACGACGUGGAUUGCGGGCGGCCAACAGGGGCCUCCCCCGAUUCCCAACUUCACGGCCAGCAACUCGCACAGCGCGUAGGCGGCGCCAUUGGUGUCUCCGGCGGCGGCGCCAUUGGUGUCUCCGGUGGAGGCGGUAUUCGUGUCUCCGGUGCCGGCACAUGCAUUGGAGCUUAAUGCACCCGGGUGUACGCCAGCCGGCACCUCGCUAGCAAGCGCCCCCUCCGUCAGUUGCACGCUCGCCGUUGGCGAUGCCUCGACAUUAGCCGAGCUCGACGGCAUCACGGUAACCAAGCCUCUCGGCUGAUGACUUCAUCUCCUUGCCUUUGACUGGGCAUCCCUGAUGCCCUAUACAUGUUUUCGCAGGGCACCGCCGACGUUCCUUGCAAUCUUCUGCAUUUCGUGGGCGCCGAGUUGCUCGAUGUCGCCAAGGGAAGAAUCGUUCAACCGGGCAACCCCAUGUUCCACGGUAAUCCGAUGCCACCCAGAAUGUAUAGGGUUGAAGUGGUUCGGGUGCUGCCAGUUUACGACGAGCUGUUACCUCCGAUUCGAUCCGCUGGGGCCGACGAAGAAGAUGAGAUGACCCUCAGCACCAGCGUAAACUCGCCCCUGCUUUGGCCGAAGAGACAGAUUCGUUUGGGAGCGGGGGACACCACCCCACAGACAAGACCGCCAGUCGUGCCGGCGCCAAGCCAUGGCAAGAACGCCGCAACGCUACCGGACCUGCCGGACAUCCCUAUGGCAUAGGAUCCAGAUAGCCCUAUGGCACAGGAUCCGGACGGCGACGAAGCCGGCGAUGGUACAUUUACCAAAGUCGAUAAGUACUUUGCCGAACAUGGGUACACUGACGAGUUCUGCGGGCCUCUUUCUCAAGAACCCAACCAAGACGACCGCCAUCUAGCUGGUACGGCAGAGAAAUCCAAUUGCAACAGGCAUCAUCUGGCGUUCAGUUCUCAGGACACGCCCCCAGCUCCCGCCUUCACCGAGCCUCAGAUAGCUGGGGUGCGAAAUAUUAUCAGCCCCAACACGCUCAAGAAGGCGGUCUGUGAGCAGAACUCGGUCCCAUUACAGGAGAUCAAGAAGAAGGGACGGAAACAAAAGACUAACAAGGGCGCCGGUGCGAGCCAGCCGGCAUCGAGUUCGAUCCGUGCUCAGGACGGGCCACCUUCACCUAAGGAUAUCUCGAGGAGGGUGCAUGUGGCGGGUAGGGCGAUGCUACCACCAAAUAUGCUGAAUGCUGCAACCGGUGCUAUGCGGAGUCUGCACGACAGUGUUAUUUCUUUGGAGAAGCAGUGUCUCAGAGAGAAGGAUGUGGCAUACCCGGUUUUCGUGGCCAAGAUGCCAGAGGGCAAGGGCUUUGUGGAUGGCGACAUCGGGGGUACGAUCAUCUUGCGGUUUGAUGACAUCUUUGCUAUGUUUAACCUUCAUCCGCUGCAUUACAACUUCGUUCGGCUGUUUUCGCUGAGUAUGGAGAUGCGGAUCAUUAGAGACAAGACCCCGGACAUCGUGAUAGUCGACCCCUUCUACAUGCGUGCCAAGCACUUGAGCAGCGCUGGGGACGGCCAAGUUGCGAGUUCACACCUCGAAGGCAUCAUUCUAGCAAACCCAGAUAAGGUAACUUCCCUGUGGCUUACUUUCCCGAGUAAGUCAUUACUUAACCGCCCCGUAACAUAUGAUUUCUUAGAUUUCGAUCAUUUUUUUCUAACAUUCCGUGUUAUGUGCAGUGACACACAUUGCACACUCAUCCUCUCAAGCCCGAAAUAUUCCAUGGCCACGUAUUUAGACCCGAACCGUAACUCCAGGAUAGACUACACAAAUGUCAAGCAAGUUCUUGAUGAUGUUCUCCCCGCCUACGCCAAAUCUGGAGGCACCUUCACCAGGGCAGUUCGUAAGUACGGCAAGCACAUGUUCUCACACAAUACGAAGUUCUGCUGCGUCAAGCAGCCGCCUGGCGGUCAAAAGGAUGCCUACUACGCCCUCCAUCACAUGCGGGCGAUCGUAAGGAACCAUCAUCAACUUCUGCUACCAGAUAAUCUCAAAGAUUGGGCCACGAGCUUGUUGGCAGUCCAGGACGCGGACCUCAGACAAGAAUUCUUUCGCAUCCAGUUGGAGUUUGCGGACAUCAUCCAUCAAGACGUCCUUCAUACCUCGGGGUAGUUCUUCGUCAGAUAUCAACCGUCCAACAGUGAGAUAGAUGAAAUGCUACAAAUGCAGGGUGACAACGACCGCAAUUUCAUGACCAUCACGACAGACGGCGGCUUCAUCCAUGUUCCUGUCUGAUGAGUUGAGUCGAAAGUAGUGAUGUGUAGUUCUGAAACAUUGAUUGGCUCAUGUUGUAAUUAUACUUUAAUGAAUUCGUAUGUCUCUUUGGUUUGGACAGUCAUUCAACUUAGAUGUAAUCGAUGCUAUUUAUUAGUAGGACCAUGAAUCAUGCUAUUAAUGUCUUGCUUUUCUCUUCCGAUCCUUUUGUUGCAUACUUACAUAUUGCUUAUGUAUUGUCUGUUGUUUGGCUUGUGCAUAAAGAUGCCAUCGUAUGUCGUGUACAAGGGUAAGGUUCCCGGAGUCUACGACGACUGGGAGGAGUGUUGGAGACAGGUUCACCGUUUCAGCGGUAAUAGUUACAAAGGGUACACCACUAGGGCGGAGGCCGAAUCUAGAUAUGCCCGCCAUCUAGCGGGAGAGAGGAGGGAGCGUUGGAGGAACCGGGUGAAGACCAGUUUGAUCGCGAUGAUGCUCAUCGUGAUGACCACAACUCUCUUCUAUGUGAUGGUAGUUUAGAUGAUCGAUAUCGACUUGUAAUGUGAAGACAAACUCGAAACUCGCGGUCUUGAGACUUGUAAUGUUUUAUCUUUGUUCGGUCUUUUGAAUUCGGAGACUAAUAUGAUGAAUUGUAUUCGGAGACUAAUCUUCUAUUGUAUUCGAUGAAUCUUAUGUUGCUGUCUAUAUUCUGUCUAAUAAUAUAUUUUAUAUUCUGUCUAAUAAUAUAUUUUAUAACCUGUGCAAAAAUCAGAAAAGGAAAAAAACCAAAUAUUCAUACUAAUGGCGCAUCACCACCAGGUGCGCCAUUAGUAUGCCAAAGGAUACUAAUGGCGCAUCAACAGAGAAUGCACCAUUAGUAUGACAAAGCCAUGCUUACGUAUGGCCCCCCGGGAGGCACACUAAUGGCGCAUGCUCUUACAUACUAAUGGCGCAAUAGUUGGUGCGCCAUUAGUAUACCAGAUACUAAUGGCGCACCCAUCGUGCGCCAUUAGUAAGAUAUACUAGUGGCGUGCUACUAAUGGCGCACUGGUAAUGCGCCAUUAGUAGGCAAAACCAGUGCGCCAUUAGUAGGCCUUUUCCUAGUAGUGGAUGUUCCUUUCGUUUUUGAUGAUGAUUGUGUUGAAGCAUUUGAAAUACUUAAGAAAGCCUUGAUUUCUGCUCCUAUUGUUCAGCUACCUGAUUGGAACCUACCCUUUGAAAUUAUGUGUGAUGCUAGUGAUUAUGUUGUUGGUGUUGUUCUAGGACAAAUAGUUGAUAAGAAAUUAAAUGUUAUUCAGUAUGCUAGUAAAAUUCUAGAUAGUGCCGAGAGAAAUUAUGCUACUGCUGAAAAAGAAUUUUUAGCAGUUAUAUUUGCAUGUGAUAAGUUCAGACCUUAUAUCGUUGAUUCCAAAGUAACUGUUCACACAGAUCAUGUUGCUAUUGAAUAUCUUAUGGAAAACAGAUCAUGCUGCUAUUGAAUAUCUUAUGGAAAAGAAAGAUGCUAAACCUAGACUUAUUAGAUGGGUUCUCUUGUUACAAGAAUUUGAUUUGCAUAUUAUUGAAAGAAAGGGACCUGAUAACACCGUUGUAGGCAACUUCCCUAGGUUAGAAAAUGUUCUUGAUGACUCGCUACCUAUUGAUGAUAGCUUUCCUGAUGAGCAAUUAAAUGUCAUAAAUGCUUCUCGUAAUGCUCCAUGGCAUGUUGAUUAUGCGAAUUAUAUUGUUGUUGAUUUAUACCACAUAGUUUCACAUAUCAGCAAAGAAAAUUUUUCUGUGAUUUAAGACAUUACUUCUAUGAUGAUACACACCUUUAUAAAGAAGGAGUAGAUGUUGUUAUUAGACGUUGUGUGCCCGAGUAUGAACAAGAACAGAUCCUACGCAAGUGACACUCCGAAGCUUACGGAGGACACCACGCUGGAGAUAGAACUGCACAUGAGGUAUUGCAAUCUGGUUUCUAUUGGCCCAGUCUCUUUAAGGAUGCCUGUAAGUUUGUCUUAUCUUGUGAUGAAUGCCAGAUAAUUGGUAAUAUUAGUAAACAUCAGGAAAUGCCUAUGAACCAUUCACUUGUUAUUGAACCAUUUGAUGUUUGGGGCUUCGAUUAUAUGGGACCUUUUCCUUCCUCUAAUGGGUAUACACAUAUUCUAGUUGUUGUUGAUUACGUUACUAAGUGGGUAGAAGCUAUUCCAACUAGUAGUGCUGAUCAUAACACUUCUAUUAAGAUGCUUAAAGAAGUUAUUUUUACAAGGUUUGGAGUCCCUAGAUCUUUAAUGACUGAUGGUGGUUCAAAUUUUAUUCAUGGUGCUUUCCGUAAAAUACUUGCUAAGUAUGAUGUUAAUCAUAGAAUUGCAUCUCCAUAUCAUCCUCAGUCUAGUGGUCAAGUAGAAUUGAGAAAUAGAGAGAUUAAAUUAAUUUUGCAAAAUAUUGUUAAUAGAUCUAGAAAGAAUUGGUCUAAGAAGCUUGAUGAUGCUUUGUGGGCUUAUAGAACUGCUUAUAAGAAUCAUAUGGGUAUGUCUCCAUAUAAAAUGGUUUAUGGAAAAGCAUGUCACUUACCACUUGGGCUAGAACAUAAGGCAUGUUAGGCUAUUAAAGAGCUCAAUUAUGAUUUUAGACUUGCCGGUGAUAAGAGGUUAUUUAUAUUAGCUCACUUGAUGAAUGGAGAACCCAAGCCUACGAGAAUGCCAAGUUGUUUAAGGAAAAAGUUAAAAGAUGGCAUGAUAAAAAUGAUACAUAAGUGUGAGUUUAAUGUAGGUGAUCAUGUUUUGCUAUACAACUCUCGUUUAAGGGUUUUUUGCAGGAAAGCUUCUCUCUAAAUGGGAAGGGCCUUACAUUAUCGAGGAGGUCUAUCGUUCUGGUGCCAUAAAAAUCAACAAUGCCAAAGGUAAAAAUCCGAAGGUGGUAAACAGUCAAAGACUUAAACAUUAUAUCUUAGGUACUCCCAUAAAUGUUGAGACAAAUAUAAUUAAUACCGUAACCCCGUAGGAGUACAUAAGGGACACUUUCCAGAAUGUCUCAGACUCCGAAAAGGAAUAUGUAUGUGGUACAGUAAGUAAACUGACUCCAAAACAUUUCCAAUGAUAAAUUUUCUCCAUUUGGAAUAUUUAAAGAAUUAGGAAAAUUAAAAGCACUCCGAAAGAGACACGAGGCCACCACAAGGGUGGAGGGCGCACCCCCGACCUUGUGGCCACCUCAUGUGCCCUCUGGACUCCGUUUUCUUGCAGAAUACUUCUUUUGGUCAGUAAAAAUUCAUUAUAUAAUCUCUUGAAUGUUUUGACCACCGUACCACGCAAAAAUCUCAUGUUUUCGUUUUGAGUUGUUUCUGCAGCAGAUUAAGAGCGAGAUGUCAUCCCAAGAUUUAGAGGGAGAAAGCUACAUGGCUGGUUAUAUCACAAACCCAAAAGUAUAUGGGGAUGUGGAACAUUAUGGUUGGACCAUGGAGGAAGAAGACUAUGAGCCAAAGAGUAAGGAGGAGACAAGUUCCAAUGAGGAGGACGAACCACUAACCCAACCAGGCAAUAUGCAUGUGGAGUUCAAGAAGUCAAGCCUCCCUAAGGUCCGAUCUAUCCCACCAUGUUUUUUGUAGGACAGCAAGGUGGCACUAUGAAAAAAGAUAUUGAAGCUUGAGCUCAAUAAUGAGGAGCUAAGGGAGGAAAAUUUUAUCCUCUGACGUCAGUUGGAGAAGAAGAAUACAACUCCUUCAUCACCACCUCUGAAGAAAGAGAUUUAAUUACAUGGGUAUGGGCACUCCCCUUGGCAACUGCCAAGCUGGGGGGAGUGCCCUAGUAUCGUAUCACCAUCACAUCUUUAUCUUUAUUACUUUUCUUAGUUCGAUCAUUUUGGUUAUUUCUUGAUCUAGUAGAAUAAAGUUAUUAGUAUGAUCUUGCUUUGAGUUUUGCUUUGAUCUCUAUCUAUGUAAUCGAGCCCGUGAGAUAUAUAAUAAAAAGAGUAGUUUUGAGUAAAGGGCUUUGCUUUCUUGCAAUAAUCUUGAGGGAAUUAAAUAAAAAUAAAGAAUAAAAAAGAAAUAAAAAGGAUCAUAUAUUGAUCUUAUGGAGAGUAAUGACUUCACAUAUAAUGAGUAUGAUGAAUAAAAGUUAUUGAGAGUUGACAAACAUAGUUUUGGUCGUUGUUGCAAUCAAUAGGAAGUAAUAAAGAAAGAGAGGCUUCACAUAUAAAUAUACUAUGUUGGAAAUCUUUUAAUUGCGAGCACUCAUUAAAAUAUGACAUGCUAAAAGGUUGAUGUUGGACAAGGAAGACAACAUAAGGAGUUAUGUUUUGUUAUAUCCGAAUAGAAGUAUAUUGUUUUGGAUCGUCCAACAUGUUGAGCUUGCCUUUCCCUCUCAUGCUAGCCAAAAUCUUUGCACCAAGUAGAGAUACUGCUUGUGCUUCCAAAUAUCCCUAAACCCAGUUUUCCCAUGAGAGUCCACCAUACCUACCUAUGGAUUGAGUAAGAUCCUUCAAGUAUGUUGUCAUCGGUGCUAGCAAUAAAAAUUGCUUUCUCUAAAUAUGUAUGAUCUAUUAGUGUGAAGAAAAUAAGCUUUAUACGAACUUGUGAUAUGGAAGAAAUAAAAGAGAUGGACUGCAUAAUAAAGGUCCUUAUCACAAUGGCAAAAUAAAGUGAUGUUCUAUUGCACUAAGAUUUUGUACAUCUAACCAUAAAAGCGCAUGACAACCUCUUCUUCCCUCUGCGAAGGGCCUAUCUUUUACUUUUAUCUCCUACCCUUAUACAAAAGUCAUGGUGAUCAUCACCUUUCCUUUUUACACUUUUUCCUUUGGCAAGCUCUUUGUGUUGGAGAGAUCCGGAUAUCUAUAUAUAUAUAUAUAUAUCCACUCGAAUGUAAGUUAUCAUAAAGUAUUAUUGUUGACAUUACCCUUGAGGUAAAUAGUUGGGAGGCAAAACUAUAAGCCCCUAUCUUUCUCGGUGUACGAUUGAAACUUUGUAACCAUAAGUAUCGCGUGAGUGUUAGCAAUUGUGAAAGAUUAUAUGAUAGUUGAGUAUGUGGACUUGCUGAAAAGCUCUUAUUUGACUCUUACCGAUGUUGUGAUAAAUUGCAAUUGCUCCAAUGACUGAGAUCAUAUUUUGUUAGUUUUUAAUGAAGUUUCUGAUUCAUACUUUACAUUGUGAAUGAAUUGUUACUUUAACAUAAGAAAUUAUAUGGCAUUCUAUGUUGUUGUUCUAAAGAUAAUCAUGAUGCUCUCGUGUCCGUGUUUUAUUAUAUCGACACCUCUAUCUCUAGACAUGUGGACAUAUUUAUCCAUACUGGCUUUCGCUUGAGGAAAAGCGAGGUCUAAGCUUGGGGGAGUUGAUACAUCCAUUUUUCAUCAUGUUUUUAUAUCAAUAUUUAAUGCAUUAUAGGCUGUUAUUACACAUUAUAUCACAAUACUUAUGCAUAUUCUCUCUUAUUUUACAAGGAGUACAUGAAGAGGGAGAAUGCCGGCAGCUGGAAUUCUGGACUUGAAAAGGAGCAAAUAUUAGAGACCUAUUCUGCACAACUCCAAAAGUCUUGAAACUUCACGGAGAUUGUUUUUGGAACAUAUAAAAAAUAUUGGGUGAAGAAAGAACCAGAGGGGGGCCACCAGCCAGCCACAACGGUGGAGGGCGUGCCCCACCCCCUGGGCGCACCCCCUGACCUUGUGGGCCCCCUGGCAGGCCUCCGGUGCCCAUCGUCUGCUAUAUGGUGUCUUUUACCCUAGAAAGAAUCAUAAGUAAGCUUUCGGGACGAAGCGCCUCUGUCUCACGGUGGAACCUGGGCAGAACCAAUCUAGGGCUCUGGUGGAGCUGUUCUGCCGAGGAAACAUCCCUCCCCCGGAGGGGGAAAUCAUCGCCAUCAUCAUCACCAUCGAUCCUCUCAUCGAGGGAGGGUCAAUAUCCAUCAACAUCUUCACCAGAACCAUCUCCUCUCAAACCCUAGUUCAUCUCUUGUAUUCGAUCUUGGUCCCAACACCUCAGAUUGGUUCCUGUGGGUUGCUAGUAGUGUUGAUUACUCCUUGUACUUGAUGCUAGUUGGUUUAUUCGGUGGAAGAUCAUAUGUUCAGAUCCUUUAUGAUAAUUAACACUCCAUUGAUUAUGAUUGUGAAUAUGCUUUGUGGGUAGUUACGUUUGUUCCUAGGGUCAUGGGAGAAGUCUUGUUAUAAGUAAUCAUGUGGAUUUGCUAUUUGUUCGAUAUUUUGAUGAGACGUAUGUUGUCUCUCCUCUAGUGGUGUUAUGUGAACGUCGACUACAUGACACUACACCAUUAUUUGGACCUAGGGGAAUGCAUUGGGAAGUAAUGAGUAGAUGAUGGGUUGCGAGAGUGACAGAAGCUUAAACCCUAGUUUAUGUGUUGCUUCGUAAGGGGCUGAUUUGGAUCCAUAUGUUUCAUGAUGGUUAGGUUUACCUUAAUACUUCUUUCGUAGUUGUGGAAGCUUGCGAGAGGGUUUAAUCAUAAGUGGGAUGCUUGUCCAAGGAAGGGCAGCACCCAAGCACCGGUUCACCCACAUAUCAAACUAUCAAAAUAACGAACACGAAUGAUAUGAGCAUGAUGAAAACUAGCUUGACAAUAAUUCCUAUGUGUCCUCGGGAGCGCUUUGCUUUAUAUAAGAGUUCAUGAAGGCUUGUACUUUGAUACAAAAAGGAUUGGGCCACCUUGCUGCAUCUUGUUUACUUCUAUUACUUGUUACCUUUUAGGAUUUAUCCGAUCACAAAACUAUCUGUCACCGAUAAUUUCAGUGCUUGAAGAAAAUACCUUGCUAAAAACCACUUUUCAUUUCCUUCCGCUCCUCGUUGGGUUCGACACCCUUACUUGUCGAAAGGACUACGAUAGAUCCCCUAUACUUGUGGGUCAUCACAUGCCUACAGUCUAGGGGAGUCAGUUCUCUCUCCCUCGACAUAUAUGUUUGAUCUUUGUAAGAGAAAUCAUCAAGGAAAGAAUUAUUCUCUCCAACAAGCAAGGCUAUGAACUACUCUCAGACAACAUGCUUGAGCAAACAAUUGUAUUCAUUGAUGACAAUCAGGGUGUGGCUAUAGCGCUAAACUCUGCAGACUAAACCUCCCCAAGAUUGGUCCUCUCUGUGAAGACAUAAUGGACUUGUUAUCUGGUAUAGAAGAGCAUCGAGUGAAGUGGAAUAGAAGAACAACCAAUAGGGCUGAUCGCAUCUUGGCAAAGGAAGGUUGCCUGAAUAAUUUGUGUAAAACUUAGUUUCAUGUUUUUCCUCUUUGUAUUUUUGACGUUGUAGCUGCUGAGGCCAUGGACUAGUUAAUAAAUGCAUGAUUUGAAUUCACAUAACGUAGAUUAGCAUGAGUGUUGUUCAACUAAUGAGACUGUGAUCCUGAAGCCUUUGGAGUAUCUUUUUGAUAGGUGCCUCUAUCUGUAUGGAAAAUUUGCUAUUGAAAGUCCCGCUAAGUGUCCCCUUCCUCCAUUCUGGAAGAAAAAAAUAGAGUUGGAUGUGGAGGGUUGUUGUACCGAAAUUUUGGCACAUAUAUAAGAAAGCGGGAUCCAAAUUUGGUGUGAAGCUCGCGCGGCUGAAUGCCGCAGGGGGGAUCUCUCUCGCGGCAACCCCUUGUCUACGGGCCGCAGCACUUUGUGGAGGCCAGCGGUGACCCGAUCCGUGCGUGGGCGUACGGGUGGAUCUCGACGAACGGUGGGCGGGCUGUGAGGAUCGGACCUCAUCGGGCUGCGGUGUCCUGCGGCCUAACUUGCGCGAUGGCGGGCCUGGCACGGGUCGGUGAAUUUCUUCUAGAUCGGCCCUGCAUUUGGCGUCGUCCAGAUUGACGCCUAGUCAAAGGGCGAUGUCGUCUACGCGACUAAUGGCGUUGCCGGCGCUUUCAGCCACGGGGAUGAUGAGGUGCCACCGGCAGCAACCGUUGAGCAACACGACCUUCCUCAUCGCCAGAUCUGGAGGGUUGAGCCCCAUGGCACUCUCUUCCGUGUAGGCUCUGGUUGAUGGCUCAUCCGGAGAAAAUGGUGGUUGGUGGUGUAGGAUUGGAAUCGGAGGAAACUUUCACUACAAGAAAUAUGUCAACUUGUGACCACCACUAUUGGUCACUGAAUGGUCACAAAUUUCCAUUUGUGACCUUUUUGUGACCAAAAACAUAAGGUCAAAAGCUGGCCGUCAUAAACUAACUAUAGCGACCUUUCUUCUGGAAUGGUCGAAGAUGUUUAUGACCAAAAUACGUCUACUGUGGCGUUUUGGUCACUAGCAACCUCCCCAGGCCACGUAGGCAUCCAGCGUGGCAAUCUGACGUGGCACAAGAUUCAGCCCGGUCCAAUUCGAUUUUCUACAUGGGCCUAGCCCAACAAUUCGGCCUUUUCAAUAUAUAUUUAUUUCUGUUAAUUUUCACUAGCUACAUGGGCCUGACCCAUUUUAUUUUCUAGGAUGUUGCCUUCUAUAAUUCAUUUCUUUUUUGGGCCUGGGCCCUUUUACAAUCCAAUCUAUUUUGGGCCUCCACAACAUACAUUUAGAAGCUUGACAUCUCAGCAUGUACAGAUGUAUCCAAACCAUUUUAUUUCUUUCAACACAAAAGGAUUCAUUACACAGCCACGAUAAUAGAUAGUAGAUACAUUCGACAGAGACUGAAUUAACAUAGAAAUGAAGCAACAAAGGGCAGUCUGAGAAAAGGAACUACAUGGGACUACAACAACAUGGGACUAGAGCUGCCAUUUCUAUUUCUACCAGCAUUUGUAGACACUUGCAAGAGAGGGAGAGAGAUCAUCCAUCAUCAAUCAGUGACAGUAGCGACGUUCGAGAGACCACCUCCCCCUGCUGCUUCGCGUGCCUGCUACUGCUUGUUGUGCCGCAUCACUAGUCGCCCUGCACACCAGAAUUUUAGCUUCACAUAAGGUUUACAAGAACAAGACCCUGAUACAUGAGAUUGACAUUCACAAGUUAUUUUCAUUUUUAUUAAGAACUGUGUCACACCAUUUACAUUACUAGUUAUGUAUUGACAUACUUAUCUAAAAGAACAUAUACAGACACAUAUGAAUUUUAUUUCUAAAUACCAAUACAGAAGUACUAAAAAAAUAAGACUAAAAAUCAGUAGAAGGUAACAAGAGCUCAUUACACAAGUUUUGCUAGCAAUUAGGGGACCCUGGUUCCUAUACUGACCACAUUUGGGCAUAUCCUACCCUACCAGUGGAUAAAUAAUGCAACUUUAUGACUGUCAAGUAGGCCUACAGAUCGAUGAUGGAGCAGACUCAAACAUUACAAACACAAUAGCUGAUGCGCGCCAUGGAGCACGAUCUGAAUGUUGUUCCUCAUUUAUUAAACUUAAGGACAAGAAAAGCACUCAGGUUGCAUCUUUCGCAGACACGACAACAUACAUGAGCCAAAUUAACAAACAAGAGGUGCAGAUCUGGAACCGUUCGUCAUCAUCAAAUGAAGCGUUUCAUCACUGUGCGCUGAUUGAAGGGCACAUGCUAACCUAUACCAAUGUUGAUGACCCCCACAAACAGACCACCAUGGCUCAACACACCGACCGGCCAGAGUCUUACCUUUGUUUUAGCCAUGCACGCUAGCUGUUGAGCAGAGCAGAGCAGCGGGAGGAGGACUGUCGCAGCAAGAAGAGAAGGUUCCUUGACUUGACGACCACCAGAUGUACAUCAUGCCUGCCCAGAGUUAAUAGAAGGAGAACGAGUGAGACAAUGCAGCAAGGAGAGACAGUGAAGAUAGUUCUUGAAGGUCAAAAGAUAAUACACCAAAUGUGCAUGAAAGACAAUACAGUAAACACCAUCUUGUUUAUAGCAAGGCAAUAUAGUAGCAUGUCUCUAGCACAUCAUCUCGUUUAAAGAAUGCAUUCAGGCAAGAAAUGGACAGUUGGUCUAAUUUUCUCACACUUGGCAUUUUCACAGUUAACACCAUAAUGUAAAACACCAAGCUUCUCUAGGCUGGCCAAUUGACUCAUACUACUGGAUAAGCAAAGUAAACUACUACCAACAUAAGAACCAGACAUGGCAAGCAAACCACUGGGUUGCUCUUAUUGACGAUAAUCACAGCAGGAAAUAAGCCCAAAUGAUUGGACAACAUUGAAUUCUGCACCAGAAUCAAGUGGAUUCUGCAAAAUUACAUUGCUACAAAAGCACAAUCACAUGGCACGGUUCACUGCUGAAAUGAAUCACUACUUUUGAUAUGUCAGUUUACCAAAAGAAAAAACACAAGUUCAGUUGUUACAACCAAAGAACUAACAGGGCUUUGGCAAUCAUUCAGCAAUUCCCAUCUAGCCAGCAGCAAUACCACUAGUACUUAACCAAAGUUAACAAGUAGUAAGCAACAGAACCAGCUAGUAGACACAAGCAACACACUCUAAACAGGAAUUGAUUUUGAUGUCAGUUUCUAGUUUACCAAAAGAAAUUGACAUAUGUAGCAUCAAGGAACACCUGCAGCUGCAGCAUCGAUUUGAUUGUGAGGAAAUUUGUGGAGGGGAAUGGGUGAGACAGUGUAGUUGGGAGAGAAAUCUCAAGUACCUCAACACAGCGGCGUUAGGAACGGACGACGACAGCAUCCUGCGCCGGCGUCCCUUGUACGGCACCAGACACGGCUGCGUCGCUGCCAGCAGAGGGCGCUCCCGACGCGCGACCAUCAAGAAGGAGGUGAGCAGGCCCGGCUCGAUGGCGCAGACGGGGGAGUGCGGUCGGAGACGGCGGAACCGGCGACGCAGCUGAUCUGGAUAUGGAUCAACGGUGGGAUACCUACAUCAAGAUUCAAGAAUCAAGGUUUCAUCAGUAAAUCAUAAGUAAGAAAAUCUCAAGUCAACUUUCCUGAAUCAACUAGACUUCACUGUGUAGGUACUACCAAGUACCACCAACUUAAAUGGCUAAGUACCACGCUUUAGUUCUACAUCUCUACAGUUCUAUAUUUACCAGCCCAAUUUCCCACAGACCGAUUCACAUUUAUUAUAGCUUGCAGGUUAAGCCUAGGGAAUCAAAGGAAAUACACAUCAGAAAUGCUAGGUACAUGUUUGUAUAGCACUACAAUGUUCCACACUUAAUUUGCACAAAAAACCAUAGGAGGUUUGUUGUACUCGAUUAGGAAACAGUGACAAUGGCGGGGUGAAUAAUUUCAUCUGUGCAUAUACAAGGAUGACAUUGUGAGGUACUAGCACACACAAAGCACUAGUUUACCAAUUAGGCUAUCGCUGCUCGAAAUGCAUUGCUUGUUGCUAGAAUUCACUGCCAAGGUACUAACAAAAUAAUAAAUACCUAAGUGUCAAGCUACAGAUCUACAUUUCUACAUGUUCUCAAGCAGAAAAAAAAUGCUUUGUGUGUGCACUGCGUGCCUACUCCGGCCUCCUUACAUUGCAGAUCAGCUUCCCAUGGAAACCACCAGCCGCCAAGAGGUUGUCUUUCACCGUCAUGGUGCUGAUCUUCUCCUGGACAAGGGCCGACCUCCCUGCAUAUCCUGCACAGUGUGGUCGCACAGUGGAUCAGAGAUUGACCGAAAUUCCGACGAUAGAGGACUAUCACAUCGCUCUGUGGUAGAUCACCUGAUUUGGGCCUGCCACGUUGAGCACUUCUUUUCCUUUGCGGAGUAAGGACGACCAAUGCAUCACAGAAUAGUUCUACAUCACGUACACAUCAUGCUUGGAAGUAGCCCACAGGAUGUUCCUCAGCUGCACAUGUACAAGUAUACGGUCAGUGCGUUCGUACCAGAAUUCUUCUUAAAACUCUGCAGAAAUACAAUGAUGCAAAUGAGCACCAUUUUAUUCAAGCACACCAAAUUCUACUGCGAUAACAAACAAGAUCGCCCGAUGGAGGACAUAACCGUGAGCUUCUGUUAAAAUUUCUCAGGUAAUUACAACUAUGUGAUUCUACUGUUAAUCUAGAUCUCCUUCAGGUGUUGAUUCAUUUAAUCAAACAAUAGAACACAACUGCUGGUAACUGUUAAGACAUACAUAUUAUGUGCACGCCAAAAAAUAGCAGAUCUGUGAAGGGGGUGUCUAUUAGCAAAUUUUGGUCUAAAUACAACUUAGGCAGGCAAAUGCUUAGUGUAACUAAUGAACUGAUGUUGUUUGCAUUUCUGAACAUUGCUAAAUGAACUCUAGACGAAUACACCAAAAACUAAUGAACUCUAUCUCCACAAACUCCAUCUCUAGACAAAUGAUACAUUCUCAUUCACAUUCACUGGAGAAUAAUCAACAUCAUUAUUGGCAGUUUGUGGCACCUUCAAGAUUUUUAUAUAUAUAAACAAAAUUUUCAACGGUGGGCAAUCAGUCAAUUAGGCACCCAAACACAAUAGUAGUAUAAUCGUCGCUAGCCCAACUACUCAGAUCCGAUCGAUGAGGCCAACUACUAAUCAUAAUGUUUCCCCUGCCUGCUAUGGAUCCUUGCUGCUAACAACCCAUCCAGACUCCCUUGCAAGAUGCCAAAAAGAAUCGGAUCGAUCGGAAAUAGCUACUGGCCAACUGCCUACUACUAGUGCUAGCCAUCAGUGGGGAUAGAUCGGACUGAGUAAUUACCUGUGAUGGCGGCCACACACGGCUCGGCGAAGUGCCCACUUCAGACGACCACGACAUCAAACCUCCUCCUCUAGCUUGCUGCCAGCGCAGGCGAGCCUCACCCCCAGCCCGCGUCGUCGUCCCUACUGCGGCGGACGCUCACCACCUCCGUCCCGAACCGGACCAGCCCGAGGGGUCGAACCACCGUGCAAACUCCUCGAGGUACCUCGGGUCGGCGGAGGAGCGGUCCGCGAUGAUGACCACCGCGUCCCGAAGAUCUUGGCCGCGAUCUCCUCGUUCUACGGUGGCAAGUUGGAUCUAGGAGUGGGGAGAGGAUCUAGGAGUGGGGAGAGGAUCUGGGGUGGGGAAGGAAGGUGUGGCGGAGGUGGGUGGCGGCGAGGAGAGGGGUAGGUGGUGGAGGUGGGUGGCGGCGGGGGAGGGGUGGUUGGUGGCGGGGGGAGGGGACAAGGAGUGGUGUGCCCGCGGGGGAGAGAGAGGAUGGGACAAGGAGUGGUGUGCAGGGGAGAGAGGAGGUCCCAGUGGGUGAGAGGGUGAGAGGGUGUGGGCCGUUGGAUCCAGGAGUAUCCAACGGUCUCUAAUGCUUGAUCCGCGUGACAUGCUCAUAGACCAAUCAGAACGAAGUACAGGAUUUGAUGAUGUUAUGACCAUCUAAAUUGGUCGCAAUUAAUUAACAAUAGGUGGCUGAUACGAGUCAGUCAGAUGAUUUUGUCUAGAAAUCAUCCGCCUAGCUAGGCGCUUGAUCUGCGCAUUGGUGAUCGUUCGAUCACAUCAAUAUGUCACGAUAGCACCGAGCAUGAAAAAACUUCAACGCGGCACCGAUGACAUCCCCACGAAGCUCCAUUGCGGCUCUCAACGGCGCGCCAAGAGGUCCAACGCAGCACCACGGUGUCCGGCGAAGCUCCAUUACAGCGUCGGGGAAGCUCCAACGCAGCACCACGACGCCCAGCGGUAAGUUCCCUUCUCUUUUUAUGACAACGUCUAAGUACGAUUCCCUCGAAUAACUAGAGGUACUUUCAUACUAGGAGAGAUUUUCGUCGAUUCACUAGGAAGCGGGUCAAAUUUUAACUACAACUGCCUCAUAGUUUGUUCAAAUGAUCUAAUAUUAUGCACAAGGGUGCAUCUUGGAAUGGCAAACAAUGUUGUCUAAGGAAGUUUUCAUUUUUUUGGAUGGAAAAUUCAUUUUCCAUUUUCCGAGUGCCCGAAACGAGGCUUUUUUGGGAAGGACCUACCAUAUAUUUGUUGCAAAAUUGGACCAAAUCAAUUUUAUAAAAUACUAGGCCAUAUUUAAUGCACAAUUGACCAAAUGUUUGGGUGUAAAAAGCUUUUGAUCCACCUCUCGUCAAAAAGACAAAUUCCCGCCGAUUCAGCUGGAAGCGGGUCAAAUUUGAACUGUAGUUGCCUCAUAGUUUGCUAUUUAUUUUUUCCAAAAAUGUACAUAAGUAUCUAUUUAAUCACAAAAACACCAAAAAAAUUCCAAGAUUCAACAACUAGGUAGGAACGCUCAAGCCCGCCGUUUUGACCGCAUUUUGAAACGGGCAUAAAACAUUCAAAAAAAAAUCAAAAAAUUGGGAAACCUUCGCAUCGUGUCAUUAUAUGUGGCCAAGUUCCCAAGAAAAAUAACAAACAUGUAAUACGACAAUUAUUUUAAAAAAGUGUUCUCAAAAACGAGCUAUCACGUGUGAAGAUCAAUGGCUUUCAAGCCAAAUGAUCAAUCUUAUGGCCACAUCCAUGGCAUAGUUUGUUCAAAUGAUCUCAUAUUGUGCACAAGAGUGCAUAUUGGAAUGGCAAACAAUGUUGCCUAAGGAAGAUUUCAGUUUCUUUGGACGAAAAAACCAUUUUCCAUUUUUGAGUGCCCAAAAGGAGGUUUUUUUGUGAAGGACCUACCAAAUAAUUGUUGCAAAAUUGGACCAAAUCAAUUUUCUAAAAUACUAGGCCAUGUUUAAUGUACAAUUUACAAAAUGGUUGGGUGUCAAAAGUUUUGAUCCACCUCUGGUGAAAAACACAAAUUCCGUCGAUUCAGCUGGAAGCGGGUUAAAUUUGAACUACAGCUGCCUCAUAGUUUGCUCUCUAUUUUUUUCAAAACUCAUUUCUAGGUACAUAGGUAUCUAUUUAAUCAUAGAAACACCAAAAAAAUUCCAAGAUUCAACCACUAGCUAGGAACGGUCAUUCCCCCCGUUUUGACCGCAUUUUGAAACGGGCAUAAAAAAUUCAAAAAAAUUCAAAAAAUUGGGAAACCUUCGCAUUGUGUCAUUAUAUGUGGCCAAGUUCCUAGGAAAAAUAAUAAACUUGUAAUACUACAAUUAUUUUAAAAAAGUGUUCUCAGAAAACAAGCUAUCACGUGUGGAGAUCAAUGGCUUUCAAGCCAAAUAAUCAAUCUUAUGGCCACAUCCAUGGCAUAGUUUGUUCAAAUGAUCUCAUAUUAUGCACAAGGGUGCGUAUUGGAAUGGCAAACAAUGUUGCCUAAGGAAGUUGUCACUUUCUUUGGACGAAAAAACCAUUUUCCAUUUUUUGAGUGCCCAAAAGGAGGUUUUAUUGUGAAGGACCUACCAAAUAAUUGUUGCAAAAUUGGACCAAAUCAUUUUUCUAAAAUACUAGGCCAUAUUUAAUGCACAAUUGACAAAAUGGUUGGGUGUAAAAAGUUUUGAUCCACCUCUCAUGAAAAAGACAAAUUUCCGCCGAUUCAGCUAGAAGCGGGUCAAAUUUGAACUGUAGCUACCUUGUAGUUUGCUCUUUAUUUUUUUCAAAAAUCAUUUCUAGGUACAUAAGUAUCUAUUUAAUCAUAGAAACACCAAAAAAAUUCCAAGAUUCAACCACUAGCUGGGAACGGUCAUUCCCGCCAUUUUGACCGCAUUUUGAAACGGGCAUAAAAAAUUCAAAAAAAUCAAAAAUUUGGGCAACCUUCGCAUUGUGUCAUUAUAUGUGGCCAAGUUCCUAGGAAAAAUAAUAAACUUGUAAUACGGCAAUUAUUUUAAAAAAGUGUUCUCAGAAACGAGCUAUCACGUGUGGAGAUCAAUGGCUUUCAAGCCAAAUGAUCAAUCUUAUGGCCACAUCCAUGGCAUAGUUUGUUCAAAUGAUCUCAUAUUGUGCACAAGGGUGCAUAUUGGAAUGGCAAACAAUGUUGCCUAAGGAAGUUCUCAUUUUCAUUGGACAAAAAAACCAUUUUCCAUUUUUCGAGUGCCCGAAAGGAGGUUUUUUUGUGAAGGAACUACCAAAUAAUUGUUGCAAAAUUGGACCAAAUCAUGUUUAUAAAAUACUAGGCCAUAUUUAAUGCACAAUUGAAAAAAUGGUUGGGUGUAAAUUUUUUUGAUCCACCUCUCGUGAAAAAGACAAAUUUCCGCUGAUUCACUUGGAAGCAGGUCAAAUUUGAACUGCAGCUGCCUCAUAGUUUGCUAUUUAUUUUUUCCAAAAAUCAUUUCUAGUUACAUAAGGACCUAUUUGAUCAUAAAUACAUGGUUUGGUGGCGAUACGUCGAGGUUUGGGCGAUGGCCGAGGGCCCCAACUCUAGAGCGCGUAAACUCGCAUGCCCGUCGCGUGGUCACCGCGUGACCGUAAUGUUGCCAUGUGUUGUGGGCGGCCUAGGCAUGUCUAGUGGUUGGGCACUCCCCAGGUUGGUGCUAGGAAGAAAAUUACAACAUAAGAUUCUCACGAGGAGACCGAUCGAUGCUCAAACAUGAAUUAGCAGCCACGUGUUUGAUUAGCGGUACGGGAAAUGCACAUGGACAAUGGGCGUGAGUUUUGGCUGAGGAUGAUCAUCUACUCAGGAGAAUGUCUUCACAAAUUUUUAGCUCAAAAUGAGGAUCCUAGGUGGUACUUGCUUUGCAAAGUACCAUACUGGACAAAAAUAUGAAUGUUGAAGCUGGGCUCAAAAUAAUGAAUGGAGUGAGCUGAAAUUUUGUGGAGGAUGGUUAUUUGGGCAUAGGAAAGCAUUGUAGAAAAUUGAUACCAUUUGGACAUGCCAAAGUAGUACUUCCUUCACAAUGCUCUUCUAUGGACAGAAACUUGGGAAAACUAGUGAGAGAGAUUGGAUGAAUGCAAUGAGCUCAAAAUUGGUGUAGGUAAGUUACUUAGGUAUGGUCAUGCUCUGGUAAAUUUUCAGAUCAUUUGGGUAAGCCUAGCUAGUACUUACUUGACAAAGCUUCUCUCGAGGUAGAAACUUUAAAAAUUUCCCGAGAAAGAUUUACUAGGAAAAUUGAGCUGAAUAUUAUCAUGUGGCAAUGAUUUGGGUAUGGAAGAGUGCCCGAAAAGUUUGAGGGUAAUAGGAGGGGUCUAUAUAACACUUGCUUUGCAACGUGCCAAUUUGGCCAUAAAACAUAAAUUGAACCUGGGCUCACAUAGAUGAUUUGACUGAGCUGCAAUUUGGAGGAGGUUGAUAAUUUGGGCAUAUGAAGGAACUGUAUAAAUUUCAUGUCAUUUAGAGAUAUAAAAUAGGUACUUCCUUCACAAUGCUUCUAGGUGGACAAAAACUUUGGAAAUUUGCCGAGGAAGAUUUGCUAGGCAAAUGGAGCUGAAUUUUGUCAUGCGGUAAUAAUUUGGAUAGGAAAGAGUGCCCAAAAAUUCCGAGGGCAAUCAAGAAUAUAUAAAUAGCACUUCCUUCAUAAAGUGUUGUUGUGAACAGAAUAGGAAAAUGAAUAUUGUUGAAUUAGUUUUGAACUAGGCAAAGAAGGAUUUUUUACAUAUUUGAUGAAGAUAUGCCCCAAAGAAUUUAUGAGAUUUUUUUGGGAAUUUUGGGAACGAUAGAAAUAUAGGUUGCUUCACAACCUAGGGCAAAAACUGCCACAUGGACAUGACACAUAGGCAAAACUGAUGAGAUGGCGCCUAGUCAUCACAACCCACCACAAUCUACAAGGCUAUGACCAUCUAUAUUGGUCAUUAACAACUAGAAAUAAGGCAGCGGACUAGCACUGUUUGCUUUGUGACCAUUUCGUGUAAGGAAAUUACGACCUUUCUGACCAAAAUGGUCGCAAUGGUUUAGGGUUUGGAGCCCCCUGAACAGCUUUUGACCAAUUGGUCUAAAAUGGUCAUAAAUUUAUGAUCAAUUCUUCGAGGGUCACUGAUAGAAGGUCAUAAGUUGUCAUAUUUCUUGUAGUGUUUGGUCGGCUGUUCCGGCCCGGCAGCAGCGACAUCUUUCAAUGUCGUUGUCCUCCUUGGGGAGCAAAGCCGAGGUCCAUCCUAUCCACCCCUGACCCCACCCCCUCCCGGACGAAAAUCCAAAAUCCACGUGAUUGGACAGCUACAGGUGGGCUCUGGGUGGCAAAGGGCAGUGGCGCUGGUGCAGAGGUUCACAGGUGGAGCGGUGUGUUAUCUACCAGGUGAAGAAGAUGAGUAUUGGCGGCAUGGUGCAGCUGGGAUCUCGACGACGGACAUGUCUGGAUGGACGAGUGGAGGGUAGUCGCACUGUUUAGCACCAUGGUGGCGUCGACGACAUGGCUGGCAAGAACGAUUCAUCAGCACCCACUCUGAAGAUGGAUCUGUGGAAGAUGGUGGCAAAGACCCAUGAGAGGGCGUCGGACCGGUUUGUAGCGCACACCUGGUAUGUGGCUUGGUUGCGGCCUUCAGCUUUUGAUUUUAGGCUUAGGUGAGAGAUCCGAUUAUUCGUCUCGGACUUACUGCACCGCCUUCAUACAUUGGAUAGGAGUAGCGACAGAUGUUUCCAAGAUGGUGGAUUCAGACAUAUUGAUGUAUUACUUUGUAAAGUCUUUGUGAAUAACGAAUAAACUGGCUGCAUGCAUCUCCCAGAUGCAGAGGCCGGGGCCAUCCUCCUUUUUUUAAAGGAGUAGUAUGAUGUUCCAGCGAUCAUCAUUGGAGCUGUAAUUGGCGACUUAAUUAGCCUAGACUUCUUCCACCAAUGCAAACAUACCUAAGCCCAGAGAUGCUCUUCAAGCCAUCUCGCGAACUGACAACUUUGUGAUCCCUGGAUGUGACCUCGCAGACCAUCCCCUGUGUUUUGCCCCUCCUCUAGCUACUGCUCGUGGUGCCGUCGUACUCCUAUAAGAAGGCCACUCUGAAAUUUCAGACCGAAAAGACAUGUUUAACUUGCCCAAAUACGGUGAUUGGCUACACUGUGGGUACAACAACCAACAACAAGACUUGCUUAUAGAGAAAAACAAACAGAACAUACAGCAAAACAAAGUACCUAGAGGACCAACCAACCAGGUAUAGGUUUUAUACACAGCCCGUAGGCGGGGCGGCAACACAUCCACGACACACUAGAAUAUGGACUUCACAAUGACAUCAACACACGGCAACGGUUUUCGUUCACAGGAUUACGAGCCCAAAGUUCCGACGCGAGAAUAUUCAUCUACGUUUUACGUGCCCCUUUAGUGCUAGACACCCUUUGAAAACCACUACAUCUUCAGAGACACAUGGACCGCAUAAUGCAAGGGAUUGUAUGGGGCCACACUCUUUCCCCUUCAAUUGCCGCUAAUUAGGAGUUAGGAUCACAUGCCACGAUCUGCUCUUCGAGCUGCAUCAAAAGAUGAAUAAUAGGUCAAUGAUAAAGAAAAGUACCUUCCGAAAAAUUAUUUAAGAUAAGUCUAUGGCACAUAAUGGUGCUCAAGUCACAUGGUUUCACUAAUCAGCCAUGUUACAAGUUAGCUAGUUUCUUAUUUGGGCACUUGGCGAAGCAUAAUUUAAGCUGGGAAACAAAGAAUUUCUACCACUUUUUUUGAGCUAACCUAUGCAAGUACCAAACAUGAUGAAAAAAUUACACAUAAUCAUUCAACGGCUAAAUGAGACUUUUUGGUACCUCAUACUAAGUGCUCCAAAUCUAAAUGUCAAAAGAAUUAGAUUAAGGAUUAAAGAUUGUUCCCUCUUCUCUAUCUCAAUAUGACCAAUAUAUGGGUUAUGAAACUAGUGGGAAGUUGGUAUCAAAAUCCAACAUGAGGCACAUAAGGUGCGACCUGCAUCAUUAUCUCCAACUCAUGUCGCACAUUAUAGAACUCAUUCCUAACAAGAGCCAAUGACACGAGACACCUGAAAUAAUGCAAAAAUACCAUGUUGUCAAAUUCUGAAGAGGUUAACAGAACUGAGAUGAACUGGUUCAAAAAUUGUAACCCUAUAUUUCAAAAAAUAAAAAUCUCUUGCCAUAUAAGAAUUUAGUUGUGCUAUAAACAGAAUUCUAGAGCCAACCAAGUACAAGAGAACCAUCAAAGCGUAGCAUAUUCAGAUAAUGAACCGAGUAAUAUCAACAACGUGAUUGCAAAUGAAGUGAAAAAGAAAAUCAGGUUACUUCUUAACAACGUUAGAUUGGUAUGAGCUGAAAAUAACGACAGAAAAGACAACAUGAGCUGGCAGGUUUACAUAGAGACAUUGAAAAACAAUGUUGCGAAUAAUUAUUGUGUAACAAUAUGUAAUAAGCAAUUGAGUUCUGACCCUGGUUUGUAUUCUAUGGCAUAGAAAUUGCCGAAGUGCAUGCUGGCGAGGUUCACUUGCUAUGCACCAACACUGAAACAUGCAAAAGAGAUGCAGAUCAGAAAAUUACAAACUUAUCAAACUUAUUAUGAACUAAGACAUCAACACAAUAAUAUUCUCAAGGAGCCAUUUCCUAUCAUGAUUGUCAACUCCAUAAAUUGUUUGAUGGACUAGAAAAAAACCAUUGUCGUUAUGUGCAAUAGAAGAUCAGUAGUACCAUAAAUAUUUACAAAACGACAAAGUUUUUCUUGCCAAACCAUGAAAUUGUCAUGACUACUGACAAUUCUGCUACACGAGACACAACUACAAUCAGGUCUUCUUAUUUUGGAUAUACGACACCCAAAUGAUGUACACACCCUGCGCCUGACAAGUCUGAAUAGAAACAACACCGUUCCAAUGGAGAAACAGAAAGAAUGGACAUUGACGUUAUGUAGAAUUGUAGGUCAUUAAUAGCAGCCAUGCUUAUAAAACGACAUUUUUUUCAUUCUCGACCUAGAAUAAUGGCAUUGCCCGAAGAACAGACACGAUAGUAGAAGAAACGUUUGCAAAACGACAAAAAAUCCCCUCGCCAAGCUAUACAAUUUGAUUAACAUUGGGAAGAAUACCAACAAUUUCGUUACACGAUAUAUGACUAAACUCAGCUCUUCUACCUAUGGCUAUACGACGCCAAUAAAAUGACACGAACCUCAAUUAUGCAGCCCUGUCGUGAGGUACACACCCUGUGCCAACACAUCCAAAUAAAAAACAACAUUGAUGACAUGGACAAAUUAGAAAAAACACCAUUUGAGAUACAAAUAAUAGCAGAUCAUUAAUACCAGAAAACCCACCAUUAGCAAUACACAGAAUAGCAGAUCAUUAAUACCAGGAAUAUUCCGAAAAUGACAACAAUUUAUCCUCAUCAUAACAUUGAUAUUAAUCAGGAUACCGGUAACUCCGUUACACUAAAAGCAACUAAACUCGAUUCUUCUAAUUACGCCUAUGCGGCAGUGCAACCGACAAAUAAGAAUCAUUUGCCCAGUAUAAUAAACAGAUCUGAAUCGCACGACAUGGACGUAGCAGCGGGCAAACAAACACAUGGAGUUAAAAAUAAGCAGGUGGAAGAGACAGAAAGGGUUUAUGAUGGUCAUCACCUGGAGGUGCACGGCAUGAGUUGCUGCAUUAGGGCUUCCACCUUGUCAAAGUCCACUUCGGGCUCUUCCGGUCCUCCCUGCGAUUUCCAAAGCAGAUAAUUAAGAUGAGUCAGUACCCGAGAUAGAGAGCAGAGGGAGAGAUGAUAGAGGGAAUGGGGGCGGACAUCAGGGUGUCGAUGUCGUCGAUGAUAUCGGGUGUCGUAGAUGAAGAGGCGGGAGACCUCGGCGGCGGCCUCUUUUCGCAGCUCCUCGAACAUAUAUCCUCGUCCACCACACCCUGGAUCAACGUCGACUACACCAACGCAAAGGCAGAGGCCAAGUUAGUCGGCCAGCCUGGCCAAAAUCCACAACCACAUGACUAGUGAGGAGGGGAAGGGCGUUGAGCUGCGCCCUCAGUGCUGCGGCUGCCAUGGCAAGGUGAGGAUGGGUCCGGCGGUCCGGGGGACUGAGCAGUGGAGACAUGGGGAAUUCGGCUGCGGAUGCGGAGUGAACGAGGACGGGAUCGAGGAGGAGUGGAGGUUGUAUGGCUGGGCUCACGAGGGUCUCGCACGUAGGCGUUUGGCAGCGAGUGCUCUACUAGCUGUACUGCGUCGUCGGCUGCUACCUCUUGAGCACUACGUUAGUUUUUCCUUGAAGAGGAAAGGGUGAUGCAACAAAGUAGCGUAAGUAUUUACCUCAGUUUUUGAGAACCAAGGUAUCAAUCCAGUAGGAGGCUACGCGCCAGUCCCUCACAGCUACACAAAACAAAUAAAUCCUUGCAACCAAUGCGAUAAGGGGUUGUCAAUCCCUACAUGGUCACUUACGAGAGUGAGAUCUGAUAGAUAUGAUAAGAUAAUAUUUUGGUAUUUUUAUGAUAAAGAUGCAAAGUAAAAUAAAAGGCAAUGAAUAUAACUAAGUGUUGAAAGAUUAAUAUGAUGGAAAUAGACUCGGGGGCCAUAGGUUUCACUAGUGGCUUCUCUCAAGAGCAUACGUAUUUUACGUGGGUGAACAAAUUACUGUUGAGCAAUUGACAUAAUUGAUCAUAGUUAUGAGAAUAUCUAGCUAUGAUCAUGUAUAUAGGCAUCACGUCCGGGACAAGUAGACCGACUCCUGCCUGCAUCUACUACUAUUAUUCCACACAUCGACCGCUAUCCAGCAUGCAUCUAGACUAUUAAGUUCAUAACAGAGUAACGCUUUAAGCAAGAUGACAUGAUGUAGAGGGAUAAAUUCAUGCAAUAUGAUAAAAAAACCAUCUUGUUAUCCUCGAUGGCAACAAUACAAUAUGUGCCUUGCUGCCCCUACUGUCACUGGGAAAGGACACCGCAAGAUUGAACCCAAAGCUAAGCACUUCUCCCAUUGCAAGAAAGAUCAAUCUAGUAGGCCGAACCAAACUGAUAAUUCGAAGAGACUUGCAAAGAUAACCAAUCAUACAUAAAAGAAUUCAGAGAAGAUUCAAAUAUUGUUCAUAGAUAAACUUGAUCAUAAACCCAUAAUUCAUCGGUCUCAACAAACACACCACAAAAGAAGACUACAUCGAAUAGAUCUCCACAAGAGAGGGGAGAACUUUGUAUUGAGAUCCAAAAAGAGAGAAGAAGCCAUCUAGCUAAUAACUAUGGACCCGAAGGUCUGAGGUAAACUACUCACACUUCAUCGAAGAGGCUAUGGUGUUGAUGUAGAAGCCCUCAGUGAUCGAUGCCCUCUCCGGCGGAGCUCCGGAACAGGCCCUGAGAUGGGAUCUCGUGGAUACAGAAAGUUACGACGGUGGAAUUAGGGUUUUGGCUCCGUAUCUGGUAGUUUGGGGGUACGUAGUUAUAUAUAGGAGGAAGGAGUACGUCGGUGGAGCAACAGGGGGACCACGAGGGUGGAGGGCACGCCUGGGGGGGUGUAGGGGCGCCCCUACCUCGUGGCCUCCCUGUUGGUUGCUUGACGUAGGGUCCAGGUCUCCUGGAUCUUGUUCGUUCCAAAAAUCACAUUCCCAAAGGUUUUAUUCCGUUUGGACUCUGUUUGAUAUUCCUUUUCUUCGAAACCCUAAAAUAGGCAAAAAAAACAACAAUUCUGGGUUGGGCCUCCGGUUAUAGGUUAGUCCCCAAAAUAAUAUAAAAAUGGAUAAUAAAGCCCAAUAAUGUCCAAAACAGAAGAUAAUAUAGCAUGGAGCAAUCAAAAAUUAUAGAUACGUUGUUGACAUAUCAAGCAUCCCCAAGCUUAAUUCCUGCUCGUCCUCGAGUAGGUAAAUGAUAAAAACAGAAUAUUUGAUGUGGAAUGCUACUAGGCAUAAUUUCAAUGUAAUUGUUCUUAAUUGUGGCAUGAAUAUUCAGAUCUGAAAGGUUCAAGACAAAAGUUUAAUAUUGACAUAAAAAUUAUAAUACUUCAAGCAUACUAACUAAGCAAUUAUGUCUUCUAAAAAUAACAUGGCCAAAGAAAGUUAUCCCUACAAAAUCAUAUAGUCUGGCUAUGCUCUAUCUUCACCACACAAAGUAUUUAAAUCAUGCACAACCCCGAUGACAAGCCAAGCAAUUGUUUCAUACUUUUGACAUUCUCAAACUUUUUCAAUCUUCACGCAAUACAUGAGCGUGAGCCAUGGACAUAGCACUAUACGUGGAAUAGAAUGGUGGUUGCGGAGGAGACAAAAGGGAUAAGAUAGUCUCACAUCAACUAGGCAUAUCAACGGGCUAUGGAGAUGCCCAUGAAUAGAUAUCAAUGUGAGUGAGUAGGGAUUGCCAUGCAACAGAUGUACUAGAGCUAUAAGUGUAUGAAAGGUCAAAAAGAAACUAAGUGGGUGUGCAUCCAACUUGCUUGCUCACGAAGACCUAGGGCAUUUUGAGGAAGCCCAUCAUUGGAAUAUGCAAGCCAAGUUCUAUAAUGAAAAAAAUUCCCACUAGUAUACGAAAGUGAUAACAUAGGAGAUUGUCUAUCAUGAAGAUCAUGGUGCUACUUUGAAGCACAAGUGUGGUAAAAGGAUAGUAGCAUUGUCCCUUCUUGCUUUUUCUCUCAUUUUUUUAUUUGGGCUUCUUUGGCUUCUUUUUAUUUUAUUUUAUUUUAUUUUUCGUCCGGAGUCUCAUCCCGACUUGUUGGGGAAUCAUAGUCUCUGAGGGAGUCCUGGAUUAGGAGGUCUCCGGACAGCCAGACUAUCUCCAUUUGCCGGACUGUUGGACUAUGAAGAUACAAGAUUGAAGACUUUGUCUCGUGUCCGGAUGGGACUCUACUUGGCGUGGAAGGGAAGCUAGGCAAUACGGAUAUGGAUAUCUCCUCCUUUGUAACCAACCUUGUGUAACUCUAACCCUCUCCGGUGUCUAUAUAAACCGAAGAGUUUUAGUCCGUAGGACAACAAUCACAACAUACAAUCAUACCAUAGGAUAGCUUCUAGGGUUUAGCCUCUCUGAUAUUGUGGUAGAUCUACUCUUGUACUGCUCAUAUCAUCAAUAUUAAUCAAGCAGGACGUAGGGUUUUACCUCCAUCAAGAGGACCCGAACCUGGGUAAAACAUCGUGUCCCCUGCCUCCUGUUACCAUCCGGCCUAGACGCACAGUUCGGGACCCCCUACCCGAGAUCCGCCGGUUUUGACACCGACAUUGGUGCUUUCAUUGACAGUUCCUCUGUGUCGUCGCCAUUCAUCGAUAGCGAUGCGAUCCAGGGUGAGACUUUUCUCCCCAGACAGAUUUUCGUAUUCGGCGGCUUUGCACUGCGGGCUAAUUCGCUUGGCCGUCUGGAGCAGAUUGAAAGCUACGCCCUUGGCCAUCAGGUCAGAUUUGGAAGUUUGAACUACACGGCCGACAUCCGCGGAGACAUGAUCUAAGACGGAUUCGAGCCAUAGCCGGGCGCGCCGCACUGUCGCGAUGGGUAUGACCUAGCUCUGCCGUCGAACAGUACACCAGAGGCUGCGCCCGCAUCAGCUCCGACCCUUAGCUCGGAGCCAACUGCGCCAGUCGAGGAUGGGUGGUUAGACACCGCAUUAGAGGCUGCAGUCUCAACAGCGAUCGAGCCGAACACCAGCAUAACCCUCUGCGCAGCCUGUGACUCCAAGGUGCCGGACUCUUUUCCGGGCUCCGAACCAUCCGCACCCCUGCCAAUCGAAUCUGAUUGGGCGCUGAUCAUGGAAUUCACUGCCGCGGAUAUCUUUCAGCACUCGCCCUUCGGCGACAUUCUGAAUUCACUAAGGUGUCUCUCUUUCUCAGGAGAGCCCUGGCCGGAUUAUGGCCAACGGGAUUGGGAUGAGGACGACGAAGAAAUUCGACGCCCACCCACCACCCACUUCGUAGCCACUGUUGAUGAUUUAACCGACAUGCUCGACUUCGACUCCAAAGACAUCGACGGUAUGGACGACGAUGUAGGAGACGAACAUGAACCGGCACCUAUAGGGCACUAGAAAGCCACCUCAUCAUAUGACAUAUACAUGGUGGAUACACCUAAAGAAGGCAAUGGCGACAGGAUAGCGGAAGAUGACCCCUCCAUGAAGCAACCCAAACUCCGCCGUCAGCGGCGCCACUCUAAGUCCCGCCAAAGCAAAAGUGGUGAUACCAGCACAGGAGAUAAUCACACUUCGGAUAGUGCCGAAGAAAAGAAAAAAAAACCUCCAGCAAGAUUUAGAGCAGGAGGACGGAGGAGCCAGCUCUCCUGAAAGAGCGGCAGACGGAGAGGAGGAGGAUGACACUCACAUGCCCCCCUCCGAAGACGAGUCAAGCCUCGGCGACGAUGAAUUUGCCAUACCAGAGGAUCCCGUCGAACAAGAGAGCUUCAAGCGCCGGCUUAUGUGUCAGGACCCCGACUCAAUGCCACAUCGAUCUAGCAUGUAACACCUCAUAUCACUUUGCGGCCUCACGCACGGUAUUCCCACGGGUGUCGCCUUACCUUUGCCCGGGACCGUUUGCGCCUUUUGGCACACGUAUAUGAUAGUGUCGCUAGCAUCCAUAUGAUAAGGAGCCCGGGCUGACAUGGCUAGUCAUAAACCCAAAGUGGCACAGACUUACAGGGACAGGCAUCCAUGACCCAGCAUCGAACGUGUCGGUCAUCAGCGAGUGAAUCCAGGCUGUAGCACUGGGCUAGCAGGACUCCGGUGAACCGGGCUGUAGCGGGCUAACAGGACUCCGGUAUUCAUCGCGUGACAUUUCCCCGAAGGGACAGACACAGGAACGAAGAAGGACACAUGCCGGCCAGCCUAAGUGUUCCGGAGCAGUAGCAAGCUACCAUGGCUCGGUGGAAACACUAGGAGACAUUUCCCCGUAAGAGAGGCUACUAAAGAUAAACAACUAGAUGGUCAGAUCCCACACAUAUCAAGCAUUUCAAUAACAUACACACAAUAUGCUCGAUAUGUGCAAAUACAACAUGGCAUCACAACAUGACUCUAUAACUCAAGUAUUUUAAUCAAUAGGCUCCGAGGAGCGAGAUAUUACAAACAUGGGUCUCAUGACCCAACAAUCAGAGCAUACAAGUCAAAGCACAAGCGGAAGCUAUCAUGUCUGAGUAAAGACAUCUAUAAAUGAAAAAGGCUGAGAAGCCUGACUAUCUACCAGAUCCUGCCGAGGGCACAAGAUCGUAGCUGAGGUAACAAGCUAAACGUCGAAGUCCACGCGAAACUACUAGCGAGACCGAAGUCUCUCUGCAAAAACAUAAAUAGGCAAACGUGAGUACAAAUGUACCCAGCAAGACUUACAUCAGAACUAACUACAUAUGCUUCAUUAUCAACAAAGGGGUGGUGGGGUUUAACUGCAGCAAGCCAGCUUUGACUCGGUGGCUAUCCUAAACUACGACUGCAAGUAACUCUUUUGAGGUGGCGCACACGAGUCCACAUAUUCACCAUGUCAAUACACCACUAUGGAUCCGCUUCCGUCUCCCUACGAGAACGCCAUCCAUAGCACUCACGCUUAUCUUGCGUAUUUUAGGGUAUCCACUUUCACUUGUCUAUGAACUGAUAUAAGCAACCCAGAAGUCCUUUUCCGUGGAUACGGCUAUUCGAAUAGAUGAUGAUAACCCUGCAGGGGUGUACUUCUUCAUACAUGUUUCCACCACUUAGCGUCUGCACACGACAUGUGCUCGGCAGACUUCAAGCAAAAGCCGACGUGGGUGUAGACCACGACCUACCUAACCACCUAAGUCUCUAGUCCAGGUUUAUCGCCUAUUCGGGUUCCAUCCAUGAGGAGAUCCGGCCGGAGUUUCGCUCACAGCCCCAAACGAUGUGAACAGGGUUCCGUGACACCAAACGGGCGCCCGGUAUACCCGGCCACGUGCCUACCGCAUCACAGCCCACCCCUACGGUCAGCGCUGUCCACGGCCUCCAGCAUACUACAAACACCAGAAACUACUUGCAACUCCUGGACAGAGGACAAGGGUGAUUAAGAAGUCGAGCGGGGUCAUAUUUCAGGGCCCAAUGUAUGGUAGUAACUGAAUCAUGGAUCACAAACACAGAACUCAGUUCCUGAGGACGGCUACAAUGAGACAACCCACCAUGUACUCCUACAUGGCCUCUCACCGCUACCUUUACCAAAUCGUGUUCACACACUUAGCUCACACACAGUAGGACAUGUUCACACGCCUCUGAUUCAUCCCCGAUGAAUCAGACCUGACUCAACUCUAAGCAGUAGCAGGCAUGACAAACAAACAUGAAUGAGUAGGCACAACAGGGCUCAAACAACUCCUACUCAUGCUAGUGGGUUUCAUCUAUUUACUGUGGAAAUGACAGGUCAUGCAGAGGAUAAAGGGGUUCAGCUACCGCAGCAAGUAACAGAUAAAUCGGUGUUGUCCUAAUGCAUUAAAAGAGAGCAGGAGCGAGAGAGUAGGAUUGUAUCGGAAUGAACAAGGGGGUUUUGCUUGCCUGGCACUUCUGAAGAUAACAUUGAGUCUUCAUCAGUGUCAACGAUCACAUCAUCGGUAUCACGUCUAUCGAGAGGGGACAAUUACCGGCAACACAGAAGGGAACACAAUCAAUGCAAUGCACAAUAUGAUGCAUGAUCAUGACAUGGCAAAAUGAAUGUGUUUUGGGCUAAUGCAUCUAGCAACAGAUUAAAUGAAGUUGGUUUGAAUACAAAAUUCAAAUUCAAACUCCAUAUGUGAUUAUUCAAAUGCCAUUCAAUAUGAUUUGUGCUAAACAGCAGCAAUAAGUUGUUCUAACAUGCAUGAAAAUGGUACAGAUGGAUUCCUUGAAUUUUUCUGAUAAUUUUUCAUAUAUAAAUUAUUUAAUUUGGAGUUACGGUUGAAUUUCUAUGAAUUUUAGAAGUUUAUACAAUUUUCUGGAAUUUUCUGAAAUAAAAUAAAUCCAGAAAACACUUAUUGCGUCAGCCUGAUGUCAUGAUGACAUCAGCAGGUCAACGGGGCAGGUUCAGGUCAAACCUGACCAGUGGGGUCCACUGGUCAGUGACUGGGGCUGCUUAGUGCCGCUGACGGGUGGGCCCAGUCAACGGCCACGCCAGCACGGUCAAAACUGACGCGUGGGGCCACUGCAAUUAGACUAAACUAAACAGAAAAAAUACUAAUCCUAAUUAGGCGCAGGGGCCCACAUGGCAGUGGCUCAUAGGGUGAUUAGCCCCUAACUAAGUGGCCACAUCGGCCCGCCGGAGUUUGGCCGGCGGUGACCACAGAGCACGGCGGAGCACGCCGGACUUGCGCUAGGGGCAUCGGAUUCAUGCGCUGAGGGCACCGAGGCGUAGCCCGGGCUCUCCCGCAUCUGAUGGGGUAGGUGGGAGGCUGCGGGGACGCCGGGGCUCGCCGGAACGGAGCUCGCGGCGGCGCCGGAGUUCGGGCAACGGCGGGUUCGGCGCUAUGGUGCAUGGGAGGAGGGGUUGGUGGGCGCUACGGGCUCCUAGGAGUGCUCUGAGUACGUCUGCGUGCUCGGUUUGGACGGAGGUGAACCAAAACGACGACGGCGACAAGUCCGGCGCCGGUGAGGUCUCGGUCUCGACGGAAACGACGGAUACGACGAGCUAAUGGACAUGGGAGAAGGGGGGAUCCGUAGAGGAGCUCACGGCGGGGUCGUCGGUGAUCUCAGAGAGCUCGGGGAGGCGUCGGAGGCGACGAAUCGACGGCGGCGGUCCUCGGUGGCCGAGGAGGGGAAAAGCGUCGGGACGGCGCUUCGGGGCUUCUCCGGUCGCGUGAGCCGACGGGGAGGUCGAGGGAGGCACUGCGGAGCUCAGGAGCACGUCGGGGAGGAGAGGGGGUGGCGGUGGCCGCGAGGAAGCUUGUCGGUGGCGGCGGCUCUGUUCGGUCCGGGCGAGAGAGAGGGAACAGAGGAGAGAUGGGGACGAGGGAGUGAGCGGGAGGGUUCCAGGGUGAGUGAGAGAGAGGCCAGGGGUGUCGUGGCGUCGUGGGAGGAACCAGGGGAGGAGGAGGCAGCCAGGCAGGGAGGAGGUGGCCGGGGCGCGUGGCCGCGCGCGCCGGGCGCGUGCCCGUCCUCCUGGCAGAGGAGGAAGGCGACAGGGGAGGGAGGCGGUGGUGGGCUGGGCCAGCGGGAGGAGCUGGGCCGGCUUGGCUGGACAGGUAAGCGCCAGGUAGGCUUCUGUUCUUUUAUUUAAUUCUGUUCUGUUUUCUUUUAUUUAAUUCUUUUGCCACUGUUUGAAUUUUAAAAAUAAUUCAAACAAUGCCAAAAACUCCUCUGAAUAUUUUUAUUUUGCUAGAUGGACUUUUCCAAAAGCUUAUAAAAUAUUUCAGGGGUAAUUGAAAUUAUAUUCUAAUUAUAUGAAUAUAAUUCAAAUUCAAAUAGCUAAUGAUUUAAAUUCAAAGUCCCAAAAUAAAUCCUUUUAAAAUGUUCAUUAUUUUUGGUUUGGAUCAAAGCCCUUGCCAAAAAUAUUAAACAUCUGAGAAGAGCAUUUUGGAGCAAUGAAUGAGAUUUCUAGGGUUUUUUUUGCCCCUCUUUUAUUUAAGUUUUUGAGGCUUCCAAAAUUCCUCAAUUCAAGUUUCGAAAAUGUAGACAUGAUGCACACAUGAAGCUAGCCUAGAGCAUAACAGGACCAGGGAUGUGACAACUCACCCCCACUAAACAAGAAUCUCGUCUCGAGAUUCAAGUGUAGGGUAAGGUGAAGGGGUAACGCAAACUAGUAUAAUCUUCACGAUCCAGGGUGCACUUCAGUUGAACGUUGAUUCAUUCACCAUCAUUGUCUUGAAGUCUUGCCUUGAUAAAUCCUGUCAACAUGACAUGGAGGGAAGAAGGAGACUCUAGAAGGGUCGAUCUUCUCGAAGAUCGAACAACUCAGGAUUAACUCACGGAAUGAGACAUAGAACCAUCUCUCGGGUUGAGACACGAGAUACACAUCAAGAGGGGUGGAAAGAAACGGAUGACCAAGGUUCACUAGGUAGACAACAAUUCCACACCUAAGAAGGUGGUAAACGAUUGUCAACGUAGCGAGGAGUUGAGUUGCCAUGAUACCACGACGAAACAUCCUGAAGGAGGGUGAUUCGUAGAUUAUUAUCUUAAGUGGCAAAAAGAAUUACCUUUGAUAUAGAGAUCAUUGAGACUCUCUAUAUCAUCCUAAGGCAAAUCACAGCAAUCGAUUGGAGGGGGUCGGUAGAAUGGCAUACUCGGACUUGGAUGAUGUGGAUUACCUUGUUGAAGACAACGCAAUGGAUGAUUUUUGCUUAUCACCGGAAAUGGAAGAGACCCAUGGUAGAAUGGCCCAUUGGUGGUGCAAGCUGGGAACAAAAUGCAAAUGAUGGUAAUGAUUCUGGUAACUAGGGAAGAACCCAACAAUAAAGAGUGAAUUCACUGGUUGAAAAGGUCAUAGCAUUGCCGAGGAAACUGAGAGGAAUCCCUUGCCAAAAAUAUUAAACAUCUGAGAAGAGCAUUUUGGAGCAAUGAAUGAGAUUUCUAGGGUUUUUUUUGCCCCUCUUUUAUUUAAGUUUUUGAGGCUUCCAAAAUUCCUCAAUUCAAGUUUCGAAAAUGUAGACAUGAUGCACACAUGAAGCUAGCCUAGAGCAUAACAGGACCAGGGAUGUGACAUUAUGGCCACGGCAAAUAGCCUGAAGAAAAAGCAGCAGUAGCUUCAAGCUGAUUAAGAUCUGCUAGCUGACAAAUGGACAGAAGUCCUCGCGGCUGAGGAAUAUAAACUCGAGUGCCCCUCCAAGAGUUACCCAAGGCGCAGGUUACUACCCCGACUGGAGGAAGAAGCAUAUGAUAUGGCUGAUCGGCCACCUCGUGGCCGCGAUAGAGAGGCAUUCCAGCUAAAAGCUCAGCCUCCACCCCAACGCCAUUCAAAUAAAAAGGCAUGGGGAGAUACGCCAGACCUGCGAGACAUAUUGGAGGACAAGGCAAAGCAUUCAAGAUUGAUCUACGGAUCACGAGGGCGCACCACUCUGCGAGACGACAAACGUCACGCCGUAUACAGUAAAAGCAAAUCCGGCCAGGCCGAACACAGCGGGUAAGACCCAUUCGAGCUGCAUCGCGAUAUAGCCCAAUACAGAGGCGCGGCACACCCCUUAUGCUUCACAGACGAAGUAAUGGAACAUCAAUUCCCAGAAGGUUUCAAACCUGUAAAUAUUGAAGCAUACGACGGCACAACAGAUCCCGCGGUAUGGAUUGAGGACUUCCUCCUCCACAUCCACAAGGCCCGCGGCGAUGACUCACACCCCAUCAAAUACCUCCCACUAAAGCUCAAGGGACCAGCGCGGCAUUGGCUUAACAGCUUGCCAGCGGACUCCAUUAGCUGUUGGGAAGAUCUGGAAGCCGCAUUCCUCGACAACUUUCAGGGCACUUAUGUGCGACCACCAGACGCCGAUGACUUGAGCCACAUAAUUCAGCAGCCAGAAGAGUCGGCUAGGCAAUUCUGGACUCGGUUCCUUACAAAGAAAAAUCAAAUCGUCGACUGUCCGGAUGCGGAGGCCUUAGCGACUUUCAAGCACAACAUCCGAGACGAGUGGCUAGCCCGGCACCUUGGUCAGGAAAAGCCGAAAUCUAUGGCAGCUCUCACGACGCUCAUGACCUGCUUUUGUGCGGGAGAAGACUGCUGGCUGGCUCGCAGUAAUAACAUAUCAAAGAACCAUGGUACCUCAGAUACCAAGUACGGCAAUAGCAGGUCACGCCGCAACAAGCAUAAGCGCCGCAUUAACAGCGACAAUACUGAGGAUACAACAGUCAAUGCCGGAUUCAAAGGCUCUAAACCCGGUCAGCGGAAAAAGCCAUUCAAACAAAGUACGCCGGGUCUGUCCAGCUUGGACAGUAUACUCGAUCGCUUGUGUCAAAUACACGGCACCCUAGACAAGCCAGCCAAUCACACCAACAGGGAUUGUUGGGUGUUCAAGCAGGCCUACAAGUUAAUUGCCGAAAACAAGGACAAGGGGCAGCAUAGCGAUGACGAGGAAGAGCCCCGGCAGCCUCACACCGGAGGACAGAAGAGGUUUCCCUCGCAAGUGCGGACGGUGAAUAUGAUAUACGCAAUCCACAUCCCCAAGAGGGAGCGGAAGCGUGCGCUCAGGGACGUAUAUGCGCUGGAGCUAGUCGCCCCAAAAUUCAACCCUUGGUCCUCCUGUCCGAUCACCUUCGAUCGCAGGGACCAUCCCACUAGUAUCCGUCAUGGCGGAUUCGCCGCACUGGUCCUAGACCCAAUCAUUGACGUAUUUCACCUCACUCGAGUCCUUAUGGAUGGCGGCAGCAGCCUGAACCUUUUUUAUCAGGACACAGUGCGCAAAAUGGGUAUAGUCCCCUCAAGGAUCAAACCCACAAAAACGACCUUUAAGGGCGUCAUUCCAGGUGUAGAGGCCCAUUGCACAGGCUCAAUUACACUGGAAGUGGUCUUCGGAUCCCCGGAUAACUUCCGAAGCGAAGAGUUAAUCUUUGAUAUAGUCCCGUUCCGCAGUGGUUAUCACGCGCUGCUCGGGCGAACCGCAUUCGCUAGAUUAAAUGUUAUACCGCAUUAUGCAUACCUCAAGCUCAAGAUGCCAGGACCUCGUGGAGUUAUUACAGUCAAUGGAAACACAGUGCGCUCUCUCCGAACAAAGGAGCACACCACGGCCCUCGCAGCAGAAGCGCAAAGCAGCCUCUCAAGGCAAUCAACCAGUUCGGCGCUUCAAAGCCCGGACACCGUCAAGCACGCUCGGGGCAAUCGGCAAAUAGACCGCCUGGCGCGAUCUAAGCUCGCGUAGAAAUACGGCGGCCACCCCAAUCCCAGCCCAACGGCGAUAUUCAUGCCGUGCGUACAUAAUUACGCAUUAAAAAUACCAUGGGCACAUGUGGGGAGGGGGCCACAACUGCGGUAGGCCCCAAAACGCGGCCUAAACCGUACUAGGGGCUUCCUGUUUGGUUAUUUUUCUUUUUCUUUCAGGACCUUAAUCUCUGGAAACACUGUCCGGCAGCACUAUUGCUGAACACAUGAUGCAGCAACCAAGGAGGCAGACAGCUAUGUUAUACCACGGAAUUCCCAGGUUGAUUACAGUAAUGAGUGAAAUAUUCAAUUCAACAUCAUUCUUCAGCUUGCCCUUGGAAGGGACAUAGUCCUAUUCUUUGCUUAUUGCACUAUCUGUAUCACUCUGCUUUAACGCAAUUUUUUAAUAAACAAUGCAUGACAUUAUGACUAUUAUUGCAUUUUUGUUAUAUAUAUAUAUAUAUGUGUGUGUGUGUGUGUUCAUUAAUGACGCCUUGCAACCGUACACUCUGGUACGACCAAUACACCAGCGGCUUAUGUACCCCACAAUGCGGUGUGAAAAGUCCGAACACUUUCACAAGUGCGGCACCCCGAACUUAUAGCAUUAUAUGCAUCAACUCUGAAUCAUGUCUUUGGUCAAAUGUUGGGUUUGCCCGGCUCCUAUGUUUUGGUACCUUACGUUCCGCUCUAUCGGCUAAUUAAGGUAGCGCUAGGACAAUUACUGCGAUUGUGCCCCGGUUCUGCCGGGCUUAACACCUCAGUAGAGAAAGCUAAAACUGACUGUCAUGAUAAGGUGAGAGACUGGUCGCUGUUCGGCGAGGUUUUUUGAGUCCCUAAAGACUUAUGCCGCUUAGGGCGAGGGGCCGGCCUUGUCCGCCUUACAGGCGUGUAUCGCGCCCCGAAUUCGGUCUUCCGAAUAUCAGGGGCUUCACCAAAAUUUAAAAUUAUAGAAUUCUAUUGCUAAGUGAGAGUGAUAAAGCAUUAUUAGUCCUGUUGCCUUGUUCGUUGUGCUAAGCACCUCCCUCGAAGGACCCAAAUAUGGGAACAAGAGUGCUCAGGUUUAUCCCGAACACCCCAGCACUCGUGGCAUGGGGGCAGAAGCCGAGGACUAGCCAUCUCUCAGAUUGGAUAAACAGCCAAACAGAAGGUAAUAUUUUAAAUUCCAACAAGAGUUACAUAGCGCAUAUGAAACAAGUUUUCAUACAUACAUGAUAAAACGAGCAAGUCUCAUUCAAAUAUUACAUCUUUUGAACACUCGUCCGCGACGAGACGGGCACCCGGCAGAACACCCUCGUAGUACAUCUCGGGGUGGCAGUGCUCCUUGCCCUCUGGCGGCCCCUCCUUGAUCAGCUUCACGGCGUCUAGCUUGACCCACUGCAAUUUCACAUGGUCGAAAAGCCCGGCGUGCACCUUCAAUGCAGACAGAUCGCUUGACGACCUUCAGCCGCGGGCAGGCAUCCACAAGCCGCCUCACCAGGCCGAAGAAGCUGUUCGGAAGGGCGUCGCCAGGCCACAACCGAACUAUAAAGCUCUUCAUGGCCUGAUAGGCCGCCUUAUGUAGCUCGACCAUCUGCUUCAGCUGGUCGCUCAUUGGCACCGGAUGUUUGGCCUCAGCAUAUUGAGACCAGAACAGCAUCUCCGUCGAGCUUCCGUCCUCGGCCUGGUAAAAUUGUGCGGCAUCGGACACACUACAGGGAAAAUCUGCGAAUGCUCCUGAAGAGCUCCGGAUCCGGGUAAGGCAUAAGGACCGAGGGAAUUUGCGGAACCUCCUCUUCACGAAGCUGCACGAACGAUACAAGUUCCCCGCCGAAUUUGAAAACACACGCCUCUCAGGGAAUAAAGUGAACAGUGCCACCCUCACGAAGAUGAGCAUGGCCCUGUCUACUUGGAAAAGCGCGGUGAAGAGAAUGAUUGAUAAAGGUGAUAGUUAUGAGAAGAUCAAGGCGAAAUAUCCUUUGAUGAGCGAAGAUGAGUACAAGGAGUUCAAGAUCAAGUGCGAGCGCAGUGCAACCUCCGAAUCAAGUCCGUGGGGGAAAGAAAUGCGGGAUUUGAACUUAGGGGAAAAUAAACUCGGUCCCGGCGGUUACAGAGUGGCGGAGCCUAUAUGGGACAAGGAGGACGCGGAGCGUGCCGAGCAAGCCCUACCGCCCCGCUUCGAGAAAUACAGCGGUGACAAGCAGACCAGGAACUAUGUCAGGGCCCGGUACAAGGAGGACCCGAUAACAAAGGAGCUUACCACGGAUCCGAAGACCAGGGCGCUUGAGCUUCUUCUGGUAAGGAAUACACCCCCGCGUAAUUAGCUCCAUAUGGUUGCACUCUAAUUAAUUCCUAAUAUUUCUAAAUGGUUCACGUUCCUUUCGCAGGACACUAAAAGCAGUAGCACGGGGUCGUAUAAGAGCUCCCCUUUCGACACCCCUUUAAAUAGGGCGUUGAACAUAAUGAAAAACAAGGAUAAGCUCACUAAGACGACAUCAGCUGGUCGUGUGGCCGGCAAAGGCUUGUCCACAAAAUGGGGGUCAUACUAUACCGCUGGUGUGCGGAAGGAGAAAAAGACCAGCUCGGAAAGCCAGACGCGCGAGGUUGAAGAACUCAAGGCACAAGUGGCGCGGAUUCCAGAGCUUGUCCAAGAGCAAGUGCAACAACAACUUGGAACGACGCUCAACGCCAUGGUGCCUACAUUGAUUCAUGGGCUGACAACGUGGAUUGCGGGCGGCCAAUAGGGGCCUCCCCGAUUCCCAACUUCACGGCCAGCAACUCGCACAGCGCGCAGGCAGCGCCACUGGUGUCUCCAGCGGCGCCAUUGGUGUCUCCGGCGGUGGCGCCAUUGGUGUCUCCGGCGGAUGCGGUAUUCGUGUCUCCGGCGCCGGCACGGGCAUUGGAGCUUAAUGCACCCGGGUGUACGCCGGCCGGCACCUCGCCAGUAAGCGCCCCCUUUGUCAGUUGCACACCCGCCGUUGGCGGUGCAUCGACAUGAGCCGAACUCGACGGCAUCACGGUAACCAAGCCUCUCGGCUGAUGACUUCAUCUCCUUGCCUUUGACUGGGCAUCCCUGACGCCCUGUACAUGUUUUCAUAGGGCACCACCGAUGUUCCUUGCACACUUCUGCAUUUUGUGGGCGCCGAGUUGGUCGAUGUCGCCAAGGGCAGAAUCGUUCAACCGGGCAACCCCAUGUUCCACGGUAAUCCGAUGCCACCCACGAUGUAUAGGGUUGAAGUGGUUCGGGUGCUGCCAGGCUGCGACGAGCUGUUACCUCCGAUUCGACCCGCUGGGGCCGACGAAGAAGAUGAGAUGACCCUCAGCACCUGCGUAAACUGGCCCCUGCUUUGGCCGAAGAGCCAGAUUCGUUUGGGGGCGGGGGACACCACCCCACAGACAAGACGGCCAGUCGUGCCGGCGCCAAGCCAUGGCAAGAACGCCGCAAUGCUACCGGACCUGCCGGACAUCCCUAUGGCACAGGAUCCGGACAGCCCUAUGGCACAGGAUCCGGACGGCGACGACAACGACGACGGUACAUUUACCAAAGUUGAUAAGUACUUUGCCGAACAUGGGUACGCUGACGAGUUCUGCGGGCCUCUUUCUCAAGAACCCAACCAAGACGACCGCGAUCUAGCUGGUACGGCGGAGAAAUCCAAUUGCAACAGGCGUCGUCUGGCGUUCAGUUCUCAGGACACGCCUCCAGCUCCUGCCUUCACCGAGCCUCAGAUAGCUGAGGUGCGAAAUAUUAUCAGCCCCAACACGCUCAAGAAGGCGGUCUGUGAGCAGAAGUCGGUCCCAUUACAGGAGAUCAAGAAGAAGGGACGGAAACGAAAGACUAACAAGGGCGCCGGUGCGAGCCAGCCGGCACCGAGUUCAAUCCGUGCUCAGGACGGGCCACCUUCACCUAGGGAUAUCUCGAGGAGGGUGCAUGUGGCAGGUAGGGCGAUGCUACCGCCAAAUAUGCUGAAUGCUGCAACCGGUGCUAUGCGUUGUCUGCACGACAGUGUUCUUUCUUUGGAGAAGCGGCGUCUCAGAGAGAAGGAUGUGGCAUACCCGGUUUUCGUGGCCAAAGUGCCAGAGGGCAAGGGCUUUGUGGAUGGCGACAUCGGGGGUACGAUUGUCCUGUGGUUUGAUGACAUCUUUGCUAUGUUUAACCUUCAUCCGCUGCAUUACACCUUCGUUCGGCUGUUUUCGCUGAGUAUGGAGAUGCGGAUCAUUAGAUACAAGACCCCAGACAUCGUGAUAGUCGACCCCUUCUACAUGCGUGCCAAGCACUUGAGCAGCGCUGGGGACCGCCAAGUUGCGAGUUCACACCUCGAAGGCGUCAUUCUGGCAAACCCAGAUAAGGAUAACUUCCUUGUGCCAUACUUUCCUGAGUUAGUCAUCCCUUAACCGCCCCGUAACAUAUGAUUUCUUAGAUUUCGAUCGUUUUUUUCUAACAUUCCGUGUUCUUAGCAGUGACACACAUUGCACACUCAUCCUCUUAAGCCUGAAAUAUUCCAUGGCCACGUAUUUAGACCUGAACCGUAACUCCAAGAUAGACUACACAAAUGUCAAGCAAGUUCUUGAUGAUGUUCUCCCCGCCUACGCCAAAUCUAGAGGCACCUUCACCAGGGCAGUUCGUAAGUACGGCAAGCACAUGUUCUCACACAAUACGAAGUUCUGCUGCGUCAAGCAGCCGCCUGGCGGUCAAAAGGAUGCCUACUACACCCUCCAUCACAUGCGGGCGAUCGUAAGGGACCAUCAUCAACUUCUGCAACCAGAUAAUCUCAAAGAUUGGGCCACGAGCUUGUCGGCAGUCCAGGUCGCGGACCUCAGACAAGAAUUCUUUCGCAUCCAGUCGGAGUUUGCGGACAUCAUCCAUCAAGAUGUCCUUCAUACCUCGGGGUAGUUCUUCCUCAGAUAUCAACCGUCCAACAGUGAGAUAGAUGAAAUGCUACAAAUGCAGGGUGACAACGACCACGAUUUCAUGACCAUCACGACAGACGGCGGCUUCUUCCACGUUCUUGUCCGAUGAGUCGAGUCGAAAGUAGUGAUGUGUAGUUCUGAAACAUUGAUUGGCUCAUGUUGUAAUUAUACUUUAAUGAAUUCGUAUGUCUCUUUGGUUUGGACAGUCAUUCAACUUAGAUGUAAUCGAUGCUAUUUAUUAGUAGGACCAUGAAUCGUGCUAUUAAUUGUCACAUCCCUAGCUUCUGGCAUUGCUCUAGCCUAGCUUCAUGUGUGCAUCAUGUCUAUAUUUUUGAAACUUGAAUUGAGGAAUAUUGGAAGCCUCAAAACCCUAAAUAAAAGAGGGGCAAAAACCCUAGAAAUCUCAUUCAUUGCUCCAAAAGGCUCUUCUUAAAUGUUUGAUAAUUUUUGGUAAGGGUUCUGGUCCCAACCAAAAUAUUGAACAUUUUUAAGGAUUUAUUUUUGGGACUUUGAAUUUAAAUCAUUAGCUAUUUGAAUUUGAAUUAUAUUCAUAUAAUUAGAAUAUAAUUUCAAAUACCCCUGAAAUAUUUUAUGAGCUUUUGGAAAAGUCCAUCUAGCCAAAUAAAAUUAUUCAGAGGAGUUUUUGGCAUUGUUUGAAUUUGUUUAAAAUUCAAAACAGUGGCAAAACGAAAUUAAAUAAAACAAAACAGAAGAAAAAAAUAAAAGAGAGAGAGAGAAGGACUUACCUGGCCUCACCCGUGCAGCCCACCAGAACCGGCCCAGCCGGCCCAGCCCGCCACCGCUACUCCCCCCCCUGUCGUCUUCCUCUUGCUAGUGGGAGCAGCUGCGUGCUCGCACGUGCGCGGCCGAGGAGGCCACCUCCUCCCUGCCUGGCUGCCUCCUCCUUCCCUGGUCCCUCCCGCGACGCCACGCAGCCCUGACCCCCUCUCACUUCUCCCUCGCUCUCUGGACCUCCCUCCCCCUCGCUCCUCUGUUUCCCCUCCCGCGACCGAACGGAGCCGCCGCCACCGACGAGAGCCACCGUGGCUACCGGCCACCCCACGGCUCACCGACGCCCCAGGAAGCUCCGCCGGUCCUCCCUCUACCUCCUCAACGAGCCACGAGGCCCCGGACGUGCCACAACACCGCCCUCGAUGCCUUCUUCAACCUCGGGACCGCCGGCCAUCUUCGUCAAAUUCGCCGGCUCCGGACCGUCCCCGACCUCGCCGAGCGUCCCCUCGUCAUCGCCGUGAGUCACUGACCCUCUCCCCUAACUCAGCAUGCUCCCCUCCAUGCCGUAGCGCCGUUCCCCACGAGCACCGAAGCCACCGUCCGCCAUUGCUGCUGCACGCAUAGCCUCCGUGCUCCCCUGGCCUCACUGAGCUGCUCUUAGUGCUCCCCAUGUCUAGCAGGUGCUGCCCAGCCUCUCCAUUUGCUCACUGAUGCACCGUAGCGACGCGCCCGAGCACCACCGAACACCAUCGCCGCCAAAGCUCGUCGCCGGCAUGAGUUCCGGCGACCCCACGACCUCCCACUCGGUCCUCUGGAUGCGCGGGAGCAAGGGCCAUCCCCUGGUGCCCUCAGCGCGCCAAACUGACGCCUCUAGCGCAAGUCCGACGUGCCCCGCCGUGUUCUGUGGUCGCCGUCGGCUGGUCUCCGGCGUGCUGACGUGGCGUCGUCGUUAGGGGCUAAUGACCCUGCUAACUAACCCUGUGACACUGACAGCGGGCCCCGUAGCGGGUCAAAGCCCGAGUCAACGCGGGAUUAGCCCCUGUGUCACUGACGUGUGGACCCCACACAUCAGGUUUGACCCGAGCCGGCCCCUGUUGACUUGCUGACGUCAUGCCAACGUCAUGCUGACGCAGUAAUGUUUUCUGGAUUUAAUUUAAUUCUGAAAUUCCAGAAAAUGAAUAUAAACUUCUAAAAUUCAUAGAAAAUUAACCGUAACUCCAAAUUAAAUAAUUUAUAUAUGAAAAAUUAUCAGAAAAAUUCAAGGAAUCCAUCUGUACCAUUUUCAUGCAUGUUAGAACAACUUAUAGCUGCUGUUUAGCACAAAUCAAAUAAAGGGCAUUUAAAUAAUCACAUAUGGAGUUUGAAUUUGAAUCUUGUAUUCAAACCAACUUCAUUUAAUCUGUUGCUAGUUGCAUUGGCUCAAAACACAUUCAUUUUGCCAUGUCAUGAUCAUGCAUCAUAUUGUGCAUUGCAUUGAUUGUGUUCCCUUCUGUGUUGCCGGUAUUUGUCCCCUCUCGAUAGACGUGAUACCGAUGAUGUGAUCGUUGACACUGAUGAAGACUCAAUGCUAUCUUCAGAAGUGCCAGGCAAGCAAAACCCCCUUGUUCAUUCCGAUACAAUCCUACUCUCUCGCUCCUGCUCUCUUUUACUGCAUUAGGACAACACCGAUUCAUCUGUUACUUGCUGCGGUAGCUGAACCCCUUUGUCCUUUGCAUGACCUGUCAUUGCCACAGUAAAUAGAUGAAACCCACUAGCAUGAGUAGGAGUUGUUUGAGCCCUGAUGUGCCUACUCAUUCAUGUUUGUUUGUCAUGCCUGCUAUUGCUUAGAGUUGAGUCAGGUCUGAUUCAUCGGGGAUGAAUCAGAGGCGUGUGAACCUGUCCUACUGUGUGUGAGCUAAGUGUGUGAACACGAUUUGGUAAAGGUAGCGGUGAGAGGCCAUGUAGGAGUACAUGGUGGGUUGUCUCAUUGCAGCCGUCCUCAGGAACUGAGUUCUGUGUUUGUGAUCCAUGAUUCAGCUAUUGCCACGCAUUGGGCCCGAAACCAAUGGACCCUCUCGGCUUCUUGAUCACCCUUGUCCUCUGUCCAGGAGUUGCAAGUAGUUUCUGGUGUUUGUAGUAUGCUGGAGGCCGUGGGCAGCGCUGACCGUAGGGGUGGGCUGUGAUGCGGUAGGCACGUGGCACGGUGUACCGGGCGCCCAUUUGGUGUCUCGGGAACCCUGUUCACAUCGUUUGGGGCUGUGAGCGAAACUCCGGCCGGAUCUCCUCAUGGAUGGAACCCGAAUAGGCGAUAAACCUGGACUAGAGACUUAGGUGAUUAGGUAGGUCGUGGCCGACACCCACGUUGGGCUUCCGCUUGAAGGUUGCCGAGUACAUGUCAUGUAAACGGCGGUAAGUGGUGAGAGCGUGUGUGAAGAAGUACACCCCUGCAGGGUUAACCUAAUCUAUUCGAAUAGCCGUGUCCGCGGAAAAGGACUUCUGGGUUGCUUAUAUCAGUUCAUAGACAAGUGAAAGUGGAUACUCUAAAAUACGCAAGAUAAGCGUGAGUGCUAUGGAUGGCGUUCUCGUAGGGAGACGGGAGCGGAUCCAUAGUGGUGUAUUGAUAUGGUGAAUAUGUGGACUCGUCUGCGCCACCUCAAAAAAGUUACUCGCAGUCGUAGUUCAGGAUAGCCACCGAGUCAAAGCUGGCUUGCUGCAGUUAAACCCCAGCAUCCCUUUGUUGAUAAUGAUGCAUAUGUAGAUAGUUCUGAUGUAAGUCUUGCUGGGUACAUUUGUACUCACGUUUGCCUAUUUUAUGUUUUUGCAGAGAGACUUCAGUCUCACUAGUAUUUCCGCGUGGUCUUCGACGUUUAGCUUGUUACCUCAUCUACGAUCUUGUGCCUCGGCAGGAUUUGGUAGAUAGUCAGGCUUCUCAGCCUUUUUCAUUUAUAGAUGUCUGUACUCAGACAUGAUAGCUUCCGCUUGUGCUUGAUUUGUAUGCUCUGAAUGUUGGGUCAUGAGACCCAUGUUUGUAAUAUCUCGCUCGUCGGAGCCUAUUGAAUAGAUUACUUGAGUCAUAGAGUCAUGUUGUGAUGCCAUGUUGUAUUUGCACAUAUCGAGCAUAUUGUGUGUAUGUUAUUGAAAUGCUUGGUAUGUGUGGGAUCUGACCAUCUAGUUGUUUAUCUUUAGUAGCCUCUCUUACGGGGAAAUGUCUCCUAGUGUUUCCACCGAGCCAUGGUAGCUUGCUACUGCUCCGGAACACUUAGGUUGGCCGGCAUGUGUCCUUCUUCGUUCCUAUGUCUGUCCCUUCGGGGAAAUGUCACGCGGUGAAUACCGGAGUCCUGUUAGCCCGCUACAGCCCGGCUCACCGGAGUCCUGCUAGCCUAGUGCUACAGCCUGGAUUCACUCGCUGAUGACCGACACGUUCGAUGCUGGGUCAUGGAUGCCUGUCCCUGUAAGUCUGUGCCGCUUUGGGUUUACGACUAGCCAUGUCAGCCCGGGCUCCUUAUCAUAUCGAUGCUAGCGACACUGUCAUAUACGUGUGCCAAAAGGCGCAAACGGUCCCGGGCAAAGGUAAGGCGACACCCGUGGGAAUACCGUGCGUGAGGCCGCAAAGUGAUAUGAGGUGUUACAUGCUAGAUCGAUGUGGCAUUGAGUCAGGGUCCUGACAGCGUUGGUAUCAGAGCUUGACUGCCUGUAGGAUUACCAAGCCAAACUGGUCGAAGUUGAGUUUAGAAAUUCUUUAGUUAUAUAAGGGAAUUGAUUGUGGGAUGGAACGUAAGGCUCUUUUUACUCCUUAUACCUCAUGCCCUUCUGAUCUGAGUCAUCUUAUCUUUUCUGCGGGGAUUAAGAACUAGGCUAUCUCUUCUUUCUAUUAGGAUCACGUGUUACUAAUCAGUAGACUUAUAAGAUUGUUGGAUUUAAGUCUCAGUUCAGUUCCUACUACUUCCGUAUGUUAAUUGUUGAUCUCGGAACCUUGAUAUUGUGCUUCUGAGUGGUUAUGCCACCAUUUUUGUGAUUGUCUCAAAUCUUUUUGAGCAAUUAUAGCCGUUAUGCUGUCCGAGUCAUCCCAGGUUUCUAAAUAGUCCGAUGCAUUUGCAAAUCCCUUCCUUCUGUUUCCGAUGUUCCCAUGGGCCAGAUUAACCACACUAAUCGGUGUGUUGAGGUAAUUAUUGCCUCGACAUAUAUGUUGGAAUUAUUAUUAUGACCCUAAGUGCUUAGGGGAUCAUCUAGUGGUCUAGCAAUGAUUUGUGUCCUAGUGUGAAGAUUCUGGCCUUUAUUCUCGGAAGCAUCCCGUGAUGCUACUUAGUAGUAGGUAUUCUACUCCUGGGUUCUGAACCCGAGAUUCACUCUACCUACUUCAUGUUGAUAGUAAUUGCUAGUGCCUUUAGGAUAUUAGUAACCUUUGCGAUAGUCCUUGAAGUCCGUGGUAUCUUCUUCUUCCAAAUACCAUGAACUACUUAUGGCAGAUGUUUAUUGGAUCAAAAAAAAAUCACAAUUAGAGUACUCUUGAGGAGUUCUCCAUUCAUAAAUCAUGACUCUGCCAGUUCUACCUUUCUGCAUGGGUUAUCCGGAAGAAAUAUGUUGAACUUGGUUCGACAUACUAAUCUAUGCAUCCACAACUCAGAAAGUUAUAUGUUCCUUUGAGUUGUUCUCUUUAGUUGCAUUCUGACCCUCGUCUAUCAAUUGAUAGUCAAGAGUAUGCGUGCGUUCGUUCAUCGAUGCCUAUGACUCUUGUGGUCUGUCAAGCCAUUCUAUUCCGGAAUGACUAGGAGAAACAAACUCCAGUACCUCUUCCAUAUCUAGGAUUGGGUCAAAGUAGUUGUAUUCCGCAGAUCAAAUGCCAAUCCAGCUUUUGGUUCUGCUCUACCUUGGAGUAUUACAUAUUUUAUAUCGAGAUUGUUAUAGGAAUUGCACACCAUCCCAUGAACUCUUGGUACAGUGAUACUUCUUGCCAUCACUGUUCAUUCCUCGGCCCUCGUGUUGAUGCAACCGGAAUACCGACAAAUGAAUUGUGAUGUGUGAAAUCAAUACUGCUAGCAACUCUGUUGCUUGGUAGUUAAAGGAUAAUAAUUUCAUUCUUAGUAUGUUGGUUUUCGAAUCAUCCUUCUAAGACUGAUCGUGCUACCUAGUCCUUAUUUUGGUGCACCCUACGAUUGAUGAGUUAGGAUCUUGUCAAGUCCUCACUCAUUUGAUCAUAUCGUCUUGCCCUCAAAAGCAAGAUUGUUCUCGAGCUUAGUAACAUACCGGUGGUUCGUGACUUUCCAAAUAUCUUCUUGGAGGUGUUACCGGGUUGUCACCUGACCGCUAUGUUGAGUUCGUGAUCAAGUUGGUUUCUUGUGAACCACCUUCUCUCCAAGAAUCGGUGUUAGAUAUGCCUGAGCUAGUUGGUUAAGCUAGACAACAACUUGGAGAGUUGGAAGAUAAAAGCUUGUCUGACUUAGUUCGUUCCAAAGGGAUAUUCUUGUGUAGUGUGUGUUGAAGAAAGAUGAUAUCUUCAUCGAUUGGUCCUUGUGAUCAGUUGCUGGACCUAUUGUCUUAUCAAUCCUUUGAUUUGAGUGUGGGCUAUCGUCAAAUCAAAUCAGUACCAACGAUGCUCGUAAUGUUGUCUUAUUCGUGGUUGAUCCCUCGAGCAUACACCAUUAUAUCUUUUAGGUCUGACCAAUGCUAUCACUUGUUCACUUAACUAUGGAAUUCCUUUUAAAAGGAAACCCAGAUGAAUUGUUGUUGUGCCCAUUGACAACAUCCUUGUCUUCUCCAUAAUUUUGCUGAACAUUAAGCUAGUGUUGGAAACUUUUGAAAGCAUUUGUUCAUGCUAGCUCAUGAAGCAUAUGUUUGGAUGAAGGUAGUGACUUCCUUUAAUUCAUGUGCAUCUGAUGCAAGUUGCCGCCGUGGAUUCGAGAAAGUCAAUGUUGCUUUCUUUGGAAUCAUUCCAAAUCAGUCAUGCACACGUGCGAAGAAUGCUGUGGUUUGAAGACUUGCAACCUUCAAUCUAUAUGUAUCCCUAGCACACCAAGCCCCUGAUUGAUUUGUUCAAGGAGAAGGAGUUCCUUCAUAAGAGCUAAUCCGGACUUAUGAAAGAACUUCGAUACCCUCGUUGAUGGUUCCCCCUCCUGAACUCGGUAGUGUUUUAUUAUAAGACUACCAUGUGGUCAUGCUUGUCUGGGACAACGUGUUCACAUGUUUGUAGCAGAACCAGCUCAUGUUUUGGAGCUUGCUAUCGUAGUUCAUCUCCCGAGAAUCCCGCAACGUCAUCUCGUCGAUUUGUGUUGCAAACUUUCAUUUUUCUUCCUAAGACUCGAUGAGCCUGGAAUAUCCUAACACCAACCAGAGCUGAAUCUCAGGCAGAUAUGAUGGUUGAAACAUUUCCCUAAGAACUAUAAUAUUGGUCUCUCGAUAACCGGUAAGGUGGAUGUCGUGGCCAACACACCCAUCCGGUAGACCUAUUAUUAUAGUAUCUUGUUUGAGGAAGUUGGCCACCCCCCCCUAGGGAUUUCGUAGGAUUUACUCCCUAGUUGCCCCUAUGGAUUUUUGUGUUCCCGAAGUCCGACCUUUUACUUGAUGUUUUAGAUAUCAAACCAUAUCUAUGAAUGGGUUAUACUAGCACAUCAAGGAGAACAUUAGAAGCGGAGUGCUAAAUGUCUCUCGGUCGAUCAUCCAGAUUUUAUUUGCUUGGCCUUGCUAAGGUGAAAUCUGAGAAAGUGUUAUCCUCCUUCGCAUCUGCAUCGUCCAUCGCUAUUCAUCAUGGUAGUAUGUUGUGUUGUCAGCACCCUUGACGCGGUUGUUGAUAAAACCUUGAUGAUUGUGGAAAUGCUCAAGUUCUUGAGAGCACGCACAAGCGCUACGUCUUAUCAUCGGCACUAGCUGGGAUUGCCCCAGAUUUCCUCGGUUAUGCUAUAACCACUCCAACAGUGAAUUCACUCUCUAUUGUUGGGUUCUUCCCCAGUUACCAGAAUCAUUCCCAGCAUUUGCAUUUUGUUCCCAGCUUGCACCGCCAAUGUGCCAUUCUACCAUGGGUCUCUUCCAUUUCCGGUGAUAAGAAAAAUUCAUCCAUUACGUUGUCUUCAACAAGGUAAUCCACAUCAUCCAAGUUUGAGUAUGCCAUUCUACCGAACCCCUCUAAAUGAUCGAUUAUGAUUUGCCUUAAGCUGGUAUAAAGAGUUUCAAUGAUCUCUGAAUCAAAGGUAAUUCUUUUGCCACUUAAGGGGAGAUAUCUACGAGUCACGGUUUCGAAGGUGUCUCGUUGUGGUAUCAUGGCAACUCAACUCCUCGCUACGUUGACAACCGAUUACCACCUUCUUAAGUGUGGAAUUGUUGUCCACCUAGUGAACCUUCGUCAUCUGUUUCUUUCCACCCCUCUUGAUGUGUAUCUCGUGUCUCAACCCGAGAGAUGGUCCUAUGUCUCAUUCCGUGAGUUGUUCGAUCUUCAAGAAGAUCGACCCUUCUAGAGUCUCCUUCUUCCCUCCAUGUCAUGUUGGCAGGAUUUCUCAAAACAAGACAUCAAGACAAUGAUGGUGAAUGAAUCAACGUUCAACUGAAGUGCACCCUGGAUCGUGAAGAUUGUACUAGUUUGCAUUUCCCCUUCAUCCUACCCUACGCUUGAAUCUCGAGACGAGAUUCUUGUUUAGUGGGGGUGAGUUGUCACAUCCCUAGCUUCUGGCAUUGCUCUAGCCUAGCUUCAUGUGUGCAUCAUGUCUAUAUUUUUGAAACUUGAAUUGAGGAAUAUUGGAAGCCUCAAAACCCUAAAUAAAAGAGGGGCAAAAACCAUAGAAAUCUCAUUCAUUGCUCCAAAAGGCUCUUCUUAAAUGUUUGAUAAUUUUUGGUAAGGGUUCUGGUCCCAACCAAAAUAUUGAACAUUUUUAAGGAUUUAUUUUUGGGACUUUGAAUUUAAAUCAUUAGCUAUUUGAAUUUGAAUUAUAUUCAUAUAAUUAGAAUAUAAUUUCAAAUACCCCUGAAAUAUUUUAUGAGCUUUUGGAAAAGUCCAUCUAGCCAAAUAAAAUUAUUCAGAGGAGUUUUUGGCAUUGUUUGAAUUUGUUUAAAAUUCAAAACAGUGGCAAAACAAAAUUAAAUAAAACAAAACAGAAGAAAACAAUAAAAGAGAGAGAGAGAAGGACUUACCUGGCCUCACCCGUGCAGCCCACCAGAACCGGCCCAGCCGGCCCAGCCCGCCACCGCUACUCCCCCCCCUGUCGUCUUCCUCUUGCCAGUGGGAGCAGCUGCGUGCUCGCACGCGCGCGGCCGAGGAGGCCACCUCCUCCCUGCCUGGCUGCCUCCUCCUUCCCUGGUCCCUCCCGCGACGCCAUGCAGCCCCGACCCCCUCUCACUUCUCCCUCGCUCUCUGGACCUCCCUCCCCCUCGCUCCUCUGUUUCCCCUCCCGCGACCGAACGGAGCUGCCGCCACCGACGAGAGCCACCGUGGCUACCUGCCACCCCACGGCUCACCGACGCCCCAGGAAGCUCCGCCGGUCCUCCCUCUACCUCCUCAACGAGCCACGAGGCCCCGGACGUGCCACAACACCGCCCUCGAUGCCUUCUUCAACCUCAGGACCGCCGGCCAUCUUCGUCAAAUUCGCCGGCUCCGGACCGUCCCCAACCUCGCCGAGCGUCCCCUCGUCAUCGCCGUGAGUCACUGACCCUCUCCCCUAACUCAGCAUGCUCCCCUCCGUGCCGUAGCGCCGUUCCCCACGAGCACCGAAGCCACCGUCCGCCAUUGCUGCUGCACGCAUAGCCUCCGUGCUCCCCUGGCCUCACUGAGUUGCUCUUAGUGCUCCCCAUGUCUAGCAGGUGCUGCCCAGCCUCUCCAUUUGCUCACUGAUGCACCAUAGCGACGCGCCCGAGCACCACCGAACACCAUCGCCGCCAAAGCUCGUCGCCGGCAUGAGUUCCGGCGACCCCACGACCUCCCACUCGGUCCUCUGGAUGCGCGGGAGCAAGGGCCAUCCCCUGGUGCCCUCAGCGCGCCAAACUGACGCCUCUAGCGCAAGUCCGGCGUGCCCCGCCGUGUUCUAUGGUCGCCGUCGGCUGGUCUCUGGCGUGCUGACGUGGCGUCGUCGUUAGGGGCUAAUGACCCUGCUAACUAACCCUGUGACACUGACAGCGGGCCCCGUAGCGGGUCAAAGCCCGAGUCAACGCGGGAUUAGCCCCUGUGUCACUGACGUGUGGACCCCACACGUCAGGUUUGACCCGAGCCGGCCCCUGUUGACUUGCUGACGUCAUGCCAACGUCAUGCUGACGCAGUAAUGUUUUCUGGAUUUAAUUUAAUUCUGAAAUUCCAGAAAAUGAAUAUAAACUUCUAAAAUUCAUAGAAAAUUAACCGUAACUCCAAAUUAAAUAAUUUAUAUAUGAAAAAUUAUCAGAAAAAUUCAAGGAAUCCAUCUGUACCAUUUUCAUGCAUGUUAGAACAACUUAUAGCUGCUGUUUAGCACAAAUCAAAUAAAGGGCAUUUAAAUAAUCACAUAUGGAGUUUGAAUUUGAAUCUUGUAUUCAAACCAACUUCAUUUAAUCUGUUGCUAGUUGCAUUGGGUCAAAACACAUUCAUUUUGCCAUGUCAUGAUCAUGCAUCAUAUUGUGCAUUGCAUUGAUUGUGUUCCCUUCUGUGUUGCCGGUAUUUGUCCCCUCUCGAUAGACGUGAUACCGAUGAUGUGAUCGUUGACACUGAUGAAGACUCAAUGUUAUCUUCAAAAGUGCCAGGCAAGCAAAACCCCCUUGUUCAUUCCGAUACAAUCCUACUCUCUCGCUCCUGCUCUCUUUUACUGCAUUAGGACAACACCGAUUCAUCUGUUACUUGCUGCGGUACCUGAACCCCUUUGUCCUUUGCAUGACCUGUCAUUGCCAUAGUAAAUAGAUGAAACCCACUAGCAUGAGUAGGAGUUGUUUGAGCCCUGAUGUGCCUACUCAUUCAUGUUUGUUUGUCAUGCCUGCUAUUGCUUAGAGUUGAGUCAGGUCUGAUUCAUCGGGGAUGAUUCAGAGGCGUGUGAACCUGUCCUACUGUGUGUGAGCUAAGUGUGUGAACACGAUUUGGUAAAGGUAGAGGUGAGAGGCCAUGUAGGAGUACAUGGUGGGUUGUCUCAUUGCAGCCGUCCUCAGGAACUGAGUUCUGUGUUUGUGAUCCAUGAUUCAGCUACUACCACGCAUUGGGCCCGAAACCAAUGGACCCUCUCGGCUUCUUGAUCACCCUUGUCCUCUGUCCAGGAGUUGCAAGUAGUUUCUGGUGUUUGUAGUAUGCUGGAGGCCGUGGGCAGCGCUGACUGUAGGGGUGGGCUGUGAUGCGGUAGGUACGUGGCACGGUGUACCGGGCGCCCGUUUGGUGUCUCGGGAACCCUGUUCACAUCGUUUGGGGCUGUGAGCGAAACUCCGGCCGGAUCUCCUCAUGGAUGGAACCCGAAUAGGCGAUAAACCUGGACUAGAGACUUAGGUGAUUAGGUAGGUCGUGGCCGACACCCACGUUGGGCUUCCGCUUGAAGGUUGCCGAGUACAUGUCGUGUAAACGGCGGUAAGUGGUGAGAGCGUGUGUGAAGAAGUACACCCCUGCAGGGUUAACCUAAUCUAUUCGAAUAGCCGUGUCCGCGGAAAAGGACUUCUGGGUUGCUUAUAUCAGUUCAUAGACAAGUGAAAGUGGAUACUCUAAAAUACGCAAGAUAAGCGUGAGUGCUAUGGAUGGCGUUCUCGUAGGGAGACGGGAGCGGAUCCAUAGUGGUGUAUUGAUAUGGUGAAUAUGUGGACUCGUGUGCGCCACCUCAAAAAAGUUACUCGCAGUCGUAGUUCAGGAUAACCACCGAGUCAAAGCUGGCUUGCUGCAGUUAAACCCCACCAUCCCUUUGUUGAUAAUGAUGCAUAUGUAGAUAGUUCUGAUGUAAGUCUUGCUGGGUACAUUUGUACUCACGUUUGCCUAUUUUAUGUUUUUGCAGAGAGACUUCAGUCUCACUAGUAUUUCCGCGUGGUCUUCGACGUUUAGCUUGUUACCUCAGCUACGAUCUUGUGCCUCGGCAGGAUUUGGUAGAUAGUCAGGCUUCUCAGCCUUUUUCAUUUAUAGAUGUCUGUACUCAGACAUGAUAGCUUCCGCUUGUGCUUGAUUUGUAUGCUCUGAAUGUUGGGUCAUGAGACCCAUGUUUGUAAUAUCUCGCUCCUCGGAGCCUAUUGAAUAGAUUACUUGAGUCAUAGAGUCAUGUUGUGAUGCCAUGUUGUAUUUGCACAUAUCGAGCAUAUUGUGUGUAUGUUAUUGAAAUGCUUGGUAUGUGUGGGAUCUGACCAUCUAGUUGUUUAUCUUUAGUAGCCUCUCUUACGGGGAAAUGUCUCCUAGUGUUUCCACCGAGCCAUGGUAGCUUGCUACUGCUCCGGAACACUUAUGUUGGCCGGCAUGUGUCCUUCUUCGUUCCUGUGUCUGUCCCUUCGGGGAAAUGUCACGCGGUGAAUACCGGAGUCCUGUUAGCCCGCUACAGCCCGGUUCACCAGAGUCCUGCUAGCCUAGUGCUACAGCCUGGAUUCACUCGCUGAUGACCGACACGUUCGAUGCUGGGUCAUGGAUGCCUGUCCCUGUAAGUCUGUGCCGCUUUGGGUUUACGACUAGCCAUGUCAGCCCGGGCUCCUUAUCAUAUGGAUGCUAGCGACACUGUCAUAUACGUGUGCCAAAAGGCGCAAACGGUCCCGGGCAAAGGUAAGGCGACACCCGUGGGAAUACCGUGCGUGAGGCCGCAAAGUGAUAUGAGGUGUUACAUGCUAGAUCGAUGUGGCAUUGAGUCGGGGUCCUGACAUUAAUGUCUUGUUUUUCUCUUCUGAUCCUUUUGUUGCAUACUUACAUAUUGCUUAUGUAUUGUCUGUUGUUUGGCUUGUGCAUAAAGAUGUCGUCGUAUGUCGUGUACAUGGGUAAGGUUCCCGGAGUCUACGACGACUGGGAGGAGUGUCGGAGACAGGUUCACCGUUUCAGCGGUAAUAGUUACAAAGGGUACACCACUAGGGCGGAGGCCAAAUCUAGAUACGUCCGCUAUCUAGCGGGAGAGAGGACGGAGCGUUGGAGGAACCGGGUGAAGACCAAUUUGAUCGCGAUGAUGCUCAUCGUGAUGACCACAGCUCUCUUCUAUGUGAAGACAAACUCGAUACUCGCGGUCUUGAGACUUGUAAUGUUUUAUCUUUGUUCGGUCUUUUGAAUUCGGAGACUAAUAUGAUGAAUUGUAUUCGGAGACUAAUCUUCUAUUGUAUUCGAUGAAUCUGAUGUUGCUGUCUAGAUUCUGUCUAAUAAUAUAUUUUAUAUUCUGUCUAAUAAUAUAUUUUAUAACCUGCGGAAAAAUCAGAAAAGGAAAAAAAACCAAAUAUUCAUACUAAUGGCGCAUCACCACCAGGUGCGCCAUUAGUAUGCCAAAGGAUACUAAUGGCGCAUCAACAGAGAAUGCGCCAUUAGUAUGACAAAGCCAUGCUUAUGUAUGGCCCCCCGGGAGGCACACUAAUGGCGCAUGCUGUUACAUACUAAUGGCGCACUAGUUGGUGCGCCAUUAGUACACCAGAUACUAAUGGCGCACCCAUCGUGCGCCAUUAGUAAGAUAUACUAGUGGCGUGCUACUAAUGGCGCACUGGUAAUGCGCCAUUAGUAGGCAAAACCAGUGCACCAUUAGUAGGCCUUUUCCUAGCAGUGGAUGUUCCUUUCGUUUUUGAUGAUGAUUGUGUUGAAGCAUUUGAAAUACUUAAGAAAGCCUUGAUUUCUGCUCCUAUUGUUCAGCUACCUGAUUGGAACCUACCCUUUGAAAUUAUGUGUGAUGCUAGUGAUUAUGUUGUUGGUGUUGUUCUAGGACAAAUAGUUGAUAAGAAAUUAAAUGUUAUUCAGUAUGCUAGUAAAAUUCUAGAUAGUGCUAGAGAAAUUAUGCUACUGCUGAAAAAGAAUUUUUAGCAGUUAUAUUUGCAUGUGAUAAGUUCAGACCUUAUAUCGUUGAUUCCAAAGUAACUGUUCACACAGAUCAUGUUGCUAUUGAAUAUCUUAUGGAAAACAGAUCAUGCUGCUAUUGAAUAUCUUAUGGAAAAGAAAGAUGCUAAACCUAGACUUAUUAGAUGGGUUCUCUUGCUACAAGAAUUUGAUUUGCAUAUUAUUGAUAGAAAGGGACCUGAUAACCCCGUUGCAGGCAACUUCCCUAGGUUAGAAAAUGUUCUUGAUGAAUCGCUACCUAUUGAUGAUAGCUUUCCUGAUGAGCAAUUAAAUGUCAUAAAUGCUUCUCGUAAUGCUCCAUGGCAUGUUGAUUAUGCGAGUUAUAUUGUUGUUGAUUUAUACCACCUAGUUUCACAUAUCACCAAAGAAAUUUUUUCUAUGAUUUAAGACAUUACUUCUAGGAUGAUACACACCUUUAUAAAGAAGGAGUAGAUGUUGUUAUUAGACGUUGUGUGCCCGAGUAUGAACAAGAACAGAUCCUACGCAAGUGACACUCCGAAGCUUACGGAGGACACCACGCUGGAGACAGAACUGCACAUGAGGUAUUGCAAUCUGGUUUCUAUUGGCCCACUCUCUUUAAGGAUGCCCAUAAGUUUGUCUUAUCUUGUGUUGAAUGCCAGAUAAUUGGUAAUAUUAGUAAACAUCAGGAAAUGCCUAUGAACCAUUCACCUGUUAUUGAACCAUUCGAUGUUUGGGGCUUCUAUUAUAUGGGACCUUUUCCUUCCUCUAAUGGGUAUACACAUAUUCUAGUUGUCGUUGAUUACGUUACUAAGUGGGUAGAAGCUAUUCCAACUAGUAGAGGUGAUCAUAACACUUCUAUUAAGAUGCUUAAAGAAGUUAUUUUUCCGAGGUUUGGAGUCCCUAGAUCUUUAACAACUGAUGGUGGUUCAAAUUUUAUUCAUGGUGCUUUCCGUAAAAUGCUUGCUAAGUAUGAUAUUAAUCAUAGAAUUGCAUCUCCAUAUCAUCCUCAGUCUAGUGGUCAAGUAGAAUUGAGAAAUACAGAGAUUAAAUUAAUUUUGCAAAAUAUUGUUAAUAGAUCAAGAAAGAAUUGGUCUAAGAAGCUUGAUGAUGCUUUGUGGGCUUAUAGAACUGCUUAUAAGAAUCAUAUGGGUAUGUCUCCAUAUAAAAUGGUUUAUGGAAAAGCAUGUCACUUACCACUUGGGCUAGAACAUAAGGCAUAUUAGUCUAUUAAAGAGCUCAAUUAUGAUUUUAGACUUGCCGGUGAUAAGAGGUUAUUUAUAUUAGCUCACUUGAUGAAUGGAGAACCCAAGCCUACGAGAAUGCCAAGUUGUUUAAAGAAAAAGUUAAAAGAUGGCAUGAUAAAAAUGAUACAUAAGUGUGAGUUUAAUGUAGGUGAUCAUGUUUUGCUAUACAACUCUCGUUUAAGGUUUUUUUGCAGGAAAGCUUCUCUCUAAAUGGGAAGGGCCUUACAUUAUCGAGGAGGUCUAUCGUUCUGGUGCCAUAAAAAUCAACAAUGUCAAAGGUAAAAAUCCGAAGGUGGUAAACAGUCAAAGACUUAAACAUUAUAUCUUAGGUACUCCCAUAAAUGUUGAGACAAAUAUAAUUAAUACCGUAACCCCGUAGGAGUACAAAAGGGACACUUUCUAGAAUGUCUCAGACUCCGAAAAGGAAUAUGUAUGUGGUACGGUAAGUAAACCGACUCCAAAACAUUUCCAAUGAUAAAUUUUCUCCAUUUUGGAAUAUUCAAAGAAUUAGGAAAAUUAAAAGCACUCCGAAAGAGACAUGAGGCCACCAUAAGGGUGGAGGGCGCACCCCCGACCUUGUGGCCACCUCAUGUGCCCUCCGGACUCCGUUUUCUUGCAGAAUACUUCUUUUGGUCAGUAAAAAUUCAUUAUAUAAUCUCUCGAAUGUUUUGACCACCGUACCACGCAAAAAUCUCAUGUUUUCGUUUUGAGUUGUUUCUGCAGCAGAUUAAGAGCGAGAUGUCAUCCCAAGAUUUAGAGGGAGAAAGCUACAUGGCUGGUUAUAUCACAAACCCAAAAGUAUAUGGGGAUGUGGAACAUUAUGGUUGGACCAUGGAGGAAGAAGACUAUGAGCCAAAGAGUAAGGAGGAGACAAGUUCUGAUGAGGAGGACGAACCACUAACCCAACCAGGCAAUAUGCAUGUGGAGUUCAAGAAGUCAAGCCUCCCUAAGGUCCGAUCUAUCCCACCAUGUUUUUUGCAGGACAACAAGGUGGAACUAUUAAAAAAGAUAUUGAAGCUUGAGCUCAAUAAUGAGGAGCUAAGGGAGGAAAAUUUUAUCCUCUGACGUGAGUUGGAGAAGAAGAAUACAACUCCUUCAUCACCACCUCUGAAGAAAGAGAUUUAAUUACACGGGUAUGGGCACUCCCCUUGGCAACUGCCAGGCUAGGGGGAGUGCCCUAGUAUCAUAUCACCAUCACAUCUUUAUCUUUAUUGCUUUUCUUAGUUCGAUCGUUUUGGUUAUUUCUUGAUCUAGUAGAAUAAAGUUAUUAGUAUGAUCUAGCUUUGAGUUUUGCUUCUAUCUCUAUCUAUGUAAUCGAGCCCGUGAGAUAUAUAAUAAAAAGAGUAGUUUUGAGUAAAGGACUUUGCUUUCUUGCAAUAAUCUUGAGGGAAUUAAAUAAAAAGAAAGAAUAAAAAAGAAAUAAAAAGGAUCAUAUAUUGAUCUUAUGGAGAGUAAUGACUGCACAUAUAAAGAGUAUGAUGAAUAAAAGUUAUUGAGAGUUGACAAAACAUAGUUUUGGUCGUUGUUGCAAUAAAUAGGAAGUAAUAAAGAAAGAGAGGCUUCACAUAUAAAUAUACUAUGUUGGAAAUCUUUUAAUUGUGAGCACUCAUUAAAAUAUGACAUGCUAAAAGGUUGAUGUUGGACAAGGAAGACAACAUAAGGAGUUAUGUUUUCUUAUAUCCGAAUAGAAGUAUAUUGUUUUGGAUCGUCCAACAUGUUGAGCUUGCCUUUCCCUCUCAUGCUAGCCAAAAUCUUUGCACCAAGUAGAGAUACUACUUGUGCUUCCAAAUAUCCCUAAACCCAGUUUUGCCAUGAGAGUCCACCAUACCUACCUAUGGAUUGAGUAAGAUCCUUCAAGUAUGUUGUCAUCGGUGCUAGCAAUAAAAAUUGCUUUCUCUAAAUAUGUAUGAUCUAUUAGUGUGAAGAAAAUAAGCUUUAUACGAACUUGUGAUAUGGAAGAAAUAAAAGAGAUGGACUGCAUAAUAAAGGUCCUUAUCACAAUGGCAAAAUAAAGUGAUGUUCUAUUGCACUAAGAUUUUGUACAUCUAACCAUAAAAGCGCAUGACAACCUCUGCUUCCCUCUGCGAAGGGCCUAUCUUUUACUUUUAUCUCCUACCCUUAUACAAGAGUCACGGUGAUCAUCACCUUUCCUUUUACAGUUUUUCCUUUGGUAAGCUCUUUGUGUUGGAGAGAUCCGGAUAUCUAUAUAUAUAUAUAUAUCCACUCGAAUGUAAGUUAUCAUAAAGUAUUAUUGUUGACAUUACCCUUGAGGUAAAUAGUUGGGAGGCGAAACUAUAAGCCCCUAUCUUUCUCUGUGUCCGAUUGAAACUUUGUAACCAUAAGUAUCGCGUGAGUGUUAGCAAUUGUGAAAGAUUAUAUGAUAGUUGAGUAUGUGGACUUGCUGAAAAGCUCUUAUUUGACUCUUACCGAUGUUAUGAUAAAUUGCAAUUGCUCCAAUGACUGAGAUCAUAUUUUGUUAGUUUUUAAUGAAGUUUCUGAUUCAUACUUUACCUUGUGAACGAAUUGUUACUUUAACAUAAGAAAUUAUAUGGCAUUCUAUGUUGUUGUUCUAAAGAUAAUCAUGAUGCUCUCGUGUCCGUGUUUUAUUUUAUCGACACCUCUAUCUCUAAACAUGUGGACAUAUUUAUCCAUACCGGCUUUCGCUUGAGGAAAAGCGAGGUCUAAGCUUGGGGGAGUUGAUACGUCCAUUUUUCAUCAUGUUUUUAUAUCAAUAUUUAAUGCAUUAUAGGCUGUUAUUACACAUUAUAUCACAAUACUUAUGCAUAUUCUCUCUUAUUUUACAAGGAGUACAUGAAGAGGGAGAAUGCUGGCAGCUGGAACUCUGGACUUGAAAAGGAGCAAAUAUUAGAGACCUAUUCUGCACAACUCCAAAAGUCUUGAAACUUCACGGAGAUUGUUUUUGGAAUAUAUAAAAAAUAUUGGGUGAAGAAAGAACCAGAGGGGGGCCACCAGCCAGCCACAAUGCUGGAGGGCGUGCCCCACCCCCUGGGCGCACCCCCUGACCUUGUGGGCCCCCUGGCAGGCCUCCGGUGCCCAUCGUCUGCUAUAUGGUGUCUUUUACCCUAGAAAGAAUCAUAAGGAAGCUUUCGGGAUGAAGCCCCUCUGUCUCACAGUGGAACCUGGGAAGAACCAAUCUAGAGCUUCGGUGGAGCUGUUCUGCCGAGGAAACAUCCCUCCCACGGAGGGGGAAAUCAUCGCCAUCAUCAUCACCAUCGAUCCUCUCAUCGAGGGAGGGUCAAUCUCCAUCAACAUCUUCACCAGAACCAUCCCCUCUCAAACCCUAGUUCAUCUCUUGUAUUCGAUCUUGGUCCCAAAACCUCAGAUUGGUUCCUGUGGGUUGCUAGUAGUGUUGAUUACUCCUUGUAGUUGAUGCUAGUUGGUUUAUUCGGUGGAAGAUCAUAUGUUCAGAUCCUUAAUGAUAAUUAAUACUCCAUUGAUUAUGAUUGUGAAUAUGCUUUGUGGGUAGUUACGUUUGUUCCUAGGGUCAUGGGAGAAGUCUUGUUAUAAGUAAUCAUGUGGAUUUGCUAUUUGUUCGAUAUUUUGAUGAGACAUAUGUUGUCUCUCCUCUAGUGGUGUUAUGUGAACGUCGACUACAUGACACUUCACCAUUAUUUGGACCUAGGGGAAUGCAUUGGGAAGUAAUAAGUAGAUGAUGGGUUGCGAGAGUGACAGAAGCUUAAACCCUAGUUUAUGUGUUGCUUCGUAAGGGGCUGAUUUGGAUCCAUAUGUUUCAUGAUGGUUAGGUUUACCUUAAUACUUCUUUCGUAGUUGCGGAAGCUUGCGAGAGGGUUUCAUCAUAAGUGGGAUGCUUGUCCAAGGAAGGGAAGCAUCCAAGCACCGGUCCACCCACAUAUUAAACUAUCAAAAUAACGAACACGAAUGAUAUGAGCAUGAUGAAAACUAGCUUGACAAUAAUUCCCAUGUGUCCUCGGGAGUGCUUUGCUUUAUAUAAGAGUUCAUGCAGGCUUGUACUUUGAUACAAAAAGGAUUGGGCCACCUUGCUGCAUCUUGUUUACUUCUAUUACUUGUUACCUGUUAGGAUUUAUCUGAUCACAAAACUAUCUAUUACCGAUAAUUUCAGUGCUUGAAGAAAAUACCUUGCUAAAAACCCCUUUUCAUUUCCUUCCGCUCCUCGUUGGGUUCGACACCCUUACUUAUCAAAAGGACCACGAUAGAUCCCCUAUACUUGUGGGUCAUCACAUGCCUACAUUCUAGGGGAGUCAGUUCUCUCUCCCUCGACAUAUAUGUUUGAUCUUUGUUAGAGAAAUCAUCAAGGAAAGAAUUAUUCUCUCCAACAAGCAAGGCUAUGAACUACUCUCAGACAACAUGCUUGAGCAAACAAUUGUAUUCAUUGAUGACAAUCAGGGUGUGGCUAUAGCUCUAAACUCUGUAGACUAAACCUCCCCAAGAUUGGUCCUCUCUGUGAAGACAUAAUGGACUUGUUAUCUGGUUUAGAAGAGCAUCGGGUGAAGUGGAAUAGAAGAACAACCAAUAGGGCUGAUCGCAUCUUUGAAAAGGAAGGUUGCCUGAAUAAUUUAUGUAAAACUUAGUUUCAUGUUUUUCCUCUUUGUAUUUCUGACAUUGUAGCUGCUGAGGCCGUGGACUAGUUAAUAAAUGCAUGAUUUGAAUUCACAUAACGUAGAUUAGCAUGAGUGUUCUUCAACUAAUGAGACUGUGAUCCUGAAGCCUUUGGAGUAUUUUUUGAUAGGUGCCUCUAUCUGUAUGGGAAAUUUGCUAUUGAAAGUCCCGCUAAGUGUCCCCUUCCUCCAUUCUGGAAGAAAAAAAAUAGAGUUGGAUGUGGAGGGUUGUUGUACCGAAAUUUUGGCACAUAUAUAAGAAAGCGGGAUCCAAAUUUGGUGUGAAGCUCGCGUGGCUGAAUGCCGCAGGGGGGAUCUCUCUCGCGGCAACCCCUUGUCUACGGGCCGCAGCACUUUGUGGAGGCCAGCGGUGACCCGAUCCGUGCGUGGGCGUACAGGUGGGUCUCGACGAACGGUGGGCGGGAUGUGAGGAUCGGACCUCAUCGGGCUGCGGUGUCCUGCGGCCUAACUUGCGCGAUGGCGGGCCUAGCACGGGUCGGUGAAUUUCUUCUAGAUCGGCCCUGCAUUUGGCUUCGUCCAGAUUGACGCCUAGUCAAAGGGCGAUGUCGUCUACGCGACUAAUGGCGUUGCCGGCGCCUUCAGCCACGGGGAUGAUGAGGUGCCACCGGCAGCAACCCUUGAGCAACACGACCUUCCUCAUCGCUAGAUCUGGAGGGUUGAGCCCCAUGGCACUCUCUUCCGUGUAUGCUCUGGUUGAUGGCUCAUCCGGAGAAAAUGGUGGUUGGUGGUGUAGGAUUGGAAUCGAAGGAAACUUUCACUACAAGAAAUAUGUCAACUUGUGACCACCACUAUUGGUCACUGAAUGGUCACAAAUUUCCAUUUGUGACCUUUUUGUGACCAAAAACAUAAGGUCAAAAGCUGGCCGUCAUAAACUAACUAUAGCGACCUUUCUUCUGGAAUGGUCGAAGAUGUUUAUGACCAAAAUACGUCUACUGUGGCGUUUUGGUCACUAGCAACCUCCCCAGGCCACGUAGGCAUCCAGCGUGGCAAUCUGACGUGGCACAAGAUUCAGCCCGGUCCAAUUCGAUUUUCUACAUGGGCCUAGCCCAACAAUUCGGCCUUUUCAAUAUAUAUUUAUUUCUGUUAAUUUUCACUAGCUACAUGGGCCUAGCCCAUUUUAUUUUCUAGGACGUUGCCUUCUAUAAUUCAUUUCUUUUUUGGGCCUCGGCCCUUUUACAAUCCAAUCUAUUUUGGGCCUCCACAACAUGCAUUUAGAAGCUUGACAUCUCAGCAUGUACAAAUGUAUCCAAACCAUUUUAUUUCUUUCAACACAAAAGGAUUCAUUACAUAGCCACGAUAAUAGAUAGUAGAUACAUUCGACAGAGACUGAAUUAACAUAGAAAUGAAGCAACAAAGGGCAGUCUGAGAAAAGGAACUACAUGGGACUACAACAACAUGGGACUAGAGCUACCAUUUCUAUUUCUACCAGCAUUUGUAGACGCUUGCAAGAGAGGGAGAGAGAUCAUCCAUCAUCAAUCAGUGACAGUAGCGACGUUCGAGAGACCCCCUCCCCCUGCUGCUUCGCGUGCCUGCUACUGCUUGUUGUGCCGCAUCACUAGUCGCCCUACACACAAGAAUUUUGGCUUUACAUAAGGUUUACAAGAACAGGACCCUGAUACAUGAGAUUGACAUUCACAAGUUAUUUUCAUUUUUAUUAAGAACUGUGUCACACCAUUUACAUUACUAGUUAUGUAUUGACAUACUUAUCUAAAAGAACAUAUACAGAAACAUAUGAAUUUUAUUUAUGAAUACCAAUACAGAAGUACUAAAAAAACAAGACUAGAAAUCAGUAGAAGGUAACAAGAGCUCAUUACACAAGUUUUGCUAGCAAUUAGGGGACCCUGGUUCCUAUACUGACCACAUUUGGGCAUAUCCUACCCUACCAGUGGAUAAAUAAUGCAACUUUAUGACUGUCAAGUAGGCCUACAGAUCAAUGAUGGAGCAGACUCAAACAUUACAAACACAACAGCUGAUGCGCGCCAUGGAGCACGAUCUGAAUGUUGUUCCUCGUUUAUUAAACUUAAGGACAAGAAAAGCACUCAGGUUGCAUCUUUCGCAGACACGACAACAUACAUGAGCCAAAUUAACAAACAAGAGGUGCAGAUCUGGAACCAGUCGUCAUCAUCAAAUGAAGCGUUUCAUCACCGUGCACUGAUUGAAGGGCACAUGCUAACCUAUACCAAUGUUGAUGACCCCCACAAACAGACCACCAUGGCUCAACACACCGACCGGCCAGAGUCUUACCUUUGUUUUAGCCAUGCACGCUAGCUGUUGAGCAGAGCAGAGCAGCGGGAGGAGGACUGUCGCAGCAAGAAGAGAAGGUUCCUUGACUUGACGACCACCAGAUGUACAUCAUGCCUGCCCAGAGUAAAUAGACGGAGAACGAGUGAGACAAUGCAGCGAGGAGAGACAGUGAAGAUAGUUCUUGAAGGUCAAAAGAUAAUACACCAAAUGUGCAUGAAAGACAAUACAGUAAACACCAUCUUGUUUAUAGCAAGGCAAUAUAGUAGCAUGUCUCUAGCACAUCAUCUCAUUUAAAGAAUGCAUUCAGGCAAGAAAUGGACAGUUGGUCUAAUUUUCUCACACUUGGCAUUUUCACAGUUAACACCAUAAUGUAAAAGACCAAGCUUCUCUAGGCUGGCCAAUUGACUCAUACUACUAGAUAAGCAAAGUAAACUACUACCAAAAUAAGAACCAGACAUGGCAAGCAAACCACUCGGUUGCUCUUAUUGAUGAUAAUCACAGCAGGAAAUAAGCCCAAAUGAUUGGACAACAUUGAAUUCUGCACCAGAAUCAAGUGGAUUCUGCAAAAUUACAUUGCUACAAAAGCACAAUCACAUGGCACAGAUCACUACUGAAAUGAAUCACUACUUUUGAUAUGUCAGUUUACCAAAAGAAAAAACACAAGUUCAGUUGUUACAACCAAAGAACUAACAGGGCUUUGGCAAUCAUUCAGCAAUUCCCAUCUAGCCAGCAGCAAUACCACUAGUACUUAACCAAAGUCAACAAGUAGUAAGCAACAGAACCAGCUAGUAGAUACAAGCAACACACUCUAAACAGGAAUUGAUUUUGAUGUCAGUUUCUAGUUUACCAAAAGAAACUGACAUAUGUUGCAUCAAGGAACACCUACAACUGCAGCAUCGAUUUGAUUGUGUGGAAAUUUGUGGAGGGGAAUGGGUGAGACAGUGUAGUGGGGAGAGAAAUCUCAAGUACCUCAACACAGCGGUGUUAGGAACGGACGACGACAGCAUCCUGCGCCGGCGUCCCAUGUACGGCACCAGACACGGCUGCGUCGCUGCCGGCAGAGGGCUCUCCCGACGCGCGACCAUCAAGAAGGAGGUGAGCAGGCCCGGCUCGAUGGCGCAGACGGGGGAGUGCGGUCGGAGACGGCGGAACCGGCGACGCAGCUGAUCUGGAUAUGGAUCAACGGUGGGAUACCUACAUCAAGAUUCAAGAAUCAAGGUUUCAUCAGUAAAUCAUAAGUAAGAAAAUCUCAAGUCAACUUUCCUGAAUCAACUAGACUUCACUGUGUAGGUACUACCAAGUACCAACAACUUAAAUGGCUAAGUACUACGCUUUAGUUCUACAUCUCUACAGUUCUAUAUUUACCAGCCCAAUUUCCCACAGACCGAUUCACAGUUAUUAUAGCUUGCAGGUUAAGCCUAGGGAAUCAAAGGAAAUACACAUCAGAAAUGCUAGGUACAUAUUUGUAUAGCACUACAAUGUUCCACACUUAAUUUGCACAAAAAACCAUAGGAGGUUUGUUGUACUCGAUUAGGAAACAGUGACAAUGGCGGGGUGAAUAAUUUCAUCUAUGCAUAUACAAGGAUGACAUUGUGAGGUACUAGCACACACAAAGAACUAGUUUACCAAUCAGGCUAUCGCUGCUCGAAAUGCAUUGCUCGUUGCUAGAAUUCACUGCCAAGGUACUAACAAAAUAAUAAAUACCUAUGUGUCAAGCUACAGAUCUACCUUUCUACAUGUUCUCAAGCAGAGAAAAAUGCUUUGUGUGUGCACUGCGUGCCUACUCCGGCCUCCUUACAUUGCAGAUCAGCUCCCCAUGGAAACCACAAGCCGCCAAGAGGUUGUCUUUCACCGUCAUGGUGCUGAUCUUCUCCUGGACAAGGGCCGACCUCCCUGCAUAUCCUGCAUAGUGUGGUCGCACAGUGGAUCAGAGAUUGACCGAAAUUCCGACGAUAGAGGACUAUCACAUCGCUUUGUGGUAGAUCACCUGACUUGGGCCUGCCACGUUGAGCACUUCUUUUCCUUUGCGGAGUAAGGACGACCAAUGCAUCACGGAAUAGUUCUACAUCACGUACACAUCAUGCUUGGAAGUAGCCCACAUGAUGUUCCUCAGCUGCACAUGUACAAGUAUACGGUCAGUGCGUUCGUACCAGAUUUCUUCUUAAAACUCUGCAGAAAUACAAUGAUGCAAAUGAGCGGCAUUUUAUUCAAGUACACCGAAUUCUACUGCGAUAACAAACAAGAUCGCCCGAUGGAGGACAUAAUAGUGAGCUUCUGUUAAAAUUUCUCGGGUAAUUACAACUAUGUGAUUCUACUGUUAAUCUAGAUCUCCUUCAGGUUUUGAUUCAUUUAAUCAAACAAUAGAACACAACUGCUAGAAACUGUUAAGACAUACAUAUUAUGUGCACGCCAAAAAAUAGCAGAUCUAUGAAGGGGGGUGUCUAUUAGCAAAUUUUAGUCUAAAUACAACUUAGGCAGGAAAAUGCUUAGUGUAACUAAUGAACUGAUGUUGUUUGCGUUUCUGAACUUUGCUAAAUGAACUCUAGACGAAUACACCAAAAACUAAUGAACUCUAUCUCCACAGACUCCAUCUCUAGACAAAUGAUACAUUCUCAUUCACAUUCACUGGAGAAUAAUCAACAUCAUUACUGGCAGUUUGUGGCACCUUCAAGAUUUUUAUAUAUAUAAACAAAAUUUUCAACGGUGGGCAAUCAGUCAAUUAGGCACCCAAACACAAUAGUAGUAUAAUCGUCGCUAGCCCAGCUACUCAGAUCCGAUCAAUGAGGCCAACUACUAAUCAUAAUGUUUCCCCUGCCUACUAUGGAUCAUUGCUGCUAACAACCCAUCCAGACUCCCUUGCAAGAUGCCAAAAAGAAUCGGAUCCAUCGGAAAUAGCUACUGGCCAACUGCCUACUGCUAGUGCUAGCCAUCAGUGGGGAUAGAUCGGACUGAGUAAUUACCUGUGAUGGCGGCCACACACGGCUCGGCGAAGUGCCCACUUCAGACGACCACGGCAUCAAACCUCCUCCUCCAGCUUGCUGCCAGUGCAGGCGAGCCUCACCCUCCAGCCCGCGUCGUCGUCCCUGCUGCGGCGGACGCUCACCACCUCCGUCCCGAACUGGACCAGCCCGAGGGGUCGAACCACCGCAUAAACUCCUCGAGGUUCCGCGGGUCGGCAGAGGAGCGGUCCGCGACGACGACCACUGCGUCCCGAAGAUCUUGGCCGCGAUCUCCUCGUUCUACGGUGGCAAGUUGGAUAUGGGAGUGGGUAGAGCAUCUAGGAGUGGGGAGAGGAUCUGGGGUGGGGAGGUGUGGCGGAGGUGGGUGGCGGCGAGGAGAGGGGUGGGNNNNNNNNNNNNNNNNNNNNNNNNNNNNNNNNNNNNNNNNNNNNNNNNNNNNNNNNNNNNNNNNNNNNNNNNNNNNNNNNNNNNNNNNNNNNNNNNNNNNNNNNNNNNNNNNNNNNNNNNNNNNNNNNNNNNNNNNNNNNNNNNNNNNNNNNNNNNNNNNNNNNNNNNNNNNNNNNNNNNNNNNNNNNNNNNNNNNNNNNNNNNNNNNNNNNNNNNNNNNNNNNNNNNNNNNNNNNNNNNNNNNNNNNNNNNNNNNNNNNNNNNNNNNNNNNNNNNNNNNNNNNNNNNNNNNNNNNNAGGAGUCUGGAUCGGGGAGUGCUAGGGUUUGCCCGCGGGGGAGAGAGGACGGGACAAGGAGUGGUGUGCGGGGGAGAGAGGAGGUCCCGGUGGGUGGGUGAGAGGGUGAGAGGGUGUGGGCCGUUGGAUCCGGGACUAUCCAACGGUCUCUAAUGCUUGAUCCGCGUGACAUGCUCGUAGACCAAUCAGAACGAAGUACAGGAUUUGAUGAUGUUAUGACCAUCUAAACUGGUCGCAAUCGAUUAACAAUAGGUGGCUGAUACGAGUCAGUCAGAUGAUUUUGUCUAGAAAUCAUCCGCCUAGCUAGGCGCUUGAUCUGCGCAUUGGUGAUUGUUCGAUCACAUCAAUAUGUCACGACAGCACCGAGCAUGAAAAAACUUCAACGCAGCACCGAUGACAUCCCCACGAAGCUCCAUUGCGGCUGUCAAUGGCGCGCCAAGAGCUCCAACGCAGCACCACGGUGUCCGGCGAAGCUCCAUUGCGGCUCGGGGGAGCUCCAACGCAGCACCACGACGCCCGGCGGUAAGUUCCCUUCUCUUUUUAUGACAACGUCUAAGUACGAUUCCCUCGAAUAACUAGAGGUACUUUCAUACUAGGUGAGAUUUUCGUCGAUUCACUAGGAAGCGGGUCAAAUUUUAACUACAACUGCCUCAUAGUUUGUUCAAAUGAUCUAAUAUUAUGCACAAUGGUGCAUCUUGGAAUGGCAAACAAUGUUGUCUAAGGAAGUUUUCAUUUUUUUGCAUGGAAAAUUCAUUUUCCAUUUUCCGAGUGCCCGAAACAAGGCUUUUUUGGGAAGGACCUACCAAAUAUUUGUCGCAAAAUUGGACCAAAUCAAUUUUAUAAAAUACUAGGCCAUAUUUAAUGCACAAUUGACCAAAUGUUUGGGUGUAAAAAGCUUUUGAUCCACCUCUCGUGAAAAAGACAAAUUCCCGCCGAUUCAGCUGGAAGCGGGUCAAAUUUGAACUGUAGUUGCCUCAUAGUUUGCUAUUUAUAUUUUCCAAAAAUCAUUUCUAGGUACAUAAGUAUCUAUUUAAUCAUAGAAACACCAAAAAAAUUCCAAGAUUCAACCACUAGCUAGGAACGCUCAAGCCCGCCGUUUUGACCGCAUUUUGAAACGGGCAUAAAAAAUUCAAAAAAAUCAAAAAAUUGGGAAACCUUCGCAUUGUGUCAUUAUAUGUGGCCAAGUUCCCAGGAAAAAUAACAAACUUGUAAUACGGCAAUUAUUUUAAAAAAGUGUUCUCAAAAACGAGCUAUCACGUGUGGAGAUCAAUGGCUUUCAAGCCAAAUGAUCAAUCUUAUGGCCACAUCCAUGGCAUAGUUUGUUCAAAUGAUCUCAUAUUGUGCACAAGGGUGCAUAUUGGAAUGGCAAACAAUGUUGCCUAAGGAAGAUUUCAUUUUCUUUGGACGAAAAAACCAUUUUCCAUUUUUUGAGUGCCCAAAAGGAGGUUCUUUUGUGAAGGACCUACCAAAUAAUUGUUGCAAAAUUGGACAAAAUCAAUUUUCUAAAAUACUAGGACAUGUUUAAUGCACAAUUGACCAAAUUGUUGGGUGUCAAAAGUUUUGAUCCACCUCUGGUGAAAACGACAAAUUCCGUCGAUUCAGCUGUAACGGGUUAAAUUUGAACUACAGCUGCCUCAUAGUUUGCUCUUUAUUUUUUUCAAAAAUCAUUUCUAGGUACAUAAGUAUCUAUUUAAUCAUAGAAACACCAAAAAAAUUCCAAGAUUCAACCACUAGCUAGGAACGGUCAUUCCUGCCGUUUUGACCGCAUUUUAAAACGGGCAUAAAAAAUUCAAAAAAAAUUCAAAAAUUUGGGAAACCUUCGCACUGUGUCAUUAUAUGUGGCCAAGUUCCUAGGAAAAAUAAUAAACUUGUAAUACGACAAUUAUUUUAAAAAAGUGUUCUCAGAUACGAGCUAUCACGUGUGGAGAUCAAUGGCUUUCAAGCCAAAUAAUCAAUCUUAUGGCCACAUCCAUGGCAUAGUUUGUUCAAAUGAUCUCAUAUUGUGCACAAGGGUGCAUAUUGGAAUGGAAAACAAUGUUUCCUAAGGAAGUUGUCACUUUCUUUGGACGAAAAAACCAUUUUCCAUUUUUUGAGUGCCCAAAAGGAGGUUUUAUUGUGAAGGACCUACCAAAUAAUUGUUGCAAAAUUGGACCAAAUCAUUUUUCUAAAAUACUAGGCCAUAUUUAAUGCACAAUUGACAAAAUGGUUGGGUGUAAAAAGUUUUGAUCCACCUCUCAUGAAAAAGACAAAUUUCCGCCGAUUCAGCUGGAAGCGGGUCAAAUUUGAACUGUAGCUACCUUGUAGUUUGCUCUUUAUUUUUUCAAAAAUCAUUUCUAGGUACAUAAGUAUCUAUUUAAUCAUAGAAACACCAAAAAAAUUCCAAGAUUCAACCACUAGCUAGGAACGGUCAUUCCCGCUGUUUUGACCGCAUUUUGAAAUAGGCAUAAAAAAUUCAAAACAAUCAAAAAUUUGGGAAACCUUCGCAUUGUGUCAUUAUAUGUGGCCAAGUUCCUAGGAAAAAUAAUAAACUUGUAAUACGGCAAUUAUUUUAAAAAGGUGUUCUCAGAAACGAGCUAUCACGUGUGGAGAUCAAUGGCUUUCAAGCCAAAUGAUCAAUCUUAUGGCCACAUCCAUGGCAUAGUUUGUUCAAAUGAUCUCAUAUUGUGCACAAGGGUGCAUAUUGGAAUGGCAAACAAUGUUGCCUAAGGAGUUUUCAUUUUCGUUGGACGAAAAAACCAUUUUCCAUUUUUCAAGUGCCCGAAAGGAGUUUUUUUUGUGAAGGAACUACCAAAUAAUUGUUUCAAAAUUGGACCAAAUCAUUUUUAUAAAAUACUAGGCCAUAUUUAAUGCACAAUUGACAAAAUGGUUGGGUGUAAUUUUUUUUGAUCCACCUCUCGUGAAAAAGACAAAUUUCCGCCGAUUCAGUUGGAAGCGGGUCAAAUUUGAACGGCAGCUUCCUCAUAGUUUGCUAUUUAUUUUUUCCAAAAAUCAUUUCUAGUUACAUAAGGACCUAUUUAAUCAUAAAUACAUGGUUUGGUGGCGAUACAUCGAGGUUUGGGCGGUGGCCGAGGGCCCCAACUCUAGAGCGCGUAAACUCGCAUGCCCGUCGCGUGGUCACCGCGUGACCGUAAUGUUGCCAUGUGUUCUAGGCGGCCUAGGCAUGUCUAGUGGGUUGGGCACUCCCCAGGUUGGUGCUAGGAAGAAAAUUACAACAUAAAAUUCUCACGAGGAGACCGAUCGAUUCUCAAACAUGAAUUAGCAGCCAAGUGUUUGAUUAGCGGUACGGGAAAUGCACAUGGCCAAUGGGCGUGAGUUUUGGCUGAGGAUGAUCAUCUACUCAGGAGAAUGUCUUCACAAAUUUUUAGCUCAAAAGGAGGAUCCUAGGUGGUACUUGCUUUGCAAAGUACCACGCUGGACAAAAAUAUGAUUGUUGAAGGUGGGCUCAAAAUAAUGAAUGGAGUGAGCUGAAAUUUUGUGGAGUAUGGUUAUUUGGGCAUAGGAAAGCAUUGUAGAAAAUUGAUACCAUUUGGACAUGCCAAAGUAGUACUUCCUUCACAAUGCUCUUCUAUGGACAGAAACUUGGGAAAACUAGUGAGAGAGAUUGGAUGAAUGCAAUGAGCUCAAAAUUGGUGUAGGUAAGUUACUUAGGUAUGGUCAUGCUCUGGUAAAUUUUCAGAUCAUUUGGGUAAGCCUAGCUAGUACUUACUUCACAAAGCUUCUCUCGAGGUAGAAACUUUGAAAAUUUCCCGAGAAAGAUUUACUAGGAAAAUUUAGCUGAAUAUUAUCAUGUGGCAAUCAUUUGGGUAUGGAAGAGUGCCAGAAAAGUUUGAGGGUAAUAGGAGGGGUCUAUAUAACACUUGCUUUGCAACGUGCCAAUUUGGCCAUAAAACAUAAAUUGAACCUGGGCUCACAUAGAUGAUUUGACUGAGCUGCAAUUUGGAGGAGGUUGAUAAUUUGGGCAUAUGAAGGAACUGUAUAAAUUUCAUGUCAUUUAGAGAUAUAAAAUAGGUACUUCCUUCACAAUGCUUCUAGGUGGACAAAAACUUUGGAAAUUUGCCGAGGAAGAUUUGCUAGGCAAAUGGAGCUGAAUUUUGUCAUGCGGUAAUAAUUUGGAUAGGAAAGAGUGCCCAAAAAUUCCGAGGGCAAUCAAGAAUAUAUAAAUAGCACUUCCUUCAUAAAGUGUUGUUGUGAACAGAAUAGGAAAAUGAAUAUUGUUGAAUUAGUUUUGAACUAGGCAAAGAAGGAUUUUUACAUAUUUGAUGAAGAUAUGCCCCAAAGAAUUUAUGAGAUUUUUUUGGGAAUUUUGGGAAUGAUAGAAAUAUAGGUUGCUUCACAACCUAGGGCAAAAACUGCCACAUGGACAUGACACAUAGGUAAAACUGAUGAGAUGGCGCCUAGUCAUCACAACCCACCACAAUCUACAAGUCUAUGACCAUCUAUAUUGGUCAUUAACAACUAGAAAUAAGGCAGCGGACUAGCACUAUUUGCUUUGUGACCAUUUCAUGUAAGGAAAUUACGACCUUUCUGACCAAAAUGGUCGCAAUGGUUUAGGGUUUGGAGCCCCCUGAACAGCUUUUGACCAAUUGGUCUAAAAUGGUCAUAAAUUUAUGACCAAUUCUUCGAGGGUCACUGAUAGAAGGUCAUAAGUUGACAUAUUUCUUGUAGUGUUUGGUCGGCUGUUCCGGCCCGGCAGCAGCGACGUCUUUCAAUGUCGUUGUCCUCCUUGGGGAGCAAAGCCGAGGUCCAUCCUAUCCACCCCUGACCCCACCCCCUCCCGGACGAAAGUCCAAAAUCCGCGUGAUUGGACAGCUACAGGUGGGCUCUGGAUGGCAAAGGGCAGUGGCGCUGGUGCAGAGGUUCACAGGUGGAGCGGUGUGUUAUCUACCAUGUGAAGAAGAUGAGUAUUGGCGGCAUGGUGCAGCUGGGAUCUCGACGACGGACAUGUCUGGAUGGACGAGCGGAGGGUAGUCGCACUGUUUGGCACCAUGGUGGCGUCGACGAUAGGGCUGACAAGAACGAUUCAUCAGCACCCACUCUGAAGAUGGAUCUGUGGAAGAUGGUGGCAAAGACCCAUGAGAGGGCGUCGGACCAGUUUGUAGCGCACACCUGGUAUGUGGCUUGGUUGCGGCCUUCAGCUUUUGAUUUUAGGCUUAGGUGAGAGAUCCGAUUAUUCGGCUCGGGCUUACUGCACCGCCUUCAUACAUUGGAUAGGAGUAGCGACAGAUGUUUCCAAGAUGGUGGAUUCAGACAUAUUGAUGUAUUACUUUGUAAAGUCUUUGUGAAUAACGAAUAAAAUGGCUGUAUGCAUCUCCUAGAUGUAGAGGCCGGGGCCAUCCUCCUUUUUUUAAAGGAGUAGUAUGAUGUUCCAGCGAUCAUCAUUGGAGCUGUAAUUGGCGACUUAAUUAGCCCAGACUUUUUCCACCAAUGCAAACAUACCUAAGCCCAGAGAUGCUCUUCAAGCCAUCUCGCGAACCGACAACUUUGUGAUCCCUGGAUGUGACCUCGUAGACCAUCCCCUGUGUUUUACCCCUCCUCUAGCUACUGCUCGUGGUGCCAUCGUACUCCUAUAAGAAGGCCAUGCUGAAAUUUCAGACCGAAAAGACAUGUUUAACGUGCCCAAAUAUGGUGAUUGGCUACACUGUGGGUACAACAACCAACAACAAGACUUGCUUAUAGAGAAAAACAAACAGAACAUACAGCAAAACAAAGUACCUAGAGGACCAACCAACCAGGUAUAGGUUUUAUACACAGCCCGUAGGCGGGGCGGCAACACAUCCACGACACACUAGAAUAUGGACUUCACAAUGACAUCAACACACGGCAACGGUUUUCGUUCACAGGGUUACAAGCCCAAAGUUCCGACACGAGAAUAUUCAUCUACGUUUUACAUGCCCCUUUAGUGCUAGACACCCUUUGAAAACCACUACAUCUUCGGAGACACAUGGACCGCAUAAUGCAAGGGAUUGUAUGGGGCCACACUCUUUCCCCUUCACUUGCCGCUACUUAGGAGUUAGGAUCACAUGCCACGAUCUGCUCUUCGAGCUGCAUCAAAAGAUGAAUAAUAGGUCAAUGAUUAAGAAAAGUACCUUCCGAAAAAUUAUUUAAGAUAAGUCUAUGGCACAUAAUGGUGCUCAAGUCACAUGGUUUCACUAAUCAGCCAUGUUACAAGUUAGCUAGUUUCUUAUUUGGGCACUUGGCAAAGCAUAAUUUAAGCUGGGAAACAAAGAAUUUCUACCACUUUUUUUGAGCUAACCUAUGCAACUACCAAACAUGAUGACAAAAUUACACAUAAUCAUUUAACGGCUAAAUGAGACUUUUUGGUACCUCAUACUAAGUGCUCCAAAUCUAAAUGUCAAAACAAUUAGAUUAAGGAUUAAAGAUUGUUCCCUCUUCUCUAUCUCAAUAUGACCAAUCUAUGGGUUAUGAAACUAUUGGGUAGUUGGUAUCAAAAUCCAACUUGAGGCACAUAAGGUGCGACCUGCAUCAUUAUCUCCAACUCAUGUCGCACAUUAUAGAACUCAUUCCUAACAAGAGCCAAUGACACGAGACACCUGAAAUAAUGCAAAAAUACCAUGUUGUCAAAUUCUGAAGAGGUUAACAGAACUGAGAUGAACUGGUUCAAAAAUUGUAACCCUAUAUUUCAAAAAAUAAAAAUCUCUUGCCAUAUAAGAAUUUAGUUGUGCUAUAAAUAGAAUUCUAGAGCCAACCAAGUACAAGAGAACCAUCAAAGCGUAGCAUAUUCAGAUAAUGAACCGAGUAAUAUCAACAACGUGAUUGCAAAUGAAGUGAAAAAGAAAAUUAGGUUACUUCUUAACAACGUUAGAUUGGUAUGAGCUGAAAAUAACGACAGAAAAGACAACAUGAGCUGGCAGGUUUACAUAGAGACAUUGAAAAACAAUGUUGUGAAUAAUUAUUGUGUAACAAUAUGUAAUAAGCAAUUGAGUUCUGACCCUGGUUUGUAUUCUAUGGCAUAGAAAUUGCCGAAGUGCAUGCUGGCGAGGUUCACUUGCUAUGCACCAACACUGAAACAUGCAAAAGAGAUGCAGAUCAGGAAAUUACGAACUUAUCAAACUUAUUAUGAACUGAGACGUCAACACAAUAAUAUUCUCAAGGAGCCAUUUCCUAUCAUGAUUGUCAACUCCAUAAAUUGUUUGAUGGACUAGAAAAAAACCAUUGUCGUUAUGUGCAAUAGCAGAUCAGUAGUACCAUAAAUAUUUACAAAACGACAAAGUUUUUCUUGCCGAACCAUGAAAUUGUCAUGACUACUCACAAUUCUGCUACAUGAGACACAACUACAAUCAGGUCUUCUUAUUUUGGAUAUAAUACACCCAAAUGAUGUACACACCCUGCGCCUGACAAGUCUGAAUAGAAACAACACUGUUCCAAUGGAGAAACAGAAAGAAUGGACAUUGACGUUAUGUAGAAUUGUAGGUCAUUAAUAGCAGCCAUGCUUAUAAAAUGACAUUUUUUUUCAUUCUCGGCCUUGAAUAAUGGCAUUGCCCGAAGAACAGACACGAUAGUAGAAGAAACAUUUGCAAAACGACAAAAAAUCCCCUCGCCAAGCUAUACGAUGUGAUUAACAUUGGGAAGAAUACCAACAAUUUCGUUACACGAUAUAUGACUAAACUCAGCUCUUCUACCUAUGGCUAUACGACGCCAAUAAAAUGACAUGAACCUCAAUUAUGCGGCCCUAUCGUGAGGUACACACCCUGUGCCAACACAUCCAAAUAAAAAACAACAUUGAUGCCGUGGACAAACUAGAAAAAACACCAUUUGAGAUACAAAGAAUAGCAGAUCAUUAAUACCAGAAAACCCACCAUUAGCAAUACACAUAAUAGCAGAUCAUUAAUACCAGGAAUAUUCCGAAAAUGACAACAAUUUAUCCUCAUCAUAACAUUGAUAUUAAUCGGGAUACUGGUAACUCUGUUACACUAAAAGCAACUAAAUUCGAUUCUUCUAAUUACGCCUAUGCGGCAGUGCAACCGACAAAUAAGAAUCAUUUGCCCAGUAUAAUAAACAGAUCUGAAUCGCACGACAUGGACGUAGCAGUGGGCAAACAAACACAUAGAGUUAAAAAUAAGUAGGUGGAAGAGACAGAAAGGGUUUAUGAUGGUCAUCACCUGGAGGUGCACGGCAUGAGUUGCUGCAUCAGGGCUUCCACCUCGUCAAAGUCCACUUCGGGCUCUUCCGGUCCUCCCUGCAAUUUCCAAAGAAGAUAAUUAAGAUGAAUCAGUACCCGAGAUAGAGAGCAGAGGGAGAGAUGAUAGAGGGCAUGGGGGCAGACAUGAGGGUGUCGAUGUCGUCGAUGAUAUCGGGCGUCGUAGAUGAAGAGGCGGGAGACCUCGGCGGCGGUGCCCUCUUUCCGUAGCUCCUGGAACAUAUAUCCUCGUCCAUCACACCUUGGAUCAACAUCGACCACACCAACGCAAAGGAAAAGGCCAAGUUAGUGGGCUAGCCUGGCCAAAAUCCACAACCACAUGACUAGUGAGGAGGGGAAGGGCGUUGAGCUGCGCCCUCAGUGCUGCGGCUGCCAUGGCAAGGUGAGGAUGGGUCCAGCGGUCCGGGGGACUGAGCAGUGGAGACAUGGGGAAUUCGGCCGUGGAUGCGGAGUGAACGAGGACGGGAUCGAGAAGGAGUGGAGGUUGUAUGGCUGGGCUCGCGAGGGUCUCUCACGUAGGCGUUUGGCAGCGAGUGCUCUACUAGCUGUACUGCGUCGUCGGCUGCUACUUCUUGAGCACUACGUUGGUUUUCCCUUGAAGAGGAAAGGGUGAUGCAGCAAAGUAGCAUAAGUAUUUACCUCAGUUUUUGAGAACCAAGGUAUAAAUCCGGUAGGAGGCUACGCGCCAGUCCCUCACAGCUACACAAAACAAAUAAAUCCUUGCAACCAAUGCGAUAAGGGGUUGUCAAUCCCUACACGGUCACUUACGAGAGUGAGAUCUGAUAGAUAUGAUAAGAUAAUAUUUUGGUAUUUUUAUGAUAAAGAUGCAAAGUAAAAUAAAAGGCAAUGAAAAUAACAAAGUGUUGAAAGAUUAAUAUGAUGGAAAUAGACUCGGGGGCCAUAGGUUUCACUAGUGGCUUCUCUCAAGAGCAUACGUAUUUUAUGUGGGUGAACAAAUUACUGUUGAGCAAUUGACAGAAUUGAGCAUAGUUAUGAGAAUAUCUAGCUAUGAUCAUGUAUAUAGGCAUCACGUCCGAGACAAGUAGACCGAUUCCUGCCUGCAUCUACUACCAUUACUCCACACAUCGACCGCUAUCCAGCAUGCAUCUAGAGUAUUAAGUUCAUAAGAACAGAGUAACGCUUUAAGCAAGAUGACAUGUUGUAGAGCGAUAAAUUCAUGCAAUAUGAUAAAAAAAACCAUCUUGUUAUCCUCGAUGGCAACAAUACAAUAUGUGCCUUGCUGCCCCUACUGUCACUAGGAAAGGACACCGCAAGAUUGAACCCAAAGCUAAGCACUUCUCCCAUUGCAAGAAAGAUCAAUCUACUUGGCCGAACCAAACUGAUAAUUCGAAGAGACUUGCAAAGAUAACCAAUCAGACAUAAAAGAAUUCAGAGAAGAUUCAAAUAUUGUUCAUAGAUAAACUUGAUCAUAAACCCACAAUUCAUCGGUCUCAGCAAACACACGACAAAAGAAGACUACAUCGAAUAGAUCUCCACAAGAGAGGGGGAGAACUUUGUAUUGAGAUCCAAAAAGAGAGAAGAAGCCAUCUAGCUAAUAACUAUAGAUCCGAAGGUCUGAGGUAAACUACUCACACUUCAUCGGAGAGGCUAUGGUGUUGAUGUAGAAGCCCUCCGUGAUCGAUGCCCUCUCCGGCGGAGCUCCGGAAUAGGCCCUGAGAUGGGAUCUCGUGGAUAACAAAAGUUACGACGGUGGAAUUAGGGUUUUCGCUCCGUAUCUGGUAAUUUGGGGGUACGUAGUUAUAUAUAGGAGGAAGGAGUACGUCCGUGGAGCAACAGGGGGGCCACGAGGGUGGAGGGCGCGCCUGGGGGGGGGGGGGUAGGCACGCCCCCUACCUCGUGGCCUCCCUAUUGGUUGCUUGACGUAGGGUCCAGGUCUCCUGGAUCUUGUUCGUUCCAAAAAUCACGUUCCCGAAGGUUUUAUUCCGUUUAGACUCCGUUUGAUAUUCCUUUUCUUCGAAACCCUAAAAUAGGCAAAAAAACAGCAAUUCUGGGUUGGGCCUCCGGUUAUAGGUUAGUCCCCAAAAUAAUAUAAAAGUGGAUAAUAAAGCCCAAUAAUGUCCAAAACAGAAGAUAAUAUAGCAUGGAGCAAUCAAAAAUUCUAGAUAUGUUGUUGACAUAUCAAGCAUACCCAAACUUAAUUCCUGCUCGUCCUCGAGUAGGUAAAUGAUAAAAACAUAAUUUUUGAUGUGGAAUGCUACUAGGCAUAAUUUCAAUGUAAUUGUUCUUAAUUGUGGCAUGAAUAUUCAGAUCUGAAAGAUUCAAGACAAAACUUUAAUAUUGACAUAAAAAUUAUAAUACUUCAAGCAUACUAACUAAGCAAUUAUGUCUUCUAAAAAUAACAUGGCCAAAGAAAGUUAUCCCUACAAAAUCAUAUAGUCUGGCUAUGCUCUAUCUUCACCACACAAAGUAUUUAAAUCAUGCACAACCCCGAUGACAAGCCAAGCAAUUGUUUCAUACUUUUGACAUUCUCAAACUUUUUCAAUCUUCACGCAAUACAUGAGCGUGAGCCAUGGACAUAGCACUAUACGUGGAAUAGAAUGGUGGUUGUGGAGGAGAUAAAAGGGAUAAGAUAGUCUCACAUCAACUAGGCAUAUCAACGGGCUAUGGAGAUGCCCAUGAAUAGAUAUCAAUGUGAGUGAGUAGGGAUUGCCAUGCAAUGGAUAUACUAGAGCUAUAAGUGUAUGAAAGGUCAAAAAGAAACUAAGUGGGUGUGCAUCCAACUUGCUUGCUCACGAAGACCUAGGGCAUUUUGAGGAAGCCCAUCAUUGGAAUAUGCAAGCCAAGUUCUAUAAUGAAAAAAAUUGCGACUAGUAUAUGAAAGUGAUAACAUAGGAGACUGUCUAUCAUGAAGAUCAUGGUGCUACUUUGAAGCACAAGUGUGGUAAAAGGAUAGUAGCAUUGUCCCUUCUCGCUUUUUCUCUCAUUUUUUUAUUUGGGCUUCUUUGGAUUCUUUUUAUUUUAUUUUAUUUUUUGUCCGGAGUCUCAUCCCGACUUGUUGGGUAAUCAUAGUCUCUGAGGGAGUCCUGGAUUAGGAGGUCUCCGGACAGCCGGACUAUCUCCAUUGGCCGGACUGUUGGACUAUGAAGAUACAAGAUUGAAGACUUUGUCUCGUGUCCGGAUGGGACUCUACUUGGCGUGGAAGGGAAGCUAGGCAAUACGGAUAUGGAUAUCUCCUCCUUUGUAAUCAACCUUCUGUAACCCUAACCCUCUCUGGUGUCUAUAUAAACCGAAGAGUUUUAGUCCGUAGGACAACAAUCUCAACAUACAAUCAUACCAUAGGCUAGCUUCUAGGGUUUAGCCUCUCUGAUCUCGUGGUAGAUCUACUAUUGUACUACUCAUAUCAUCAACAUUAAUCAAGCAGGACGUAGGGUUUUACCUCCAUCAAGAGGACACAAACCUGGGUAAAACAUCGUGUCCCCUGCCUCCUGUUACCAUCCGGCCUAGACGCACAGUUCGGGACCCCCUACCCGAGAUCCGCCGGUUUUGACACCGACAUUGGUACCUUCAUUGAGAGUUCCUCUGUGUCGUCGCCGUUAGGCUUGAUGGCUCCUACUAUCAUCGAUAGCGAUGCGAUCUAGGGUGAGCCUUUUCUCCCCGGACAGAUCUUCGUAUUCGGCGGCUUUGCACUGCGGGUAAUUCGCUUGGCCAUCUGGAGCAGAUUGAAAGCUACGCCCCUGGCCAUCAGGUCAGAUUUGGAAGUUUGAACUACACGGCCGACAUCCGCGGAGACUUGAUCUUCGACGGAUUCGAGCCACAGCCGUGCACGCCGCACUGUCGUGAUGGGUAUGACCUAGCUCUCCCGCCGAACAAUACCCCAGAGGCUGCGCCCGCAUCAACUCCGACCCUUAGCUCGGAGCCAACUGCGCCAGUUGAGGAUGGGUGGUUAGACACCGCAUUAGGGGCUGCAAUCUCAACAGCGAUCGAGCCGAACACAACAUAACCCUCUGCGCAGCCUGUGACUCCAAGGUACCGGACUCUUUUCCAGACUCCGAACCAUCCACGCCCCUGCCAAUCGAAUCCGAUUAGGUGCCGAUCAUGGAAUUCACCGCCGCGGAUAUCUUUCAGCACCCGCCCUUCGGCGACAUUCUGAAUUCACUAAGGUCUCUCUCUUUGUCAGGAGAGCCCUGGCCGGAUUAUGGCCAACGGGAUUGGGAUGCGGACGACGAAGAAAUUCGACGCCCACCCACCACCCACUUCGUAGCCACUGUUGAUGAUUUAACUGACAUGCUCGACAUCGACUCCGAAGACAUCGACGGUAUGGACGACGAUGUAGGAGACGAACAUGAACCGGCACCUAUAGGGCACUGGAAAGCCACCUCAUUAUAUGACAUAUACAUGGUGGAUACACCCAAAGAAGGCAAUGGCGACAGGAUAGCGGAAGAUGACCCCUCCAAGAAGCAACCCAAACGCCAACGUCAGCGGCGCCACUCUAAGUCCCGCCAAAGCAAAAGUGGUGAUACCAGCACAGGAGAUAAUCACACUCCGGAUAGUGCCGAAGAAAACAAAAAACCCCUCCAGCAAGAUAUAGCAGGAGGACGGAGGAGCCAGCUCUCCUGAAAGAGCGGCAGACGGAGAGGAGGAGGAUGACACUCACAUGCCCCCCUUCGAAGACGAGUCAAGCCUCGGCGACGAUGAAUUCGCCAUACCAGAGGAUCCCGUCGAACAAGAGAGCUUCAAGCGCCGGCUUAUGGCCACAGCAAAUAGCCUGAAGAAAAAGCAGCAGCAGCUUCAAGCUGAUCAAUAUCUGCUAGCUGACCAAUGGACUGAAGUCCUCGCGGCCGAGGAAUAUAAACUCGAGCGCCCCUCCAAGAGUUACCCAAGGCGCAGGUUACUACCCCGACUGGAGGAAGAAGCAUAUGAUACAGCUGAUCGGCCACCUCGUGGCCGCGAUAGAGGCAUUCCAGCUAAAAGCUCAGCCUCCACCCCAACACCAUUCAAAUAAAAAGGCAUGGGGAAAUACGCCAGACCUGCGAGACAUAUUGGAGGACAAGGCAAAGCAUUCAAGAUUGAUCUACGGAUCACGUGGGCGCACCACUCUAUGAGACGACAAACGUCACGCCGUAUACAGUAAAAGCAAAUCCGGCCGGGCCGAACACAGUGGGCAUGACCCAUUCGAGCUGCGUCGCGAUAUAGCCCAAUACAGAGGCACCGCACACCCCUUAUGCUUCACAGACGAAGUAAUGGAACAUCAAUUCCCAGAAGGUUUCAAACCUGUAAAUAUUGAAUCAUACGACGGCACAACAGAUCCCGCGGUAUGGAUUGAGGACUUCCUCCUCCACAUCCACAUGGCCCGCGGCGAUGACUUACACCCCAUCAAAUACCUCCCACUAAAGCUCAAGGGACCAGCGCGGCAUUGGCUUAACAGCUUGCCAGUGGACUCCAUUAGCUAUUGGGAAGAUCUGGAAGCCGCAUUCCUCGACAACUUUCAGGGCACUUAUGUGCGACCACCAGACGCCGAUGACUUGAGCCACAUAAUUCAGCAGCCAGAAGAGUCGGCUAGGCAAUUCUGGACUCGGUUCCUUACAAAGAAAAAUCAAAUCGUCGACUAUCCGGAUGCGGAGGCCUUAGCGGCUUUCAAGCACAACAUCCGAGACGAGUGGCUAGCCCGGCACCUUGGUCAGGAAAAGCCGAAAUCUAUGGCAGCUCUCACGACGCUCAUGACCUGCUUUUGUGCGGGAGAAGACUGCUGGCUAGCUCGCAGUAAUAACAUAUCAAAGAACCAUGGUACCUCAGAUACCAAGUACGGCAAUAGCAGGUCACAUCGCAACAAGCAUAAGCGCCGCAUUAACAGCGACAAUACUGAGGAUACGGCAGUCAAUGCCGGAUUCAAAGGCUCUAAACCCGGUCAGCAGAAAAAGCCAUUCAAACAAAGUACGCCGGGUCCGUCCAGCUUGGACCGUAUACUCGAUCGCUUGUGUCAAAUACACGGCACCCCAGACAAGCCAGCCAAUCACACCAACAGGGAUUGUUGGGUGUUCAAGCAGGCCUACAAGUUAAUUGCCGAAAACAAGGACAAGGGGCAGCAUAGCGAUGACGAGGAAGAGCCCCGGCAGCCGCACACCGGAGGAUAGAAGAGGUUUCCCCCGCAAGUGCGGACGGUGAAUAUGAUAUACGCAACCCACAUCCGCAAGAGGGAGCGGAAGUGUGCGCUCAGGGACGUAUAUGCGCUGGAGCCAGUCGCCCCAAAAUUCAACCCUUGCUCCUCCUGUCCGAUCACCUUCGAUCACAGGGACCAUCCCACUAGUAUCCAUCAUGGCGGAUUCGCCACACUGGUCCUAGACCCAAUCAUUGACAUAUUUCACCUCACUCGAGUCCUUAUGGAUGGCGGCAGCAGCCUGAACCUGCUUUAUCAGGAAACAGUGUGCAAAAUGGGUAUAGACCCCUCAAGGCUCAAACCCACAAAAACGACCUUUAAGGGCGUCAUUCCAGGUGUAGAGGCCCAUUGCACAGGCUCAAUUACACUGGAAGUGGUCUUCGGAUCCCCGGAUAACUUCCGAAGCGAAGAGUUAAUCUUCGAUAUAGUCCCGUUCCGCAGUGGUUAUCACGCGCUGCUCCGGCGAACCGCAUUCGCCAGAUUAUAUGCUGUACCGCAUUAUGCAUACCUCAAGCUCAAGUGCCAGGACCUCGUGGAGUGAUUACAGUCAAUGGAAACACAGAGCGCUCUCUCCGAACAGAGGAGCACACCGCGGCCCUUGCAGCAGAAGCGCAAAGCAGCCUCUCAAGGCAAUCAACCAGUUCGGCGCUUCAAAGCCCGGACACCGUCAAGCGCGCUCGGGGCAAUCGGCAAAUAGACCGCCUAGCGCGAUCUAAGGUCGCGUAGCAAUACGGCGGCCACCCCAAUCCCAACCCAACAGCGAUAUUCAUGUCGCGCGUACAUAAUUACACAUUAAAAAUACCAUGGGCACAGGUGGGGAGGGGGCCACAACUGCGGUAGGCACUAAUACGUGGCCUAAACCGCACUAGGGGCUUCCCGUUUGGUUAUUUUUCUUUUUCUUUCAGGACCUUAAUCUCUGGAAACACUGUCCGGCAGCACUAUUGCCGAACACAUGAUGCAGCAACCAAGGAGGCAGACAACUACGUUAUACCACGGAAUUCCCACGUUGAUUACAGUAAUGAGUGAAAUAUUCAAUUCAACAUCAUUCUUCAGCUUGCCCUUGGAAGGGACAUAGUCCUACUCUUUGCUUAUCGCACUAUCUGUAUCACUCUGCUUUAACGCAAUUUUUUAAUAAACAAUGCAUGACAUUACGACAAUUAUUGCAUUUUUGUUAUAUAUAUAUAUAUAUGUGUGUGUAUGUGUGUGUGUGUGUGUGUGUGUGUGUUCAUUAAUGACGCCUUGCAACCGUACACUCUGGUACGGCCAAUACACCAGGGGCUUAUGUACCCCACAAUGCGGUGUGAAAAGUCCGGACACUUUCACAAGUGCGGCACCCCGAACUUAUAGCAUUAUAUGCAUCAGCUCUGAAUCAUGUCUUUGGUCAAAUGUUGAGUUUGCCCGGCUCCAAUGUUUUGGUACCUUACGUUCCGCUCUAUCGGCUAAUUAAGGUAGCGCUAGGAGAAUUACUGCGAUUGUGCCCCGGUUCUGCCGGGCUUAACACCUCAGUAGAGAAAGCUAAAACUGACUGUCAUGAUAAGGCGAGAGACUGGUCGCUGUUCGGCGAGGUUUUUCGAGUCCCUAAAGACUUAUGCCGCUUAGGGCGAGGGGCCGGCCUUAUCCGCCUUACAGGCGUGUAUCGCGCCCCGAAUUCGGCCUUCCGAAUAUCAGGGGCUUCACCAAAAUUUAAAAUUAUAGAAUUCUAUGGCUAAGUGAGAGUGAUAAAGCAUUAUUAGUCCUGUUGCCUUGUUCGUUAUGCUGAGCACCUCCCUCGAAGGACCCAAAUAUGGGAACAAGAGUACUCAGGUUUAUCCCGAACACCCCAGCACUCGUGGCAUGGGGGCAGAAGCCGAGGACUAGCCAUCUCUCAGACUGGAUAAACAGCCAAACAGAAGGUAAUAUUUUAAAUUCCAACAAGAGUUGCAUAGCGCAUAUGAAACAAGUUUUCAUACAUACAUGAUAAAACGAGCAAGUAUCAUUCAAAUAUUACAUCUUUUGAACACUCGUCCGCGAUGAGACAGGCACCUGCCAGAAUACCCUCGUAGUACAUCUCGGGGUGGCGGUGCUCCUUGCCCUCUAGCGGCCCCUCCUUGAUCAGCUUCACGGCGUCUAGCUUGAUCCACUACAAUUUCACACGGGCGAAAAGCCCGGCGUGCACCUUCAAUGCAGACAGAUCGCUUGACGACCUCCAGCCGCGGGCAGGCAUCCACAAGCCGCCUCACCAGGCCGAAGAAGCUGUUCGGAAGGGCGUCGCCAGGCCACAACCGAACUAUAAAGCUCUUCAUGGCCUGAUAAGCCGCCUUAUGUAGCUCGACCAUCUGCUUCAGCUGGUCGCUCAUUGGCACCGGAUGUUCGGCCUCAGCAUAUUGAGACCAGAACAGCUUCUCCGUCGAGCUUCCGUCCUCGGCCUGGUAAAAUUGUGCGGCAUCGGACACACUGCGGGGAAAAUCUGUGAAUGCUCCUGAAGAGCUCCGGAUCCGGGUAACUAAUCGGUAAUUUACUUUUACAUGCUUGCUUUGCAUAUAGGAAGCCUUACCCACCGCUAUCUUCUACAUCGCGUCGAUCUCUUGGAGGGCCUUUUGGGCUUCGGCCUUGGCACUUUUUACACUCUCGAGGGUCGCGGCAAGCUCAGACUCCCGCGUCUUGGAGUCAAGCUCCAACACCUCGUGCUUCGCCACAAGAGCCUGGAGCUCUUGCUGCACCUCGCCCACCCGAGCCUCGUGCUUCUCUCGCUUGGUGCGCUCCUUGGCCGCUGUAUCUUCGGCCUUGGUCAGCGCUUGCUUCAGGGUUGCCACCUCGGUCGUGGCCCCUGGCAAACAUACGAUGAUCCUGUCAUUUUGCAAUCGCGUCCUCUCUUAUAUAUAUACAUAAGACAGGGUAUGACUUACCCUUGUUCACCUCGAGCUGCCUCCUGGAAAGGCCGAGCUCUUUCUUGGACCCCUCGAGGUCCUGCUUCAGUACGACAACCUCCACAGUUAGUGCGGCGGACGCCAGCAGCGAAGCCUGAAUACGCGUAUUGACAUACUUAUAUUAGACUCCUGCGAUAUUAUUUGAUCCUCUGUUCGGCUUUUCUUCGUGAACACCGAACAAAGCAUCAGGGGCUACUGUCUAUGCGGUAAUAUUUCUACUACAUUUUAAAACACUUACCUCAAAGCCUGUUAGAAGGCUGGCACAGGCUUCAGUCAAUACACUCUUGGCAGACUGAACCUUCUGGAUCACCGCACUCAUGAUAGUGCAGUGCUCGUCGUCGACGGAAGCGCUACGAAGCGCUUCCAGCAGAUUGUCCGGUGCUUCUGGAUGGACAUAGGUCACCGGCACAGGUGUCUUUCCCCUCUUAGAAGGAGGCCGCAUGCCCGAGCCCGGAACCGCUGGAGGGUCCGGCAUGGUGCUCGGCUGAAGGCCAAACUUGGAGCUCUCGGGGGCCCCAUCCCCGCGGCUCCCGGAGUCCGGAAGGUUGCCUUGAGGCGCCUCCAGGACUGUCUCCCCUUGAUCCGGUGCCUCUUGAGACAACACUUCGGCGUCGUCGGCAGGAUGAGGGGAGGUGGCGGUCGGGACUGGAUCGUUAUCCAUGUCCGACAAGCCCAAGGAGCCGUCCGAUGAUACAUCGAUACUGGCUCGUGGCGGCCUGCAUAAUUGCGUUUGGCGUUAGGGAAAGCAGUGCGACAAAGGAAUCCUAGGAGUUACUCUGGUAUCCAAAUACUUACGACCCUAGGCAACCACUCGCCUUCGCCUUCAUCGGCGGCGGUGGAACUGUCCGGAAGGAGAAUCCUUCCCUUCUUGGACCCUCCGGCCUCCCCGGUUGGGGCAGCCUUCCUUUUCUUGCCUCCCCCAUUUGAUAGGGGAGCAUCUUCUUCUUCUUCCUCCUCGUCUUCGGGGGAAGAGAGCGCCAUAGAGUCAUCGGACGGUGAGUCCAACGACGCCUGGCGUCGGGAACUCUUUCGGGUACCCUUGGCCUUCUUGGUCUUCUCCGGCACCUUAUAAGGGGCCGGAGUCAGCAUAUUCACCAGAAGAGCGUCUGCGGGGCCUUCGGGCAAAGGAGCCGGAUAAUCGAUCUGUCCAGCCAUCUUCUGCCAGUCCUAUCAAAGGUACGGGAGUUUAGAUCCCGCAUAGAGUCAAUCUAUAUAAAAAAUAAGUAUCCUGUGAAAGGUAAAGCAGCUUACCGCACUGGCUUGGCACUUCGCGCUAAAUCCGCGAUCCUCAGUAAUAGGGGGAGGGACCUCGGCACUUUUGAACAGCACCCUCCAGGCGUCUUCAUGAGUCGUGUCAAAGAGCUUGUUCAGAGUUCGGUGCUGCGCCGGAUUGAACUCCCACAAGUUGAACUCCCAUUGUUGGCACGGGAGUAUCCGGCGGAUGAGCAUAACUUGGACUAUGUUGACAAGCUUGAGCUUCUUAUCCACCAUGUUUUGAAUACAUGUUUGGAGUCCGGUCAGCUCUUUCGAACUACCCCAGGACAGGCCCUUCUCUUUCCAGGAGGUGAGCCGCGUGGGGAUGCCAGAUUGGAACUCGGGGGACGCUACCCAUGUAGGGUCUCGUGGCUCGGUGAUAUAGAACCACCACGAGUGCCACCCCUUUAUGGUUUCCACAAAGGAGCCCUCGAGCCAUGUUACAUUGGGCAUCUUGCCCAACUUGGUGCCUCCGCACUCCGCUUGUCGGCUGCCCACCACCUUCGGCUUGACAUUGAAGGUCUUCAUCCAUAAGCCGGAGUAGGGCUUGAUGCGGAGGAAGGCCUCGCACACAAAGAUAAACGCCGAGAUGUUGAGGAUGAAGUUCGGGGCCAGAUCGUGGAAAUCCAGGUCGUAAUAAAACACGAGCCCACCGACGAAGGGAUGGAGAGGGAAUCCUAGUCCGCGGAGGAAAUGGGUGAGGAAUACUACCCUCUCAUGGGGCCUGGGGGGUGGGGAUGACCUGCCCCUCAUCUGGGAGCCGGUGCGCGAUGUCGUCAGGCAGGUAUCCGGCUCUCCUCAGUUUCUUGAUGUCUCCCUCCAUGACGGAGGAGACCAUCCACUUGCCUCCCGCUCCGGACAUGAUUGGAGAAGGUCGAGGUGGAAAGUGCGGACUUGGGCGCUAGAGCUCGAGUGUGCGAAAACGGAUGGGUAAGGGAGGAAGAAGACGUGGAUAGAAAGGUGAAUCCUUAUCCCUUUAUAUGGGCGGACGAAACUAAGCGUCCCCACUUGCCUGGUAAAACUUGCUUAUCCCCCAAGAGCCGCAAUUGUUGGCGCGGUUGGGUUACCCACGCCCAUAUUGAUGAGAAUCCAGUAAUAAGGGGACACGAUCUUUGCUUUAACAAGACGUGUCGAAAAACUGCCUCGCGUUAUGUGCAGGGCUGGUUAAAAGAAACGGUUCGAAUAAUCACCGGGCCAUGAUGUAACGUCACGCUGCCAAAACAAGCCAGCAAAUUAGAUCUGUGAAAAUAUUAUUCUCUCUACGGUGGAAUGUGGAACUUAUUUUGCAGGGUCGGACACUAUCCUCGUAUUCAAAUUCUCCUGCGGUGUAUUCGGAGAAGGAACCCGCCUUGCAAUGCCGAAGACAAUACUGCGCGCCGGACUCAUCGUCAUUGAAGCCUGGUUCAGGGGCUACUGAGGGAGUCCUGGAUUAGGGGGUCUCCGGAUAGCCGGACUAUCGCCAUUGGCCGUACUGUUGGACUAUGAAGAUACAAGAUUGAAGACUUCAUCUCGUGUCCGGAUGGGACUCUACUUGGCGUGGAAGGCAAGCUAGGCAAUACGGAUAUGGAUAUCUCCUCCUAUGUAACCGACCUUGUGUAACCCUAACCCUCUCUGGUGUCUAUAUAAACCGAAGAGUUUUAGUCCGUAGGACAACAGUCACAACAUACAAUCAUACCAUAGGCUAGCUUCCAGGGUUUAGCCUCUCUGAUCUCGUGGUAGAUCUACUCUUGUACUACUCAUAUCAUCAAUAUUAAUCAAGCAGGACGUAGGGUUUUACCUCCAUCAAGAGGGCCCGAACCUGCGUAAAACAUCAUGUCCCCUGCCUUCUGUUAUCAUCCGGCCUAGACACACAGUUCGGGACCCCCUACCCAAGAACCGUCGGUUUUGACAUUGACAGUCUCCAUCAUCCUUUCCUCACUUGGGACAAUGCUCUAAUAAUGAUGAUCAUCACACUUUUAUUUUCUUACAACUCAAGAAUUACAACUCGAUACUUAGAACAAGAUAUGACUCUAUGUGAAUGCCUCCGGCGGUGUACCGGGAUAUGCAAUGAAUCAAGAGUGACAUGUAUGAAAGAAUUAUGAAAGGUGGCUUUGCCAAAAAUACAAUGUGAACUACAUGAUCAUGCAAAGCAAUAUGACAAUGAUGGAGCGUGUCAUAGUAAACGGAACGGUGGAAAGUUGCAUGGCAAUAUAUCUCGGAAUGGCUAUGGAAAUGCCAUGAUAGGUAGGUUUGGUGGCUGUUUUGAGGAAGGUAUAUGGUGGGUGUAUGAUACCGGCGAAAGGUGCGCGGUAUUAGAGAGGCUAGCAAUGGUGGAAGGUUGAGAGUGCGUAUAAUCCAUGGACUCAACAUUAGUCAUAAAGAACUCACAUACUUAUUGCAAAAAUAUAUUAGUUAUCGAAGCAAAGUAUUACGCGCAUGCUCCUAGGGGGAUAGAUUGGUAGAAAAUACCAUCGCUCGUCCCCGACCGCCACUCAUAAGGAAGACAAUCAAUAAAUAAAUCAUGCUCCGACUUCAUCACAUAACGGUUCACCAUACGUGCAUGCUACGGGAAUCACAAACUUUAACACAAGUAUUUCUCAAAUUCACAACUACUCAACUAGCACAACUUUAAUAUCACCAUCUCCAUAUCUCAAAACAAUUAUCAAGUUUCAAACUUCUCAUAGUAUUCAACACACUCAUAAGAGAAUUUUGUUAUUAAUCUUGUAUACCUAGCAUAUUAGGAUUAUUUAUGCAAAUUACCAUGCUAUUUAAGACUGUCAAAAUAAUCUAAGUGAAGCAUGAGAAAUCAAUAGUUUCUAUAAAACAAAUCAACCACCAUGCUCUAAAAGAUAUAAGUGAAGUACUAGAGAAAAACUAUAUAACUCAAAAGAUAUAAGUGAAGCACAUAAAGUAUUCUAAUAAUUUCCGAAUCAUGUGUGUCUCUCUCAAAAGGUGUGUGCAGCAAGGAUGAUUGUGGUAAACUAAAAAUGUUUGACUUAAAUCAUGCAAGACGCUCCAAGAAAAACACAUAUCAUGUGGUGAAUAAAAAUAUAGCUCCAAGUAAAGUUAGCGAUAGAAGUAGACGAAAGAGGGGAUGCCUUCCAGGGCAUCCCCAAGGUUUGGCUUUUAGGUGUCCUUAGAUUAUCUUGGGGGUGCCAUGGGCAUCCCCAAGCUUAGGCUAUUGCCACUCCUUGUUCCAUAAUCCAUCAAAUCUUUACCCAAAACUUGAAAACUUCACAACACAAAACUUAAAGUAGAAAAUUUCAUGAGCUCCGUUAGCGAAAGAAAACAAAAGACCACUUCAAGGUACUGUAAUGAACUUAUUCUUUAUUUAUAUUGGUGUUAAACCUACUGUAUUCCAACUUCUCUAUGGUUUAUAAACUAUUUUACUAGCCAUAGAUUCAUCAAAAUAAGCAAACAACACAUGAAAAACAGAAUCUGUCAAAAACAGAACAGUCUGUAGUAAUCUGUAGCUAGCGCAAGAUCUGGAACCCCAAAAAUUCUAAAAUAAAUUUCUGGACGUGAGGAAUUUAUCUAUUAAUCAUCUUAAAAAAUAAUUAACUAAAUAUCACUUUCCAAAUAAAAAUUGCAGCAGUUCUCGUGAGUGCUAAAGUUUCUGUUUUUACAGCAAGAUUAACAAGACUUUCCCCAAGUCUUACCAACGGUUCUACUUGGCUCAAACACUAAUUAAACACAAAAAACACAACCAAAACAAAGGCUAGAUAAAUUAUUUAUUACUAAACAUGAGCAAAAAUCAAGGAAUAAAAAUAAAAUUGGGUUGCCUCCCAACAAGCGCUAUCGUUUAACGCCCCUAGCUAGGCAUAAAAAGCAAGGAUAGAUCUUGGUAUUGCCAUCUUUGGUAGGAAAUCCAUAAGUUGAUCUCAUAAUAGAUUCAUAAGUUAAUUUAAUUUUCUUUCUAGGAAAGUGUUCCAUGCCUUUCCUUAACGGAAAUUGGAAUCUAAUAUUUCCUUCCUUCAUAUCAAUAAUUGCACCAAUCGUUCUAAGGAAAGGUCUACCAAGAAUAAUAGGACAUGAAGGAUUGCAAUCUAUAUCAAGAACGAUAAAAUCCACAGGCACAUAAUUACUAUUUGCAACAAUAAGAACAUCAUUAAUUCUUCCCAUAGGUUUCUUAAUAGUGGAAUCCGCAAGGUGCAAGUUUAAGGAGCAAUCAUCAAAAUCACGGAAACCUAACAAAUCACACAAAGUAUUUCGAAUCGUGGAAACACUAGCACCCAAAUCUCACAAAGCAUAGCAUUCAUGAUCUUUAAUUUUAAUUUUAAUAGCUGGUUCCCACUCAUCAUAAAGUUUUCUAGGGAUAGAAACUUCCAACUCAAGUUUUUCUUCAUAAGAUUGCAUCAAAGCAUCAACAAUAUGUUUGGUAAAAGCUUUAUUUUGACUAUAAGCAUGAGGAGAAUUUAGCACGGAUUGCAACAAAGAAAUACAAUCUAUCAAAUAGCAAUUAUAAUAAUUAAAUUCCUUGAAAUCCAAGAUGGUGGGUUCAUUACUAUUUAAAGUUUUGAUUUCUUCAAUCCCACUUUUAUCAAAUUUAGCAUCAAGAUCUAAAAACUCCGAAUUUUUGGAACGCCUUCUAGGUAAAGGUGGAUCAUAUUCAGUUCCAUCAUUGUCAAGCUUCAUAUUGGAAAACAAAGAUUUAAUAAGGGACACGUCAAUAACUUUUAGAUCUUCAUCUUUAUUAUCAUGGAAACUAGAAGAACACGCUCUUAUAAAGGAAUCUUUCUUAGCAUGCAUCCUAGCGGUUCUUUCUUUGCACUCAUCAAUGGAAAUUCUCAUGGAUUUGAGAGACUCAUUGAUAUCAUGCUUAGGUGGAAUAGAUCUAAGUUUCAAAGAAUCAACAUCAAGAGAAAUUCUAUCAACGUUCCUAGCCAACACAUCAAUCUUAAGCAAUUUUUCUUCAAUCAAAGCAUUGAAAUUCUUUUGCGAAGUAAUAAAUUAUUUAAUAUUAGAUUCAAAAUCAGAGGGCAUCUUAUUAUAAUUUCCAUAAGAAUUGUUGUAGGAAUUACCAUAAUUAUUAGAGAAAUUGCUAGGAUAAGGCCUAGGAUUAAAGUUUCCUCUAUACGCAUUGUUACCAAAAUUGUUCCUACCAACAAAAUUCACAUCCAUAGAUUCAUUAUUAUUCUCAAUCAAAGUAGACAAAGGCAUAUCAUUAGGAUCAGAAGAAACACACUUAUUAGCAAAUAAUUUCAUAAGUUCAUCCAUCUUUCCACUCAAAACAUUAAUUUCUUCUAUCGCAUGCACUUUCUUAUUAGUAGAUCUUUCAGUGUGCCAUUGACAAUAAUUAACCAUAAUAUUAUCUAGAAGUUUAGUAGCUUCUCCUAAAGUGAUUUCCAUAAAAGUGCCUCCCGCGGCCGAAUCUAAAAGAUUUCUAGAAGCAAAAUUCAAUCCAGCAUAAAAAAUUUGUAUAAUCAUCCACAAAUUCAAACCAUGUGUUGGGCAGGUACGUAUCAUUAAUUUCAUCCUCUCCCAAGCUUGUGCAACAUGUUCAUGAUCAAGUUGCUUAAAAUUCAUAAUAUCGUUUCUAAGAGAGAUGAUCUUAGAAGGAGGAAAAUGCUUAGAGAUAAAAACAUCCUUGCACUUAUUCCAAGAAUCAAUACUAUUUUUAGGCAAAGCCGAAAACCAAGCUUUAGCACGAUCUCUAAGCGAAAAAGGAAAUAGCUUCAAUUUAAAAAUAUCAUUGUCCACAUCUUUCUUCUUUUGCAUAUAACACAAAUCAACGAAGCUAUUUAGAUGGGUAGCAACAUCUUCUCUAGGAAGACUAGAAAAUGGAUCUUUCAUGACAAGAUUCAGCAAGGCAACAUUAAUUUCACAAGAUUCAUCAUCGGUAAGAGAAGCAAUCGGACUGCUAAUAAAAUCAUUGUUUUUGGUAUUGGUAAGGUCACACAAUUUAGUGUUAUCUUGAGCUAUAGUGACAAGCAAGAAAUCCAACACACAAGCAAACGGGGAACGGGUAAAAAAGAGGAAAAUAGAGAAAGAGAGGGAGGAUAGAGAGAGAGCGCGCGAAUAAAACGGCAAGGGUGAAGUGGGGGAGAGGAAAAUGAGAGGCAAAUGGCAAAUAAUGUAAAGCGGGAGAUAAGGGUUUGUGAUGGGUACUUGGUAUGUUGACUUUUCCGUAGACCUCCCCGGCAACGGCACCAGAAAUGCCUCAUUGUCGGGAGUCAAAUAUUGACUUGCGCGAACCUCCGCGGCAACGGUGCCAGAAAUCCUUCUUGCUACCUCUUGAGCACUGCGUUGGUUUUCCCUUGAAGAGGAAAGGGUGAUGCAGCAAAGUAGCGUAAGUAUUUCCCUUAGUUUUUGAGAACCAAGGUAUCAAUCUAGUAGGAGGCUACGCGCCAGUCCCUCGCACCUACACAAAACAAAUAAAUCCUCGCAACCAACGCGAUAAGGGGUUGUCAAUCCCUACGCGGUCACUUACGAGAGUGAGAUCUGAUAGAUAUGAUAAGAUAAUACUUUUGGUAUUUUUAUGAUAAAGAUGCAAAGUAAAAUAAAAGGCAAUGAAAAUAACUAAGUGUUGGAAGAUUAAUAUGAUGGAAAUAGACCCGGGAGCCAUACGUUUCACUAGUGGCUUCUCUCAAGAGCAUAAGUAUUUUACGGUGGGUGAACAAAUUACUGUUGAGCAAUUGAUAGAAUUGAGCAUAGUUAUGAGAAUAUCUAGGUAUGAUUAUGUAUAUAGGCAUCACGUUCGAGACAAGUAGACCGACUCCUGCCUGUAUCUACUACUAUUAGUCCACACAUUGACCGCUAUCUAGCAUGCAUCUAGAGUAUUAAGUUCAUAAGAACAGAGUAACGCUUUAAGCAAGAUGACAUUAUGUAGAGGGAUAAAUUCAAUAUGAUAAAAAACCAUCUUGUUAUCCUCGAUGGCAACAAUACAAUAUGUGCCUUGUUGCCCCUACUAUCACUGGGAAAGGACACCGCAAGAUUCAACCCAAAGCUAAGCACUUCUCCCAUUGCAAGAAAGAUCAAUCUAGUAGGCCAAACCAAACUGAUAAUUCAAAGAGACUUGCAAAGAUAACCAAUCAUACAUAAAAGAAUUCAGAGAAGAUUCAAAUAUUGUUCAUAGAUAAACUUGAUCAUAAAUCCACAAUUCAUCGGUCUCAACAAACACACCGCAAAAGAAGAUUACAUUGAAUAGAUCUCCAGAAGAGAGGAGGAGAACUUUGUAUUGAGAUCCAAAAAGAGCUGAUAACUAUGGACCAAAAGGUCUAACGUAAACUACUCACACUUCAUUGGAGAGGCUAUGGUGUUGAUGUAGAAGCCCUCCGUGAUCGAUGCCCCCUCCGGCAGAGCUCCGGAACAGGCCCCAAGAUGGGAUCUCGUGGAUACAGAAAGUUAUGGCGGUGGAAUUAGGGUUUUGGCUCCGUAUCUAGUAGUUUGGGGUACGUAGGUAUAUAUAGGAGGAAGGAGUACGUCGGUGGAGCAACAGGGGGCCCAUGAGGGUGGAGGGCGCUCCUGGAGGGGUAGGCGUGCCCCCUACCUCGUGGCCUCCUUAUUGGUUGCUUGAUGUAGGGUCCAAGUCUCCUGGAUCUCGUUCGUUCCAAAAAUCACAUUCCCGAAGGUUUUAUUCCAUUUGAACUCCGUUUGAUAUUCCUUUUCUUUGAAACCCUAAAAUAGGCAAAAAACAGCAAUUCUGGGCUGGGCCUCCGGUUAAUAGGUUAGUCCCAAAAAUAAUAUAAAAGUGGAUAAUGAAGCCCAAUAAUGUCCAAAACAGAAGAUAAUAUAGCAUGGAGCAAUCAAAAAUUAUAGAUACGUUGGAGAUGUAUCAUCGGUCGGGCGCCAUUGGUUAGCUUGGAAACGGACCACAUGCGUAAUGCGUGCAUGCAUCAUGCAUGCAGGCAUGGAGCCACCGGUUGUGUGUCCACAUAUUCAUGGAAGUGAGCGUCUGUUUCAACUUUAAUCUCUUUUCCUUAAGUGAAUUGGGACGAAUAGAAGACCAUCCACUCUCCUCUGUCUCACUUAAGUGAAUUGGUUUCGAGAGCAUUUCACCACUUUUUAUGAUUUUCAUAGUUUCACUUUCAACCCGAUUCACCGCCUACCUGCCCUUUAAGCCUAGUCAUUCCAAAGAGUACUUGCCCCCACCCCUCGUCUUAGCGCGGCUGCUGGCACGGAGUUAGCCGGGGCUUCUUUCUCCAGUUCUGUCAUGAUCACGCACUUGACAUAAGAGCUUUACAAGGAGCAUUGACCUUCUUCACUCACGCGACAUUGCUGGAUCGGGCUUUCGCCGAUUGUCCAAGAUUCCCCUCUGCUACCCCCCAUGGUAGUAUGGGUCAUGUCUCAUUCCCAGUGUGUCUAAUCAUUCAAAAAGACCAGCUAAGCAUCAUUGGCUUGGCCAGCCUUUACCUGACCAACUAACUAAUACUACACAGGCUCAUCAAACAGUGCUUUGAACUUUCUGAAGGAUAUAUGCCCUAGAGGCAAUAAUGAAGUUAUUAUUUAUUUCCUUAUAUCAUGAAAAAUGUUUAUUAUUCAUGCUAUAAUUGUAUUAACUGGAAACUUAGUACAUGUGUGAAUACAUAGACAAACAAAGUGUCACUAGUAUGCCUCUACUUGACUAGCUCGUUGAAUCAAAGAUGGUUAAGUUUCCUAGCCAUAGACAUGAGUUGUCAUUUGAUUAAUGGGAUGACAUCAUUAGAGAAUGAUGUGAUUGACUUGACCCAUUCCGUUAGCUUAACACUUGAUCGUUUAGUUUACUGCUAUUGCUUUCUUCAUGACUCAUACAUGUUCAUAUGACUAUGAGGUUAUGCAACUGCCGAUUACCGGAGGAACACUUUGUGUGCUACCAAACGUCACAACGUAACUGGGUGAUUAUAAAGGUUCUCUACAGGUGUCUCCGAUGGUACUUGUUGACUUGGCAUAGAUCGAGAUUAGGAUUUUUCACUCCGAUUGUCGGAGAGGUAUCUUUGGGCCCUCUCGGUAAUGCACAUCACUAUAAGCCUUGCAAGCAAUGCAAUUAAUGAGUUAGUUGCGGGAUGAUGCAUCACAGAAACGAGUAAAGAGACUUGCCGGUAACGAGAUUGAGCUAGGUAUUGAGAUACCGACGAUCGAAUCUCGGGCAAGUAACAUACAGAUGACAACAGAACAACGUAUGUUGUUAUGCGGUUUGACCGAUAAACAUCUUCGUAGAAUAUGUGGGAGCCAAUAUGAGCAUCCAGGUUCCGCUAUUGGUUAUUGACCAGAGACAUGUCUCGGUCAUGUCUACAUAGUUCUCGAACCCGUAAGGUCCGCACGCUUAAUGUUCAGUGACAAUCAGUAUUAUGAGUUUUUGUGUUUUGAUGUACCUAAGGUACUUUGGAGUCCCGGAUAUGAUCACGGACAUGACGAGGAGUCUCAAAAUGGUCGCGACGUAAAGAUCGAUAUAUUGGACGACUAUAUUCGGACACCGGAAGUGUUCCGGGUGGUUUCGGAGAAAACCUGAGUGCCGGAGGGUUACCGGAAACCCCCUCCCCCCGGAGAAAUAGUGGGCCUUAUGGGACUUAGUUGAGAGAGAGAGGCCUGGCCUAGGGCAGGCCGCGCGCCCCUGCCCCUCUGGUCCGAAUUGGACUAGGAGAGGGGGGGCAACGCCCCCCUUUCCUUCUCCCUCUCCCCUUCCUUUCCCCCUCCCAGUAGGAGUAGGAAAGAGGGGAGUCCUACUCCUACUAGUAGGAGGACUCCUCCUCCUGGUGCGCAUACAGGGGCCGGCCGGCCUCCCCCCUUGCUCCUUUAUAUACAGGAGCAAGGGGGCACCUCUAGACACACAAGUUGAUCUGUUGAUCUCUCCCAGCCGUGUGCGGUGCCCCCCUCCACCAUAAUCCACCUCGAUCAUAUUGUAGCGGUGCUUAGGCGAAGCCCUGCGUCGGUAGCAUCAUCAUCACCGUCAUCACGCCGUCGUGCUGAUGAAACUGUCCCGUGAAGCUCUGCUGGACGGAGUUCGUGGGACGUCAUCGAGCUGAACGUGGGCUGAACUCGGAGGUGCCGUGUGUUUGAUACUUGGAUCGGUUGGAUCUUGAAGAAGUACGACUACAUCAAACGCAUUGUUCUAACGCUUCCGCUUUUCGUCUAUGAGGGUACGUGGACACACUCUCCCCUCUCGUUGCUAUGCAUCACCAUGAUCCUGUGUGUACGUAGGAAUUUUUUUUCAAAUUACUAUGUUCCCUAAUAGUGGCAACCGAGCCUGAUUUAUGCGUAGAUGUUAUAUGCACGAGUAGAACAUAAGUAAGUUGUGGACGAUACAAGUCAUACUGCUUACCAGCAUGUCACACUUUGGUUCAGCAGUAUUGUUGGAUGAAGCGUCCCGGAUCGACAUUACGCGUACGCUUACAUGAAACUGGUUCUACCGACGUGCUUUGCACAUAGGUGGCUGGCGGGUGUCAGUUUCUCCAACUUUACUUGAACCGAGUGUGACUACGCCUGGUCCUUGUUGAAGGUUAAAAUAGCACUAACUUGACGAAAUAUCGUUGUGGUUUUGAUGCGUAGGUAUGAAUGGUUCUUGCUCAGCCCGUAGCAGCCACGUAAAACUUGCAACAACAAACUAGAGGAUGUCUAACUUGUUCUUGCAGGACAUGUUGUGAUGUGAAAUGGUCAAGACGUGAUGAGAUAUAAAUUGUUGUAUGAGAUGAUCAUGUUUUGUUGAAGUUAUCAGCAACCGGCAGAAGCCUUAUGGUUGUCUCUUUAUUGCAUACGAUGCAAGCACCAAAUAAUGGCUUUACUUUAUCGCUAUGCGAUAGCAAUAGCUGCAAGAGAAAUAGUUGGUGAGACGACCAUGUGAUGACACGUUGAUAGAGAUCAAGAUGAUGGAGAUCAUGGUGUCAUGCCGGUGACGAUAGAGAUCAUGACGGUACUUUGGAGAUGGAUAUCAAAGGAGCAAGAUGAUCAUGGCCAUAUCAUAUUUUGAUUGCAUGUGAUGUUUAUCCUUUAUGCAUCUUAUUCUGCUUAGUUAGAAGGCAGCAUUAUAAGAUGUUCUCUCACUAAAUUUCAAGGUACAAGUGUUCUCCUUGAGUAUGCACCGUUGCCAAAGUUCGUCGUGCCGAGACACCACGUGAUGAUCGGGUGUGAUAAGCUCUACGUUCACAUACAACAGGUGUAAGCCCGUUUUGCACACAUAGAAAUACUCGGGUUAAACUUGACAAGCCUAGCAUAUGCAGAUAUGGCCUCGUAACACUGGAGACCGAAAGGUCGAGUGUGAAUCAUAUAGUAGAUAUGACCAACAUAGUGAUGUUCACCAUUGAAAACUACUCCGUCUCACGUGAUGAUUGGACAUGGUUGAGUUGAUUUGGAUCAUGUGAUCAUUUAGAUGACUAGAGGGAUGUCUAUGUAAGUGGGAGUUCUUAAGUAAUUUAAUUAAUUGAAUUUUAAUUUAUCAUGAACUUAGUCCUGAUAGUUUUUGCAUAUCUAUGAUGUAGAUCAAUAGCUCGCGUAUAGCUCCCCUAUUUUAUUUUUGAUAUAUUCCUAGAGAAAAACUAAGUUGACAGAUGUUAAUAGCAACGAUGUGGAUUGGAUACGUGAUCUGAGGAUUAUCCUCAUUGCUGCAUAGAAGAAUUAUGUCCUUGAUGCACCGGUAGGUGACAAGCCGAUUGCAGGAGCAGAUGCAGACGUUAUGAACGUUUGGCAAAGCUCGGAAUGAUGACUACUUGAUAGUUUAGUGCACCAUGCUUGACGGCUUAGAACCGGGACUUCAAAAAUGUUUUGAAUGCUAUGGAGCAUAUAAGAUGUUCCAAGAGUUGAAAUUAGUAUUUUAGGCUCAUGCCCAUGUCGAAAGGUAUGAGACCUUUGACAAGUACUUUGCCUACAAAAUGGAGAAUAGCUCAACUAAUGAGCAUGUGCUUAGAAUGUCUGAGUGCUACAAUCACUUGAGUCAAGUUGGAGUUAAUCUUCCAGAUAAGAUAGUGACUGACAGAGUUCUCUAGUCACUAUCACCAAGUUACUAGAACUUUGUAAUGAACUAUAAUAUGCAAGGGAUAACGGAAACAAUUCCCAAGCCCUUCGUGAUGCUGAAAUCGAUGAAGGUAGAAAUCAAGAAAAUCAUCAAGUGUUGAUGGUUGACAAGACCACUAGUUUCAAGAAAAGGGCAAAGGGAAGAAGGGGAACUUCAAGAAGAACGGCAAGCAAGUUUCUACUCAUGUGAAGAAGCCCAAUUCUAGACCUAAGCCUGAGACUAAGUGCUUCUACUGCAAAGGGACUGGUCACUAGAAGCAGAACUGCCCCAAGUAUUUGGCGGAUAAGAAGGAUGGCAAAGUGAACAAAGGUAUAUUUGAUAUACAUGUGUACUUUACUAGUGUUUAUAGAAACCCCUCGGUAUUUGAUACUAGUUCAGUUGCUAAGGAUUAGUAACUCGAAAUAGGAGUUGCAGAAUGAACAGAGACUAGUUAAGGGUGAAGUGACGAUGUGUGUUGGAAGUGGUUCCAAGAUUGAUAUGAUCAUCAUCGCACACUCCCUAUACUUUCGGUAUUAGUGUUGAACCUAAAUAAAUGUUAUUUGGUGUUUGCCUUAAGCAUAAAUAUGAUUUGAUCAUGUUUAUUACAAUACGGUUAUUCAUUUAAAGUCAGAGAAUAAUUGUUGUUCUGUUUACAUGAAUAAAACCUUCAAUGGUCAUACACCCAAGGUGAAUGGUUUAUUGAAUCUCGAUCGUAAUGAUACACAAAUUCAUAAUAUUGAAGCCAAAAGAUGCAAAGUUAACAAUGAUAGUGCAACUUAUCUGUGGCACUGCCGUUUAGGUCAUAAUGGUGUAAAGCGCAUGAAGAAAAUCCAUGUUGAUGGGCUUUUGGAAUCACUUGAUUAUGAACCAGUUCAUGCUUGCAAACCAUGCCUCAUGGGCAAGAUGACUAAGAAUCCGUUCUCUAGAACAAUGGAGCGAGCAACUGACUUAUUGGAAAUAAUACAUACUGAUGGAUGCGAUCCGAUAAGUGUUGAGACUCGCGGCGGGUAUCGUUAUUUUCUGACCUUCACAGAUGAUUUGAGCAGAUAUGGGUAUAUCUACUUAAUGAAACAUAAGUCUAAAACAUUUGAAAAGUUCAAAGAAUUUCAGAGUGAAGUGGAAAAUCAUCGUAACAAGAAAAUGAAGUUUCUACGAUCUGAUCGCGGAGGCGAAUAUUUGAGUUACGAGUUUGGUCUUCAUUUGAAACAAUGCGGAAUAGUUUCGCAACUCACGCCACCUGGAACACCACAUCGUAAUGGUGUGUCCGAACAUCAUAACCGUACUUUAUUAGAUAUGGUGCAAUCUAUGAUGUCUCUUACUAAUUUACCACUAUCAUUUUGGGGUUAUGUAUUAGAGACAGUUGCAUUCACGUUAAAUAGGGCACCAUCUAAAUCUGCUGAUACGACACCAUAUCAACUGUGGUUUGGCAAGAAACCGAAGUUGUCGUUUCUUAAAGUUUGGGAUUGUGAUGCUUAUGUGAAAAAGUUUCAUCCUGAUAAGCUCAAACCCAAAUCGUAGAAAUGUGUCUUCAUAGGAUACCCAAAGGAGACAGUUGGGUACACCUUCCAUCACAGAUCCGAAGGCAAGACAUUCAUUGCUAAGAGUUGAUCCUUCCUAGAGAAGAAGUUUCUCUCAAAAGAAGUGAGUUGGAGGAAUGUAGAACUUGAUGGGGUAAUUGUACCUUCUCCCGAAUCGGAAAGUAGUUCAUCACAGAAAUGAGUUCUAGUGAUUUCUAUGCCAAUUAGUGAGGAAGCUAAUGAUAAUGAUCAUGAAACUUCAGAUCAAGUUACUACCUCACCUCGUAGGACAACCAGAGUAUGGUCUGCACCAGAGUGGUACGGUAAUCUUUUCUGGAAGUCAUGUCACUAGACCAUGACGAACCUACGAACUAUGAGGAAGUGAUGAUGAGCCCAGAUUCCACGAAAUGGCUUAAGGCCAUGAAAGCUGAGAUGGAAUCCAUGUAUAAAGAACAAAGUAUGGACUUUGAUUGACUUGCCCAAUGAUUGGCAAGCCAUAGAAAAUAAAUGGAUCUUGAAGAGGAAGACAAACGCUGAUAGUAGUGUUACUAUCUACAAAGCUAGACUUGUCAAAAAAGGUUUCGACAAAGUUCAAGGUGUUGACUACGAUGAGAUUUUCUCACUCGUAGCGAUGCUUAAGUCUGUUCGAAUCAUGUUAGCAAAUUGCCACAUUUAUGAAAUCUGGAAAAUGAAUGUCAAAACUACAUUCCUUAAUGGAUUUCUUAAAGAAGAGUUGUAUAUGAUGCAACCAGAAGGUUUUGUCGAUCCUAAAGGUGUUAACAAAGUGUGCAAGCUCCAGCGAUCCAUCUAUGGACUGGUGCAAGCAUCUCGGAGUUGGAAUAUAUGCUUUGAUAAAGUGAUCGAAGCAUGUGGUUUUAUACAUAUUUGCGAUGAAGCCUGUAUUUACAAGAAAGUGGGUGGGAGCACUACAACAUUUCUGAUAAGUAUAUGUGAAUGACAUAUUGUUGAUCGAAAAUAAUGUAGACUUUUUCUAGAAAGCAUAAAGGCGUGUUUGAAAAGAGUUUUUCAAAGAAAGACCUCGCCGAAGCUGCUUAGACAUUGAGCAUCAAGAUCUAUAGAGAUAGAUCAAGGCGCUUGAUAAGUUUUUUCAAUGAGUACAUAAGUAGUUCAAAAUGGAACAAUCAAAGAAGGAGUUCUUGACUGUGUUGCAAGGUGUGAAGUUGAGUAGAGACUCAAAACCCGACCACGGCAGAAAAUAGAAAGAUAAUGAAAAGUCAUUGCCUAUGCCUCAGUCAUAGGUUCUAUAAAGUAUGUUAUACUGUUUACGAGUCCUAUUGUAUACCUUAGCAUUUUUCUGGCAAGGGAGUACAAUAGUGAUCUAGGAGUAGAUCACUGGACAACGGUCAAAAUUAUCCUUAGAGGACUAAGGAAAAUAUUUCUCGGUUAUGGAGGUGAUAAAAGAGUUCGUCGUAAAGAGUUACAUCAAUGCAAUCUUUUCACAUUGAUUUAGAUGACUCUAAGUCUCGAUCUGGAUACAUAUUGAAACUGGGAGCAAUUAGCUAGAGUAGCUCCGUGCAGAGCAUUGUAGACAUAGAAAUUUGCAAAAUACAUAUAGAUAUAAAUGUUGCAGACCCGUAGACUAAACUUCUCUCACAAGCAAAACAUGAUCACUCUUUGGGUGUUAAUCACAUAGCGAUGUGAACUAGAUUAUUGACUCUAGUAAACCCUUUGGGUAUUAGUCACAUGGAGAUGUGAACUAAUCACAUAAAGAUGUUAACUAGAUUAUUGAGUCUAGUGCAAGUAGGAGACUGAAGGAAAUAGACCCUAGAGGCAAUAAUAAAGUUAUUAUUUAUUUCCUUAUAUCAUGAUAAAUGUUUAUUAUUCAUGCUAGAAUUGUAUUAACCGAAAACUUAGUACAUGUGUGAAUACAUAGACAAACAAAGUGUCACUAGUAUGCCUCUACUUGACUAGCUCGUUGAAUCAAAGAUGGUUAAGUUUCCUAGCCAUGGACAUGAGUUGUCAUUUGAUUAACGGGAUCACAUCAUUAGAGAAUGAUGUGAUUGACUUGACCCAUUCUAUUAGCUUAGCACUUGAUCGUUUAGUUUACUGCUAUUGCUUUCUUCAUGACUCAUACAUGUUCCUAUAACUAUGAGGUUAUGCAACUCCUGAUUACCGGAGGAACACUUUGUGUGCUACCAAACGUCACAGCGUAACUGGGUGAUUAUAAAGGUGCUCUAUAGGUGUCUCUGAUGGUACUUGUUUAGUUGGCAUAGAUCGAGAUUAGGAUUUUUCACUCCGAUUGUCGGAGAGGUAUCUCUGGGCCCUCUCGGUAAUGCACAUCACUAUAAGCCUUGCAAGCAAUGCAACUAAUGAGUUAGUUGCGGGAUGAUGAAUUAUGGAAACGAGUAAAGAGACUUGCCAGUAACGAGAUUGAGCUAGGUAUUGAGAUAUCGACGAUCGAAUCUCGGGUAAGUAACAUACCGAUGACAAAGGGAACAACGUAUGUUGCUAUGCGGUUUGACCGAUAAAGAUCUUCGUAGAAUAUGUGGGAGCCAAUAUGAGCAUCCAGGUUCCGCUAUUGGUUAUUGACCAGAGACAUGUCUCACUCAUGUCUACAUAGUUCUCGAACCCGUAGGGUCCACACACUUAAUGUUCGGUGACGAUCGGUAUUAUGACUUUUUGUGCUUUGAUGUACGGAAGGUAGUUUGGAGUCUCGGAUAUGACCAUGGACAGGACGAGGAGUCUCGAAAUGGUCGAGACAUAAAGAUUGAUAUAUUGGACGACUAUAUUCGGACACCAGAAGUGUUCCGGGUGGUUUCGGAGAAAACCGGAGUGCUGGAGGGUUACCGGAACCCCCCCGGGAGAAAUAGUGGGCCUUAUGGGUAUUAGUGGAGAGAACGAGGGCUGGCCUAGGGCAGGCCACGUGCCCCUACCCCUCUGGUCCCAAUUGUACUAGGAGAGGGGGCGGCACCCCCCUUUCCUUCUCCUUCUCCCUCUCCCCCUUCCUUUCCCCCUCCUAGUAGGAGUGGGAAAGAGGGGAGUCCCACUCCAAAUAGGAGGAGGACUCCUCCUCCUGGCACGCCUACAGGGGCCGGCCGGCCUCCCCCCUUGCUCCUUUAUAUACGGGGGCAAGGGGGCACCUCUAGACAAACAAGUUGAUCUGUUGAUCUCUCCCAGCCGUGUGCGGUGCCCCCCUGCACCAUAAUCCACCUCGAUCAUAUCGUAGCGGUGCUUAGGCGAAGCCCUGAGUCAGUAGCAUCAUCAUCACCGUCAUCACGCCGUUGUGCUGACGAAACUCUCCCGUGAAGCUCUGCUGGAUCGGAGUUCGUGGGAUGUCAUCGAGCCGAACGUGUGCUGAACUUGGAGGUGCCGUGCGUUCGGUACUUGGAUCGGUCGGAUCGUGAAGACGUAUGACUACAUCAACCGCAUUGUGCUAACGCUUCUGCUUUCGGUCUCCGAGGGUACCUGGACACACUCUCCCCUCUCGUUGCUAUGCAUCACCAUGAUCCUGUGUGUACGUAGGAAUUUUUUUGAAAUUACUACGUUCCCCAACACUUUCUUCAAGAUUCGGCCCGAACUAUUUGGUAGAUUCCCACACAUUACGCGUUCAUUCCUCGCUUUGUUCUCAACCAUUCCGAUAAAUUCCAUCAAACAGAGGCCGUUAGUUCAAAGCCGCAACACACGCCCUAUAAUUUUGAAGCAAGGCGAGACAACUUUAGCUAUGGGGUGACCUAACCAAACAUGGCGGUCAACCCCUAGGGAUAAAGCAUGCUUCAUAAGUUUGUGAGCUUCAACAUUCAAGCUCCUAAAUUCAAGGCUAAUGAUCCAAUUAGUAAAAGUAGCCUUCCGAUCUAUGAUCUCAUGUAUGAUUGCUCUGUAGAUAGUUGCGCCCUUCUCAUGUAUAUCUGCAACGCCACCUUGAAAUCUGAAGCCACUUGAAUCUUCCUCUCAUAGAGAUUAUCAGCAAGCGCAAGUGCCACCCUGAUUGCUGAAGAUUCGACAGUAGCAAGAUCUAAUAUAUGUGGGAACACAAUGCCUGACACACCCAGAAAAUUACAAGCUUGAUCUCUACAUAUAGCUCCCAUUGCGCCUCGAGUGCCGCCUGGUCUAACCGCCGAACCCACAUUGACCUUCACCAUAUCAUUCUGAGGAGCGAUACAUUGAUUUGGCCUAAUCUCGGGUGCCCCUGGAACUGGACUUCGAGUGCUUUGGGUAACUCUCAGCUCAGUUAAGUAACUCUGCACAAAAGCCUGAAAAGUGGAAGGGCUUUUAUAUAUCUCCUCAUGUAUAGCUUUGUGCCGAGCUCCAAAUAUGAUCCGCAAAAGUGAUCGUAAACAUGAUAAAAUCCUCCUCCUGCGAUAACACCUCAUGCAUGGUGAGUAGCCAUUGUUUGGCAUCAUCAUUUACAUUCAGACUCAACUGCUCGACAAUUUGCUCGUAUGAUAGUGCCCAUGUGCUCCUUGAAACCAAGAAAUUCAGCAGGGCGUGCCUGCACAUAUCCUUAGACCCGCACAAACAACAAGCACUCGUCAUCGACAUGUUUCUAUGAUGAAGAAGAACAUUGUGAGUAACGUGCUAAUUGAUAUGUCCAUUUUAUUGCAUUAUGGGAUGUUAUUACACAUUAUGUCAUAAUACUUAUGCCUAUUCUCUCUUAUUUUACAAGGUUUACAUGAAGAGGGGGAAUGCCGGCAGAUGGAAUUCUGGGCUGGAAAAGGAGCAAAUAUUAGAGACCUAUUCUGCACAUCUCCAAAAGUCCUGAAACUCCACGGGAGCACUUUUCAGAAUAUAUAAAAAAUAUUGGGCGCAAGAAGUACAAGAGGGGGCCACACCCUGGCCACAAGGGUGGGAGGCGAGCCCCCCUGCCUCGUGGGCUCCCUGGUGGCCCUCCGAUGCCCAUCUUCUGCUAUAUGAGGUCUUUAGUCCGAGGAAAAAUCAUAAGCAAGCUUUCGGGACAAGACUCUGCCGCCACGAGGCGGAACCUUGGUGGAACCAAUCUAGGGCUCCGGCAGAGUUGUUCUGCUAGGGAAACUUCCCUCCGGGAGGGGGAAAUCAUCACCAACGAUCCUCUCAUCGGGAGGGGUUCAAUCUCCAUCAACAUCUUCACCAGCACCAUCUCAUCUCAAACCCUAGUUCAUCUCUUGUAUUCAAUCUUUGUAUCCAAACCUCAGAUUGGUACAUGUGGGUUGCUAGUAGUGUUGAUUACUCCUUGUAGUUGAUGCUAGUUGGUUUACUUGGUGGAAGAUCAUAUGUUCAGAUCCAUUAUGCAUAUUAAUACCCCUCUGAUUAUGAACAUGAAUAUGUUUUGUGAGUAGUUACGUUUGUUCCUGAGGACAUGGGAGAAGUCUUGCUAUUAGUAGUCAUGUGAAUUUGGUAUUCGUUCGAUAUUUUGAUGAGAUGUAUGUUGUCAUCCCUCUAGUGGUGUCAUGUGAACGUCUGUCGGUGUCAAAACUGGUGGAUCUCGGGUAGGGGGUCCCGAACUGUGCGUCUAGGCGGAUGGUAAUAGGAGACCGGGUACAUGAUGUUUUUACUCAGGUUCGGGCCCUCUCGAUGGAGGUAAAACCCUACGUCCUGCUUGAUUAAUAUUGAUGAUAUGGGUAGUACAAGAGUAGAUCUACCAUGAGAUCAAGGAGGCUAACCCUAGAAGCUAGCCUAUGGUAUGAUUGUUGUCCCUACGGACUAAAACCCUCCGGUUUAUAUAGACACCGGAGAGGGCUAGGGUUACACAGAGUCGGUUACAGUGGUUGGAGAUCUACAUAUCCGUAUCGCCAAGCUUGCCUUCCACGCCAAGGAAAGUCCCUUCCGGACACGGGACGAAGUCUUCAAUCUUGUAUCUUCAUAGUCCAGGAGUCCGGCCGAAGGUAUAGUCUGGCUAUCCGGACACCCCCUAAUCCAGGACUCCCUCAAUAGCCCCUGAACCAGGCUUCAAUGACGAUGUGUCCGGCGCGCAGAUUGUCUUCGGCAUUGCAAGGCGGGUUCCUCCUCCAAGUACUUCAUAGAAGAUUUUGAACACAAAGGUAGUGUCCGGCUCUGCAAAAUAAGUUUCCACAUAUUGCCAUAGAGAGAAUAAUAUUUACACAAAUCUAAUCUGCUGACGUAUUUCGUAGCAUGACAUCAUACCAUGGCCAAGUCUUUAUUCGAAUCGUUUUACUGUCCCACCUCAGCGCGUUUAGCGAGGCGGUUUCCUUGGCAUGUCUUGUCAAAGCAGAGAUUGUGUCCCCUUAUUCCGGGAUUCUCAUCAAUACGGGCGUGGGUAACCCAACCGUACCCGUUGGUAUGUUUUCUCGAUCAAAGGUGAGCCCCGAAUGGUCACGGGGAGGGCCCUUGGUAUUCAACCUAUUAUAAAGAGACCAAGGCCUUACUCCUUUCUUUCAAUCUCAAACGAGUUUGCCCUUCGCCUCGAGUUCCAACACCCAAGGCUCCAGAUUUUAGGCACAUCGGACCUUCGACAAUGUCCGGUUCCGACCUUUGAGGCCGAUGGAUGCCCUCCUCCAUCAAGGAGGAGGACGUGCUGAAGUUGAGAGAGGCCAGGUUCUUGACCGGCAAAAUCUGGCAUAGGCUGCCUGCUCAAGAGCAGGUCAUUCCCACUCCCAAGCCGGGUGAGAGUGUGGUGUUCAUGUCUCACUUCAUUCGGGGGCUAGGCUUCCCGACGGAUCCCUUCGUGAGGGGGCUCAUGUUUUAUUAUGGGCUGGAAUUUCACGACUUAGCUCCGGAGUCCAUCCUACAUAUUUUCUCAUUCAUCGUCGUGUGUGAAGCCUUCCUCCGUAUUACUCCUCACUUCGGACUAUGGCUCAAGACCUCCAAAGUAGAGCCAAAUAUGAUCGAGGGACGACACGCGGAGUGAGGAGGUGCUUUUAUAAGCAAGAAUGCUGGUGAUCCAUGGCCCGAGGGCUCUUUUCAAGAGGAGUCCAGCUUAUGGCAAUGAGAGUGGUUUUACAUCACCGUUCCCAGGGGCACCAAGUGGGUGGCGCCACCCGCCUUUUGCUCGGGUCCCCAACCACAACUAGUGUCAUGGGUCAAUAAAGGACUGGACUGGGGGCCAUUCAAGGACGUGCCCUUGUUGCAGGGCCGCAUUCGAGAUCUCUUAGAAAGAGACAUUAGCCUAGUCGUGGUGACGCAGGUCAUGUUGAUCCGCCGAGCCUUGCCCGGCAAACGUCGCCCCCUUCGCCUGUGGGAGUUCAAUCCGGAGGGACCACGAGCCCUCCAGCAUUUCAUGGGCGCAACGCCCGUGGAGAUGUACAAAUUGUUCUUAGGAUCACAAGCGAUGUGUUCGGACUUGACCGAGGACGUAGGCCUGAGCUGCAAUCACCCGGAUACUCAAGUAAGUAGCCUUGUGCCCGGACUCGCUAUCCAUAUAUAUAUCAUAAAAUUGCCCCUAAAAGAGCUGUCCUUUAAAAAGGAGUGGAUAGCGAAAGCAAAGCUAAUCAGGUGUCCGGCCCCCCUCCCCGAGGCCACGCCAGAUCCCAUGCUAGUCAGGAUGUUGGAGGUUGUGCCUUCGGAGGAAAGCGAGGGAGGGGACAAGGAAGCUACAACCUCCUCGAAGAAGGUUGUAAGGAAGGGAGGAAUCGAAAAUUCCUCUCCUCAGGGGAAGAAGAGGACCGCCUCUGACGACCCGGAGACCAUGGCCUCAAAGCGGGGGAAGAAAUCUUCAUCACAGGAUCCUACGCCGGGGGAUACUUCGGCCGAAUUAUGCCCUCAAGGGGAUCAGCCCUCCACCGAGCCGUAAGUAGAGAGGAGUUUUUCUUUUUAAGAAAUGAGAGAAAUCCUUGCGUUAUAUUUGAGAAGAGUAAUCGAAAAUUUACCUUGUAGCUCGGACCUUAGCCCUUCUCAGCAGAGCUCGUCUUCGGGGGAUCUUCUUCCGGAGAUGAUGGAUAGCGGAACGCCUCCCCCUGCCGUACCGCCUUGCGAGGCAGGCGACCCUGAGGUAUCGUCGCGGAGGGUUUCUCUGAAUCCGGCUGGGCCGGAAGGUCGUUAUAUGGCCCCCCAAAGCCCUCCAUGUCCGGCCUUCGAAAAGGGCCAUCGGACGAGUCCGGCACCAUGUGGUGCGCGGUCGGAGGAGCUGAAGGAUCUGCUAGGGCGAGCAUCUAUCUCAGAGUAGCACCGUGCAUUGAUGGGUAUGGUGAUUGAGAGGAUUUCAUCCGCGGAGAGCGGAUUGCACGAGGCCGUCAGGAGUUUACUGACAGGUUUUGAGGUACGUGAAAUAAUGUACCCUUUUUGGACAGUUGCGCAUAAAUAAGAUGCGCUCUAUGUAGAUAGUAGCCCCUAAGACUCUAUGCGUUGUCAAAAGUGACGGCGCGCAGAGGAUCAUAAUCCCAGGUCUAAUAUGCCGCCUUCAUACGUAGGUGGCGAAGUGUCGGGUGGCCAGUCGGAAUGAUGAAUGUGCUGAGCUAAAGCGGCAACUUGACGUGGCAGACGCGGACAUCGCGGUUGUCAACAUGCGGCUUGACGAGGCACAAGGUAUGUAAUUACUCCGGCGGCACCUGGUAAGAGGAGCUUUAUGCCAGUAUCUUACAAUGUGUGCGCUUGAUGCAAAUGGUGUUGCUGCCAUGGAGAAUCUUUGGGCGGAACUUGCCCGAGCCAAGGAGCAAGCCAGGAAAAGUGAUGCGGCUGCCGGAAAGGCAAUUGAAGAGCUGAAAGCCGAACAGGCUGCUCACUGCCGAAGCAAGAAGGAAAUGGCCGAGAUGGCUGUGAAGCUGAAGAGUGCUACUGACCGUUGCAAGCUUCUUGAAAAAGAAGAUCAGGCGGAACAGACGGACCUGGAGAAGGCCGUUGCCGAUGCCAAGGAUGCUCGCUCUAGGAUGAGAGCUAUGAAGGAGGAGCUGCGUCAGGCCAGAGAUAUUGCGGCUGGAAAGCCCUUUAUGCUACGAAGGAAGUUCUGUGAUCCUAAACAUGCUCCGUUAGACCGGAUGUGGAGUACGGCGGACACCUAUCUGGAUUUGGCAGCGAGUGCCGCAGAUGCGGCCGAACACUUCCGAGAUCAAGAAGAUCGCGAAGUGGAAAAGCUAUUUUGGUCGCAGUUCCACAAUCCGGAGCAUCCACUGUCAUUAGCCGAUCGUUUGGCCGAAUGGGUCGAGCUAAAUAGGUUGUCCCGACUCGCCAUGAAGUAUGUCAUGAGUCAUCUGUGGCCAGAGAGGCCAGAGCCGAAAAGUUAUUUCAACUUGGUGCAGCAGUUCCUUGGUGCGGUGCCGCAUAUCAAUGCGAUGAAGAGGUCAGCGUGCAUAGAGGGUGCGCGGAUGGCUCUUGCUUGUGUCAAGACAUACUGGGCAGAAAUGGAGGCCACCGAUGUUGCAUCCCCAGACUCGGAUGGAAGCCGAGUACCUGCCGAGCACUAUUUUCAGGAAGUUCUGCAAGGCGCUCGUUUAAUAGAGACGCAGUGCUCGAAGGAUACUAUAUUCGAAUAGCAUACAUUAUUGUAAAACAAUAUUUUGAUAAAUUGUAGAAGCUUUUUAUACUUGUGCCUGCAAGUAUUAUAAUACCUCCUGUGCGGCCAUUUAACAUAUAUGCGGGGGUGUUCGCAGAAGGCGCAUUUUCACACUUGAUCCAACGUCUUGGUCCUACAAAGGAGGUGAUAGCGCAGCGAACUAGGCAAUCGGACUAUGAUGCUUUAUCACUUUCACUUAGCCAUAGGAGUUUGACAGUGAGGCUACUUAUAUAGCCCUUAGUGGCGCCUGCGCUCGCCCGAACUCGGGGUGCGUAUGUGCCUGGCCGGGAAGCGGCAUUUCAUUAAUGCAGAGGAAUCCUAAAGAUUCCGGCAAGUCAUCGAGUGGUUGACCAGUCUCACGCUAUAUCAUGACAGUCAGUUUUCGGCUUUCUCUACUGAGGUGCUCGCCUGGCCGAACCGGGGCACAAUCGCAGUAGUUCUCCUGGUGCCGCCUUAGCCGAUAGAGCGGAACGUAAGGUAGCAAAACACAGGAGCCAGGCAAACCCAACAUUUGACCAAAGACAUGAUUCGGAGCUGAUGCAUAUAAGGCCAAACUCACGACGCCGAACACUCCCUAAGGUAUUCGGUCUUCAUGAGGGCGGGCGGGAUAACACCCUUAGUAAUAAGCCCGUAGUGUCCAGGUACGCGCAAAACUCUGAUGUGGCCACAUGCCAAAACGCCAGCCUCCUCCUUGGUUAUACCAAGAAACCAGGGGAUGUGUAUCAACAAGAGACAGUAAAAAAGGUUUACGCAGGGUCUUAAUCUGAAAAGAAUCCUUGGAACGGGUCCCUACUGCACGUCUGCGCCUGUGUCUCCAUUGUGCCGUAUCCUGAACGGGCGUAGCACGGUGUUCAUCUGUAAAAGAGAGGAACUUAGUUGAAAAAAGAUCGUGCCGAACAUGAGUUAUACUAAAUAAACAAAGUAUAAAUCAAAAUGGGUAAAAUUGAGCUUUAUUGUCUCUUGUUUUAUAUGCGCGGAGCCCCUAGUACAGGGGUAUACGGCUGUUAAGCCUUUAUCAAUUGUAUGUUUAUGCCGGACUCGUCUAGCCGUGUCCGUGGUCUUGACGACCUGUUUAGGUGCUUUGGCUGGUGAAGCCGCUUUCUUGUGGGGCUGUCAAGGCAGCCGCACUGUCUUCCAUGCAGGAGGAACACUCAAUGUUUUCCCUUUAAUAAGAUGAUGCCUCGUGGACCGGGCAUCUUAAGCGUAAGAGAUGCAUAAUGCGGUAUUGCGUUAAAGCGGGCGAAAGCUUCGCGUCCCAGCAGUGCUUGAUAGCUACUUGAGAAUGGGGCGAUGUGGAAAGUUAGCUGUUCGCGACGGAAGUUAUCGGGGGAGCCGAACAUAACUUCUAGCCGGAGAGAACCCAUGCAACAGGCAUCCGGGCCUGGCGUUACCCCUUGAAAGGAGGUUUUGCUAUGGCGAAUUUUUGUUGGGUCUAUCCUCAUGUUGCGGAUUGUGUCCUAGUAUAACAGGUUUAGACCACUGUCGCCGUCCAUCAGGACAUUUGUAAAGUGGAGUCCGCCGAUUAUUGGAUCCAAUACCAAGGCAGUCCAGCCUGCAUUCCGGAUACUUCUAGAAUAAUCCUGAUGGUCGAAGGUGAUCGGUUUUAACAACCAUUGGCGAGACUCCUUUGUGAUAGGCCGUAUGGCGCAUAUCUCUGUUGGCGCCAAUCUGUUCGUCACAUGAAGUAAGUUUACUGUUUUGACUUCUUGUGGGAAAUCCUUCUGUUUCCUGGUGCUCUGCUUGUGGGGUUCGUCGUCGUCCUCGCUUGGUGUUUUGAGCCCCUUGUGUUCGGCGUUGAGUUUGCCCGAUUGCUUGAAAACCCAACAAUCUCUGUGGGUAUGGUUCGCAGGCUUCCCGGGAGUACUGUGUAUUUGACAUAUCUUGUCCAAGAUUUUGUUUAAGUUGGAUAGCUCGUCCCUGUUAUCCUUGAGGGGCGGCUUUCUCUGAUUCUGCCGCGAGCUUUUGAAUCCGGCAUUGACCGCCGUGCUCUUUGGGCUGUUUCCCUUAUUCCGGCACUGGUCCUUGCUGUGUCGGGGUUUUCUAUUUCCAUCCCUAACUUCGGAUGUACUUGGGUCGCUAGUGCUACAUCUUGCCAACCAGUUGUCCUCUCCUGCGCAAAAGCGGGUCAUGAGGCUUGUUAAUGUGGCCAUUGUUCUUGGCUUUUCUUGGCCGAGGUGUCUGGCGAGCCAUUCGUGUCGAACUUUAUUCUUAAAAGUUGCUAGGGCUUCGGCGUCCGGACAGUCGACUAUCUAAUUCUUUUUAGUAAGAAAUCUGUUCCAGAAUUUCCGGGCUGACUCUCCGGGUUGUUGAGUUAUGUGACUGAGAUCGUCUGCAUCCAGAGGGCGGACAUAGGUCCCUUGAAAAUUUGCCCGGAAACCAUCCUCAAGAUCUUCCCAACUUCCAAUGGUGUUUUCGGGAAAGCUUUUGAGCCAAUGCCGGGCUGGCCCUUUAAGCUUGAGGGGUAAGUAUUUUAUGGCGUGGAGGUCAUCUCCUCUGGCCAUGUGUACGUGGAGGAUAUAAUCCUUGAUCCAGACCUCAGGGUCUAUUGUUCCGUCGUACGCCUCUAUGUUUACGGGCUUGAAUCCCGCUGGAAGCUCAUUAUCCAGCACCUCAUUGGUGAAACAUAGGGGGUGUGUGGGACCCCUGUAUUUGGGUGUGCCGUGAUGUUCGGAUAUUUGUUGUGUUGCAUUGCUUACUAGAGCUUGCUUUCUUGGCCCGUAGAUAGAUCUGGCUGGGCCUUCUUUUUGAUGCGGAUCCUUUGGUGGAUCGCGUGCCGGCUUGUGUGCGGCGCCGCUUGCCGCUCCAUGCUGGCCAUGCGGUCGUCUAUCCAACCGGGUGGCUUUCCUAUUUUUUGACUGCGGGGGCUCUAAGGCCUCCUCGUCAAAUUCAGGCAGUAGCUUUCGCUUUGGAUAGCUUUUUGUGCGGCGACUGCCGCCAUAUUUGUCUACGGUGUUGCGUGCUUUGCUCCAUCUGAUUCUGAGUGCAUCUUCCGCAGUUUUGAGCUUCCGCUUCUGCUUUUUCAGGCUACAUGCAAUGGCGACGAGCCUUUUGUGGAGGUUCUGCUGCUCCAUGAGCCUAUCCAGCGUAAGGUCGUUCGGACUGUUGUUUUCGUCGGGGACGGGGUGUUCGGUUUGUUUAUCCAAGUUGCCCUGUUCGGACGGUUUCUCGAAGGCAUGUUCGUCGUCCGCCGGCUCGUCCUGCUCUAUGGCUGGGUCUAUAUGGCUGCUGUCUCUAUCGAGGCGGGGCUUGGAGCGGCGCUUACGUUGCCGCUUUGAUUGCUUUUUGAGUGAACAAUCCCUCGUUGCAUCCCUGUGUUCCUCGUCGUCGCUUCCUUUGGGUGUGUCCACCAUGUAUACAUCAUGAGAUGAGGUGGCUGUCCAGUGCCUUAUAGGCGUUGGUUCAUGUUCAUCUCCUACAUCGUUGUCCAUACCGUCAAUGUCUUCGGAGUCGAAGUCGAGCACGUCGUUUAAAUUAUCGACAAUGGCUACGAAGUGGGUGGUGGGUGGGCAUCGAAUUUCUUCAUCGUCCACAUCCCAAUCCUGCCGGUCAUUGUCUGUACAGGACUCUCCUGAAAAAGAGAGAGACCUGAGUGAAUUCAGAAUGUCGCCGAAGGGCGACUGCUGAAAGAUGUCUGCGGUAGUGAACUCCAUGAUCGGCGCCCAAUCGGAUUCGAUCGGUAGGGGCACGGAGGGCUCGGAGUCCGGAGAGGAGUCCAGCAUCUUGGAGUCACAGGCUUCGCAGAGGACAAGGCUGGUGUUCAGCUUGAUCGCCGUAGAGAUUGCAGCCCCCAAGGUGGUGUCUAACCACCCAUCCUUGAUUGGUGUGGUUGGCUCCGAGCCAAGGGUCAGAGCGGACACAGGUGCGGCCUCCAGGGCACUGUUCGGCGGCAGAGCUAGAUCAUGCCCACCGGGACAGUGCGACGCGCUCGGCUGUGGCUCAGAUCCAUCGAAGAUCAAGUCUCCGCGGUCGUCCGCUGUGUAGUUUAAACUUCCAAAUCUGACCUGAUGGCCAGUGGUGUAGCUUUCGAUCUGCUCCAGAUGACCAAGCGAAUUGGCCCGCAGUGCAAAGCCGCCGAAUAUGAAGAUCUGUCCGGGGAGAAAGGUCUCACCCUGGAUUGCAUCGCUGUUGAUGAUCGGAGAAGCCAUCGGGCCUAAAAGUGACGACACAGAGGAACUCUCAACGAAAGCACCUAUGUCAGUGUCAAAACCGGCGGAUCUCGUGUAGUGGGUCCCGUACUGUGCGUCUAGGCGGAUGGUAAUAGGAGACCGGGGACAUGAUGUUUUUACCCAGGUUCGGGCCCUCUCGAUGGAGGUAAAACCCUACGUCCUGCUUGAUUAAUAUUGAUGAUAUGGGUAGUACAAGAGUAGAUCUACCACGAGAUCAAGGAGGCUAAACCCUAGAAGCUAGCCUAUGGUAUGAUUGUUGUCCCUACGGACUAAAACCCUCCGGUUUAUAUAGACACCAUAGAGGGCUAGGGUUACACAGAGUCGGUUACAAUGGUAGGAGAUCUACAUAUUCGUAUCGCCAAGCUUGCCUUCCACGCCAAGGAAAGUCCCUUCCGGACAUGGGACGAAGUCUUCAAUCUUGUAUCUUCAUAGUCCAGGAGUCCGGCCGAAGGUAUAGUCCCGCUAUCCGGACACCCCCUAAUCCAGGACUCCCUCAACAUCGACUACAUGACACUUCACCAUUGUUUGGGCCUAGAGGGAGGCAUUGGGAAGUAAUAAGUAGAUGAUGGGUUGCUAGAGUGACAGAAGCUUAAACCCUAGUUUAUGUGUUGCUUCGUAAGGGGCUGAUUUGGAUCCAUAUGUUUCAUGCUAUGGUUAGGUUUACAUUAAUACUUCUGUUGUAGUUGCAGAUGCUUGCAAUGGGGGUUAAUCAUAAGUGGGUUGCUUUUCCAGGUAAGGACAGCACCCAAGUACUGAACACGAAUCAUAUGAUCGUGAUUAAAACUAGCUUGACGAUAAUUCCCAUGUGACCUCGGGAGUGCUUUACUUCAUAUAAGAGUUUGUCCAGGCUUGUCCUUUUCUACAAAAAGGAUUGGGCCAUCUUUCUGUACCUUAUUUACUUUUAUUACUUGCUACUCGUUAGAAAUUACCUUAUCACAAAACUAUCUAUAACCGAUAAUUUCAGUGCUUGGAGAGAAUACCUUACUGAAAACUGCUUAUCGUUUCCUUCUGCUCCUCGUUGGGUUCGACACUCUUACUUAUCGAAAAGGCUACGAUAGAUCCCCUAUACUUGUGGGACAUCAAGACUCUUUUCUGGCCCCGUUGCCGUGGAGUGAAGCGCCUUUGGUAGGUGGAAUUUGGUAAGGAAAAAUUUAUAUAGUGUGCUGAAAUCUACUGUCACUUGUUACUAUGGAAAGUAAUCCUUUGAGAGGCUUGUUCGGGGUAUCUUCACCCUGACCGAUAGAGCAAAUAGUUUCUCCUCAACCUAAUAAACCUACUGAAAAUGUUUACUUUGAAAUUGCUUUGGGUAUGAUAGAGAAACUACUAGCUACUCCUUUUGCAGGAGAUGAAACAUUACAUCCCGACAUACACUUAAUCUAUGUGGACGAAGUUUGUGGAUUAUUUAAGCUUGCAGGUAUGCCCGAUGAUGUUAUCAAGAAGAAGGUCUUCCCGUUAUCUUUGAAGGGAUAUGCAUUGACAUGGUAUAGGCUAUGUGAUGAUAUGGGAUCAUGGAACUAAAAACGGUUGAAAUUGGAAUUCCAUCAGAAGUUUUAUCCUAUGCAUCUUGUUCAUCGUGAUCGUAAUUAUAUAUAUAAUUUUUGGCCUCGCGAAGGAGAAAGCAUCGCUCAAGCUUGGGGGAGGCUUAAGUCAAUGUUACAUUCAUGCCCCAAUCAUGAGCUCUCAAGAGAAAUGAUUAUUCAAUUUUUUUAUGCUCGGCUUUCUGACAACAACCGCUCCAUGCUCGAUACUUCUUGUACUGGUUCCUUUAUGAUGAAGACUAUUGAAUUCAAAUGGAAUUUAUUGGAUAGAAUUAAACGCAACUCUGAAGAUUGGGAUCUCCACGAAGGUAAGGAGUCAGGUAUAACACCUAAGUUUGAUUGUGUUAAAUAUUUUAUGGAUACCAAUGUUUUCCAUAAAUUUAGCACUAUAUAUGGACUUCACUCUGAGAUAGUAGCUUCUUUCUGUGAAUCGUUUGCUACUCAUGUUGAUAUCCCUAAGGAGAAGUGGUUUAAAUAUCAUCCUCCCAUGGAAGUAAAAGUAGUUGAACCUAUUAAAGUUGAAGAAAAGACUAUCACUUAUAAUGAUCCUAUUGUUCCUACUACUUAUGUUGAGAAACGACCUUUCCCUGUUAGAAUAAAGGAUCAUGCUACAACUUCAACUGUGGUUCGUAAAAGUAAUAUUAGGACACACAAUCCCCCUGAGCAAGUUAAAGUUGAACCUAAUAUUGAUAUUGUUAAAGAUCUCUUGGCUGAUAAUAUUGAUGAGCAUGUUAUUUACUUUUGUGAUGAAACUGCUAGAAUUGCUAAACCUGGUGCUAAAGAUAAACAUAGACCUGUGGUAGGCAUGCCUGUUAUUUCUGUUAAAAUAGGAGAUCAUUGUUAUCAUGGCUUGUGUGAUAUGGGUGCUAGUGCUAGUGCAAUACCUAUUUCUUUAUACAAAGAAAUUAUGCAUGAUAUUGCACCGGCUGAGAUAGACGAUUUCGAUGUUUCCAUUAAGCUUGCUAAUAGAGAUACUAUUUCACCAAUUGGGGUUGUUAGAGAUGUUGAAGUCUUGUGUGGGAAGGUUAAAUAUCCUGCUGAUUUUCUUGUUCUUGGUUCCCCACAAGAUAGCUUUUGUCCCAUUAUAUUUGGUAGACCCUUCUUGAAUGUUGUUAAUGCUAAGAUAGACUGCAAUAAGGAUAUUGUUGCUAUUGGUUUAGGGGAUAUGUCUCAUGAGUUUAAUUUUGCUAAAUUUAGUAGACAACCCCGUGAUGAGGAAUUUCCUAGUAAAGAUUAAAUUAUUGGUCUUGCUUCUAUUGCCAUGACUCCUACUGAUCCUUUAGAACAAUAUUCACUAGACCAUGAAAAUGAUCUAUUCAUGAAUGAAAUAAGGGAAAUAGAUGAAGUAUUCUUUAAACAAGGACCUAUUCUGAAACACAACUUGCUUGUUGAAAUCCUAGGGGAUCCUCCUCUACCCAAGGGUGACCCCGUGUUUGAGCUUAAACCAUUACCUGAUACUCUUAAAUAUGCUUAUCUUGAUGAAAAGAAGAUAUAUCAUGUUAUUAUUAGUGCUAACCUUUCAGAGAAGGAGGAAGCGAAAUUAUUGAAAACUCUGAAGAAGCACUGUGCUGCUAUUGGAUAUACUCUUGAUCAUCUUAAGGGCAUUAGUCCCACUCUAUGUCAACACAAAAUAAACUUAGAGAAAGAUGCCAAACCAGUUAUUGAUCACCAACGAUGGCUGAAUCCUAAGAUGCAAGAAGUGGUAAGAAAAUAAAUACUAAAGCUCCUUGAGGCAGGUAUAAUUUAUCCCGUUGCUGAUAGUUAGUGGGUAAGCCCUGUCCAUUGUGUCCCUAAGAAGGGAGGUAUUAUCAUUGUUCCUAAUGAUAAAGGUGAAUUGAUCACACAAAGAAUUAUUACAGGUUAUAGGAUGGUAAUUGAUUUCCGCAAAUUAAAUAAUGCUACUAAAAAGAUCAUUACCCUUUACCUUUUAUUGAUCAAAUGCUAGAAAGAUUAUCCAAACAUACACACUUUUGCUUUCUAGAUGGUUACUUUGGUUUCUCUAAAAUACCCGUGUCAGCCAAAGAUCAAUCAAAGACCACUUUUACUUGCCCUUUUGGUACUUUUGCUUAUAGAUGUAUGCAUUUUGGUUUAUAUAAUGCACCUGCUACCUUUCAAAGAUGCAUGAUGGCUAUAUUCUCUUACUUUUGUGAAAAGAUUUGUGAGGUUUUCAUGGACGAUUUCUCCAUUUAUGGAUCCUCUUUUGAUGAUUACUUGAGCAACCUUGAUCGAGGUUUGCAGAGAUGUGAAGAAACUAAUCUUGUCUUGAACUGGGGGAAGUGCCACUUCAUGGUUAAUGAAGGUAUUGUCUUGGGGCAUAAAAUUUCUGAAAGAGGUAUUGAAGUUGAUAAAGCUAAAGUCGAUGCAAUUGAAAAGAUGUUGUGUCCCAAGGACAUCAAAGGUAUAAGAAGUUCCCUUGGUCAUGUCGGUUUUUAUGAGGAGGUUCAUUAAGGACUUCUCAAAAGUUUCUCGGCCUCUGAAUAACCUAUUACAAAAAUAUAUUCCUUUUGGCUUUGAUGAUGAUUUUGUAGAAGCAUUUGAAAUACUUAAGAAAGCCCUGAUUUCUGCACCUAUUGUUCAGCCAGCUGAUUGUAAUUUACCGUUUGAAAUUAUGUGUGAUGCUAGUGAUUAUGCUGUAGGGGCUGUUCUAGGACAAAGAGUUGAUAAGAAAUUAAAUGUUAUCCAAUAUGCUAGUAAAACCCUAGACGGUGCCCAAAGAAAUUAUGCUACUGCUGAAAAGGAAUUCUUAGCAGUUGUAUUUGCUUGUGAUAAGUUCAGACCUUAUAUUGUUAAUUCUAAAGUAACUAUUCACACUGAUCAUGCUGUUAUUAAAUACCUUAUGGAAAAGAAAGAUGCUAAACCUAGACUUAUUAGAUGGGUUAUCCUGCUACAAGAAUUUGAUUUGCAUAUUAUUGAUAGAAAGGGAGCUGAGAACCCUGUUGCAGACAACUUGUCUAGGUUAGAAAAUGUUCUUGAUGACCCACUACCUAUUGAUGAUUGCUUUCCUGAUGAACAAUUAAAUGUCAUAAAUGCUUCUCAAACUGAUCCAUGGUAUGCGGAUUAUGAUAAUUAUAUUGUUGCUAAAUUUAUACCACCUAGUUUCACAUACCAGCAAAAGAAAAAGUUCUUAUAUGAUUUGAGACAUUACUUUUAGGAUGAUCCACAUCUUUAUAAAGGAGUAGAUGGUGUUAUUAGACAUUGUGUACCUGAGCAUGAAUAGGAACAGAUCCUACGCAAGUGUCACUCUGAGGCUUAUGGAGGACACCAUGCUGGAGAUAGAACUGCACAUAAGGUAUUGCAAUCCGGUUUUUAUUGGCCUACUCUCUUCAAGGAUGCCCAUAAGUUUGUCUUGUGUUGUGAUGAAUGUCAAAGAAUUGGUAAUAUUAGUAGACGUCAAGAAAUGCCUAUGAAUUAUUCACUUGUUAUUGAACCAUUUGAUUUUUGGGGCUUUGAUUAUAUGGGACCUUUUCCUUCCUCUAAUGGGUAUACACAUAUUUUUGUUGCUGUUGAUUACGUUACUAAGUGGGUAGAAGCUAUUCCAACUAGUAGUGUUGAUCAUAACACCUCUAUUAAGAUGCUUAAAGAAGUUAUUUUUACGGGGUUUGGAGUCCCUAGAUAUUUAAUGACUGAUGGUGGUUCACAUUUUAUUCAUGGUGCUUUUCGUAAAAUGCUUGCUAAGUAUGAUGUUAAUCAUAGAAUUGCAUCUCCUUAUAACCCACAGUCUAGUGGUCAAGUAGAAUUGAGUAAUAGAGAGCUCAAAUUAAUUUUGCAAAAGAUUGUUAAUAGAUCCAGGAAGAAUUGGUGCAAGAAACUUGAUGAUGCAUUAUGGGCCUAUAGAACUGCAUAUAAAAAUCCUAUGGGUAUGUCUCCAUAUAAAAUGGUUUAUGGAAAAGCAUGUCACUUACCUCUCGAACUAGAACAUAAGGCAUAUUGGGCUAUGAAAGAGCUCAAUUAUGAUUUUAAACUUGCCGGUGAGAAGAGGUUAUUUGACAUUAGCUCACUAGAUGAAUGGAGAACCCAAGCCUAUUAGAAUGCCAAACUGUUUAAAGAAAAAGUUAGAAGAUGGCAUGACAAAAUGAUACAAAAGCGUGAGUUCAACGUAGGUGAUUAUGUAUUGCUAUACAACUCUCGUUUAAGAUUUUUGCAGGCAAACUUAUCUCUAAAUGGGAAGGUCCUUACAUUAUCGAGGAGGUCUAUCGUUCCGGUGCCAUAAAGUUCAACAACUUCGAAGGCACAAAUCUGAGGGUGAUAAAUGCUGAAACUAAUAUUAUCGAAACCAUAACCCCGGAGGAAUACAUAAGGGACACUUACUAGAAUGUUUCAGACCCCGAAAAGGAAUAAGUAUGUGGUACGGUAAGUAAACCAGCUCCAAAACAGUUCUAAUGGAAAAUUUUCUCUGUUUUGAAAUAUUUAGAAAAAUAGGAAAAUAAGAAGCAGUCCGUGAAGGACAAGAGGCUUCCACGAGGGUGGAGGGCGCGCCCCCCUGCCUCGUGGGCACCUCGUGUGCUCUCCAGACUCCGUUUUCUUGCACGAUACUUCUUUUGGUCGGUAAAAAUUCAUUAUAUAAUCUCCUGAAGAUUUUGACCACCGUAUCACGCAAAUAUCUCUUGUUUUUGUUUCGAGUUAUUUUUGUGACAGAUCUAGGUUGUCAUAUCGUCUUCAACUGUCCCCAAGGACAAGUUCUUCGAGAGGGUCUUCAACCCCUACCUCGCGGAGGUGCUACAACACCCUCAAACCAUUGAGAUGCGUGAGGGGUUGUUGCACAUCCGCGAUGUUGAGGGACCAAGGAGGACUAGAAGCAUGGAGGCAAGGCUCGAGGCAUUGGAGCAACAACUUUUCAAGUGUUAGGAGAUGGUGGAGCGUGAACUCGACUCCAAUUACAUUAUGAUCAUGGAUUUAACCAACAAGCACAAGCUGGACGUCAUCGACAUUGCGGAGGCCAUCUUCAAGCUUCAUGAGAAAAUCGAGCACCUCCAAGCCCAGAUCUAUGACUUGCAAAAUCAAAAUUGUGAGUAUGAAUAUAGACUCAAGACGAUGAGUUUGGCUGCAGAUUUGAGGAUUCAGGAGAUUCGAUCAUCCUUCUAUGAUGGUGAGCCUAUGCCUUAGAAGAGGGACGACAAGCCUACAUCAUCAACAACUCGACCUUCUUCACCAACAAAGAAGAACUGAGUAUCUGGUAUGGGCACUCCCCUUGGCAACUGCCAAGCUUGGGGGAGUGCCCCGGUAUCGUAUCACCAUCACUUUUAUCUCUACCAUUUUUCUUAGUUCGAUCCUUUUGAUAAUAUCUUGAUCUAGUAGAAUAAAGUUUUAGUACGAUCUAGUUGUGAGUUUUGCUUUAUGAUCCUCUUAUGUAAUCGAGUCCGUGAGCUAUAUAUAAUAAAGAUUAGUGUUGAGUCAAGGGCUUUAUUAUUUUGCUAUGAUCUUGAGGGAAUAAAAUAAAAGAGAAGAAAUAAAAAGAAACAAAGAGAUCAUAUGGAUCUUAUGGAGAGUAAUGAGCUCAUAUAUAAAGAGUAUGUUGAAUAAAAGUUGUUGAGAGUUGACAAACAUAGUUUUUGGUCAUCGUUGCAAUUAAUAGGAAGUAAUACAGAAAGAGAGGUUUUCACAUAUAAAUAUACUAUCUUGGACAUCUUUUAUAAUUGUGAGCACUCAUUAAAAUAUGACAUGCUAAAGAUUUGACGUUGGACAAGGAAGACAAUGUAAUGGGUUAUGUUUUCUUACAUCUGAGAUAAAUUAUAUUGUCAUGGAUCAUCCAACAUGUUGAGCUUGCCUUUCACUCUCUUGCUAGCCAAUUUCUUUGGACCAAGUAGAGAUACUACUUGUGCUUCCAAAUAUCCCUAAAUCCAGUUCUGCGAUGAGAGUCCACCAUAUCUACCCAUGGAUUGAGUAAGAUCCUUCAAGUAAGUUGUCAUCGGUGCAAGCAAUAAAAAUUGCUCUCUAACUAUAUAUGACUUAUUAGUGUGGAGAAAAUAAGCUGUAUACGAUCUUUUGAUGUGGAAGAAAUAAAAGCGACGGACUUCAUAAUAAAGAUCCAUAUCACAAGUGGAAAUAUAAAGUGACGUUUUUUUGCAUUAAGAUUUUGUGCAUCUAACCAUAAAAGCGCAUGACAACCUCUGCUUCCCUCUGUGAAACUUUUAUCUUCUACCUUACAUAAGAGUCAUGGUGAUCUUCACCUUUCCUUUUUUACAUUUUAUCCUUUGGCAAGCACAAUAUGCUGGAAAGAUCCUGAUAUAUAUAUAGCAUGUGAUGGAUGCAGGAAUUAACAAGAACACUACAUGCAUCACGAUGUACUAGAAGAUAAUGCAAAAAAAUUACUUGCAACUUCGGGCCUGCAACUUCAAAUGGGAGUUUACCAUCCCAACAUGUACCUGUAUUCGUUGUCGCAUCUGGUGCAGUUAAUGACAUGGGAGAAAUCAUUAACUUGAUCAUCUUCAAUUUUGAUGGAUUCCUUGACGCGUCGCCCAUGCUGGCCGGAGGUAGGUUUGGCAAACAAUACCAUCUUGCUCUUCAAACCGAACCUGAUUCAUGCAAAUAACGUGGAUGCCAGAUCCUAUUUAGAUGGAACUUUUCAAACUGAACCUGAUCCAUGCAAAGAGUUCUGGCCGGUUGUUAAAUAGCAGUUUGUUCACAGCACACGUGCCAUAGGGAAUUUUGGGUUGGGAGUAUAUAUAUAGGAAAAUGGGUCAGUACACCCAGGAGUACAUACUCCCAACCCGAAAUUCCCUAUGGCACGUGUGCAUACUCCCAACCCGAAAUUCCCUACGGCACGUGUGCUGUGAACAAAAUGCUAAUUAAAAACCGGCCAGAACUCUUUGCAUGGAUCAGGUUCAGUUUGAAAAGUUCCAUCUAAAUAGGAUCUGGCAUCCACGUUAUUUGCAUGGAUCAGGUUCGGUUUGAAGAGCAAGAUGGUAUUGUUUGCUAAACCUACCUCCGGCCAGCAUCGGCGACGCGUCAAGGAAUCCAUCAAAAUUGGAGAUGAACAAGUUAAUGAUUUCUCCCAUGUCAUUAACUGCACCAGAUGCGACAACGAAUACAUGUACAUGUUGGGAUGGUAAAUUCCCAUUUGAAGUUGCAGGCCCGAAGUUGCAAGUAUUUUUUUUUUUUUGCAUUAUCUUCUAGUACAACGCGAUGCAUGUAGUGUUCUUGUUAAUUCCUGCAUCCAUCACAUGCUAUUUCCUUUUGACAACAUCCCAUGCUACUUAUAGGUAGCAGCAGUGAAGUCGGCCAGCCGGCGGCUCCACGACGAAGACGAGAUGCCGAAUCAGCGGACCAGCGGCACAGCGAGCAGAGGCUUGAUGAAGGAGACGAGAUGCGUGUGACAGAUUACGACUAUCAUGUGAUGUUCACCUUCGUCUAUUAUGUGCUUCCGGCACAAAAUGCCCGUCAGUGACGGCGAGGGCCGACAAUUAAUUUAACUUGAAUGGUGCAACUUGAUGAGCGUGUUUGGAUUGGAACUGAUUUUGAUGUUCAGCUCUGUACAUACUUGCGUCCUCCAAUGCAAAAGUUGUAUGACAAAAAUAAAUAGUUUAUAUACUUUCCUAGUUCCCAUCAUAUACUCUUAGAAAAGUAUAUGUCUACUCUUCGGGACGUACAUCUCUCCGCUAUAAUCUUUUCACUGGGUUAGGGUAAUUCCUUUUAUAUGAAAAAUGUACAUUUGCCUAGUGUACUACUGCAGAAAAUUUAAAAUGUAGUAAUACUCCGUGUGAAUAAUGCUGUAUAUACUUUAUCAUGAGAAAUAAAGUACAUACCUCUUUCAUAAUAUACUCCCGCAAAAAAAAGUAAUAUACUCAUAGAUGAUGUAGUAUAUAUAUAUCUAUGGAAAUAAUGUGGUAUAUACUGUUUCAUAAAAAAUUAAGUAUAUAGUUCCCACAAAAAGGCAAUAUAUAUAUAGCACUUCUUUUUCAUAACGUAUAUACCCCCCUAACAAAAUGUCAGUAGUACUCCUUACAAAAAAUUGCAGUAUAUACCCUUACAAAAAAUACAGUAUGUGCACUUAAAAAAGUCAGAAUAUACUCUUUCAAGAAAAAAAUAGUAUGUACUCCUUUCUUUCACUUAAAAUUCAGAAUAUACCCUGCCAAAGAAAUCAAUAUAUACUUUGUUGAAGAAAUAAGCAUAUACUCCUUAUAAAAAAUGUUGUUUAUACUAUUUAAAAAGCUAUAUACAUCUUCUAAAAAUGUGGAUGUAAGAUAUGAAAUCCAUGAUGUUUUUAUUGCUUCGGAUAUACCUAGUCGUUAAUAGCAGACGCAAUUCAUAGCGCAUGAUUUGUAUGUAUGUCAUAUUGUACUUUGUGUUAUUGUAAAAAUACCUAAGGUAUAUGCUGGACGUGCCAUUCGUCAGCUUUGUUGAACUAAAAGACACCGGUUUGCAUGCUCCCUGCUUAUAGGUAGUAGUUAUGCAUGCAUGGACUAAUUAGUUGGUUUUUUGCACGUACGGCUUGCUCAAGGGAUAUUCAUCCACCUUAUGCAAAUAGAUGGGAAUACAUACACCCAAGAUUACGGAAAAGGAGUCAUAUAUAUAUAUAUAUAUAUAUAUAUAUAUAUAUAUAUAUAUAUAGGGAAAAUAGAUACUACCACCUAGUGGUAGUUACCCCCACCCUAGCAGCCAUCCGAUCUCGUUUUAGUUGUUUACUGCGAUUAACGGGUUCUGUUGUAAAACUAAUUGAUUCAUCUACCCCAUGCCUGAUAGGAAAAAACAGCCAGAUAAUUCCAGUUUCCAUGCAUGGCCUGGAAUAUAGCUAGCCAACACGUUUUCAACUACUUGGCUACGUUCCAGAUCUAGCCUCCUGUAUGCAUGCACGUACUUAAACUGUAUAUACUACUCUCUCCGUCCCAUAAUAUAAGAUGUUUUUUGACACGGUUUGUCAAAAAUUGUCUUAUAUUAUGGGACGGAGGGAGUAGUUCACACUACAUAUUCUCUUUUAAAAAACUCCAUAUACUUACACACAGAAACGUAUAGAUACUAGACACUACAUACUCUUCGGGAGUAUAUAUAUAAUUACUUUUGGUUUGAAGAAAAGUAUAUAUGAUUGCUUAAUUUCAGAAGAAAAAACAUUCACGUACUCUCGUUUCUUGAACGUACACACAUACUACAACUAAAGGUAGUAUGCCGUUCCAGUUCCAUUCUUCAAAAAACCUACUAUAUACUAAAUAAAAAAUACAACCUUUUCGCAGCACAUAGUUUGUAUGCUAAGAAAAUCAACAUAUACCAUUGGGUUUUUCUUUUAUAUUGAUACUCCUUUCUACUGCUGGAAGUAUACAUAUACCCCAAAAUACACUUUUUCCAAACCACAUACUCCGCUGUCCAUACUACAUACUCCCAUAUUAUUUUUCGGUACAUACUACCAUACUAUUUUUUUCGGAAUAUACUACCAUAUUACAUACUAUUUUUUUUCAACGGCAUAUAUUCCUCAGGUCAUACUACAUACUACCAUACUAUUCUUUGUAAUAUACUACCACUCUAUUUUUUUCGGAAUAUUCUACCAUACUACAUACUAUUUUUUCAAAACAUACUAUAAAAAAUUGAUCGCUCCAGUACAUACCCAAGAGCAUACACUAUAAUUUGUUCGCACGUAUGGGAUCGAGGUAGAUAGAAUAUUUUGUGAGGCCAUGCAGUAGUUUUGCCAACCUAGCUAACACAUAAAAAAACUAACACAUACUUAUCCAUCUUGUGAGAUACGGUGCAUGCCUUCCUGUGACACCCGGAUAAUUAGACUACAGUAAUCCCAAGCUAAUGAUGCCACGUCACCUCCAUUUCUGUGAUUAAACUCACGUUGAUUCGAACCCGAUUCAAAUUCAAAUUUAAAACAUAGGCAAACAACAAAAGUUUCCAACUUUAAAGCUAAAAUGUUCGGAGUGAACUAAAUAAUGCAGCGGUAAUUAUGGUGGAGAAACCAAACUUUGAUAAAGUGUUUAAAGGCUCUAAGAUAAUUAAAACAGUAGUUAAAACAGUUAAAUACAUGCCUAUUGAAUUUUAUAAAAUAAUAAACUAUUUUAUUUUCGGUUGAGAAUUAAGGUGGCAGUAGUAUAUCUAUAAAUACAAAUUUAGGUGCUAGUGUUUUUUAUAAAACUAUAAUAAAAGGGAACUUAAAAUAAAACAGAAAAGAAAAUACAAAAGAGAAAAACUAAACAGACAAAAAAAAGGAAAAGGGAAAAGGACCCCCCCUAGCUGGGCCUUGGCCCAGCAGGCUACUGGGCCGCCAGGCCGGCCCAACCGCGCCCGCUACUACUCCCCACCGGGAGCCAGAAACCCUAGCCCCUCUUCCCCACUACCCCGACCCCCCCACCGUCAGGUUGACCAAGUCAACCCCUGUUGACUGCUGACGUCAGCAUGACAUCAUGCUGACGUCAUUAAUACAUUUUUUCGAAUUAAUUAAAUAAAUAAUUAAAUUUCAGAAAUUAAUAAAAUCUUUAGAAAAUCAUAUCUUUUAAUCCGUAACUCGGAUUAAAAUAUUUUCAACAUGAAAGUUGCUCAGAACGUCGAGGCGAUUCCGGAUACGCAGUCCGUUCGUCCGCCACACCCCUCUAACCUAUCGAACCCGCAACUUUCCCCCUCCAGCUCCUCUGCCCGAAAACACGAAACACCGGGAAUACUUUCCCGGAUGUUUUUCCCCCUUCACCGGUAUCACCUACUACGGCCUUAGGGCACACCGAACAUCGCGUAUUGCCUUGUUAUAUUUUGUGAUGCUUUGUUUGCUCUGUAUUCAUUAUUUCUUCCCCCUCUUCUCUCCGGUAGACUACGAGACCGACGCUGCUGCUGACCAGUUCGACUACGGAGUUGACGACCCCUCUCUCUUGCCAGAGCAACCAGGCAAGCCCCCCCCCCNNNNNNNNNNNNNNNNNNNNNNNUUAAUCCUAUUCUGAUGCAUAGCCUGACAUUGUCGCUACAUCUGUUGAUACCUUACCUGCAAUCCUAAAUGCUUAGUAUAGGAUGCUAGUUUAUCAUCAUUGGCCCUACAUUCUUGUCAGUCUGCCUUGCUAUACUAUCGGGCCGUGAUCACUUGGGAGGUGAUCACGGGUAUAUAUUAUACAUACAUACAUACUAUACAGAUGGUGACUAAAGUCGGGUCAGCUCAUUGAGUACCCGCAAGUGAUUUUGAUGAGGGGGCUGAAAGGACAGGUGGCUCCAUUCCGGUAGAGGUGGGCCUGGGUUCCCGACGGCCCUCGACUGUUACUUUGUGGCGGAGCGACAGGGCAGGUUGAGACCACCUAGGAGACAGGUGGGCCUGGCCCUGUUCGGCGUUCGCGGAUACUUAACACGCUUAACGAGAUCUUGGUAUUUGAUCUGAGUCGGCUACGAGCCUAUACGCACUAACCAUCUACGUGGGAGUAGUUAUGGGUAUCCCGACGUCGUGGUAUCAGCCGAAGCACUUCAGACGUCAGCGACGGAGCGGCGCGCGCCGAAUUGGACUGGAACGCCACUAGGCUAGGUCUGCUUUCGGCCGCCCUCGCAACGUGCAGGUGUGCUAUGGGCGAUGGGCCCAGACCCCUGUGCGCUUAGGUUUAGACCGGCGUGCUGGCCUCUCUGUUGUGCCUAGGUGGGGCUGCGACGUGUUGAUCUUCCGCGGCCGGGCAUGACCCAGGAAAGUGUGUCCGGCCAAAUGGGAUCAAGCGUGUUGGGUUAUGUGGUCCACCCCUGCAGGGAAGUUAAUCUAUUCGAAUAGCCGUGAUCUUCGGUAACAGGACGACUUGGAGUUGUACCUUGACCUUAUGACAACUAGAACCGGAUACUUAAUAAAACACACCCUUCCAAGUGCCAGAUACAACCCGGUGAUCGCUUUUCCGCAGGGCGACGAGGAGAGGAUCGCCGGGUAGGAUUAUGCUACUCGAGAUGCUACUUGGAGAUGUUACUUGGAGAUGCUACUUGGAGGACUUCCAUCUACUCUCUUCUACAUGCUGCAAGACGGAGGCUGCCAGAAGCGUAGUCUUCGACGGGAUUAGCUAUCCCCCUUUUAUUCUGGCAUUCUGCAGUUCAGUCCACCGAUAUGGCCCUUUACACAUAUCGCCAUGCAUAUGUAGUGUAGCUCCUUGCUUGAGAGUACUUUGGAUGAGUACUCACGGUUGCUUUUCUCCCUCUUUUUCCCCUUUCCCUUCUACCUGGUUGUCGCAACCAGAUGCUGGAGCCCUGUAGCCAGACGCCACCGUCGACGACGACUACUACACCGGAGGUGCCUACUACUACGUGCAGCCCGCUGACGACGGCCUGGAGUAGUUUAGGAGGAUCCCAGGCAGGAGGCCUGCGCCUCUUUCGAUCUGUAUCCCAGUUUGUGCUAGCCUUCUUAAGGCAAACUUGUUUAACUUAUGUCUGUACUCAGAUAUUGUUGCUUCCGCUGACUCGUCUAUGAUCGAGCACUUGUAUUCGAGCCCUCGAGGCCCCUGGCUUGUAUUAUGAUGCUUGUAUGACUUAUUUUAUUUUUAGAGUUGUGUUGUGAUAUCUUCCCGUGAGUCCCUGAUCUUGAUCGUACACGUUUGCGUGUAUGAUUAGUGUACGAUUGAAUCGGGGGCGUCACAAGUUGGUAUCAGAGCCGACUGCCUGUAGGAAUCCCCCUUCCAACUCCUUGGCCGAAGUCGAGUCUAGACUUUACAAAACUUUUACUAACAUGGCGGUGCGGCCCAUGGGCCCACGUUGCCAUUGGGUGGUAUUAGGAUCUUUUACUCCUCGAUCUUUACUCUGGGAUUCUGAACUCUCUUCUAUUCGGGUUAAACGAUUUUGCUAAAAACAAAACUAACUUUAGGUUCUCGCAAGUACUUUCUCCCGGAGAGCCCCUCACUUCAGAUGAUCGUCUGCUAAUCAGAAGAUUCCGAAGAUACUCUCGGAUAUUCUCUCGAGACUUUGUGCCCAUCACUUUUGCUAUUCCUGACCACCGAUAAAUCCGUGGAUAACUACUUACACUUGCCAUUCAUACGAUCAUCCCCCAUUGAUCUUAUUAUUGCAAGAUACUCCGAAGUUUUCUCUAUUGUUCCGAGAAUACUUUGUGCCUACUGCCUAGUAGUUCUUUGCCACAUGAAUACCCCUUCAAAUAAAUCCUCGCACUUGUCGAGUAUCCGCUCAACCCAGUUGUUCAUGUGAUUCACAAAAUACUUUCAAAUACUACUCGAUCUUCCGAAAAUCCUGAGCAGCCUAUUGCUCUUGAAAUUCUUGCUUGCUUGCAAUAUGAUUAAUCCCAUAAGUCUCGUAAUCUUAAUGGCAUACCUUGUCAUUAUCAUUUUGAGUCUGUCGAUUCAAUAUGUUGCGAAUUCUCGCAAUACUCAAAUAGAUCAUAGAAUUCAUCCUUCCGGCUCAGACGUCAUUUUGAACAUGAGUUGGUUCUCGACCAAACUAUCUGUCAUCGAUUGUGCCUCUGGUAUAUUCAAUUGAUCCGUCCUUGAUCAGAACGUCUGCUUCUGGUCCUUUGUUUUGGAAAUCAUAAUUCCUUUGCAUUUAAGCGGUGAAUUAUUCAGAUGCUUCCAUAACCUGUUGCAUUUGCAUUCCUUCCUCUUCUGGUUGAGUAUCGAUACUCAUAUCAGAUCCUUUGUGGACCAUCAAGUCCUUUGUUGGAUUGUUAUCCGACAGAGUCCUUCACAUUUGAUCACUUUAUGAGUUCUUCCCCUGAUACAUAAUGCCUUUGUUAAGUUGUAUCCUCUGCUUGGCCAACCAUGCUCUGCUUUCGGGCUUGUGUUAUUUACUCUUGAAACUUGUGGUAUAUGUUUCUAAGAAGCCCCUAUGGGUUGAACAUAUGCCUUCUCUAAACCGUGUGAACCCGAAAGUUUUCACGAGUCAUACUCUUCUGGUGCUUCACCAGAUAAAAUUUCAACACUGCAACUUCAUCGAACGUGAGAAGUGAAUGAAAGGUUAUGCAUUGGAGAAGUGGGAGUCGACCUUGAACUUGUGUUCAUGCCCAUGGACGCGAUGUAUAUCCUAUCAUGGAAGCUUCUUGUAACAAUAACUAUUUCCUUGAUAACUAACCUAUGGUAUCUGUGAAUUGAUCCCUUGCAACCGUGGUUCCGACCAUGAUUGUUCUUCUUUGAUCUCAUUUCUCGGACAAGUUAAAACCAUUGGCUUCUAUGGAUCAAUACACCAGUCCAACCUUUACUUUGNNNNNNNNNNAUAGAGUACCGAUACCCACACCAGCUCCGUUGUGGACCAUCGGUUCCUUUGUUGGAUUUUAUGCCCUUCAUAAUUAAUCACCUUGUGAGCUCUUUCCCCUGAUACAUAAUGCCUUUGGUACAUUGUAUCCUCUGCUUGACCAACAAUGCUCUACUUUCGAGCUUGUAUUAAUUACCCCGAAGUUUGUGGUAUAUGUUCGUAAGAUGCCCGGAUGGGUUGAACCUAUGCCUUCCUUAAUAUGUGUGAACUCGGAAGAUUUCACGAGUCAUACUCAUCUGGUAUUUCACCAGGUAAAACUUUCAACACUAAUGCCUUUAUCAAAGCGAGAAGUGAAUGAAAGGGUAUGCAUUGGAGAAGUGGGAGUCGACCUUGAACUUUGUGUUCAUGCCCAUGGACGCGAUGUAUAUACUAUCAUGGAAGCUUCUUGUAACAAUAACUAUUUCCUUGAUAACUAACCUAUGGUAUCUGUGAAUUGACCCCUUGCAACCGUGGUUCCGACCAUGAUUGUUCUUCUUUGAUCUCAUUUCUCGGACAAGUUAAAACAAUUGGCUUCUAUGGAUCAAUACACCAGUCCAACCUUUACUUUGAUCUUAUGUCGAGUAUUACCCCCCUGGUAUCUCGAGAUUAUCAUGGAACUGCAUAACUUUUUAUGAGUUCUUCAUCAAGUGCUACCUUCCCACUGAUUCCAAUUUUUCGCGGGCUCUGUGUUACUGAACACUCAAAGACACCGAUAACUGAACCGAGUCCGCACUACGGUUCAACAACUCUUCAGUAAGCUGCUAUAAGUACGAGUUUGUACCCGAUCACGCCAUUCCUAGCCUGUUUGGCUAUAUCAUUGUCGUGAUGAUUUUAACUGUGCUACCCGGUCCUUCUUCUCGGAGCACAAUUUUCGACGAUGAACUAACCUUACAUCGAUUUUCCUCGUCAUAUCCUUUCACCUUAACCAACAAGCUUGAGUUCGAGUUUGUGUCGUACCCUUGGUUCCUAUAACCUUUCACUUCAUCAUUACUUUGACUUGAUGUCGUCGCCGAUCGAUUACAUCUUCAUGAACUCUCGCGACAAAGGUUUCGAGAUCGUCAACAUUCUGAGCUCAUCCAGGAUAUCAAUUGGAUUCAUAAUGAGAAAUACCAUCCUUGCCUCGAUGAAUUGUAUUAUCAUCGACCACUUUAUUGCCUUCCCACCAACACAAGCUUGUUCAUGUUUGGUGUUAUACCUUGAGUUCCUUGCUGUCCAGCAAUUGAUCUUCCUUACCUCGGAAGUAUUACCAUCUCUUUUUGUCAAGAAUGUGGUGAGAAUUUCACCACCUCUUAAUAAUUCUUGAUAUCAUAAUACUUCUUGCCAUCUUCGUUCAUUCCUUGGUCCUCGUAUUGUUUUCAACCGGAAUACCGACAUUGGAGCUAUGACGUGUGAAUUCUAAACUCCUAGCAACCUUAUUGCUUUGAAGUGAAUGGGCGAUAGUUCAUUCUAAGUCCUUCGUUAAUUGAAUCACCAUUCUGACAUUGGUCGUGCAACCCAACCCAUAUUUCGGGCGCACAUUUCAACCAAUGUUUAUUUGUGUAUGUUUUCCUCGAGCAUACUUCCUUAUAUCAUUUGAUUUGGCAAAUGUUAUCUCCNNNNNNNNNNNNNNNNNNNNNNNNNNNNNNNNNNNNNNNNNNNNNNNNNNNNNNNNNNNNNNNNNNNNNNNNNNNNNNNNNNNNNNNNNNNNNNNNNNNNNNNNNNNNNNNNNNNNNNNNNNNNNNNNNNNNNNNNNNNNNNNNNNNNNNNNNNNNNNNNNNNNNNNNNNNNNNNNNNNNNNNNNNNNNNNNNNNNNNNNNNNNNNNNNNNNNNNNNNNNNNNNNNNNNNNNNNNNNNNNNNNNNNNNNNNNNNNNNNNNNNNNNNNNNNNNNNNNNNNNNNNNNNNNNNNNNNNNNNNNNNNNNNNNNNNNNNNNNNNNNNNNNNNNNNNNNNNNNNNNNNNNNNNNNNNNNNNNNNNNNNNNNNNNNNNNNNNNNNNNNNNNNNNNNNNNNNNNNNNNNNNNNNNNNNNNNNNAGAAUCUUACAGUGUCAUUCCGUCAAUUUGUGUUGCACCUUUCUUCUCAGGCAUCCUGAGCCUGAGGUAUCCUAACACCAAUCAUACCUGAAUCUCCGUCAGAUAUGAUGAUUGGGACAACUUUCCAAGAGUUAUGAUGUUGAUCCUUUGAUGACCCGGUAACCUGAUGUCAUGCCUAGCACCCCCCCCCCCCCGGCUGGAGGACCUAUCAUCAUAGAUUCCUUUUCAGCAAGGUUAUCCAUUCAUCCAUGAGGAAAUUGUAAGACUUAUUCUACAAGUUAUUCCUGAUGGAUCCUUCGUGUUUCCAAAGUCUGAUCUUCACAUGAAGACCAUGUCAAUGCUAUCUCGAAGCAUGUCUGCGAUACUCUGAUUUUCAACAAGAACAUCCGAAGCCCAAUGCUAAAUGUUUCUUGCUCAAUUAUCCGAACACCGUUAUAUGGGUAAUGUCAUGAAAUUUCUCUCCCCUUACCUAAAGGGUUUUCUACAUUAUAUCCUGUCAUGGAUAUCAUGCUCUGCUUAUCCUUGGGAAGGAUAUACCCCCGAAAUAUGUGUUUAAACACAUUUUCCUUUCCAUUGUUCUGUUUAAACAUAAUAAUCACUUUUCCUUUCCAUUGGUUUGUUUAAACCUUCUUGUGAUCUAUAUAAUAUAAACAGUAAUAUCCCUGCUUAUGUAAACACCUCGGUGUACCAUCUUGCCUGGUGUAAUCCUGUUACUAUUGUUGAUGACAUUCCGGUAGUCAUCGAUGGACGAGAACUUUGCCUAUUGGUCCGCCUCGUUCAACGAGCAGGAAAAUAGUUCUCUUCGUCCCUCGCCCUUGGUAUCGACGUUGUCGCUGACAUAAUCGACAGGCUACCCCCCUGACAUGCCUUGCUUGCAUGAUCACGCAAGACGUCUCCGCCCUUCCUACUUCUAACCCACAUGGUGGGCCCAUAACCCACAGGUCCACUGGAUCGAAACCUGACUCUCCUGCACCCCUAUUACUAAAGUUAAUCCUCACGCUUGGCUUCGUAUGAAAGAUCACGAGCCACCUUCCUAGUGAUCUAUUCUGGUAUCGGACACAAUACUUAUUCCCGUUGCUCUGAACCCCUUUCGCACUCUGCUUCAGGUAAUGAACGAUUGCCUAUCCGCUUGAAACUUCUUAUCGCACUGUCUUACUUUGCUCUCGAUGUGUGUCAUUUGUUCAACUCGAGAGAUACUCAUAAGUUCAUUCUUGGGAUACCCCCAGAUGAAUUUCCCUUAUAACAUCCUAUCAUUGUAGAGCUGCCCCUUACCUAUUCUUAAGUAUGAUGGAGUUCCCUGAAGAAAGGACGACAACUUCAUCAUGAUGCUUUGGGAUAAAGAAUUGAAGACAUCAACGAAAGGGAUUAACUUCUUCGAGAAGAUCCGUUAGAUUAUCGUAACUAGAACUUUCCCCCUUGCUCCCCUCUUAAAUCUCGGGACGAGAUUUCUUGUAGUGGAGGAGAAUUGUGACACCCGGAUAAUUAGACUACAGUAAUCCCAAGCUAAUGAUGCCACGUCACCUCCAUUUCUGUGAUUAAACUCACGUUGAUUCGAACCCGAUUCAAAUUCAAAUUUAAAACAUAGGCAAACAACAAAAGUUUCCAACUUUAAAGCUAAAAUGUUCGGAGUGAACUAAAUAAUGCAGUGGUAAUUAUGGUGGAGAAACCAAACUUUGAUAAAGUGUUUAAAGGCUCUAAGAUAAUUAAAACAGUAGUUAAAACAGUUAAAUACAUGCCUAUUGAAUUUUAUAAAAUAAUAAACUAUUUUAUUUUCGGUUGAGAAUUAAGGUGGCAGUAGUAUAUCUAUAAAUACAAAUUUAGGUGCUAGUGUUUUUUAUAAAACUAUAAUAAAAGGGAACUUAAAAUAAAACAGAAAAGAAAAUACAAAAGAGAAAAACUAAACAGACAAAAAAAAAGGAAAAGGGAAAAGGACCCCCCCUAGCUGGGCCUUGGCCCAGCAGGCUACUGGGCCGCCAGGCCGGCCCAACCGCGCCCGCUACUACUCCCCACCGGGAGCCAGAAACCCUAGCCCCUCUUCCCCACUACCCCGACCCCCCCACCAUCAGGUUGACCAAGUCAACCCCUGUUGACUGCUGACGUCAGCAUGACAUCAUGCUGACGUCAUUAAUACAUUUUUUCGAAUUAAUUAAAUAAAUAAUUAAAUUUCAGAAAUUAAUAAAAUCUUUAGAAAAUCAUAUCUUUUAAUCUGUAACUCGGAUUGAAAUAUUUUCAACAUGAAAGUUGCUCAGAACGUCGAGGCGAUUCCGGAUACGCAGUCCGUUCGUCCGCCACACCCCUCUAACCUAUCGAACCCACAACUUUCCCCCUCCGGCUCCUCUGCCCGAAAACACGAAACACCGGGAAUACUUUCCCGGAUGUUUUUCCCCCUUCACCGGUAUCACCUACUACGGCCUUAGGGCACACCGAACAUCGCGUAUUGCCUUGUUAUAUUUUGUGAUGCUUUGUUUGCUCUGUAUUCAUUAUUUCUUCCCCCUCUUCUCUCCGGUAGACUACGAGACCGACGCUGCUGCUGACCAGUUCGACUACGGAGUUGACGACCCCUCUCUCUUGCCAGAGCAACCAGGCAAGCCCCCCCCCCUUGAUCACCAGAUAUCGCCUAUUCUCCUCUAUACUGCUUGCAUUAGAGUAGUGUAGCAUGUUACUGCUUUCAUUAAUCCUAUUCUGAUGCAUAGCCUGACAUUGUCGCUACAUCUGUUGAUACCUUACCUGCAAUCCUAAAUGCUUAGUAUAGGAUGCUAGUUUAUCAUCAUUGGCCCUACAUUCUUGUCAGUCUGCCUUGCUAUACUAUCGGGCCGUGAUCACUUGGGAGGUGAUCACGGGUAUAUAUUAUACAUACAUACAUACUAUACAGAUGGUGACUAAAGUCGGGUCAGCUCAUUGAGUACCCGCAAGUGAUUUUGAUGAGGGGGCUGAAAGGACAGGUGGCUCCAUUCCGGUAGAGGUGGGCCUGGGUUCCCGACGGCCCUCGACUGUUACUUUGUGGCGGAGCGACAGGGCAGGUUGAGACCACCUAGGAGACAGGUGGGCCUGGCCCUGUUCGGCGUUCGCGGAUACUUAACACGCUUAACGAGAUCUUGGUAUUUGAUCUGAGUCGGCUACGAGCCUAUACGCACUAACCAUCUACGUGGGAGUAGUUAUGGGUAUCCCGACGUCGUGGUAUCAGCCGAAGCACUUCAGACGUCAGCGACGGAGCGGCGCGCGCCGAAUUGGACUGGAACGCCACUAGGCUAGGUCUGCUUUCGGCCGCCCUCGCAACGUGCAGGUGUGCUAUGGGCGAUGGGCCCAGACCCCUGUGCGCUUAGGUUUAGACCGGCGUGCUGGCCUCUCUGUUGUGCCUAGGUGGGGCUGCGACGUGUUGAUCUUCCGCGGCCGGGCAUGACCCAGGAAAGUGUGUCCGGCCAAAUGGGAUCAAGCGUGUUGGGUUAUGUGGUGCACCCCUGUAGGGAAGUUAAUCUAUUCGAAUAGCCGUGAUCUUCGGUAACAGGACGACUUGGAGUUGUACCUUGACCUUAUGACAACUAGAACCAGAUACUUAAUAAAACACACCCUUCCAAGUGCCAGAUACAACCCGGUGAUCGCUUUUCCGCAGGGCGACGAGGAGAGGAUCGCCGGGUAGGAUUAUGCUACUCGAGAUGCUACUUGGAGAUGUUACUUGGAGAUGCUACUUGGAGGACUUCCAUCUACUCUCUUCUACAUGCUGCAAGACGGAGGCUGCCAGAAGCGUAGUCUUCGACAGGAUUAGCUAUCCCCCUUUUAUUCUGGCAUUCUGCAGUUCAGUCCACCGAUAUGGCCCUUUACACAUAUCGCCAUGCAUAUGUAGUGUAGCUCCUUGCUUGCGAGUACUUUGGAUGAGUACUCACGGUUGCUUUUCUCCCUCUUUUUCCCCUUUCCCUUCUACCUGGUUGUCGCAACCAGAUGCUGGAGCCCUGUAGCCAGACGCCACCGUCGACGACGACUACUACACCGGAGGUGCCUACUACUACGUGCAGCCCGCUGACGACGGCCUGGAGUAGUUUAGGAGGAUCCCAGGCAGGAGGCCUGCGCCUCUUUCGAUCUGUAUCCCAGUUUGUGCUAGCCUUCUUAAGGCAAACUUGUUUAACAUAUGUCUGUACUCAGAUAUUGUUGCUUCCGCUGACUCGUCUAUGAUCGAGCACUUGUAUUCGAGCCCUCGAGGCCCCUGGCUUGUAUUAUGAUGCUUGUAUGACUUAUUUUAUUUUUAGAGUUGUGUUGUGAUAUCUUCCCGUGAGUCCCUGAUCUUGAUCGUACACGUUUGCGUGUAUGAUUAGUGUACGAUUGAAUCGGGGGCGUCACACUUCCACACAAAAAAAAGAGAGAGAAAGGUGUGGUGCAUGCAGCCAACAAAUUAGCCGGUCGUCAGCUAAUCCUGCGCACCCUUUUAUUGCCGGCUUCACCCGUGAUUACUUGAAAACUUGAACGUACCGUCCCAUCAGGGACUCCAUUAUCCCUAGAUUUUUUUCAUUGGCCUAAUUAGGUACGGCUGCUAGUGGGUUAUAGGGUCCUGCCCAUGUUCCCUACCCCCAGCGCACCCAGUUGCCUCGCUGCUAUUAACGGGGACACGUGGAGGCCAAAGAAAAUGGUGGUAACUACCACUGCUUGUAGAUAAAAUUUAUCAUAUAUAUAUAUAUAUAUAUAUAUAUAUAUAUAUAUAUUGGAUGUGAGUAUUCAUGAACUAUUAUUGUUGACAUUACCCUUGAGGUAAAACCUUGGGAGGCAAAACUAUAAGACCCUAUCUUUCUCUGUGUCCGAUUAAAACUUCAUACCCAUAAAUAUUGCAUGAGUGUUAGCAAUUGUGAAAGAAUAAACGAUGGUUGAGUAUGUGGACUUGAUGAAAAGCUCUUACAUUAACUCUUUCCUAUGUUAUGAUAAAUUGCAAUUGCCUCAAUGACUGAGAUUAGAAUUUGUUGGUUCUCAGUGAAGUUUAUGAUUCAUACUUGAAAUUGUGGUUGAAUUGUUAAUUUAGCAUAAGAGAUCAUACGACAAUAUAUAUAUAUAUAUAUAUAUAUAUAUAUGUUGUUGUUGUUCUAAGAAUGAUCAUCAUGCCAUCAUGUUCGUAUUUUAUUUUUAUCGACACCUCUAUCUCUAAACAUGUGGACAUAUUUUUCGUUUUCGGCUGUCGCUUGAGGACAAGCGAGGUCUAAGCUUGGGGGAGUUGAUACGUCCAUUUUGCAUCAUGCUUUUAUAUCGAUAUUUAUUGCAUUAUGGGCUGUUAUUACACAUUAUGUCACAAUACUUAUGCGUAUUCUUUCUUAUCUUACAAGGUUUACAUGAAGAGGGGGAAUGCCGGCAGCUGGAAUUCUGGGCUGGAAAAGGUGCAAAUAUUUGAGACCUAUUCUGCACUUCUCCAAAAGUCCUGAAACUCCACGGGAGCACUUUUCAGAAUAUAUAAAAAAUAUUGGGCACAAGAAGUACCAGAUGGGGGCUACACCCUGGCCAUGAGGGUGGGGGUGCGCCCCUUGCCCCGUGGGCUCCCUGGUGGCCCUCCGAUGCCCAUAUUCUGCUAUACGAGGUCUUUCGUCCGAGAAAAAAUAAUAAGCAAGUUUUCGGGACGAGACUCCGCCGCCACGAGGUGGAACCUUGGCGGAACCAAUCUACGGCUCCGGCGGAGCUGUUCUGCCGGGGAAACUUCCCUCCGGGAGGGGGAAAUCAUCACCAUCAUCAUCACCAACGAUCCUCUCAUCGGGAGGAGGGUCAAUCUCCAUCAACAUCUUCACCAGCACCAUCUCAUCUCAAACCCUAGUUCAUCACUCGUAUCCAAUCUUUGUAUCCAAACCUCAGAUUGGUACUUGUGGGUUGCUAGUAGUGUUUAUUACUCCUUGUAGUUGAUGCUAGUUGGUUUACUUGGUGGAAGAUCAUAUGUUCAGAUCCAUUCUGCAUAUUAAUACCCCUCUGAUUAUGAACAUGAAUAUUCUUUGUGAGUAGUUACGUUUGUUCCUGAGGACAUGGGAGAAGUCUUGCUAUUAGUAGUCAUGUGAAUUUUGUAUUCGUUCGAUAUUUUGAAGAGAUGUAUGUUAUCAUCUCUGUAGCGGUGUCAUGUGAACGUCGACUACAUGACACUUCACCAUUGUUUGUGCCUAGAGGGAGGCAUUGGGAAGUAAUAAGUAGAUGAUGGUUUGCUAGAGUGAUAGAAGCUUAAACCCUAGUUUAUGCGUUUCUUCGUAAGGGGCAGAUUUGGAUCCAUAUGUUUCAUGCUAUGGUUAGGUUUACCUUAAUACUUCUGUUGUAGUUGUGGAUGCUUGCAAUGGGGGCUAAUCAUAAGUGGGAUGCUUGUCCAAGUAAGGACAGCACCCAAGCACCGGUCCACCCACAUAUCAAAUAUCAAAGUACCGAACGCGAAUCAUAUGAUCGUGAUUAGAACUAGCUUGACGAUAAUUCCCAUGUGUCCUCGGGAGCGCUUUACUUCAUAUAAGAGUUUGUCCAGGCUUGUCAUUUGCUACAAAAAGGAUUGGUCCAUCUUGCUGCACCUUAUUUACUUUUAUUACUUGCUACUCAUUACAAAUUACCUUAUCACAAAACUAUCUGUUACCGAUAAUUUUAGUGCUUGCAGAGAAUACCUUACUGAAAAUUGCUUAUCAUUUCCUUCUGCUCCUCGUUGGGUUUGACACUCUUACUUAUCGAAAAGGCUACGAUAGAUCCCCUGUACUUGUGGGUCAUCACUAAUCUCCACAUGAACACCUUGAUUUUCGAGGGGGCUUUUAUAUGCCACAAGUUUGUCCAUCCUGGACAAUGAGCCUCUGAGUUUGAUCGGCCGCCCUGCUCAUAUACAACCAUGAUUCUCUACUGAUCUUGGUUCACCGUAUGAUCUUGUAAGAAGAAUGCACAGUGAACAUACCCCUUCCAUCCUCACUCCAAGCACAAAAUCUAAUAUCUAUCUCGUGCAAAGAGGGAUCUUCAAUAUAGUCUCGGCAUCAAUCGGAAUAAGUAAUGAUUAAAUAAGUUGUUCAUCCGUUGAUGACACAGUGUGAUCAGUGUGUUCAGCGACCCUUGUCGGUGGCUGUGGUAUUUGUGAAGUUCUCAUCCUCUUUAUAUGCUCUCUAGUUAUCCAGUUGUCGUUCCAAAUAUCAGGGGCUUCUCUGUCUCCUAAUCUACUUAUCAAACCAUGAGGCAUUAUGUCUUUCCCAUGCAAAAUAGCCCGCCAUAUCUGUGAUGGAUGUGGUCCCAAGGUUGCAUCAGAAAGAGAGUUAUUUGGAUAGUAUACAACUUUUAUGAUUAAUGAACUCGGAAAACGGGGAUGGUCUAGCAAGUGCCAGGAUUGCUUGGCAAGUAGGGCUAGAUUACAGAUCUCAAAUAGUCGGUCUCGUCAUAACAUCCCAUGAGACCCAGCAUGGCUUCCUUCUCCCCUGUUUACUUCCCUACCAAAAUUGUAGGAUUGAAGAGGUGACACUAGCAUAACAUCCUCGCGGGAAAUGGAAACAUGCCAUUGAAUAUACCAGAAUUGCCUAAGCCACAGACUUUAUCAAAACCUCUUUACCUGUAGUUGACAGGAGCUUUUCCAUCCAACCUCUCAGCUUUUCCGAAACUCUGUCACGUCAGUAUUUGAAAGUCCUGUUCUUGGACUGCCCCACAUCAGUUGGCAUACACAAUUUCCUGUCAUUGAGCGACUCAUUUUAGAUGUUCAAAGUAUUCUUGGCAUCUUCCUUGAGAGCCUAAGGGCAUCCUCUCUAUUGCAAAAUAUAAAGGACUUUUCAUGAUUUAUUCUACGUCUGGAUGCAAACCAAUAAUUCUCCAGUAGGUUUGAUACUUCAAAUGCCCCAUCAUGACUUGACUUAAAAAGCAAGAUGUUGUCAUCUGCAAAAAGUAGAUGGUUCACAGCCAAAGCUGUUGGUGCCACUUAAGCAUGAUGAAGAAGAACUGGAUUUCAGGAGGCAUUAAAGGCCCUCUACUGCAAUUAAGAAAAGAUAUGGGGAUAUUGGAUCUCCCUGCCGGAUAACUCUGUUGGGUUGUAAUUGAUCAAGUAUCUCACGAUUAAAAAGAACCGAGAAAGAUACCGUCUGAACCAUGCACAUAUAUAACUAUUUGUACCCAUGUAGGAGAAAAACGCAAUUUGAACAUCAUGGCUUUAGAAUAGUCCCACUCCAACCUAUCAUAUGCCUUCCUCAUAUCGAGCUUCAAUGCAUAGUAGCUACUAACUUUUUCCCUCGUUGUAUUUCAUGAAAUGUAAGCACUCAUAUGCACUAAUAAUAUUAUCCAUGAUCAUUCUUCCAAGGGAAAAAGUUGAUUGCUCCUCAGAUAUGAUAUCAGGUAAAAUUUGCUUCAAUCUAUUUGCAAUAACCUUGGAAGCUAUCUUGUAUAAAACAUUGCACAACUGAUAUGCCUAAAUUUUGUUAAGAGGUGUUGGGUUUGUUAUCUUUGGAAUCAAAACCAGAAUUGUAUCAUUGAUGCAUUCAGGACUAUCUUCCCCUCUCACGAUUCUCGAAACCGCCUCUAUUGCUUCUUUACCACAAAUAUCCCAAUGACGCUGAUAAAAAUGGGCAGGGAACCCAUCAGAGCAUGGAGCCUUCAUUGGGAACAUUUGAAAUUGUGGCACCCUGUCUCAGAGUAACCAGUUUACCUUGCAUUGCCAGCCCAGAGAUCAAGUCUUGUGGCAACACAUAACAACUUGGUACAUAUAUAACCGCUUUAUUGAUCUCUUGCGGAUACAUAGGUUUGAUGAUUACAUAAGAAAGCAAGGGCAAGCGGCACACUUGGUUCGGCUCCACUAUGUACAUUAUUUAUUAAACAUCUCAGGGGACUUGAUGCCAGAGGAUACAACUACUUAGUAGCAAAACAACAAGGUAGCAGAACUCCAUGCCACAGGGACGCUGCUAGGACACAACCUAGAUCGUGAAGUACCGAUUAACCUCAACUCCUUGCAUGGUUUCUCCUGCAUCUAGCAUGACACGCCAGGUGGGUACUUUGAAUGUACUCGCAAGCUUACAGCAAAUAUGACCAAUCGCAGUGUGCAAGUGGAAUACCGUCAUGGUCCCUUGGACCAACUUACCCAUCUCAAGGGUUACCUCGUAACCACCAUUGGUAUCAACAAUACCAUCGUGAUCAACACACGAUCACCUCAAGAUCAACCGGCUUCUUCAUGUGCAAGCUCGAGGUUCAGAAGUGUGCAAGUUAAUUAUUUAUGUUGACGCAUAGUGUGACCUACUACAAACUGUGUCCAUAAUCGAGGACGUGGCCAUCGAUAGAUUACACGAUAUGUAGAGGUUAGUACACUUUACCCACACUAUGUAACUCAUGGCCUCAUGCUCCCAUUCGGGUGGACUAACGACGUUCCAAUAAAACCAAUCUAUUGUAUACACUCUCCCGGCCACUCCGAAGAACUCUCGUCUGGGCUAUGCCAUGGGUCACCCCUAUGUCAACUCGUGAAUCCGCCAUCUUUGUGGCCGCCACCGCCAUGGGCAAACUAAACUUUAUCAUCCCAAUCGGGGACCUUGGUACCAUAAAACUUGGGCUCACAAGGUUAUUGACGCCUACCGGGCUAGGGUAGCACAUGCACAUAACAUUCCCUCAUUCGAGGUACCACGAGAGGCAUGACAAUAGAGCGAAUUAUAGCAUCCUCAUCCAGGAAAGUGUGCUUGCACUAGUGAGCUCGAUUUGGUGGCACUAUGACUCGAUUAACAUCUUUGAUCAAGUUGUAUUAUACUCAAGUUUCACUUGAAUGAAAAUGAUUCAAGCCAUAGAAUGCAAUUGGGUGCAUGAUAGCAAUCUAAAUGGUGGAUGAAUCCUAACUUAACGAUAUAACAUUUACUCUACUCUCUACAACAUACAUAUGACAUGGAAAUGAGCAUAAUGUAAAAAGUAGCAUGCAGGUAAUAAUUUAAAUUCAUAAGGCAUAUAAGUAAUCAAUAUUCAAUAGGAACCAUUGCCAUUGCAAUGCCAUCUUGCAAAUGAAUGUUGCGGCUUGCAUUAGUUCAGAGGAGUGUCACGAUACUCCUGGUCUUCUCCCACACAAUUAGUUUCUUCUAAAAAUAAAUUUAAUAACAAAAAUAAAAUGUCACAUAAAGCCUUUUCUAAUACCAUAAACUCUAGACAGCAAGGGAUAAUCUCAAAUUGCACCAACAGAAAGUUCAGCUCAUGAAAAAAUUAUAGAAAAAAGUUCAACUCAUUCGGACUUUUGGUUUAUAAAUCAUAGCUAGUCAAAGUUUGGGUCAAAAUCUAAUUUUAAAUUGAAUUAACAGAAGUUCCAGGGAGGGCCACAUCGAAGGCGUAUUUUGCUAGGGCGCCUCCACUAGAAAAUGAUUCGGAGGGGAAGAGAGAAGCUGACGAGUAGGGUCCCCAAGUUAGGUUUAGGAGAAAGAGAGAGAGAGAGAGAGAGGGAGGGGGGAGAGAGAGAGAACAGAGGUGGGCGGUGCUAUUGCUGAUGAUCAUCCAGUGAGGAGACCAUGGCGGCUGUCGGCGAUGGUCGUGAUGGGUUUAGAGCAGCGUGUGGAGCACGCACGUCCCCAUGGCUUGGUCGGAGGUGGACGAAUGGCGAGGUUAGCUUCCUCUCCAGAUAAGAUGGGAAGUGGAGAUCGUCGGAGUCGGUGUUCCUGAUCUUGUUCCGACUGAUCAAUGAUAACCCACAAGUAUAGGGGAUCGCACAGUUUUCGAGGGUAGAGUAUUCAACCCAAAUUUAUUGAUUCGACACAAGGGGAGCCAAAGAAUAUUGUCAAGUAUUAGCAGUUGAGUUGUCAAUUCAACCACACUGGAAACAUAAUAUCUGCAAUAAAGUAUUUAGUAGCAAAGUAAUAUGAUAGUAGUGGUAACGGUAGCAAAAGUAAUACUUUUGGGUUUUGUAGUGAUUGUCACAGUAGCGACGGAAAAGUAAAUAAGCGAAGAACAAUAUAUGAAAAGCUCGUAGGCAUUGGAUCGGUGAUGGAGAAUUAUGUCGGAUGUGAUCGAUCAUGCAACAAUUAUAACAUAGGGUGACACAGAACUAGCUCCAGUUCAUCAAUGUAAUGUGGGCAUGUAUUCCGAAUAUAGUCAUACAUGCUUAUGGAAAAGAACUUGCAUGACAUCUUUUGUCCUACCCUCCCAUGGCAGCGGGGUCCUAUUGGAAACUAAGGGAUAUUAAGGCCUCCAUUUAAUAGAGUACCAGACCAAAGCAUUAACAAAUAGUGAAUACAUGAACUCCUCUAACUACGUUCAUCACUGGAAAUGGUCCUGAUUAUUGUCACUUCGGGGUUAACGGAUCAUAACACAUAACAGGUGACUAUAGACUUGCAAGAUAGGAUUAAGAACUCACAUAUAUUCAUGAAAGCAUAAUAGGUUCACAUCUGAAAUCAUGGCACUCGGGCCCUAGUGACAAGCACUAAGCAUAGCAAAGUCAUAGCAACAUCAAUCUCAGAACAUAGUCGAUACUAGGGAUCAAACCCUAACAAAACUAACUCUAUUAUAUGAUAAAUCUCAUCCAACCCAUCACCGUCCAGCAAGCCUACGAUGGAAUUACUCACGCACGGCGGUGAGCAUCAUGAAAUUGGUGAUGGAGGAAUGUUGAUGAUGACGAUGGCGACGGAUUCCCCUCUCCGGAGCCCCGAACGGACAACAGAUCAGCCCUCUCGAGAGAGUUUAGGGCUUGGCAGUGGCUCCGUAUCGUAAAACGCGAUGAAUCCUUCUCUCUGAUUUUUUUUCUCCCCAAACACGAAUAUAUGGAGUUGGAGUUGAGGUCGGUGGAGCAUCAUGGGGCCCAUGAGGUAGGGGGGCGCGCCCUGGGGGUAGGCGCGCCCCCCACCCUCGUGGACAGGGUGUGGGCCCCCUGACAUGGAUUCUUCUUCCAGUAUUUUUAAUAUAUUCCAAAAAUAAUCUCCAUUGAUUUUCAGGUCAUUCAGAGAACUUUUAUUUCUGCACAAAAAUAACACCAUGGCAAUUCUGCUGAAAACAGCGUCAGUAUGGGUUAGUUCCAUUCAAAUCAUGCUAGUUAGAGUCCAAAACAAGGGCAAAAGUGUUUAGAAAAGUAGAUACGACGGAGACGUAUCAACUCCCCCAAGCUUAAACCUUUGCUUGUCCUUAAGCAAUUCAGUUGAUAAAUUGAAAGUGAUAAAGAAAAACUUUUACAAACUCUGUUUGCUCUUGUUGUUGUAAAUAUGUAAAGCCAAAAUUCAAGUUUUCAGCAAAGAUUAUGAACUAACCAUAUUCACAAUAACAUUUAAGUCUCAUGUUUACUCAUAUCAAUGGCAUAAUCAGCUAGCGAGCAAUAAUAACAAAUCUCGGAUGACAACACUUUCUCAAAACAAUCAUGAUAUGAUAUAAAAAGUUGGUAUCUUGUUAGCCCUUUCUGAGACUGCAAAACAUAAAUGCAGAGCACCUUUAAAGAUCAAGGACUGAAUAGACAUUGUAAUUCAUGGUAAAGAGAUCGAGUCACAGUUGUACUCAAUGUAAACUAACAGUAAUGGAUGCAAAUGACAGCGGUGGUCUCCAACUGGUGCUUUUUAAUAAGAGGGUGAUGACUCAACAUAAAAGUAAAUGGAAAGUCCCUUCGCAGAGGGAAGCAGGGAUUUGUAGAGGUGCCAGAGCUCGGUUUUGAAAUAGAUAUGAAUAAUAUUUUGAGCGAUAUACUUUCAUUGUCAACAUAACAACCGAGAGAUCUCGAUAUCUUCCAUGCUACACGCAUUAUAGGUGGUUCCCAAGCAGAAUGGUAAAGUUUAUACUCCCCCACCACCAACAAUCAUCAAUCCAGGGCUUUCCCGAAACAAUGGGUGCCUCCAACUAACAAUAAUCUUGGGAGAGUUUUGUUUGCAAUUAUUUUGAUUUGAUUUGAGCAUGGGAUGGGGCGUCCGGUGAGCAGCCAUUUUCUCGUGAAUGAGGAGCCGAGUCCACUCCUCUUUAGAAUAACCCACCUAGCAUAGAGGAUACAGACAGCCCUAGUUGAUACAUGAGCUAUUGGAGCAUACAAAAAAUGUUUAUUUGAAGGUUUAGAGCUUGGCACAUACAAAUUUACUUGGAACGGCAGGUAGAUACCGCAUAUACGUAGGUAUGGUGGACUCAUAUGGAACAACUUUGGGGUUUAUGGAGUUGGAUGCACAAGCAGUAUUCCCGCUUAGUACAAGUGAAGGCUAGAAAGAGAAUGGGAAGCGACCAACUAGAGAGUGACAAUAGUCAUGAACAUGCAUGAAAAUUAAUCAACACCGAAUUCAAGCAUGAGUAGGAUAUAAUGCACCAUGAACAUAAAUAUCUGCAGCAAAGUAUUUAGUACCAAAGUAAUAUGAUAGUAGUGGUAACUGUAGCAAAAGUAAUAUUUUUGGGUUUUCUAGUGAUUGUAACAAUAGCAACGGAAAAGUAAAUACGUGAAGAACAAUAUAUGAAAAGCUCGUAGGCAUUGUAUCGGUGAUGGAGAAUCAUGUCGGAUGCGAUCGAUCAUGCAACAAUUAUAACAUAGGGUGACAUAGAACUAGCUCCAGUUCAUCAAUGUAAUGUAGGCAUGUAUUCCGAAUAUAGUCAGACGUGCUUAUGGAAAAGAACUUGCAUGACAUCUUUUGUCCUACCCUCCUGUGGCAGCGGGGUCCUAUUGGAAACUAAGGGAUAUUAAGGCCUCCUUUUAAUAGAGUACCGGACCAAAGCAUUAACACAUAGUGAAUACAUGAACUCCUCAAACUACGGUCAUCACCGGUAAUGGUCCCCAUUAUUGUCACUUCGGGGUUAACGGAUCAUAACACAUAAUAGGUGACUAUAGACUUGCAAGAUAGGAUUAAGAACUCACAUAUAUUCAUGAAAACAUAAUAGGUUUAGAUCUGAAAUCAUGGCACUCGGGCCCUAGUGACAAGCAUUAAGCAUAGCAAAGUCAUAGCAACAUCAAUCUCAGAACAUAGUGGAUACUAGGGAUCAAACCCUAACAAAACUAACUCAGUUACAUGAUAAAUCUCAUCCAACCUAUCACCGUCCAGCAAGCCUACGAUGGAAUUACUCACGCACGGCGAUGAGCAUCAUGAAAUUGGUGAUGGAGGAAGGUUGAUGAUGACGAUGGCGAUAGAUUCCCCUCUCCGGAGCCCCGAACGGACUCUAGAUCAGCCCUCCCGAGAGAGUUUAGGGCUUGGCGGCGGCUCUGUAUCGAAAAAUGUGAUGAAUCCUUCUCUCUAAUUUUUUUCUCCCCGAACACGGAGUUGAGGUCGGUGGAGCGUCAGGGGGUCCACAAGGCAGGGGGCGCGCCCAGGGGGGUAAGCGCGCCCCCUCCCUCGUGGACAGGGUGUGGGCCCCCUGACAUGGAUUCUUCUUCCGGUAUUUUUAAUAUAUUCCAAAAAUAAUCUCACUUGAUUUUCAGGUAAUUCUGAGAACUUUUAAUUCCGAAAACAGCGUCAGUCCGGGUUAGUUCCAUUCAAAUCAUGCAAGUUAGAGUCCAAAACAAGGGCAAAAGUGUUUGGAAAAGUAGAUACGACGGAGGCGUAUCAAUCCACUCCACCAUCGUGCUCUGGAGAUCAACACGAGCUCGCCUGAAGGAGUCGUGGAAGCAGAGGAGGGCAGGAGCGAGAGAAUGGCCGACGGGGAUCCGCAGGCAACUCCGGCGAUGAUCGGAGGAGGAGGCCCUCCUGGCCUUGCCCCGCUCGUCGGUGGUCAAUUUGUGGCCAGUGGUGGAUGGUUUGAGCAGCUUGUGAGGGGUCUAUUUAUAAAAGAGGGAGAUGCCGAGCACCGGGCACCACUGUGAGGAAGCUACUUGAGCUCUAGCAAGGUGUGUGGCUCGGGCACGGGUGGUGAAGUGACUAGAGGGGCACGGGGGAGCUGUAGAUGCACGUGGGUGAUGAUUCACAAGUAUAGGGGAUCUAUCAUAGUCCUUUCGAUAAGUAAGAGUGUCGAACCCAACGAGGAGCAGAAGGAAAUGAUAAGCAGUUUUCAGCGAGGUAUUCUCUGCAAGAACUGAAAUUAUCGGUAACAGAUAGUUUUUUGAUAAGAUAAUUGGUAACGAGUAACAAGUAACAAGUGUAAAUAAAGUGCAGCAAGAUGGAACAAUCCUUUUUGUAGCAAAGGACAAGCCUGGACAAACUCUUAUAUUAAGUAAAGUGCUCCUGAGGACACAUGGGAAUUAUCGUCAAGCUACUUUUCAUCACGAUCAUAUGAUUCGCGUUCGGUACUUUGAUAAUUUGAUAUGUGGGUGGACCGAUGCUUGGGUGCUGUCCUUACUUGGACAAACAUCCCACUUAUGAUUAACCCCCAUUGCAAACAUCCGCAACUACAACAAAAAUAUUAAGAUAAACCUAACCAUAGCAUGAAACAUAUGGAUCCAAAUCAGCCCCUUACGAAGCAACGCAUAAAAUAGAGUUUAAGCUUUUGUCACUCUGGCAACCCAUCAUCUACUUAUUACUUCCCAACGCCUGCCUCUAGUCCCAAACAAUGGGGAAGUGUCAUGUAGUCGACGUUCACAUGACACCACUAGAGGGAUGACGACAUACAUCUCAUCAAAAUAUCAAACGAAUACCAAAUUCACAUGACUACUAAUAGCAAGAUUUCUCCCAUGUCCUCAGGAACAAACGUAACUACUGACAAAGCAUAUUCAUGUUCAUAAUCAGAGGGGUAUUAAUAUGCGUAAUGGAUCUGAACAUACGAUCUUCCACCAAGUAAACCAACUAGCAUCAACUACAAGGAGUAAUCAACACUACUAGCAACCCAGAGGUACCAAUCUGAGGUUUGGAUACAAAGAUUGGAUACAAGAGAUGAACUAGGGUUUGAGAUGAGAUGGUGCUGGUGAAGAUGUUGAUGGAAAUUGACCCCCUCCCGAUGAGAGGAUCGUUGGUGAUGACGAUGGUGAUGAUUUCCCCCUCCUGGAGGGAAGUUUCCCCGGCAGAUCAGCUCCGCCGGAGCCCUAGAUUGGUUCUGCCAAGGUUCCGCCUCGUGGUGGCGGAGUCUCAUCCCGAAAGCUUGCCUCUGAUUUUUUUCCUCGACGAAAGACUCCAUAUAGCAAAAUAUGGGCAUCAGAGGGUGAGGGAGUCCUGUAUUAGGGGGUCUCCGGAUAGCCGGACUAUCUCCAUUGGCCGGACUGUUAGACUAUGAAGACACAAGAUUUAAGAGUUCGUCUCGUGUCCGGAUGGGACUCUACUUGGCGUGGAAGGCAAGCUAGGAAAUACGUAUAUGGAUAUCACCUCCUUUGUAACCGACCUUGUGUAACCCUAACCCUCUCCGGUGCCUAUAUAAACCGAAGGGUUUUAGUCUGUAGGACGACAAUCACAACAUACAAUCAUACCAUAGGCUAGCUUCUAGGGUUUAGCCUCUCUGAUCUCGUGGUAGAUCUACUCUUGUACUACCCAUAUCAUCAAUAUAAAUCAAGUAGGACGUAGGGUUUUUACCUCCAUCAAGAGGGCCCGAACCUGGGUAAAACAUCAUGUCCCUUGCCUCCUGUUACCAUCCGGCCUAGACGCGCAGUUCGUGAACCCCUACCCGAGAUCCGCCGGUUUUGACACCGAUAUUGGUGCUUUCAUUGAGAGUUCCUCUGUGUCGUCACCGUUAGGCUUGAUGGCUCCUACUAUCAUCGAUAGCGAUGCGGUCCAGGGUGAGACAUUUCUCCCUAGACAGAUCUUCGUAUUCGGCGGCUUUGCACUGCGGGCUAAUUCGCUUGGCCAUCUGGAGCAAAUUGAAAAGCUACGCCCCUGGCCAUCAGGUCAGAUUUGGAAGUUUGAACUACACGGUCUACAUCCGCGAUGACUUGAUCUUCGACGAAUUCGAGCCAUAGCCGGGCGCGCCGCACUAUCGCGAUGGGUAUGACCUAGCUCUGCCGCCGAACAGUAACCCAGAAGCCGCGCCUGCAUCAGCUCCGACCCUUAGUUCGGAGCCAACUGUGCCAAUCGAGGACGGAUGGUUAGACACCGCCUCAGGGUCUGCAGUUUCAACGGCGAUCAAGCCGAACACCAGCAUAAUCCUCUGCGCAGCCCGUGACUCCAAGGUGUCGGACUCUUUUUCUGACUCCGAACCGCCCGCGCCCCUGCCAAUCAAAUCCGAUUGGGCACCGAUCAUGGAAUUCACUGCCGCGGAUAUCUUUCAGCACUCGCCCUUCAACGACAUUCUGAAUUCACUAAGGUCUCUCUCUUUGUCAGGAGAGCCCUGGCCGGAUUAUGGCCAACAGGAUUGGGAUUCGGACGACGAAGAAAUUCGACGCCCACCCACCACCCACUUAAUAGCCACUGUCGAUGACUCAACCGACAUGCUCGACUUCGACUCCGAAGACAUCGACGGUAUGGACGACGAUGCGGGAGGCGAAGAGGAACCACCGCCCACAGGGCGCUGGACGUCCACUUCAUCAUAUGACGUAUGCAUGGUGGACACAAUAAAAGAAGACGACGACGAGGAACGAAAGGACGCAUCGAAGGCUUGUUACCUCGAGAAGCAGUCAAAGCAGCGACACAAGCGCCGCCCCAAAUCUCGCCUCGGCAGAAAUAACGAUCAUACAGACCCAGCGUUGGAGCAGGGCGAACCACUGCUGGACCACGGCAAUACGGAGAAUCAAACCGAACAAACUAAUUCUGUCAAAGAUAAUAGUCCGGACGACAUAACGCCGGACAGGCACCCAGAGCAGCAGAAUUCCCAUCAAAGGCUUGUUGCCACCGCGAGGAGUCUGAAAAAGCAGAAGCAAAGGCUCAAGGCUGCGCAAGACACACUCCAAAUCAGAUGGAGUAAAGUACUCAACACAGCAGCGAGGUACGGCGACAAUCGCCCCACCAAGAGCUACCCAAAGCGGAAGUUGCUACCUGAAUUCGAUGAGGAGGCCUCAGACCCCCCACAACCAAAAAUCAAAACAGCCACCUGGCCGGAUAGACGACCUCAUGGCCAACUUCGAGCUGCAAACAACGCCACUCACAAGCCAAUACGCGAUCCAUGCGAGGGCUCACACCAAAAGGAUGGCGCAACCAGAUCCAUCUAUGGACCACGCAAGCGCGCCCCAGCAUACAACAUAAUACAACAAACAUCCGAACAACGCGGUACACCUAGAUACAGGGGUGCCACACACCCCCUAUGUUUCACCGAUGAGGUGCUGGGCCAUGAAUUUCCAGAGGGAUUCAUACACGUAAACAUAGAGGCAUACGACGGAACAAUAGACCCUGCGGUCUGGAUUGAGGAUUAUAUCCUCCAUAUCCAUAUGGCUCGAGGAGAUGAUCACCACGCCAUCAAGUACUUACCCCUCAAGCUCAAAGCGCCAGCUCGUCACUGGCUUAAAGGCCUCCCCGAAAACUCCAUAGGAAGCUGGGAAGAGCUCGAAGACGCUUUUCGGGAAAAUUUUCAAGGGGCUUAUGUCCGACCUCCAGAUGCGGACGAUUUGAGCCAUAUAACUCAACAGCCCGGAGAGUCAGCCCGAAAACUUUGGAAUAGGUUUCUUACUAAAAAGAACCAAAUUGUCGAUUGUCCGGACGCCGAAGCCCUGGCAACUUUUAAGCAUAGCGUCCGUGAUGAAUGGCUCGCCAGACACCUCGGCCAAGAAAAGCCGAGAACAAUGGCAGCAUUAACAAGCCUCAUGACCCGGUUUUGCGCGGGUGAGGAUAGCUGGCUAGCCAGAUGCAGCACCAGCGACCCUAGUACAUCUGAAGCUAGAGAUGGAAACGGGAAAUCAUGGUGCAACAGCAGUAACAAACGGCGGAACUAAGAAGACAGCACGAAGAGCACGGCAGUAAACGCCGGAUUCAAAAGCUCUCAGCCAGGUCAGCAAAAGCCGCCCUCUAAAGGCGCCAGAGACGAAUUGUCCAGCCUAAACAAAAUUCUGGACCAAAUAUGUCAGAUGCAUAGCACCCCUGGUAAACCUGCUAAUCAUACCCACAGAGAAUGUUGGGUCUUCAAGUAGUCCCAUAAGCUCAACGCCGUACACAAAGGGGAGGAUACACCAAGCGAGGACGAGGAUGAGCCUCUCAAGCAAGACACUGGGGAACAAAAGAAAUUUCCACCAGAAGUCAAAACAGUAAACGUUUUACACGUGAUCAAGGGAAGAAACAAAACAGCACUCCCAGAACAAUAUGCCCAAGGGCCUAUCAGCGCGGAGUCCUGCCACUGGUCGUCUCAACCGAUCACUUUCGACCAUCAUGAUUACUCAGCAAGUAUCCGGCGUGUAGGAUGGGCUGCCCUGGUAUUAGACCCAAUAAUUGACGGAUAUCACUUCACACGAGUUGUGAUGGACGGUGGCAGUAGUCUAAACCUGAUAUAUCAGGAUACAAUCCGCGAAAUUGGGAUAGACCCAACAAAAAUUUGCCAUAGCAAUACUACCUUUAAAGGAGUAACGCCAGGCCCAGGGGCUCAUUGCAGGGGCUGCCUGCUACUAAAAGUUAUAUUCGGCUCCCCCGAUAACUUCCAUAGCGAACAUUUAACCUUCCACAUUGCUCCGUUCCAAAGUGGCUAUCAAGCACUACUCGGACGCGAAGCUUUCGCUCGCUUUAACGCAAUACCGCACUACGCUUCCCUCAGACUCAAGAUGCCCGGACCAUGUGGCAUCAUUAUAGUAAAUGGAAGUAUUAAGCGAUCUUUGUGCGCGGAAGAGAGUGCGGCUGCCUUGGCAGCCACACACUAAAAACGGCCUCACCAACUAAAGCAUUUAACAGGUCGUCAAGACCUCGAACACGGUUAGAUGAGUCCGGCACAGGUAUAUGUAAUUCAUACCGGAUCAAUGGUCACACCCCUAUACAAGGGGCUCAACGCGCCAAACAAGUGGCAAUUUUUACUCAUCUGGAAUUAUACUUGGUUCCUUUAAAAACUACCUUUUGCACGACAACUUUUUCACCUAAGUUCCUCUCUUUUACAGAUGAUCAUCGUGCUACACCCGUCCAGGAUACGGCACAACGGAGACACAGGCGCAGACGUGCAGCAGGGACCCGCUCCAAGGAUUCUUUUUAGAUUAAGACCCUGCGUAAACCUUUUUUACUGUCUCUUGCUGAUACAUAUCCACCGAAUUCUCAGCACAGUUGAGAAGGAUGCUGACGUCUUGGCAUGUGGCCACGUCAGAAUAAUGCACGUACCUGGACACAAGGGGCUUCUUACGAAGGGCACUAUUUAGGUCCGGUUUAUACCAUAAAGACCGAAUACCUUAGGGAGUGUUCGGCGUCGCGAGUUUGGCCUUAUAUGCAUCAGCUUCGAAUCAUUGUCUUUGGUUAAAUGUUGGGUUUGCCCGGCUCCUGUGUUUUGGUGCCUUAGGUUCCGCUUUACCGGCCAAGGUAGCACCAGGAGAACUACUGCGAUUGUGCCCUGGUUCAUCCGGACGAGCACCUCAGUAGAGAAAGCCGAAAACUGACUGUCAUGAUAUAGCGUGAGACUGGUCAACCACUCGGUGACCUAUCGGAAUGUUAGAAUUCCUCCGCCUUAACGAAGGGCUGUUUUCCGGCCGGGCAUGUACGCAUCCCACGAUCGGGAGAGUGCGGAGCCACCAGGGGCUAUCUAGUAGCCCCAAUGUCAAACUCCUAUGGCUAAGUGAAAGUGUUAAAGCAUUAUAGUCCGGUUGCCUCGCUCGCUAUGCUAUCACCUCCUUAAUAGGACCAAGACAUUGGGUUAAGUGUGAACACGCCUUUUUUGCAAGCACCCCCGCAUUCUAUGCGUGGGGGUUGAAGCCGACGGCUGCAAUCUUUCAGGUUAUACACAGGUAUACAUAAACGGCCGCACAGGAGGCAUCAUACUACUUUUAGGAAAAAGUAUAAAAAUUACCUUAUAAAAAAUUCAUAAAAGCAAUGUGCUUACAAUGAGAAUACAUAUCACUCAAACAUAAUAUUUUUCGAGCACUGAGCCUCUAUCAAACGAGCACCCUCGAGAACCUCCUCGAAAUAGUGCUCUGCAGCCACCCGGCCUAUGGUCGAACCCUGCGCCGCAACAGUGGUAGCGUCCAUCUCCGCCCAGUAUGCUUUAACACGGGCAAGGGCCAUCCGCAAGCCUUCUAUGCAUGUCGACCUCUUCAUUGCAUUAAUGCGCGACACCGCAUCAAGGAACUGCUGCACUAAGCUGAAAUAGCUGUUCGGCUUUGGCCUUUCCGGCCAUAGCUGAUCCACAACAGACCUCAUGGUGAGUCCGGACAACCUAUUCAGUUCGGCCCAUUCGGCUAGCUGGUCAGUCAAUGAAAGCGGACGCUCUGGAACGUGGAAUUGCGUCCAGAACAACUUGUCCACUUCACGAUCUGUCUGACCUUGGAAGUACUUGGCCGCAUCGGCAGCGCUCGCCGCCAAAUCCAUAUACGCAUCUGCCGAACUCCAUAGCCGAUCCAGAGGGGCAUACCGUGGAUCUCCGAACUUCCUCCGUAACAUGAAGGGUUUCCCAGCCGCAAUAUCCCCGGCUUCCCGCAGCUCCUCCUUCUUUGCUCUCAUAGCAGAACGAGUGUCUUUUGUCCGCCGUCGCGGCAUUCUCAAGGUCCGUUGCCUUCGCUCGGUUUUCUUUCUCAAGGACCCGGCAAUGGUCGGCAGUGUCUUUUAAUUCUACUGCCAUCUUGGCCAUCUUCUCCUGGCUCUCGCAAUGUGCGGCCUUCUCGGCUUUCGACUCUUCGGCCGCCUUCAAAGCAGCCACAUUACUAAUCCUCGCUUGUUCCUUGGCUCGGGCAAGUUCCUCCCGCAAGGCUUCCAUGGUGGCAGCUCCAUCUGGAGUCACAACAUAUUAAAGAUACUGGCAUUAUGCUGCUCUUACUAUGUGGCGUUCACCGGAUAAUAACACUUACCCUGUGCCUCGUCAAGCCUCUUGUUAACAAGCUCGAUGUCGGCGUCUGCCGCAUACGGUUGCCGUUUUAAUUUGGCAAACUCACUAGUCCGGCUAGCCACCGGAGCUUCCACCACCUGCACAUAGGGGCAGUCUGGUUAUUGCCUGGGAAUAUGAUCCUCUAUUCGCCGCCGUUCUCGACGACAACCAGAGUCUCAGGGGCUACUAUCUACACAGGGCACACAUAACAUGUGCAGUACUAUCACAUAUUAUCUCACGUACCUCAAAGCCCGUUAGUAGACUCAUAAAGGCUUCAUGUAAUCUGUUUUCAGCGGACGAGGUUCUCUCCAUCACCGUACCCAUCAGCAUACGGUGUUCUUCUGAGAUGGCCGCUCGCCCCACCAACUCCCUUAGAACGUCCGACCGCACACCAAACGGUGAAGGACUCUUUUGUAUGCUCUCUUCGGGAGCCGGACACUAGGGACUUUGGGGGUCUACGGGAUUAUCUUCUGGCCUCACCGGAUCCGGAGAGGCCCUCCGUGACGACACUUCGGGGUCGCCCACUUCUGGAGUGGAGGAGUUCGGGGGAGGCGUUUCGCUCUCCAUCAUCUCUGGAAGAAGAUCCUCCGAAGAGGAGCUCAUUUGAGAGGGGCUAAGGCCCGAACUGCAAGAUAUAUGCGGUGGUUAUUUUCUCAGAGAAAAAAGAUAGCAUACCUUUACUAUUAAAGUAUUUUGGAUCACUUACGACUCGUUGGAGGGCUGAUCCCCCCGCGGACUUUGUGCGGUAAAAGCACCCCCCGAGGCAAGACCCUCUGUGGGAGACUUCUUCUCCCGUUUGGAGGCUUCAGCUUCCGGAUCCUCGGAAGCAGUCCUUUUCCUCCCCCGGUCGUCCUCCUUCAUGGACACACUCAUUCCCUUGGUUGGAACGGGCAGCGAUGGGGGCCCGCGUCCGCCCGUAUUAUCCCCCCCCCCCCCGGUAUCUUCCUUCAAGGGCGCCGGGCAAGGUGCGACCUCGAGCAUCUUUUCCAAUACCGGAUUUUCCAAACCAUCAGGGAGGGGGGCCAAACACUGAGUCAUCUUCGCCUUUGUUACCCAGUCCUGGUCAAAAAGCAAACUCUCAGAAAUAACUUCGAAUAAAAGACAGUGUGUUCGGCUAGAGGGUUUCUUACUUGUUCGGCGGCGCGGUUACUGCUCAGGCCCGCGUCCUCGGUAAUAUCCGGACAUUCUACUUGAGGUCCUAAGAAUGACUUGUACAUCUCGUCGUGCGUCAGGCCGAGGAAACUUUGAAUGUCACGUGGUCCCUCUGGGUUGAACUCCCACAAGUGAAGGGGCCGGCGUUUGCAAGGCUGGAUUUGCCGAACCAGCAUAACUUGUAUUACCACAACCAAAUUAAAAUCUCCCUCGAAGAGAUCUCGGAUGCGGCUUUGCAGUAUAGGCAUGUCCUUGGCUGGACCCCAGCUCAGACCCCUGCUAAUCCAUGACAUCAGUUGUGGUGGGGGGCCCGAGCGGAAAGCGGUGGCAGCCGCCCACUUGGCACUUCUGGGAGCCGUGACGAAAAACCACUCCCGUUGUCAUAAUUCGGACACCUCUGGAAAGGAACCUUUCGGCCAUGGAGCUCCUGCCAUCUUGCCUAUUGAUGCACCUCCACACGCUACAUGUUGCCCCUCGAUCAUCUUCGGCUUUACUUCAAAGGUCUUGAGCCACAGGCCGAAGUGAGGGGUAACGCGGAGGAAGGCUUCACACACGACAAUAAAUGCCGUGAUGUGGAGAAAGGAGUCCGGAGCUAGAUCAUGGAAAUCUAGCCCGUAAUAGAACAUCAAACCCCUGAUGAACGGAUCCAGAGUGAGGCCUUGACCUCGGAGGAAGUGGGAGACGAACACAACAUUCUCGUUGGGUUCGGGAGUAGGGACGAUCUGCCCUCGAGCAGGCAGCCGAUGCGAAACCUCAGCGCUCAGAUAUCUAGCCUCCCUCAACUUCUUAAUGUCCUCUUUUGUAAUGGAGGAGGGCAUCCAUCAGCCUUGAAGUCUGGAUCCGGACAUGGUUGAAGAUCCGGAGCACCUAACCUAGGCUUUGGGUGUUAGAACUCGAGGCGGGGGAAGGGUUUGAUUGAGUACGAGAGGGAAAAAGCGAAAACCUUGUCCCCUUAUAAAGAGGGUGAAUAUCAAGCGUCCUCUCCGUAACCGUUUGGGACAUGCCAAUAAUCUAGGAGUCCUAGACACGGUUGGGUUACCCACAACCGCAUUAAUGAGAAUCUCGUAAUUAGGGGAACACGAUCUCCGCUUCGGCAAGACGUGUCAAGAAACCACCUCGCAUUAUGUGUGGAGCUGGUUAAAAGAAACGUUCGAAUAAUCACCCGGCCAUGACAUAACAUCAUGCUGCCAAAACAAGCCAGCAAAUUAGAUCUGCAGAAAAAUUAUUCUCUCUGCGGUGGAACGUGCAACUUAUUUUGCAGGGUCGGACACUAUCCUCGUAUUCAAAUUCUUCUGUGAUGUAUUCGGAGAAGGAACCCGCCUUGCAAUGCCGAAGACAAUACUCAUCGUCAUUGAAGCCUGGUUCAGGGGCUACUGAGGGAGUCAUGUAUUAGGGGGUCUUCGGAUAGCCGGACUAUCUCCAUUGGCCGGACUGUUAGACUAUGAAGAUACAAGAUUGAAGACUUCGUCUCGUGUCCGGAUGGGACUCUACUUGGCGUGGAAGGCAAGCUAGGCAAUACGUAUAUGGAUAUCUCCUCCUUUGUAACCGACCUUGUGUAACCCUAACCCUCUCCGGUGCCUAUAUAAACUGAAGGGUUUUAGUCCGUAGGACAACAAUCACAACAUACAUUCAUACCAUAGGCUAGCUUCUCGGGUUUAGCCUCUCUGAUCUCGUGGUAGAUCUACUCUUGUACUACCCAUAUCAUCAAUAUUAAUCAAGCAGGACGUAGGGUUUUACCUCCAUCAAGAGGGCCCGAACCUGGGUAAAACAUCGUGUCCCUUGCCUCCUGUUAACAUCCGGCCUAGACGUGCAGUUCGGGACCCCUUACCCGAGAUCCGCCAGUUUUGACACCGAUAGAGGGCCACCAGGGGGCCCACGAGGCAGGGGGCACGCCCCCACCCUCGUGGCCAGGGUGUGGCCCCCCUCUGGAACUUUCUUCGCUUAAUAUUUUUUAUAUACUCUGGAAAUAACUUCCGUGAAGUUUCAGGACUUUUGGAGCUGUGCAUAAUAGGUCUCUAAUAUUUGCUCCUUUUCCAGCCCAGAAUCCCAGCUACCGGCAUUCUCCCUCUUCAUGUAAACCUUGUAAAAUAAGAGAGAAUAGGCAUAAGUAUUGUGACAUAAUGUGUAAUAACAGCCCAUAAUGCAAUAAAUAUCGAUAUAAAAGCAUGAUGCAAAAUGGACGUAUCAACUCCCCCAAGCUUAGACCUCGCUUGUCCUCAAGCGAAAGCCGAAAUUGAAAAAUAUGUCCACAUGUUUAGAGAUAGAGGUGUCGAUAAAAAAUAAAAUAUGGACAUGAGGGCAUCAUGAUCAUUCUUAGAACAGCAACAUAUAUAUAUAUAUAUAUAUAUAUAUAUAUAUAUUGUCAUAUGAUCUCUUAUCCUAAAGUAACAAUUCAAUCACAAUUUCAAGUAUGAAUCAUAAACUUCAUUGAGAACCAACAAACUCUAAUCUCAGUCAUUGAGGCAAUUGUAAUUUAUCAUAACAUAGGAAAGAGUCAAUAUAAGAGCUUCUCAGCAAGUCCACAUACUCAACCAUCUUUUAGUCUUUCACAAUUGCUAACACUCACGCAAUACUUAUGGGUAUGGAGUUUUAAUCGGACAUAGAGAAAUAUAGGGGCUUAUAGUUUUGGCUCCCAAUGUUUUACCUCAAGGGUAAUGUCAACAAUAAUAGUUCAUGAAGACUCACAUCCAAUUAGCUAUAUAUAUCAGGAUCUUUCCAACAUAUUGUGCUUGCCAAAGGAUAAAAUGUAAAAAAGGAAAGGUGAAGAUCACCAUGACUCUUAUGUAAGGUAGAAGAUAAAAUUAAAAGAUAGGCCCUUCACAGAGGCAAGCAGAGGUUGUCAUGCGCUUUUCUGGUUGGAUGCACAAAAUCUUAAUGCGAAAGAACGUCACUUUAUAUUGCCACUUGUGAUAUGGACCCUUAUUAUGAAGUCCGUCGCUUUUAUUUCUUCCAUAUCACAAGAUCGUAUAAAGCUUUUUUUUCUCCCACACUAAUAAUUCAUACAUAUUUAGAGAGCAUUUUUUAUUGCUUGCACCGAUGACAACUUACUUGAAGGAUCUUACUCAAUCCAUAGGUAGAUAUGUUGGACUCUGAUGGCAAAACUAGGUUUAGGGAUAUUUGGAAGCACAAGUAGUAUCUCUAAUUGGUGCAAAGAAAUUGGCUAGCAUGAGAGGGAAAGGCAAGCUCAACAUGUUGGAUGAUCCAUGACAAUAUAAUGUAUCUCAGAUGUAAGAAAACAUAACCCAUUACGUUGUCUUCCUUGUCCAACGUCAACUCUUAGCAUGUCAUACUUUAAUGUGUGCUCACAAUCAUAAAAGAUGUCCAAGAUAGUGAAUAUAUAUGUGAACCUCUCUUUCUUUAUUACUUCCUAUUAAUUGUAACAAUGACCAAAACUAUGUUUAUCAACUCUCAACAACUUUUAUUCAUCAUACUCUUUAUAUGUGAGCUCAUUACUCUCCAUGAGAUCCAUAUGAUCUCUUUGUUUCUUUUUUAUUUUAGUUUUCUUUUAUUUUAUUCCCUCAAGAUCAUAGCAAAAUAAUGAAGCCCUUGACUCAACACUAACCUUUAUUAUAUAUAACUCACGGACUCGAUUACAUAGAAGGAUCAUAAAGCAAAACUCACAACUAGAUCAUACUAACACUUUAUUCUACUAGAUCAAGAUAUUAUCAACAGGAUCGAACUCAGAAAAACGGUAAAGAUAAAAGUGAUGGUGAUACGAUACCGGCGCACUCCCCAAGCUUGGCAUUUGCCAAGGGGAGUGCCCAUACCAAUGUGUUUAUAUCUCCUUUGUCAGUGAAGAGGAUGUUGGUGAUGAUGGAUGAUACGUCUCCAACGUAUCUAUAAUUUUUGAUUGCUCCAUGCUAUAUUAUCUACUGUUUUGGACUAUAUUAGGCUUCAUUUUCCACUUUUAUAUUAUUUUUGGGACUAACCUAUUAACCGGAGGCCCAGCCCAGAAUUGCUGUUUUUUGCCUAUUUCAGUGUUUCGGAUAAACGAAAUAUCAAAUGGAGUCCAAACGGAAUAAAAUCUUCGGGAACAUGAUUUUCUCACCGAACAUGAUCCAGGAGACUUGGACCCUGCUCCAAGGAACAAAAGAGGUGGUCACGAGGGUGGGGGUGCCCCCCCUAGGGCGCGCCCCCCUGCCUCGUGGGCCCCUCGUUGCUCCUCCGGCGUACUUCUUCCUCCUAUAUAUGCACACAUACCCCCAAACGAUCAGAACAGGAGCCUAAAACCUAAUUCCACUACAGCAACUUUCUGUAUCCAUGAGAUCCCAUAUUGGGGCCUGUUCCGGAGCUCCGCCGGAAGAUGGCCGUCAUCACGGAGGGCAUCUACCUCAUCAUAGCCUCUCCGAUGAAGUGUGAGUAGUUUACCUCAGACCUUUGGGUCCAUAGUUAGUAGCUAGAUGGCUUCUUCUCUCUAUUUGAAUCUCAAUACAAAGUUCUCCCCCUCUCUUGUGGAGAUCUAUUUGACGUAAUCUUCUUUUUGCGGUGUGUUUGUUGAGACUGAUGAAUUGUGGGUUUAUGAUCAAGUCUAUCUACGAAUAAUAUUUGAAUCUUCUCUGAAUUCUUUUAUGUAUGAUUGGUUAUCUUUGCAAGUCUCUUCGAAUUAUCCGUUUGCUUUGGCCAACUAGAUUGGUAGUUCUUGCCAUGGGAGAAGUGCUUAGCUUUGGGUUCGAUCUUGCGGUGUCCUUACCCAGUGACAGAAGGGGCAGAAAGGCACGUAUUGUAUCGUUGCCAUCGAGGAUAACAAGAUGGGGUUUAUUUCAUAUUGCAUGAAUUUAUCUCUCUACAUCAUGUCAUCUUGCUUAAGGCGUUACUCUAUUUUUAACUUAAUACUCUAGAUGCAUGCUGGAUAGCGGUCGAUGAGUGGAGUAAUAGUAGUAGAUGCAGAAUCGUUUCGAUCUACUUGUCACGGACAUGAUGCCUAUAUACAUGAUCAUGCCUAGAUAUUCUCAUAACUAUGCUCAAUUCUGUCAAUUGCUCAACAGUAAUUUGUUCACCCACCGUAGAAUACUUAUGCUCUUGAGAGAAGCCACUAGUGAAACCCAUGGCCCCCGGGUCUAUUCUCAUCAUAUCAAUCUCCAUUACUUUAAUCUUGCUUUGCUUUUUACUUUGCCUUUAUUUUUUACUUUGCAUCUUUAUACCAAAAUUACAAAAAAUAUUAUAUCUAUCAUAUCUCACUCUCGUAAGUGACAGUAAAGGGCUUGACAACCCCUAAUCGCGUUGGUUGCGAGUAGCUAUCGCUUGGUGUAGGUACGAGGGACUUGAGCAUGGGCUCCUACUGGAUUAAUACCUUGGUUCUCAAACACUGAGGGAAAUACUUACGCUACUCUGCUGCAUCAUCCCUUCCUCUUCGGGGAAAACCAACGCAAGCUCAAGACGUAGCAAGAAGGAUUUCUGGCGCCGUUGCCGGGGAGUCUACGCAAAAAUUUAACAUACCAAGUACCCAUCACAAUCCCUAUCUCUCGCAUUACAUUAUUUGCCAUUUGCCUCUCGUUUUCCUCUCCCCCCAAUUCACCCUUGCCGUUUUAUUCGCCCUCUCUCUCCCUAUCCCCCCUCUCUAUUUGCCUUUUUGCCCGUUUGCUUUUUGUUUGCUCGUGUGUUAGUUUUCUUGUUUGUCAUGACGGCUCAAGAUACUACUAAAUUGUGUGACUUCACCAAUACGAACAAUAAUGACUUCCUUAGCACUCCGAUUGCUCCUCUUACCGAUGCUGAAUCUUGUGAAAUUAAUACUGCUUUGUUGAAUCUUGUUAUGAAAGAUCAAUUCGCUGGCAAAUGCAAAGAUGCUUUUAUCUCUAAGUAUUUUCCUCCCGCUAAGAUCAUCUCUCUUAGAAACGAUAUUAUGAACUUUAAACAACUUGAUCAUGAACAUGUUGCACAAGUUUGGGAGAGAAUGAAAUUAAUGAUACGUAAUUGCCCUACUCAUGGUUGCAAUUUGUGGAUGAUUAUACAAAAAAUUUAUGCCGGAUUGAAUUUUGUUUCUAGAAAUCUUUUAGAUUCGGCCGUGGGAGGCACUUUUAUGGAAAUCACUUUAGGAGAUGGUACUAAACUCCUAGAUAAUAUUAUGGUUAAUUAUUGUCAAUGGCAUACUGAAAGAUCUUCUAAUAAAAAAGUGCAUGCGAUAGAAGAAAUUAAUGUGUUGAGUGGAUAGAUGGAUGAACUUAUGAAAUUAUUUGCUACUAAGAGUGUUUCUUCUGAUCCUAAUGAUAUGCCUUUGUCUACUUUGAUUGAGAAUAACAAUGAAUCUAUGGAUGUGAAUUUUCUUGGUAGGAAUAAUUUUGGUAACAACGCUUAUAGAGGGAAUUUAAUCCUAGGCCAUAUCCUAGUAAUCCUUCUAAUAAUUAUGGGAACUCCUACAAUAACUCUUAUGGAAAUUAUAAUAAGAUACCCUCUGAUUUUAAAUAUAAUAUUAAAGAAUUUAUUUUUUGCAAAAGAAUUCUAAUGCUAUGAUUGAAGAAAAAUUGCUUAAGAUUGAUGAUUUGGCUAGGAACGUUGAUAGAAUUGCUCUUGAUAUUGAUUCUUUGAAAUUAGAUCUAUUCCACCUAAUCAUGAUAUGAAUGAGUCUCUAAAAGCCAUGAGAAUUUCAAUUGAUGAGUGUAAGGAAAGAACCGCUAGAAUGUAUGCGUCCAAAGAUGCCUUUAUUAAAGCGUGUUCUUCCAAUACCUAUGAAAAUCAAGAUGGAGAUCUAAAAGUUAUUGAUGUGUCUCCUAUUAAAUCUUUAUUUCGCAAUAUGAAUCUUGAUGAAACUGAAUAUGAUCUUCCUUUACCUAGAAGGCGUUCUAAAAAUCGGAGUAUUUAGAUCUUUAUGAUGAAAUUGAUGAAAGUGGGAUUGAAAGAAAUAAAAAUCUAGAUGUUGCUAAACCCACUAUAUUGGAUUUCAAGGAAUUUAAUUAUGAAAGUUGCUCUUUAAUUGAUUGUAUUUCCUUGUUGCAAUCCGUGCUAAAUUCUCCACAUGCUUAUAGUCAAAAUAAAGCCUUCACCGAACAUAUUGUUGAUGCUUUGAUGCAAUCUUAUGAAGAAAAACUUGAGUUGAAAGUUUCUAUCCCUAGAAAACACUAUGAUGAGUGGCAACCAACUAUUACAAUUAAAAUUAAAGAUCAUGAGUUUUAUGCUUUGUGUGAUUUGGGUGCUAGUGUCUCUACUAUUCCCAAGACUUUGUGUGAUUUACUAGAUUUCCGUAACUUUGAUGAUUGCUCUCUAAACUUGCAUCUUGCGGAUUCCACUAUUAAGAAACCUAUGGGAAGGAUUAAUGAUGUUCUUAUUGUUGCAAAUAGGAAUUAUGCACCCAUAGAUUUCAUUGUUCUUGAUAUAGAUUGCAAUCCUUCUUGCCCUAUUAUUCUUGGUAGACCUUUCCUUAGAACGGUUGGUGCGAUUAUUGAUAUGAAGGAAGGGAAUAUUAGAUUUCAAUUUCCAUUAAAAAAGGGCAUGGAACACUUUCCAUGAAAGAAAAUAAAAUUACCAUAUGAAACUAUCAUGAGAGCCACUUAUGGAUUGCCUACCAAAGAUGGCAAUACCUAGAUCUAUCCUCGCUUUUAUGCCUAGCUAGGGGCGUUAAACGAUAGCGCUUGUUGGGAGGCAACCCAAUUUCAUUUUUAUUCCUUGAUUUUUGCUCCUGUUUAGUAAUAAAUAAAUUAUUUAUCCUCUGUUUUGGUUGUGUUUUUUUGUGUUUCAUUAGUGUUUGUGCCAAGUAGAACCGUUGGGAAGACUUGGUGAAAUUCUUGUUGAACUUGCUGUAAAAAACAUAAACUUUAGCGCUCACGAGAACUGCUGCCAUUUUUAUUUGAAAAGUUCUAUUUAGUUAAUUAUUUUUGCAGAUGAUUAAUAGAUAAAUUCCUCACGUCCAGCAAUUUAUUUUAGAAUUUGCGGGGUUCCAGAUCUUGCGCUGGCUACAGAUUACUACAAACUAUUCUGUUUUUGACAGAUUCUGUUUUUCGUGUGUUGUUUGCUUAUUUUGUUGAAUCUAUGGCUAUUAAAAUAGUUUAUAAUCCUAUAGAAGUUGGAAUACAGUAGGUUUAACACCAAUAUAAAUAAAGAAUGAGUUCAUUACAGUACCUUGAAGUGGUCUUUUGUUUUCUUUCGCUAACGGAGCUCACGAGUUUUCUAUUUUGAGUUUUGUGUUGUGAAGUUUUCAAGUUUUGGGUGAAUUCUUUUUAUGGAUCAUGGAACAAGGAGUGGAAAGAGCCUAAGCUUAGGGAUUCCCAUGGAACCCCCAAGAUAAUCCAAGGACACCAAGAAGUCAAAGCUUGGGGAUGCCCCGGAAGGCAUCCCCUCUUUCGUCCACUUCCAUCGGUAAUUUACUUGGAACUAUAUUUUUAUUCACCAACAUGAUAUGUGUUUUGCUUGGAGCGUCUUGUAUUAUUUGUGUAUUUGUGUCUUAGUAUGCCACAAUCAUCAUUGCUGUACACACCUUUUGAGAGAGCCAUACAUGAAUUAAAAUUUGAUAGAAUACUCUAUGUGCUUCACUUAUAUCUUUUGAGCUAAAUAGUUUUGCUCUAUGUGCUUCACUUAUAUCUUUUGAGCGUUAUAAUUUUGCUCUAUGUGCUUCACUUAGAUCUUUUAGAGCAUGGUGGUGGAUUUUUUUUAAAGAAACUAUUGAUCUCUCGUGCUUCACUUAAAUUAUUUUGAGAGUCUCUUAAUAGCAUGGUAAUUUGCUUAAUAAUAAUAUGCUUGGUAUUCAAGAUUUGUGAAACUUUCUUUUGAGUGUGUUAAAUACUAAGAAAAGAUUGAAACAUGAUAAUUGUUUUGAGAUAUGGAGGUGAUAGUAUUAAAGUCAUGCUAGUUACUUGUGAAUUUAAAGUAUACUUGUGUUAAUGUUUGUGAUUCCCGUAGCAUGCACGUAUGGUGAACAGUUAUGUGAUGAAGUCGGAGCAUGAUUUAUUUAUUGAUUGUCUUCCUUAUGAGUGGCGGUCGGGGACGAGCGAUGGUCUUUUCCUACCAAUCUAUCACCCUAGGAGCAUGCGCGUAAUACUUUGCUUUGAUAAGCUUCUAGAUUUUUGCAAUAAGUAUAUGAGUUCUUUAUGACUAAUUUUGAGUCCAUGGAUUAUACACACUCUCACCCUUCCACCUUUGCUAGCCUCUCUAAUACCUCGCACCUUUCACCGGUAUCAUACACCUACCCUAUAUCUUCCUCAAAACAGCCACCAUACCUACCUAUUAUGGCAUUUCCAUAGCCAUUCCGAGAUAUAUUGCCAUGCAACUUUCCACCGUUCCGUUCAUGACACAUUUAUCAUUGUCAUAUUGCAUAUCCCGGUACACCGCCGAAUGCAUUCACAUAGAGUCAUAUUUUGUUCUAAGUAUUGAGUUGUAAUUGUUGAGUUAUAAGAAAAAUAAAAGUGUGAUGAUCAUCAUUAUUAGAGCAUUGUCCCAGUGAGGAAAGAAUGAUGGAGACUAUGAUUCCCCGAUAAGUCGGGAUGACACUCCGGACGAAAAAUAAAUAAAUAAAAAGAGGCCAAAGAAGCCCAAAUAAAAAGAGGCCAUAAAAAAGAGAAAAGGCCCAAGUCAAAAAAAUGAGAGAAAAAGAGAUAAGGGACAAUGUUACUAUCCUUUUACCACACUUGUGCUUCAAAGUAGCACCAUGAUCUUCAUAGUAGAGAGUCUCUCAUGUUAUCACUUUCAUAUACUAGUGGGAAUUUCUCAAUAUAAAACUUUGCUUGUAUAUUCCAAUGAUGGGCUUCCUCAAAAAUUGCCCUAGGUCUUCAUGAGCAAGCAAGUUGGAUGCACACCCACUUAGUUUCUUUUUGAGCUUUCAUAUACUUAUAGCUCUAGUGCAUCCGUUGCAUGGCAAUCCCUACUCACUCACAUUGAUAUCUAUUGAUGGGCAUCUCCAUAGCCCGUUGAUACGCCUAGUUGAUGUGAGACCAUCUUCUCCUUUUGUCUUCUCCACAACAACCAUUCUAUUCCACCUAUAGUGCUAUAUCCAUGGCUCAUGCUCAUGUAUUGCGUGAAGAUUGAAAAAGUUAGAGUAUGAAACAAUUGCUUGGCUUGUCAUCGGGGUUGUGCAUGAUUUAAAUACUUUGUGUGGUGAAGAUGGAGCAUAGCCAGACUAUAUGAUUUUGUAGGGAUAACUUUCUUUGGCCAUGUUAUUUUGAGAAGACAUAAUUGCUUUAUUAGUAUGCUUGCAGUAUUAUUGUUUUUUAUGUCAAUAUAAACUUUUGUCUAGAAUAUUUAUAAUAUGAAUAUUCAUACCACAAUUAAGAAGAUUUACAUUGAAAUUAUGCCAAGUAGCACUCCGCAUCAAAAAUUCUCUUUUUAUCAUUUACCUACUCGAGGACGAGCAGGAAUUAAGCUUGGGGAUGCGUGAUACGUCUCCAACAUAUCUAUAAUAUUUGAUUGCUCCAUGCUAUAUUAUCUACUGUUUUGGACUAUAUUGGGCUUUAUUUUCCACUUUUAUAUUAUUUUUGGGAAUAACCUAUUAACCGGAGGCAAAGCCCAGAAUUGCUGUUUUUUUGCCUAUUUCAGUGUUUCGGAUAAACGGAAUAUCAAACGGAGUCCAAACGGAAUAAAAUCUUUGGGAACGUGAUUUUCUCACCGAACGUGAUCCAGGAGACUUGGACCCUGCUCCAAGGAACAAAAGAGGCGGUCACGAGGAUGGGGGGCGCCCGCCCCUAGGGCGCGCCCCCUGCCUCGUGGGCCCCUCGUUGCUCCUCCGGUGUACUUCUUCCUCCAAUAUAUACACACGUACCCCCAAACGAUCAGAAUAGGAGCCUAAAACCUAAUUCCACCGCCGCAACUUUCUGUAUCCACGAGAUCCCAUCUUGGGGCCUGUUCUGGAGCUCCGCCGGAAGAGGGCCGUCAUCACGGAGGGCUUCUACAUCAUCAUAGCCUCUUCGAUGAAGUGUGAAUAGUUUACCUCAGACCUUCGGGUCCAUAGUUAGUAGCUAGAUGGCUUCUUCACUCUCUUUGAAUCUCAAUACAAAGUUCUCCCCCUCUCUUGUGGAGAUCUAUUCGAUGUAAUCUUCUUUUUGCGGUGUGUUUGUUGAGACCGAUGAGUUGUGGGUUUAUGAUCAAGUCUAUCUAUGAAUAAUAUUUGAAUCUUCUCUUAAUUCUUUUAUGUAUGAUUGGUUAUCUUUGCAAGUCUCUUCGAAUUAUCCGUUUGGUUUGGCCACUAGAUUGGUAGUUCUUGCCAUGGGAGAAGUGCUUAGCUUUGGGUUCGAUCUUGCGGUGUCCUUACCCAGUGACAGAAGGGGCAGCAAGGCACGUAUUGUAUCAUUGCCAUCGAGGAUAACAAGAUGGGGUUUAUUUCAUAUUGCAUGAAUUUAUCUCUCUACAUCAUGUCAUCUUGCUUAAGGCAUUACUCUGUUUUUAACUUAAUACUCUAGAUGCAUGCUGGAUAGCAGUCGAUGAGUGGAGUAAUAGUAGUAGAUGCAGAAUCGUUUCGAUCUACUUGUCACGGACAUGAUGCCUAUAUACAUGAUCAUGCCUAGAUAUUCUCAUAACUAUGCUCAAUUCUGUCAAUUGCUCAACAGUAAUUUGUUCACCCACCGUAGAAUACUUAUGCUCUUGAGAGAAGCCACUAGUGAAACCUAUGGCCCCCGGGUCUAUUCUCAUCAUAUCAAUCUCCAUUACUUUAAUCUUGCUGUGCUUUUUUACUUUGCCUUUACUUUUUACUUUGCAUCUUUAUACCAAAAAUACCAAAAAUAUUAUAUCUAUCAGAUCUCACUCUCGUAAGUGAUCGUGAAGGGCUUGAGAACCCCUAAUCGCGUUGGUUGCGAGUAGCUAUCGCUUUGUGCAGGUACGAGGGACUUGAGCAUGGGCUCCUACUGGAUUGAUACCUUGGUUCUCAAAAACUGAGGGAAAUACUUACGCUACUCUGCUGCAUCAUCCCUUCCUCUUCAGGGAAAACCAACGCAAGCUCAAGACGUAGCAAGAAGGAUUUCUGGCGCCGUUGCCGGGGAGUCUACGCAAAAAUUUAACAUACCAAGUACCCAUCACAAUCCCUAUCUCUCGCAUUACAUUAUUUUCCAUUUGCCUCUCGUUUCCCUCCCCCCCCAAUUCACCCUUGCCAUUUUAUUCGCCCUCUCUCUCCCUAUCCUCCCUCUCUAUUUUCCUUUUUUGCCCGUUUGCUUUUUGUUUGCUCGUGUGUUAGUUUGCUUGUUUGUCACGAUGGCUCAAGAUACUACUAAAUUGUGUGACUUCACCAAUACCAACAAUAAUGAUUUCCUUAUCACUCCAAUUGCUCCUCUUACCGAUGCUGAAUCUUGUGAAAUUAAUACUGCUUUGUUGAAUCUUGUUAUGAAAGAUCAAUUCGCUGGCCUUCCUAGUGAAGAUGGCGCUACUCAUCUGAAUAGCUUCGUUGAUUUAUGUGAUAUGCAAAAGAAAAAGAUGUCAAUAAUGAUGUCGUUAAAUUGAAGCUCUUUCCUUUUUCGCUUAGAGAUCGUGCUAAAGCUUGGUUUUCAUCUUUGCCUAAGAACAAUAUUGAUUCAUGGAACAAGUGCAAAGAUGCUUUUAUCUCUAAGUAUUUUCCUCCCGCUAAGAUCAUCUCUCUUAGAAACGAUAUUAUGAACUUUAAACAACUUGAUCAUGAACAAGUUGCACAAGCUUGGGAGAGAAUGAAAUUAAUGAUACGUAAUUGCCCUACUCAUGGUUGCAAUUUGUGGAUGAUUAUACAAAAAAUUUAUGCCAGAUAGAAUUUUGUUUCUACAAAUCUUUUAGAUUCGGUCGUGGGAGGCACUUUUAUGGAAAUCACUUUAGGAGAUGCUACUAAACUCCUAGAUAAUAUUAUGGUUAAUUAUUGUCAAUGGCAUACUGAAAGAUCUUCUAAUAAAAAAGUGCAUGCGAUAGAAGAAAUUAAUGUGUUGAGUGGAUAGAUGGAUGAACUUAUGAAAUUAUUUGCUACUAAGAGUGUUUCUUCUGAUCCUAAUGAUAUGCCUUUGUCUACUUUGAUUGAGAAUAAUAAUGAAUCUAUGGAUCUGAAUUUUGUUGGUAGGAAUAAUUUUGGUAACAACGCUUAUAGAGGGAAUUUAAUCCUAGGCCAUAUCCUAGUAAUCCUUCUAAUAAUUAUGGGAACUCCUACAAUAACUCUUAUGGAAAUUAUAAUAAUAUACCCUCUGAUUUUAAAUCUAAUAUUAAAGAAUUUAUUUUUUGCAAAAGAAUUCUAAUGCUAUGAUUGAAGAAAAAUUGCUUAAGAUUGAUGAUUUGGCUAGGAACGUUGAUAGAAUUGCUCUUGAUAUUGAUUCUUUGAAACUUAGAUCUAUUCCACCUAAUCAUGAUACGAAUGAGUCUCUAAAAUCCAUGAGAAUUUCAAUUGAUGAGUGUAAGGAAAGAACCGCUAGAAUGUAUGCUUCCAAAGAUGCCUUUAUUAAAGCGUGUUCUUCCAAUACCUAUGAAAAUCAAGAUGAAGAUCGAAAAGUUAUUGAUGUGUCUCCUAUUAAAUCUUUAUUUCGCAAUAUGAAUCUUUAUGAAACUGAAUUUGAUCUUCCUUUACCUAGAAGGCGUUCUAAAAUUCGGAGUAUUUAGAUCUUUAUGAUGAAAUUGAUGAAAGUGGGAUUGAAAGAAAUAAAAAUCUAGAUGUUGCAAAACCCACCAUAUUGGAUUUCAAGGAAUUUAAUUAUGAAAGUUGCUCUUUAAUUGAUUGUAUUUCCUUGUUGCAAUCCGUGCUAAAUUCUCCACAUGCUUAUAGUCAAAAUAAAGCCUUCACCGAACAUAUUGUUGAUGCUUUGAUGCAAUCUUAUGAAGAAAACUUGAGUUGAAAGUUUCUAUCCCUAGAAAACUCUAUGAUGAGUGGCAACCAACUAUUAAAAUUAAAAUUAAAGAUCAUGAGUUUUAUGCUUUGUGUGAUUUGGGUGCUAGUGUCUCUACUAUUCCCAAGACUUUGUGUGAUUUACUAGAUUUCCGUAACUUUGAUGAUUGCUCUCUAAACUUGCAUCUUGCGGAUUCCACUAUUAAGAAACCUAUGGGAAGGAUUAAUGAUGUUCUUAUUGUUGCAAAUAGGAAUUAUGCGCCCGUAGAUUUCAUUGUUCUUGAUAUAGAUUGCAAUCCUUCUUGCCCUAUUAUUCUUGGUAGACCUUUCCUUAGAACGGUUGGUGCGAUUAUUGAUAUGAAGGAAGGGAAUAUUAGAUUUCAAUUUCCAUUAAAAAUGGGCAUGGAACACUUUCCAUGAAAGAAAAUAAAAUUACCAUAUGAAACUAUCAUGAAAGCCACUUAUGGAUUGCCUACCAAAGAUGGCAAUACCUAGAUCUGUCCUCGCUUUUAUGCCUAGCUAGGGGCGUUAAACUAUAGCGCUUGUUGGGAGGCAACCCAAUUUCAUUUUUAUUCCUUGAUUUUUCCUCCUGUUUAGUAAUAAAUAAAUUAUUUAUCCUCUGUUUUGGUUGUGUUUUUUUGUGUUUAAUUAGUGUUUGUGCCAAGUAGAACCGUUGGGAAGACUUGGUGAAAUUCUUGUUGAACUUGCUGUAAAAAACAGAAACUUUAGCGCUCACGAGAACUGCUGUCAUUUUUAUUUGAAAAGUUCUAUUUAGUUAAUUAUUUUUGCAGAUUACUAAUAGAUAAAUUCCUCACGUCCAGCAAUUUAUUUUAGAAUUUUCGGGGUUCCAGAUCUUGUGCUAGCUACAGAUUACUACAGACUGUUCUGUUUUUGACAGAUUCUGUUUUUCGUGUGUUGUUUGCUUAUUUUGAUGAAUCUAUGGCUAGUAAAAUAGUUUAUAAUCCUAUAGAAGUUGGAAUACAGUAGGUUUAUCACCAAUAUAAAUAAAGAAUGAGUUCAUUACAGUACCUUGAAGUGGUCUUUUGUUUUCUUUCGCUAACGGAGCUCACGAGUUUUCUAUUUUGAGUUUUGUGUUGUGAAGUUUUCAAGUUUUGGGUGAAUUCUUUUGAUGGAUCAUGGAACAAGGAGUGGCAAGAGCCUAAGCUUAGGGAUGCCCAUGGCACCCCCAACAUAAUCCAAGGACACCAAGAAGUCAAAGCUUGGGGAUGCCCCGGAAGGCAUCCCCUCUUUCGUCCACUUCCAUCGGUAAUUUACUUGGAACUAUAUAUUUAUUCACCAACAUGAUAUGUGUUUUGCUUGGAGCGUCUUGUAUUAUUUGUUUAUUUGUGUCUUAGUAUGCCACAAUCAUCAUUGCUGUACACACCUUUUGAGAGAGCCAUACAAGAAUUAAAAUUUUAUAGAAUACUCUAUGUGCUUCACUUAUAUCUUUUGAGCUAAGUAGUUUUGCUCUAUGUGCUUCACUUAUAUCUUUUGAGCGUUAUAAUUUUGCUCUAUGUGCUUCACUUAGAUCUUUUAGAGAACGGUGGUGGAUUUGUUUUAAAGAAACUAUUGAUCUCUCGCGCUUCACUUAAAUUAUUUUGAGAGUCUCUUAAUAGCAUGGUAAUUUGCUUAAUAAUAAUAUGCUUGGUAUUCAAGAUUUGUGAAACUUUCUUUUGAGUGUGUUGAAUACUAAGAAAAGAUUGAAACAUGAUAAUUGUUUUGAGAUAUGGAGGUGAUAAUAUUAAAGUCAUGCUAGUUAGUUGUGAAUUUAAAGAAUACUUGUGUUAAAGUUUGUGAUUCCCGUAGCAUGCACGUAUGGUGAACAGUUAUGUGAUGAAGUCGGAGCAUGAUUUAUUUAUUGAUUGUCUUCCUUAUGAGUGGCGGUCGGGGACGAGCGAUGGUCUUUUCCUACCAAUCUAUCACCCUAGGAGCAUGCGCGUAAUACUUUGCUUUGAUAAGCUUCUAGAUUUUUGCAAUAAGUAUAUGAGUUCUUUAUGACUAAUGUUGAGUCCAUGGAUUAUACACACUCUCACCCUUCCACCUUUGCUAGCCUCUCUAAUACCGCGCACCUUUCACCGGUAUCAUACACCUACCCUAUAUCUUCCUCAAAACAGCCACCAUACCUACCUAUUAUGGCAUUUCCAUAGCCAUUCCGAGAUAUAUUGCCAUGCAACUUUCCACCGUUCCGUUCAUGACACAUUUAUCAUUGUCAUAUUGCAUAUCCCGGUACACCGCAGAAUGCAUUCACAUAGAGUCAUAUUUUGUUCUAAGUAUCGAGUUGUAAUUGUUGAGUUAUAAGAAAAAUAAAAGUGUGAUGAUCAUCAUUAUUAGAGCAUUGUCCCAGUGAGGAAAGAAUGAUGGAGACUAUGAUUCCCCGAUAAGUCGGGAUGACACUCCGGACGAAAAAUAAAAAGAGGCCAAAGAAGCCCAAAUAAAAAGAGGCCAUAAAAAGAGAAAAGGCCCAAGUCAAAAAAAUGAGAGAAAAAGAGAUAAGGGACAAUGUUACUAUCCUUUUACCACACUUGUGCUUCAAAGUAGCACCAUGAUCUUCAUAGUAGAGAGUCUCUCAUGUUAUCACUUUCAUAUACUAGUGGGAAUUUUUCAAUAUAGAACUUGGCUUGUAUAUUCCAAUGAUGGGCUUCCACAAAAAUUGCCCUAGGUCUUCAUGAGCAAGCAAGUUGGAUGCACACCCACUUAGUUUCUUUUUGAGCUUUCAUAUACUUAUAGCUCUAGUGCAUCCGUUGCAUGGCAAUCCCUACUCACUCACAUUGAUAUAUAUUGAUGGCCAUCUCCAUAGCCCGUUGAUACGCCUAGUUGAUGUGAGACCAUCUUCUCCUUUUGUCUUCUCCACAACAACCAUUCUAUUCCACCUAUAGUGCUAUAUCCAUGGCUCAUGCUCAUGUAUUGCGUGAAGAUUGAAAAAGUUAGAGUAUGAAACAAUUGCUUGGCUUGUCAUCGGGGUUGUGCAUGAUUUAAAUACUUUGUGUGGUGAAGAUGGAGCAUAGCCAGACUAUAUGAUUUUGUAGGGAUAACUUUCUUUGGCCAUGUUAGUUUGAGAAGACAUAAUUGCUUUAUUAGUAUGCUUGCAGUAUUAUUGUUUUUAUGUCAAUAUAAACUUUUGUCUAGAAUCUUUCUAAUAUGAAUAUUCAUACCACAAUUAAGAAGAUUUGCAUUGAAAUUAUUCCAAGUAGCACUCCGCAUCAAAAAUUCUCUUUUUAUCAUUUACCUACUCGAGGACGAGCAGGAAUUAAGCUUGGGGAUGCCUGAUACGUCUCCAACGUAUCUAUAAUUUUUGAUUGCUCCAUGCUAUAGUAUGUACUGUUUUGGACUAUAUUGGGCUUUAUUUUCCACUUGUAUAUUAUUUUUGGGAAUAACCUAUUAACCAGAGGCAAAGUCCAGAAUUGCUGUUUUUUUGCCUAUUUCAGUGUUUCGGAUAAACGGAAUCUCAAACGGAGUCCAAACGGAAUAAAAUCUUCGGGAACGUGAUUUUCUCACCGAACGUGAGCCAGGAGACUUGGACCCUGCUCCAAGGAACAAAAGAGGCGGUCACGAGGGUGGGGGGCGCCCCCCUAGGGCGCGCCCCCCUGCCUCGUGGGCCCCUCGUUGUUCCUCCAGCGUACUUCUUCCUCCAAUAUAUACACACGUACCCCCAAACGAUCAGAAUAGGAGCCUAAAACCUAAUUCCACCACCGCAACUUUCUGUAUCCACGAGAGCCCAUCUUGGGGCCUGUUUUGGAGCUCCGCCGGAAGAGGGACGUCAUCAUGGAGGGCUUCUACAUCAUCAUAGCCUCUCCGAUGAAGUGUGAAUAGUUUACCUCAGACCUUCGGGUCCAUAGUUAGUAGCUAGAUGGCUUCUUCACUCUCUUUGAAUCUCAAUACAAAGUUCUCCCCCUCUCUUGUGGAGAUCUAUUCGAUGUAAUCUUCUUUUUGCGGUGUGUUUGUUGAGACCGAUGAAUUGUGGGUUUAUGAUCAAGUCUAUCUAUGAAUAAUAUUUGAAUCUUCUCUGAAUUCUUUUAUGUAUGAUUGGUUAUCUUUGCAAGUCUCUUCUAAUUAUCCGUUUGGUUUGGCCAACUAGAUUGGUAGUUCUUGCCAUGGGAGAAGUGCUUAGCUUUGGGUUCGAUCUUGCGAUGUCCUUACCCAGUGACAGAAGGGGCAGCAAGGCACGUAUUGUAUCGUUGCCAUCGAGGAUAACAAGAUGGGGUUUAUUUCAUAUUGCAUGAAUUUAUCUCUCUACAUCAUGUCAUCUUGCUUAAGGCAUUACUCUGUUUUUAACUUAAUACUCUAGAUGCAUGCUGGAUAGCGGUUGAUGAGUGGAGUAAUAGUAGUAGAUGCAGAAUCGUUUCGAUCUACUUGUCACGGACAUGAUGCCUAUAUACAUGAUCAUGCCUAGAUAUUCUCAUAACUAUGCUCAAUUCUAUCAAUUGCUCAACAGUAAUUUGUUCACCCACCAUAGAAUUCUUAUGCUCUUGAGAGAAGCCACUAGUGAAACCUAUGGCCCCCGGGUCUAUUCUGAUCAUAUCAAUCUCCAUUACUUUAAUCUUGCUUUGCCUUUUACUUUGCCUUUACUUUUUACUUUGCAUCUUUAUACCAAAAAUACCAAAAAUAUUAUAUCUAUCAGAUCUCACUCUCAUAAGUGACCGUGAAGUGCUUGACAACCCCUAAUCGCGUUGGUUGCGAGUAGCUAUCGCUUUGUGCAGGUACGAGGGACUUGAGCGUGGGCUCCUACUGGAUUGAUACCUUGGUUCUCAAAAACUGAGGGAAAUACCUACGCUACUCUGCUGCAUCAUCCUUCCUCUUCGGGGAAAACCAACGCAAGCUCAAGACGUAGCAAUGGAUAAUCGCACAUCAAGCAUAGGAGGUCUUCCAACUUGCGGAUAAUGCCCUUGAGUGCGAUGAUAUGCUCCUUCAACAAAAUAUUUUCACGUGUGAGAUACUUGUUUUGUAUACGAGCUAACUCAAUCAUCUUGAAAGCUUCAAUCUCAGUUGGGGUAAGAAGAUUGUGAUCAAGUUUAAGGAUGUCUUCUGCUGCCGGAACUUGGUCCUCUGUGCCCUUCUUGAUCUCUUCAUCCUUGUUGAUCUCCAUAGGUUCUUCCCUCUUCAGCUCUAUCUUCAUUAGCUAAGCAUCAUUGUCACCAUUGUUGGAGGAGGGGGACGACAUGAUGCCUGACCUUGACAAUCCUGACAGAAAACAGCUCGAAAUAAAGACAAGAGAUAUUUGCGUGAUACGGUGGUCAAAACCUUCGGGAGAUUAUAUAAUGAAUUUUUACUGACCAGAAGAAGUAUCGUGCAAGAAAACAGAGUCCUGAGAGCACACGAGGUGCCCACGAGGCAGGAGGGGGUGCCCUCCACCCUCGUGGAAGCCUCGUGUCCUUUCGGGUCUGCUUCUUAUUUUCCUAUUUUUCUAAGUAUUCCAAAAUGGAGAAAAAUUGACAUUAGAACUAUUUUGGAGUCAGUUUACUUACCGUACCACAUACCUAUUCCUUUUCGGAGUCUGAAGAGUUCUGGAAAGUGUCCCGUAUGUAUUCCUCCGGGGUUACGGGUUCAAUGAUAUUAGUUUCAAUAUUUAUAGGAUUACCUAAAAUAUAAUGUUUGAUUCUUUGAUCAUUCACCACCCUCGGAUUUGUGCCUUCGAAGUUGUUGAUUUUUAUGGCACCGGAAUGAUAGACCUCCUCGAUAACGUAAGAACCUUCCCAUUUGGAGAGGAGUUUGCCUGCAAAAAAUCUUAAACGAGAGUGGUAUAGCAAUACACAAUCACCUACAUUAAACUCAUGCUUUUGUAUCCUUUCGUCAUGCCAUCUUUUAACUUUUUCUUUAAACAGCUUGGCAUUUUCAUAAGCCUGGGUUCUCCAUUCAUCAAGUGAGCUAAUGUCAAAAGGCCUCUUCUCACCAGCAAGUUUUAAGUCAUAGUUGAGCUCUUUAAUAGCCCAAUAUGCCUUAUGUUCUAAUUCAAGAGGUAAGUGACAUGCUUUACCAUAAACCAUUUUAUAUGGAGACGUACCCAAAGGAUUUUUAUAUGCAGUUCUAUAGGCCCAUAAUGCAUCAUCAAGUUUCUUGGACCAAUUCUUUCUAGAUCUAUUAAUAGUCUUUUGCAAAAUUAAUUUGAGCUCUCUGUUACUCAAUUCUACUUGACCACUAGACUGUGGGUGAUAAGGAGAUGCAAUUCUAUGAUUAACGUCAUACUUAGCAAGCAUCUUACGAAAUGCACCAUGAAUAAAAUGUGAACCACCAUCAAUCAUUAAAUAUCUAGGGAAUCCAAACCUCGGGAAAAUAACUUCUUUAAGCAUCUUAAUAGAGGUGUUAUGAUCAGCACUACUAGUUGGAAUAGCUUCUACCCACUUAGUAACGUAAUCAACAGCGAGUAAAAUAUGUGUAUACCCAUUAGAGGAAGGAAAAGGUCCCAUAUAAUCAAAGCCCCAAACAUCAAAUGGUUCAAUAACAAGUGAAUAAUUCAUAGGCAUUUCUUGACGUCUACUAAUAUUACCAAUUCUUUGACAUUCAUCACAAGACAAGACAAACUUAUGGGCAUCCUUGAAGAGAGUAGGCCAAUAAAAACCGGAUUGCAAUACCUUAUGUGCAGUUCUAUCUCCAGCAUGGUGUCCUCCACAAGCCUCGGAGUGACACUUGCCUAGGAUCUGUUACUGUUCAUGCUCAAGUACACAACGUCUAAUAAUAGCAUCUACUCCUUCUUUAUAAAGAUGUGGGUCAACCCAAAAGUAAUGUCUCAAAUCACAGAAGAACCUUUUCUUUUGCUGGUAUGUGAAACUAGGUGGUAUAAAUUUAGCAACAAUAUAAUUAGCAUAAUCAGCAUACCAUGGAGCAGUUCGAGAAGCAUUUAUGACAUUUAGUUGUUCAUCAGGAAAGCUAUCAUCAAUAGGUAGUGGGUCAUCAACAACAUUUUCUAACUUAGACAAGUUCUCUGCAACGGGGUUCUCAGCUCCCUUUCUAUCAAUAAUAUGCAAAUCACAUUCUUGUAGCAAGAGAACCCAUCUAAUAUGUCUAGGCUUAGCAUCUUUCUUUUCCAUAAGGUAUUUAAUAGAAGCAUGAUCAGUGUGAAUAGUUACUUUAGAAUCAAAAAUAUAAGGUCUAAACUUAUCACAAGUAAAUACAACUGCUAAGAAUUCCUUUUCAGUCGUAGCAUAAUUUCUCUGGGCAUUGUCUAGAGUUUUACUAGCCUAUUGAAUAACAUUUAAUUUCUUAUCAACUCUUUGCCCUAGAAUAGCACCUACAGCAUAAUCACUAGCAUCACACAUAAUUUCAAAGGGUAAAUUCCAAUCAGGUGGCUGAACAAUAGGUGCAGAAAUCAAUGCUUUCUUAAGUAUUUCAAAUGCUUCUACACAAUCAUCAUCAAAGACAAAACGAAUAUCUUUUUGUAAUAGAUUAGUCAGAGGCUGAGAAAUUUUUGAGAAGUCCAUAAUGAACCUCUGUAAUGCCCCGAGACUGAUGUGCCAGGUGUCCUCCAAUUAUUCGCCGUCGUUGACAUGUCAUUUGCUUGCGUGUUGCAUCUUGUCAUGUCAUCAUGUGCACUGCAUCAUCACGUUUUCAAAACUUGCAUUCGUUCGGGUUCUCCGAGUUCUCUCUGUGUCCGUUCUGAGCCCAACCACACUUGCACGCGCCCGCGGCAUGUCCGAAAUAGUAUUUUAUAAGUGGCCGGAAAAUGUUCUCGGAAUGGGAUGAGAUUUGACAUGUGGUCUUAUUAUAGUGUAGAUAGACCGCCUGUUAAGUUUCAUCGCAUUCGGAGUUCGUUUGAUAGCCCAACCGUUAAACUAUAGAGGCAUUAUAGCCGGUCAAAUCGUCGGACGUUUUCGGUCUCCGGAAACAGUUGUCGGGUCUCUCUCUUCUCUUCUCUCAACUCAAGACCGUCUACACAGCCCACUGCUUACCGCCAGGCCCAACCUAACCUCUCUCAACAGCCCGCAGCCCUCCUCACGUGCGCGUCCAAAAUUGUCCCGGACCCGACCCGAACUGUCGCCACCGUUGUGUCCGGAGCAUCCCCAAACGUCUACAAAACGUCUCUGUUUUGUUAAUUGGACUUCCUAACAUAUUUUUCUUGACCGUUCGAUUAAGAUCGGAGGCAUCAAAUGCCCCUAAACUUAGCCCUUUUUGCUAUAUAUAGAUCUACCAAUAGCCUAUUUUGGGCAAACCCUAGAAAUUAGGAGGCUUGUCCCAUCAGUCCAAUUCAGCCGCCGCCACAUUCCAAAUCCCCCUCGAAAUCUCCCCCUGCCGGAUCCAACCAACCAGUGCUCCUCCUUGGAUCCCGCAGCGCACCCACCAACCAAAGUUUCUCCCGAUCCUCUCUGUCCCAUCCACCCCAUCGAUCGACUUGUCCUUCUCCUCGCCUCUCCCUCAACCGGACGUCGCUGCCGGCGACCAGCACCCCCGGGCCGGCCUUGUCUCCCUUCUCCUCGGUCGUCUCUUUCCGUUUCUCCUUCCCCGUGCUCACCCGCUCUUCCGUCGUCGUCUGCCUGCAGGGAACGAGGAGGACGUCGUCCGACGCCAUGGACGGCCUCGAGCUCGUCCCCAUCGCCAGCCUCCUCUCCUUGAAUCUCCAGCCUCAUCCCGCCUCCGUCUCCCCUGGUUAUGCGAGAGCUCAAGGACGAGGACGAGCCCCUUGCCUCGUCUUGAUCCUGUGGAUCCGAAUGCCCAGCGCCGCUCGUCGUCGUCCGCCAGGAUUCUGCGCCCCGCCGAGUUCCCUUCCACGCCACUGGAGCUCCAUUCUCGUGCCCAGAUUCGCCGGAUCCCGCCGUCCUAGUCCCCUCCGGCCGGUCCUCGCCGGAGCCCUCGCCGGUCUUCGCGCCAUCGCCGGCCUCCCCUGCAUUGCCCGGAGUGCUGCAUUGCCAAGGAUAAAGAGAGGAACACACACAACCAGCGCCUCCGCUCGCCUGCGUUGCCCGGAGUGCUGCGAUGGCCUACCUCUUUGCCUCGAUCCGGCCCAACUCCCCCCCAAGCCAGCCAAUGCCAGAUCGAACCAAGGCCCAGCUGCGCCCCAGCGUGCCUCCUCUUCAUCGAUUUGGGCCAGACCCACUGGGUGAGGCCACACCCCAGCGCCCCACCUUUUAUUUUUUUUCUGUUGGGCUUGUCUCAGUUUUGGCCCAUAUAGUGUUUUUCCCUGUCUGCGAAAUUUACCUAUUAUCCAGAGUUUGCCUGUUUUGCAGAAUAGUCCCUAGAGUUCAUGCAUUUAAAAACUCACAAAUGGUGCAUCGGAUUAAAACAAUUUAAAUAUGUAAAAUGCUUAGAAUUUUAUAUAGUUUCAUAAUAUGUCAUUUUCACCCAUGUUUAAAAUGUUUAAAAUGCUGUUUGUGUAACUUUGUCCAUAUGCCAUGCUAAAAUGGUUUAAUUCAUAACUAAAUAACCGUAGCUCCAUUUUUAACAAACUUUAUAUGUAAAUGGGGUAGAAAAAUGCCUAGUUUAACAUGGUGCACUCAUCUUGCAUGUUAAACAACUCUAAAAUAUGGUUUAGGGCAGAACAGGACCUAACCUAAUAUAUGCACAUGAGGAGUUUCCGGAUUUGUUGUUCGUUGCUUCCGGCCUCAUUUAAACUUGACUAGAUAGGUAGUUUACUUUGCUUCACCCUUGCCAUGUUAAGAGCAUUUAAUUUUGUUGGGGUACAUAAACGAGAGAGAACUAAAUAAUUGAUGUGGUGUUCCGUCAAUAUGCAACCCGUUGCAUAUUGAGCUCCACUUAACUUGUAGUGUUGCUUGUGCAUUUUGCCAUGUCAUUUAUCAUUAAACCGGACAUGCAUCAUACUUGUUUGCGCAUCAUGCCAUGUCUAUGUGGUGGUUGUUUACUAUGUUGUGUGCUUCUUUUCCGGUGUUUGCUUCUUCGGGUUGGUUCCGAUAACGUCGCGGUUGUGAGGAACCGUUCGUCUACGUCCGUUUGUCAUCUUCAUGGACUCGUUCUUCUUCCUUGCGGGAUUUUAGGCAAGAUGAUCAUACCCUCGAAAUCACUACUAUCUUUGCUAUGCUAGUUUGCUCGCUCUUUUGCUAUGCCUAUGCUGCGAUACCUACCACUUGCUUAUCAUGCCUCCCAUAUUGUUGAACCAAGCCUCUAACCCACCUUGUCCUAGCAAAUCAUUGUUUGGCUACGUUACCGCUUUGCUCAGCCCCUCUUAUAGCAUUGUUAGUUGCAGGUGAAGAUUGAAGUUUGUUCCUUGUUGGAACAUGGAGAUGUUGUUCCUUGUUGGAACAUGUUUACUUGUUGGGAUAUCACAUUAUAUCUUAUUUAACUUAAUGCAUCUAUAUACUUGGUAAAGUUUGGAAGGCUCGGCCUUAUGCCUGGUGUUUUGUUCCACUCUUGCCGCCCUAGUUUCCGUCAUAUCGGUGUUAUGUUCCCGGAUUUUGCGUUCCUUAUGCGGUUGGGUUAUAAUGGGAACCCCUUGAUAGUUCGCCUUGAUUAAAGCUUUUCCAGCAAUGCCCAACCUUGGUUUUACCAUUCGCCACCUAGCCUCUUUUUCCCUUGGGUUUCCGGAGCCCGAGGGUCAUCUUAUUUAACCCCCCUGGGCCAGUGCUCCUCUGAGUGUUGGUCCGACUGAGUAGACUGCGGGGCCACCUCGGGGCAACUUGAGGGUUGGUUUUACUCGUAGGAUUUCUCAUCUGAGUGUGCCCUGAGAACGAGAUAUGUGCAGCUCCUAUCGGGAUUUGUCGGCACAUUCAGGCGGUGUUGCUGGUCUUGUUUUAACCUGUCGAAGUGUCUUGAAUUACCGAGAUACCGAGUCUGAUCGGAACGUCUUGGGAGGAGGUCUAUUCCUUCGUUGACCGUGAGAGCUUGUCAUGGGAUAAGUUGGGACUCCCCUGCAGGGAUUAGAACUUUCGAAAGCCGUGCCCGCGGUUAUGGGCAGAUGGGAAUUUGUUAAUGUCCGGUUGUAGAUAACUUGAACCUUAACUUAAUUAAAAUGAAUCAACUGAGUGUGUUACCGUGAUGGCCCCUUCUCGGUGGAGUCCGGGAAGUGGACACGGUGUUGGAGUAAUGCUUGCGCAGGUUGUUCUCUAGUUUCUCUCUCGUGCUUUGCCUCCUCUUUUCGCUCUCUUUUGCGAAUAAGUAGCCACCAUACUUGCUAUUCGCUUGCUGCAGCUCCACUCAUAUUUUACCUUGCCUUACCUAUAAGCUUAAAUAGUCUUGAUCGCGAGGGUGCGAGAUUGCUGAGUCCCUAUGGCUCACAGAUUACUAUUACACCAGAUGCAGGGCCUCAUGAUUCCUCUCCAGGUGACGCGUAUGAGCUCAAGUGGGAGUUCGACGAAGACUCUCAACGUUACUAUGUUUCCUUUCCCGAUGAUCAGUAGUGGUGCCCAGUUGGAGGUGAACGGGACCGAUGUCGCAUGUUGGGUUCUCUUUUAUUUUGGCGCCGUAGUCGGGCCAUGAGUGUUUGGUUGAUGUAAUGUUAUUUAUGUACUUGAUUGACGUGGCGAGUGUAAGCCAACUAUGUUCUCUCCCCUUUUAUUAUUAUAUUACAUGGGAUGUUUGUGAAGAUUGCCAAACUUGCGACAUAUGCCUUCAAUGCGAUUAUGUCUCUAAGUCGUGCCUCGACACGUGGGAGCUAUAGUCGCAUCGAGGGUGUUACAUCCUCCUAUAAAAACCGACAUAACCAAGGAAACUUCUUAUACCUUUGAUGUCCUUGGGACACGGCAUCUUUUCAAUAGCAUCAACUUUAGCUUUAUCAACUUCAAUACCUCUUUCAGAAAUUGUAUGCCCCAAGACAAUUCCUUCAUUAACCAUAAAGUGAUAUUUCUCCCAAUUCAGAACAAGAUUAGUUUCUUCACAUCUCUGCAAAACUCGAUCAAGGUUGUUCAAGCAAUCAUCAAAAGAGGAUCCAUAAACUGAGAGAUCGUCCAUGAAAACCUCACAUAUCAUUUCACAAAAUUCAGAAAAUAUAGCCAUCGUGCAUCUUUCAAAGGUAGCAGGUGCAUUACAUAAACCAAAAGGCAUGCGUCUAUAAGCAAAAGUACCAAAAGGGCAAGUAAGAGUGGUGUUUGAUUGAUCAUCAGCUGAAACGGGUAUUUGAGAGAAGCCAGAGUAACCAUCUAGAAAGCAAAAUUGUGUAUGUUUGGAUAAUCUUUCUAGAAUUUGAUCUAUAAAAGGCAACGGGUAAUGAUCUUUUUAGUAGCCUUAUUUAAUUUGCGGAAAUCAAUUAACAUCCUAUAACCUGUAAUAAUUCUUUGCGGGAUCAAUUCAUCUUUAUCAUUAGGAAAAACAGUAAUACCUCCCUUCUUAGGGACACAAUGGACAGGACUUACCCACUUACUAUCAGCAACGGGAUAAAUUAUACCUGCCUCAAGGAGCAUUAAUAUUUCCUUUCUUAUGACUUCUUUCAUCUUAGGAUUCAGCCAUCGUUGGUGAUCAAUAACUGGUUUGGCGUCUUCCUCCAAAUUUAUUUUGUGUUGACAUAGGGUGGGACUAAUGCCCUUAAGAUCAUCAAGAGUAUAUCCAAUAUCAGCACAGUGCUUCUUCAGAGUUUUCAAUAAUUUCUCUUCCUCCUUCUCUGAAAGGUUAGCACUAAUAAUAACAGGAUAUAUUUUCUUUUCAUCAAGAUAAGCAUAUUUAAGAGUAUCAGGUAAUGGUUUAAGCUCAGACACGGGAUCACCCUUGGGUGGAGGAGGAACCCCUAGGAUUUCAACAGGCAAAUUGUGUUUCAGAAAAGGUCCUUGUUUAAAGAAUACUUCAUCUAUUUACCUUCUUUCAUUCAUGAACAUAUCAUUUUCAUGGUCUAGCAAAUAUUGUUUUAAUGGAUCAGUAGGAGGCACGGCAAUAGAAGCAAGACCAAUAAUUUCAUCUUUACUAGGCAAUUCUUUAUCAUGCGGUUGUCUACAAAAUUUAGCAAAAUUAAACUCAUGAGACAUAUCCCCUAAAAACCAAAAAAAACAAUAUCCUUAUUGCAGCCUAUCUUAGCAUUGAGAGUAUUUAAGAAGGGUCUACCAAAUAUAAUGGGACAAAAGCUAUCUUGAGGGGAACCAAGAACAAGAAAAUUAGCAGGAUAUUUAACCUUCCCACACAAGACUUCAACAUCUCUAACAAUCCCAACUGGUGAAAUAGUAUCUCUAUUGGCAAGCUUAAUGGUAACAUCGACAUCUUCUAUCUCAGCUGGUGCAUUAUCAUGCAUAAUUUCUUUGUAUAAGGAAAUAGGUAUUGCACUAGCACUAGCACCCAUAUCACAUAAGCAAUGACAACAAUGAUCUCCUAUUUUUAACAGAAAUAACAAGCAUGCCUACAAUAGGCAUGUGUUUAUUUCUAGCAUCAGGUCUAGCGAUUCUAGCAGCUUCAUCACAGAAGUAAAUAACAUGCCCAUCAAUAUUACCGGUCGAUAGAUCUUUAACCAUAGAAAUUUUAGGGUCAACUUUAAUUUGCUCAGGGGGUUUAGGUGUCUUAAUAUUACUUUUGUUGACCACAGUUGAAGCUUUAGCAUGAUUCUUUAUUCUAACAGGGAAAGGUAGUUUCUCAACAUAAGCAGUAGGAACAACAGGAUCAUUAUAAGUGAUAGUCUUUUCUUCAACUUUAAUAGGUGCAACUACUUUUACUUCAAUGUGAGGAUUAUAUUUAAACCACUUCUUCUUAGGGAGAUCAACAUGAGUAGCAAAGGAUUCACAAAAAGAACCUACUAUCUCAGAGUCAAGUCCAUAUUUAGUGCUAAAUUUACGGAAAACAUCGGUGUCCAGAAAAGAUUUAACACAAUCAAACUUAGGUGUUAUACCUGACUCUUUACCUUCGUCGAGAUCCCAAUCUUCAUAGUUGCAUUUAAUUCUCUCCAACAAAUUCCAUUUGUAUUUAAUAGUCUUCAUCAUAAAGGAACCAGUACAAGAAGUAUCGAGCAUGGAGCGUUAGAAAGCCAAGCAUAAAAAUUUUGAAUAAUCAUUUCUCUUGAGAUCUUAGGAUUGGGGCAUGAAUAUAACAUUGACUUAAGCCUCCCCCAAUCUUGAGCGAUGCUUCCUCCUUCGCGAGGCCAAAAAUUAUAUAUAUAAUUACGAUCACGAUGAACAAGAUGCAUAGGAUAAAACUUCUGAUGGGAUUCCACUUUCAAUCGCUUAUAGUCCCAUGAUCCCAUAUCAUCACAUAGCCUAUACCAUGUCAAUGCAUCUCCCUUCAAAUAUAAAGGGAAGACCUUCUUCUUGAUAACAUCAUCGGUCAUACCUGCAAACUUAAAUAAUCCACAAACUUCAUCCACACAGAUUAAGUGUAAGUCAGGAUGCAAUUUUCCAUCUCCUGCAAAAGGAUUAGCUAGCAGUAUCUCUAUCAUACCUGAAGGAAUUUCAAAGUAAACAUUUUCAUUUUCAGUAGGUCCAGUAGGUUGAGGAGCAACUAUUUGCUCUACCGGUCGGGGUGAAGAUACCCCGAAAAAAUGCCUCAAAGGAUUACUUUCCAUAGUAACAAGUGAUAGUAAAUUUCAGCACACAAUAUAAAUUUUUCCUUACCAAAUUCCACCUACCAAAGGCGCUUCACUCCCCGGCAAUGGCACCAGAAAAGAGUCUUGAUGAGCCACAAGUAUAGGGGAUCUAUCGUUGUCCUUUCAAUAAGUAAGAGUGUCGAACCCAACGAGGAGCAGAAGGAAAUGAUAAGCGGUUUUCAUCAAGGUAUUCUCUGCAAGCACUGAAAUUAUCGGUAACAGAUAGUUUUGUGAUAAGGUAAUUGGUAACGAGUAACAAGUAGCAAGUGUAAAUAGAGUGCAGCAAGAUGGCCCAAUCCUUUUUGUAGCAAAGGACAAGCCUGGAAAAACUCUUAUAUUAAGUAAAGCGCUCCCGAUGACACAUGGGAAUUAUCGUCAAGCUAGUUUUCAUCACGAUCAUAUAAUCCACGUUCGGUACUUUCAUAAUUUGAUGUGUGGGUGGACCGGUGCUUGGGUGUUGUCCUUACUUGGAAAAACAUCCCACUUAUGAUUAACCCCCAUUGCAAGCGUCCGAAACUACCACAGAAGUAUUAAGGUAAACCUAACCAUAGCAUGAAACAUAUGGAUCCAAAUCAGCCCCUUACGAAGCAACCCAUAAACUAGGGUUUAAGCUUCUGUCACUCUAGCAACCCAUCAUCUACUUAUUACUUCCCAAUGCCUCCCUCUAGGCCCAAACAAUGGUGAAGUGUCAUGUAGUCGACAUUCAGAUGACACCACUAGAGGGAUGACAACAUACAUCUCAUCAAAAUAUCGAACGAAUACCAAAUUCACAUGACUACUAAUAGCAAGACUUCUCCCAUGUCCUCAGGAACAAACGUAACUACUCACAAAGCAUAUUCAUGUUCAUAAUCAGAGGGGUAUUAAUAUGCAUAAUGGAUCUGAACAUAAGAUCUUCCACCAAGUAAACCAACUAGCGUCAACUACAAGGAGUAAUCAACACUACUACCAACCCACAGGUACCAAUCUGAGGUUUGGAUACAAAGAUUGGAUACAAGAGAUGAACUAGGGUUUGAGAUGAGAUGGUUCUGGUGAAGAUGCUGAUGCAGAUUGACCCCCUCCCGAUGAGAGGAUCGUUGGUGAUGACUGUCGGUGUCAAAACCAGCGGAUCUCGGGUAGGGGGUCCCGAACUACGCGUCUAGGCCGGAUGGUAACAGGAGGCAAGGGACAUGAUGUUUUACCCAGGUUCGGGCCCUCUUGAUGGAGGUAAAACCCUACGUCCUGCUUGAUUAAUAUUGAUGAUAUGGGUAGUACAAGAGUAGAUCUACCACGAGAUUAGAGAGGCUAAACCCUAGAAGCUAGCCUAUGGUAUGAUUGUAUGUUGUGAUUGUUGUCCUACGGACUAAAAUCCUUCGGUUUAUGUAGGCACCGGAGAGGGUUAGGGUUAGACAAGGUCGGUUACAAAGGAGGAGAUAUCCAUAUACGUAUUCCCUAGCUUGCCUUCCACGCCAAGUAGAGUCCUAUCCGGACACGAGACGAAGUCUUCAAUCUUGUAUCUUCAUAGUCUAACAGUCCGGCCAAUGGAGAUAGUCCGGCUAUCCGGAGACCCCCUACUAUAGGACUCCCUCUGUAGCCCCCGAACUAGGCUUUAAUGACGAUGAGUCCGGCGCGCAGUAUUAUCUUCGGCAUUGCAAGGCGGGUUCCUUCUCUGAGUACAUCACAGAAGAAUUUGAAUACAAGGAUAGUGUCCGACCCUGCAAAAUAAGUUCCACGUUCCACCGCAGAGAGAAUAAUUUUUCCUCAGAUCUAAUUUCUGGCUUGUUUUGGCAGCAUGACGUUAUGUCAUGGACCGGUGAUUAUUCAAACCGUUUCUUUUAACCAGCUCCACACAUAACGCAAGGCGGUUUCUUGACACGUCUUGCCGAAGCGGAGAUCGUGUUCACCUAAUUACGGGAUUCUCAUUAAUGCAGUUGUGGGUAACCCGACCGUGUCUAGGACUCCUAGAUUAUAGGCAAGUCCCAAACGGCUACGAAGAGGACGCUUGAUAUUCACCCUCUUUAUAAGGGGACAAGGUUUUCGCUUUUUCCCUCUCGUGCUCAAUCGAACCCUUCCCCCGCCUUGAGUUCUAACACCCAAAGCACAGGUUAGGUGCUCCGGAUCUUCAACCAUGUCCGGAUCUAGCCUUCAAGGCCGAUGGACGCCCUCCUCCGUUAUGGAAGAGGACAUUAAGAAGUUGAGGGAGGCCAGAUAUCUGACCGCUGAGGUUUCGCAUUGGCUGCCUGCUCAAGGGCAGAUCGUCCCUACUCCCGAACCCAACGAGAAUGUUGUGUUCGUCUCCCACUUCCUCCGAGGUCUAGGCCUCACUCUGGAUCCUUUCGUCAGGGGUUUGAUGUUCUAUUACGGGCUAGAUUUCCACGAUCUAGCUCCGGACUCCUUUCUCCACAUCACGACAUUUAUUGUCAUGUGUGAAGCCUUCCACCGCGUUACCCCUCACUUAGGCCUGUGUCUCAAGACCUUUUAUGUAAAGACGAAGAUGAUCGAGGGGCAACAUGCAGUGUGUGGAGGUGCAUCAAUAGGCAAGAUGGCAGGAGCUCCAUGGCCGAAAGGUUCCUUACCAGAGGUGUCCGAAUUAUGGCAACGAGAGUGGUUUUACGUCACGGCUCCCAGAAGUGCCAACUGGGCAGCUGCCCCCGCUUUCCGCUCAGGCCCCCCACCACAACUGAUGUCAUGGAUUAGCAGGGGUCUGAGCUGGGGUCCAGCCAAGGACGUGCCUAUACUGCAAACCCGCAUUCGAGAUCUCUUCGAGGGAAAUUUUAAUUUGGUUGCGGUAAUACAAGUUAUGCUGGUUCGUCAAGUCCAGCCUUGCAAACGCCGGGCCCUUCGCUUGUGGGAGUUCAACCCAGAGGGACCACGUGCCAUUCAAAGUUUCCUCGGCCUGACACACGAGGAGAUGUACAAGUCAUUCUUCGGACCUCGAGUAGAAUGUCCGGAUAUUACCGAGGACGCGGGCCUGAGCAGUAACCGCGCCGCCGAACAAGUAAGAAACCCUCUAGCAGAACACACUAUCUUUUAUUCGAAGUUAUUUCUGAGAGUCUGCUUUUUGACCAGGACUGGCUAACAAAGGCGAAGAUGAUUCGGUGUUUGGCCUCCCUUCCUGAGGGUUUGGAAAAUCUGGUAUUGGAAAAUAUGCUCGAGGUUGCACCUUGCCCGGCGCCUUGAAGGAAGAUACCGGGGGGGAUAAUACAGGCGGACGCGGGCCCCCAUCGCCGCCCGUUCCAACCGGGGGAACGAGCGUCUCCACGAAGGAGGAUGACCGGGGGAGGAAAAGGACUGCUUCCGAGGAUCCGGAAGCCGAAACCUCCAAACGGGAGAAGAAGUCUCCCACAGAGGGUCCUGCCUCGGGGGGUGCUUUUGCCGCCCAAAGUCCGCAGGGGGAUCAGCCCUCCAACGAGUCGUAAGUGAUCCAAAAAACUUUAAUUGAAAAGGUAUUCUAUCUGUUUUCUCUGAGAAAAUAACCAGUGCAUAUAUCUUGCAGUUCGGGCCUUAGCCCCUCUCAAAUGAGCUCGUCUUUGGGAGAUCUUCUUCCAGAGAUGACAGAGAGCGAAACGCCUCCCUCGGACUCCUCCGCUCCAGAAGUGGGCGACCACGACGAAGUGUCAUCAUGGAGGGCCCCUCCGGAUCCGUUGAGGCCAGAAGAUAAUCCCAUAGACCCCCGAAGUCCCCAGUGUUCGGCUCCCGAAGAGAGCAUACAAAAGAGUCCAGCACCGUCUGCUGUGUGGUCGGACGUUUUGAGGGAGUUGGUGGGGCGAGCGGCCAUCUCAGAAGAACACUGUAUGCUGAUGGGUACGGUGAUGGAGAGAAUCUCGUCCGCCGAAAGCGGAUUACAUGAAGCUUUUAUGAGUCUACUAAUGGGCUUUGAGGUACGUGAGAUAAUAUGUGAUAGUACUACACAUGUUAGGUGUGCCCUAUGUAGAUAGUAGCCCCUGAGACUCUGGUUGUCGUCGAGAACGGCAGCGAACAGAGGAUCAUAUUCCCAGGCAAUAACCAGACUGCCCCUAUGUGCAGGUGGUGGAAGCUCCGGUGGCUAGCCGGACUAGUGAGUUUGCCAAAUUAAAACGGUAACUGGAUGCGGCAGACGCCGACAUCGAGCUUGUUAACAAAAGCCUUGACGAGGCAGAGGGUAAGCGUUAUUAUCAGGUGAACACCACAUAGUAAGAGUAACAUAAUGCUAGUAUCUUUAAUAUGUUGUGACUGCAGAUGGAGCUGCCACCGUGGAAGCCUUGCGGGCGGAACUUGCCCGAGCCAAAGAACAAGCAAGGAUUAGUAAUGCGGCUGCUUUGAAGGCGGCCGAAGAGUUGAAAGCCGAGAAGGCCGCACAUUGCGAGAGCCAGGAUAAGAUGGCCAAGAUGGCCGUAGAAUUAAAAGACAAUGCCGACCGUUGCCGGGUCCUUGAACCGAGUGAAGGCAACGGACCUUGAGAAUGCCGCGACGGCGGACAAAGACACCCGUUCUGCUAUGAGAGCGAAGAAGGAGGAGCUGCGGGAGGCCGAGGAUAUUGCGGCUGGGAAACCCUUCAUGUUACGGAGGAAGUUCAGAGAUCCACGGUAUGCCCCUCUGGAUCGGCUGUGGAGUUCGGCAGAUGCGUAUAUGGAUUUGGCGGCGAGCGUUGCCGAUGCGCCCAAGUACUUCCAAGGUCAGACAGAUCGUGAAGUGGACAAGUUGUUCUGGAUGCAAUUCCACAUUCCAGAGCGUCCGCUUUCAUUGACUGACCAGCUAGCCGAAUGGGCCGAACUGAAUAGGUUGUCCGAACUCGCCAUGAGGUCUGUUGUGGAUCAGCUAUGGCUAGAAAGGCCAAAGCUGAACAGCUAUUUCAGCUUAGUGCAGCAGUUCCUUGAAGCGGUGUCGCGCAUUAAUGCGAUGAAGAGGUCGGCGUGCAUAGAAGGCUCGCGGAUGGCCCUUGCCUGGGCGGAGAUGGACGCCACCACUGUUGUGGCGCAGGGUUCGGCCAUAGGCCGGGUGGCUGCCGAGCACUAUUUCGAGGAGGUUCUCGAGGGUGGUCGUUUGAUAGAGGCCCAGUGCUCGAAAAAUAUUAUGUUUGAGUGAUAUGUAUUCUCAUUGUAAGCACAAUGCUUUUAUGAAUUUUUUAUAAGGUUAUUUUUAUACUUUUGCCUAAAAGUAGUAUGAUGCCUCCUGUGCGGCCGUUUAUGUAUACAUGUGUAUAACCUGAAAGAUUGCAGCCAUCGGCUUCAACCCCCACGCAUAGAAUGCGGGGGUGCUCAGAAAAAACGUGUGUUCACACUUAACCCAAUGUCUUGGUCCUAUUAAGGAGGUGAUAGCGUAGCGAGCGAGGCAACCGGACUAUAAUGCUUUAACACUUUCCCUUAGCCAUUGGAGUUUGACAGUGGGGCUACUAGAUAGCCCCUGGUGGCUCCGCACUCUCCCGAUCGCGGGGUGCGUAUAUGCCUGGCCGAAAAACGGCCCUUCGUUACAGCGGAGGAAUUCUAACAUUCCGAUAGGUUACCGAGUGGUUGACCAGUCUCACGCUAUAUCCUGACAGUCAGUUUUCGGCUUUCUCUACUAAGGUGCUCGUCCGGAUGAACCAGGGCACAAUCACAGUAGUUCUCGUGGUGCUACCUUAGCCGGUAAAGCGGAACGUAAGUCACCAAAACACAGGAGCCGGGCAAACCCAAUAUUUGACCAAAGACAAUGAUUCGGAGCUGAUGCAUAUAAGGCCAAACUCGCGACGCCGAACACUCCCUAAGGUAUUCGGUCUUUAUGGUAUAAACCGGGCCAAAAUAGUGCCCUUCGUAAGAAGCCCCUGGUGUGCAGGUACGUGCAUUAUUGUGACGUGGCCCCAUGCCAAGACGUCAGCAUCCUUCUCAACUGUGCUGAGAAUUCGGUGGAUAUGUAUCAACAAGAGACAGUAAAAAAGGUUUACGCAGGGUCUUAAUCUAAAAAGAAUCCUUGGAGCGGGUCCCUGCUGCACGUCUGUGCCUGUGUCUCUGUUGUGCCGUAUCCUAGACAGGUGUAGCACGAUGAUCAUCUGUAAAAGAGAGGAACUUAGGUGAAAAAGUUGUCGUGCAAAAGGAUAGUUUUUAAAGCAACCAAGUAUAAUUCAAGAUGAGUAAAAAUUGCCACUUGUCUACGCUUUAAGCCCCUUGUAUAGGGGUGUGACCAUUGAUCCGGCAUGAAUUACAUAUACCUGUGCCGGACUCGUCUAACCGUGUCCGAGGUCUUGACGACCUGUUAAAUGCUUUAGUUGGUGAGGCCGUUUUUAGUGUGCGGCUGCCAAGGCAGCCGCACUCUCUUCGGCACGCAAAGAUCGCUUAAUACUUCCAUUUACUGUAAUGAUGCCAUGUGGUCCGGGCAUCUUGAGUGUGAGGGAAGCAUAGUGUGGUAUUGCGUUAAAGCGAGCAAAAGCUUCGCGUCCGAGUAGUGCUUGAUAGCCACUUUGGAACGGAGCGAUGUGGAAGGUUAAAUGUUCGCUAUGAAAGUUAUCAGGGGAGCCGAAUAUAACUUUUAGUAGCACGGAGCCCGUGCAAUGAGCCCCUGGGCCUGGCAUUACUCCUUUAAAGGUAGUAUUGCUAUGGCAAAUUUUUGUUGGGUCUAUCCCCAUUUCGCGGAUUGUAUCCUGAUAUAUCAGGUUUAGACUGCUGCCACCGUCCAUCAGGACUCGUGUGAAGUGAUAUCCGUCAAUUAUUGGGUCUAAUACCAGGGCAGCCCAUCCUGCACGCCGGAUACUUGCUGAGUAAUCACGAUGGUCGAAAGUGAUCGGUUGAGACGACCAGUGGCAGGACUCCGCGGUGAUAGGCCCUUGGGCAUAAUGUUCUGGGAGUGCCGUUUUGUUUCUUCCCUUGAUCACGUGUAACACGUUUACUGUUUUGACUUCUGGUGGAAAUUUCUUUUGUUCCCCAGUGUCUUGCUUGAGAGGCUCAUCCUCGUCCUCGCUUGGUGUAUCCUCCCCUUUGUGUACGGUGUUGAGCUUACCGUACUACUUGAAGACCCAACAUUCUAUGUGGGUAUGAUUAGCAGGUUUACCAGGGGUGCUAUGGAUCUGACAUAUUUGGUCCCGAAUUUUGUUUAGGCUGGACAAUUUGUCUCUGGCACCUUUAGAGGGAGGCUUUUGCUGACCUAGCCGAGAGCCUUUGAAUCCGGCAUUUACUGUCGUGCUCUUCGUGCUGUCUUCUUUGUUCCGUCAUUUGUUACUGCUGUUGCGCCGUGAUUUCUUGUUUCCAUCUCUAGCUUCAGAUGUACUGGGGUCACGGGUGCUGCAUCUGGCUAGCCAGCUGUCCUCACCCGGGUAAAAGCGGGUCAUGACGCUUGUUAAUGCUGCCAUUGUUCUCGGCUUUUCUUGGCCGAGGUGUCUGGUAAGCCAUUCGUCACGGAUGCUAUGCUUAAAAGCUGCCAGGGCUUCGGCGUCCGGACAAUCGACAAUUUGGUUCUUUUUAGUAAGAAACUUGUUCCAAAGUUUUCAGGCUGACUCUCCGGGCUGUUGAGUUAUAUGGCUCAAAUCGUCCGCGUCCGGAGGUCGGACAUAAGUCCCUUGAAAAUUUGCCCGAAAAGCGUCUUCGAGCUCUUCCCAGCUUCCUAUGGAGUUUUCAGGGAGGCAUUUAAGCCAGUGACAAGCUGGCCCUUUGAGCUUGAGGGGUAAGUACUUGAUGGCAUGGAGAUCAUCUCCUCAAGCCAUAUGGAUAUGGAGGAUAUAAUCCUCAAUCCAGACCCUAGGGUCUGUUGUUUCGUCGUAUGCCUCUAUGUUUACGGGUUUGAAUCCCUCUGGAAAUUCAUGGCCCAGCACCUCAUCGGUGAAACAUAGGGGGUGUGCGGCACCCCUGUAUCUGGGUGUACCGCAUUGUUCGGAUGUUUGUUGUGUUACGUUGUAUGCUGGGGCGCGCUUGUGUAUUAGCUUGUGAGUGGCGUUGUUUGCCGCUUGAAGUUGGCCGGGAGGUCGUCUAUCCGGCCAGGUGGCUGUUUUGAUUUUUGGUUGUGGGGGGUCUGAGGCUUCCUCAUCGAAUUCAGGUAGCAACUUCCGCUUUGGGUAGCUCUUGGUGGGGCGAUUGUCGCCGUACCUCGCUAUUGUGUUGAGUACUUCACUCCAUCUGAUUUGGAGUGUGUCUUGCACAGCCUUGAGAGCCUUUGCUUCUGCUUUUUCAUACUCCUCGCGGUGGCAACAAGCCUUUGACAGGCAUUCUGCUGCUUUGGGUGCCUGUCCGGCGUUAUGUCGUCCGGACUAUUAUCUUUGACAGAAUUGGUUUGUUCGGUUUGAUUCUCCAUAUUGCCGUGGUCCGGCAGUGGUUCGCCCUGCUCCAACGCUGGGUCUGUAUGAUCGUUAUUUCUGCCGAGGCGGGAUUUGGGGCGGCGCUUGCGCUGCCACUUUGACUGCUUCUCGAGGGAACAAGCCUUUGGUGCGUCCUUUCGUUCCUCGUCAUCAUCUUCUUUUGGUGUGUCCACCAUGCAUACGUCAUAUGAUGAAGUGGACGUCCAGCGCCCUGUGGGCGGUGGUUCCUCUUCGCCUCCCGCAUCGUCGUCCAUACCGUCGAUGUCUUCGGAGUCGAAGUUGAGCAUGUCGGUUGAGUCAUCGACAGUGGCUAUUAAGUGGGUGGUGGGUGGGCGUCGAAUUUCUUCGUCAUCCGAAUCCCAAUCAUGUUGGCCAAAAUCCGGCCAGGGCUCUCCUGACAAAGAGAGAGACCUUAGUGAAUUCAGAAUGUCGUCGAAGGGCGAGUGCUGAAAGAUAUCCGCGGCAGUGAAUUCCAUGAUCGGCGCCCAAUCGGAUUUGAUUGGCAGGGGCGUGGGCGGUUCGGAGUCAGAAAAAGAGUCCGGCACCUUGGAGUCACGGGCUGCGCAGAGGAUUAUGCUGGUGUUCGGCUCGAUCGCCAUUGAGACUGCAGCUCCUGAGGUGGUGUCUAACCACCCGUCCUUGAUUGGCGCAGUUGGCUCCGAACUAAGGGUCGGAGCUGAUGCGGGCGCGGCUUCUGGGGUACUGUUCGGUGGCAGAGCUAGGUCAUACCCAUUGCGACAGUGCGGCGCGCCCGGCUGUGGCUCCAAUUCGUCGAAGAUCAAGUCUCCGUGGAUGUAGGCUGUGUAGUUCAAACUUCCAAAUCUGAACUGAUGGCCAGGGGCGUAGCUUUCAAUCUGCUCCAGAUGGCCAAGCGAAUUAGCCCGCAGUGCAAAGCCGCCGAAUACGAAGAUCUGUCUGGGGAGAAAAGUCUCACCCUGGACCACAUCGCUAUCGAUGAUAGUAGGAGCCAUCAAGCCUAACGGCGACGACACAGAGGAACUCUCAAUGAAAGCACCAAUGUCGGUGUCAAAACCGGCGGAUCUCGGGUAGGGGGUCCCAAACUGCGCGUCUAGGCCGGAUGGUAACAGGAGGCAAGGGACACAAUGUUUUACCCAGGUUCGGGCCCUCUUGAUGGAGGUAAAACCCUACGUCCUGCUUGAUUAGUAUUGAUGAUAUGGGUAGUACAAGAGUAGAUCUACCAAGAGAUCAGAGAGGCUAAACCCUAGAAGCUAGGCUAUGGUAUGAUUGUAUGUUGUGAUUGUUGUCCUACGGACUAAAACCCUUCGGUUUAUAUAGGCACCGGAGAGGGUUAGGGUUACACAAGGUCGGUUACAAAGGAGGAGAUAUCCAUAUAUGUAUUGCCUAGCUUGGCUUCCACGCCAAGUAGAGUCCCAUCCGGACACGAGCCGAAGUCUUCAAUCUUGUAUCUUCAUAGUCUAACAGUCCGGCCAAUGGAGAUAGUCCGGCUAUCCGGAGACCCCCUAAUACAGGACUCCCUCAAUGACGAUGGUGAUGAUUUCCCCGUCCCAGAGGGAAGUUUCCCCGGCAGAACAGCUCCGCCGGAGCCCAAGAUUGGUUCUGCCAAGGUUCUGCCUCGUGGCGGCAGAGUCUUGUCCAGAAAGCUUGCCUCUGAUUUUAUUUCCGCGACAAAAGACUCCAUAUAGAAGAAGAUGGGCAUCGGAGGGCCACCAGGGGGCCCACGAGGCAGGGGGCGUGCCCCCAACCUCGUGGCCAGGGUGUGGCCCCCCUCUGGAACUUUCUGCACUCAAUAUUUUUUAUAUAUUCUGCAAAUAACUUCCGUGAAGUUUCAGGACUUUUGGAGCUAUGCAGAAUAGGUCUCUGAUAUUUGCUCCUUUUCCAGCCCAGAAUCCUAGCUGUUGGCAUUCUCCCUCUUCAUGUAAACCUUGUAAAAUAAGAGAGAAUAGGCAUAAGUAUUGUGACAUAAUGUGUAAUACCAGCCCAUAAUGCAAUAAAUAUCGAUAUAAAAGCAUGAUGCAAAAUGGAUGUAUUAGCGAGCAAAGCUAGGGCGCAUGAUGUGGGUCAGGCGACACAAUAACGCACACUGUUCCCGCACGGGCACGCCAUGUCCGCGUCCGGUGAGCCGCUUGCUGACGUCGGGAAGGACUUGGAGCUGGCCAGGUGGAAGAAGGAGAGCAAGUGAGGUGGUGCGGGCAAGAUGUAGUGUCGCAAGGGCGGCGUUUGGGUGGCGGCCGAGGGUCCCGACGUCCAGAGCGCGCGCAUUGCAUGUCGAACAACUGCAUCCUGCAUGGUCACUGUAUGCAGUGGCAUAUGUGGGACUUUAGGCCAACAGGCCAAAAACCAGGGUGUCACAAAGAAAGAGUGCAUUUUUGACUUCCUCGAGUGUGUAAGGGGAAACUAGCAUAUCAUUCAUCUCAGUUGUGACCUUGCUUGGGACAUUUUUUAUUACUGUAUCCAUAUAGCUUACACCCUCAGACGUAUACAGAGAUUUCUAGAAUUCAUGGACCAUGUUUUUCAACUCCUCGGAUCCUCCGCUAUUACACCAAGAGAAUUCUGCAAAGCUUUGGUCAUAUGUUUCUUCCUCAAGAUGCUAGCCUGAAGAUGGAAAAACUUCCAGUUUUUGUCUCCUGAGGCCAACCACUCAGCUCUUGCUCGUUGUCACCACAUCACCUCCUCACGAUGGUAGAUCUGUACUAAUUUUUCACUGAUUUUUAGCUCUGCGUGAGUGGGAAUCGUCCUGUUUCAAUCAGACCAAAGCUUUUCUAAUUAUUGCAUUGUUUUGAUGUCCAUGCAUACACUACCAAAUGUAUCAUUGUUCCAGCGCAAGAGAGGGCUGCCAACUUCGUACUCAACUCGUUUGUUCCGAAGGUGGUAACCGAUGCAGCCAUGUCGUGUUAAUCGUAUCACCCCAUUGCUCAUGUCCUUCCAUCAUAACCUUGUAACUAAAGGUCUUGGCCCUUGUGUUUGUUGGGAAACGUAGUAGAAAACAAAAAAAUGCCCCUAUGCACACCCAAGAUCAAUAUCAAGAUGCAUUACGGAUUGAGAUCAUGAUCGUUACCGUCACCGAGUUGCAGCAGAAGAAGAACGUGUCAGUUUAGAUCAUACCUGGAGUCCCUUGAACCUUCGAGGAACGAUCCCGCAAACCGCCGACGAACAGUCCCUCGAAUUGAAGACCGAAAGCACAGUCUCUCUACUUGGUUGCAAGCGUGCAGCCUUCAUGACCUGGCAGUGCUUCGCCAUUGCAAGCUAAUCGUCGCCACAGAAUUAGAGGUAGGAGAUUAGAACCACACUGGGAUUCUACUUAUGAGGAUUAUAGGAUCUAGGUCUAGCUCUAAUUAGAUCAACUAGGAUCGACUAGAACUAGAACUAAAGGGAACUAGAGGAGGCUCCAAACUUGUAUAUGUCCAUAGAGUAAAAACCCCUGGUAUAUAUAGGUUGGAGGGGAGGGAGAGGGCAGCCAAGGAGGGAAAUUCUCUCCUUGGGGCGCUAGCCUUAGGAGGAGGAGUUGGACUCCUCCCACACUCCAAUUCGCCCUCCCUCCCCCCCACCCACACACACACAAGGAAGGGCCUCCACUUCCUAUUGGGCCAAGUUGGCCUGAUGCUCCUUCCCCAGUUUGGCCUUUUGAGGACCGUUUGUAUCAAAAGCCUUAUAAUAUAUAUUAGACCCUUUUAUAUAUCAUUUAACAGCCCCGGAAACAUUUUACACCUAUAUAUUAUUUAUCGGUAAUACCCGAUAUUAACCGAUACUCUAUGAAACCCUUUCAGUGACCCCAAACGCUUAGGGAUAUUUAUGAAACAAUUCCACAAAUAUAUACUCAUCAUUCCCGUCCUACUAACACUCAGCAGAUCGUAAUUUCCUUAAGCUUGUUUCCCCGUAGGUUCGGUAACUCAUAGACAUGAACAAAACCACUUCGCUCAAUGACCGAUAACGAAAACGUGGACGUCCGUAUCGAUCCCUAUGAGCACCGGAAUGAUAUUCAAGUGAAUAUUUGGUUAUCAUGUGAUGCUCCCAUUGCUUCGCAAUAUUUCACAAAACCCAGAUACAUCGGUGUCCUCCUGUGUCAUCACAUGCUCAUGAUACCAUUAUCCUCGUUACAGGUUUUGUUCUUCUUUCUCGUUGUCAUGUUCCGGCAUCCCCGUGACAUAGUCACAUGUGUCGUGCUAGAUAAUGAUUGAUACCAUCACACCGAGAGGGCCCUAAGAAUAUCUCUCCAUCUUCAUAGGAGGCAAUCCCACUCUCGGGCUAUCUAGUCCCUUGUCAAAAUUUCUGAUAGGCCUGUAAGUUGUCAUUAUGAUCACCAUGUUACAGGUGACGUUUGAGCAACCCCAAAGUCCACCGUACGGUAAGAAGUGAUUACGGUACUCUCAUGGUCUAAGGAGAAAAAUCACACGUUAACACUAGGUGUUGCUACAAUUUAUUACAGACGAUAUAAACUCAAUUCUUUACACACAAAUUUUGGUCGAUUCAAUAUGAUCGUUCUUCUAACGUCAUACUCUGAAUGUUGUUUUAGGACUAUCGUUACACUUAGCGAUAUCCUAAGAUCUGGAAAACAUGACCACCAACAACACUUGAGCCAGUCUUAGAGGCAAGAUUAGGAACCUAUUCUCUAUCGUUUAUCAUUCCACACAUGCAUAUGAGUUUUCCACUGAGUCGUCUAUUCCAGGAUCAUAGCAGUUAUAGCGUGAAAUAUAAACUCUUAAUUAUGAAAAUGAAAUUAUAAUAAUACAAUAUUAUUGCCUUUAGGGCAUAUUCCCAAUAGUAUUAUGUUGUUGCUGCCGAUGUAAAGUCCACCAAUAUCGCAUCAUGAUCUGAAGUCACGACUGUCAGGUGAGAUUAAUCAGCAAGUGAAACCUUCGCUGCCAGUCCACAGAAACCAGCACUCGGUCUAGGCGCACCAUUGUGAAAGUACCACACAUGUAACCUUCAUCUCAAAGGUCGGUCCUGAGUAACCCAAAUCUAGCAGCAUGCAAACAUCAACCUUGUCUUGAAAAGCUUGGAUCUGCACACUGCUGUGUUGUCCAACUCCUUUGUGCUCAUCCGUAUGUAGAACCUCAUUGAAAUCGCCCAAGAAAAGCCAUGGGAGAUUGUUGGAAGUACUGAUGUUUUUAAUAGUGUCCAUUGUUUGGUGCCUCAAGUGGGUUUGAGCUUCACCAUACACUAUUGUAACUCUCCAAGGAUCAAGGCUUGGUUCAAGAAUGGAGCACUCAAAAUGAUACACAGAGUAACCAAGAAUUUAUUUCAUUAUUCCAGAAAAUGCCAAUACCACCACUUCUUCCCUGGCUAUCAAUCACAUAUCCAUUAUCAUACCCUAAUGUUCCUGCUAAAGAUUCUACCCUCGAGCCUCUUGUUGGGUUUCUACUAUGUAGAGGAUGGCAGGGGAAAAUUUCCUUGUGAAAUCACAAAGCUCACUGAUUGUCGUGGCUCUGCCCGCACCGCAAUAAUUCUAGCAGAAGACACGCAUUGGACAUGGCGGCACUCCUCUAGGGAGCCUAACAAUUUUGCCAUUGGGUUUUUUGUGUUGCCACCGUUCUUAUGCAACGUGUUCUUAUCUGCUGCAAUUACUUGUCCUUGACCUGUUUUGUUCCUGCCGAGACGAGGGGCUCGAAGGGGUUUGAGGGGAAGGUAGCGUCGGUGUUUUGCCUUGGGCCGACAUAGCUGUUAUGGCUAACUCAUCUGCCACUGGAUCAACUUUCGUUGCAAGCUCUAAAGCUCGUUUUUUGUUCAGUUCGGCCUUGUGCAUGUAGGCAUCAGGGUCCUCAUACUCUGAUUCCCCCUGGGUGCGCCUAGGUCCAUGAUCAGUCCUGCCGCUGUGGCCACGGCCUCGCCCUCUCCCUCCUCCAGGUCCUCUCCCCGCUCCCUUGAACCAGCUAGCUCACAGAUUUUUGAAAACUAGGGCUAACGGUGGAUGCACUCCAUCCCGACAUUCCUUGAACAUGUGGCGCAAAUAACCACAAACCACGAAUGAAUCUGGUAGCCGCUCAUAUGCGACUGUGAAGACCAUAUGUUCAUACACAUUUAACAUUUUUCAAAUGCUUGAGUUACAUUUUUUCAAAUACUUGUUCAACAUUUAUUUUAGAUACUUGUUCAUCAUCUUUUGAACAUAUGGUCAACAUUUCUUCCAUACUCCCGCCGUCCGGUGAAAUGUCUACAUAUAACAAAUUAGGACAAAUAAUGGAGUGGAGUACAAAAUGCAAUGGGAAGAUGCAAGCCACCAUCUCUUUUUUUUUAUUACCAAAACCCCAAUGAGCUAAAUGUAGAAUGUUAUUGGUCUUGUACCGUGUGAUGACAUAGAAGCAUUUUUUCUACUUUCAUGUGCAUUGGGAGGAUAGAAAUACACUCUUUUGUGGACAAAAUUUAAAGCCAAACGUACACCCUUCAGCGGAUGGAGGGACUACACAGUUAAUAUUUUCCAUAUGCUUGGUUAACAUUUAUUAAAUACAUGUUCAUCAUUUUUUUCAAAUACUUGAUUAAAAUUUGUAUACAUAUUAUAAAAAAUCAUCAUUGUUUCCAUACAUGGUCAACAUUUUUCUAUACACAUUUAACAUUUUCAAAUGCAUAACUAUUUUUAGAAUAGAGUAUAUUUUUGUCAUAUAUAUCUUUAGAGUAUUUGGAGGCGUAAAUGAAAGUAGAAACCAAAAAAGGAAUAGCAUAUCAUUAAUACUAGGAAUAUUCCGAAAACGACAACAAUUUAUCCUCAUCAUUGAUAUUAAUCAGGAUACCGGUAACUCCGUUACACUAAACGCAACUAAACUCGAUUCUUCUAAUGACGCCUAUGGGGAAGUGCAACCGGCAAAUAAGAAUCAUUCGCCCAGUAUAAUAAAUAGAUCUGAAUCGCACGACAUUGACGCGGCGGGCAAACAAACCUAGAGUUAAAAAUAAGCAGGUGGAAGAGAGAGAAAGGGUUUAUGAUGGUCAUCACGUGGAGGUGCACCGCGUGAGCUGCUGCGUCAGGGCUUGCACCUCGUCAAAGUCCACUUCAGGCUCCUCCCUGCGAUUUUCAGAGCAGGUAAUUAAGAUGAGUCAGUACCGAGACAAAGAGCAGAGGGAGAGAUGAUAGAGGGCGUGGGAGCGGACAUCAGGAUGUCGAUGUCGUCGAUGAUCUCGGAGGCGCCGUAGAUGAAGAGGCGGGAGACCUUGACGGCGGUGCCCUCGUCCCACAGCUCCACAAAUGUGUCCUCGUCCACGACACCCUGGAUCGACGUCGACCACGGCAAGGCAAACUCAUAGGCCAAGUCAGGCCAAAUUCCACAACCACACGACUAGAGGGCAGGGGAGGGGCCUCACCUAGGUGUACAUGCCGGUGAGAUGGGCGUUGAGCUGGGCCCUAUGGUAUGAUGUUCCAACGAUCAUCGUUGGAGCUGUAAUUGGCGACUUAAUUAGCCAAGACUUUUCAUACCAAUGCAAAUACACCUAAGCCCAGAGAUGCUCUUCACGCUGUCUCGCGAACCGACAGCUUUGUGAUCCCUGGAUGUGACCUCGCAGACCAUCCAUUCUGUUUUUUCCCUCCUCUGGCUACUGCUCAUGGUGCCAUCAUACUCUUAUAAGAAGGCCACACUGAAAUUUCAGACCGAAAGGACAUGUUUAACAUGCGCAAAUAUGGUGAUUGGCUACACUCUGGGUACAACGACCAACAACAAGACUUGCUUAUAGAGAAAAACAAACCGAGCCUACAGCAAAACAAAGUCACUAGAGGACUAACAAACCAGGUAUAGGUUUUAUAAACAGCCCAUAGGAAGGGCGGGAACACAUCCACGACACACUAAAAUAUGGACUUCACACUGACAUCAACACACGACAAUAGUUUUAUUUCACAGGGUUACGAGCCCAAAGUUCCGACACAAGAAUAUUCAUCUAAGUUUUACGCGCACCCUUUGAAAACCGCUACAUCUUCGGAGGCACAUGGAACACAUAAUGCAAGGGAUUGCAUGGGGCCACGUUCUCCCCCCUUCACUUGCCGCUACUUAGGAGUUAGGACCGCAUGCCGCGAUCUGCUCUUCAAGCUGCAUCAAAAGAUGAAUAAUAGGUCAAUGAUUAAGAUAAGUCUAUGGCACAUAAUGAUGCUCAAGUCACGUGGUUUCACUAAUCAUCCUUGUUACAAGUUAGCUAGUUUCUUAUUUGCGCAUUUGGCGAAGCUUAAUUUAAGCUGGGAAACAAAGAAUUUCUACCAAUUUUUUUAGCUACCAUGUGCAUCUACCAAGCAUGAUCACAAAAUUACCACAUAAUCAUUUAACGGCUAAAUGAGACUUUUCGGUACCUCAAACUAAGUGAUCCAAAUCUAAAUGUCAAAAGAAUUAGAUUAAGUAUUAAACAUUGUUCCCUUUUCUCUAUCUUAAUAUGACCAAUCUAUGAGUUAUGGAACUAGUGGGAAUUUGGUAUCAAAAUCCAACAUUAGGCACAUAAGGUGCUACCUGCAUCAUGAUCUCCAACUCAUGUCGCACAAUAUAGAACUCAUUCCUAACAAGAGCCAAUGACACGAGACACCUGAAAUAAUGCAAAAAUACAACAUUGUCAAAUUCUGAAGAGGUUAAUAGAACUGAGAUGAAAUGGUUCAAAAAUUGUAACCCUAUACUUCAAAAGAGAAAAAUCUGUAGCCAUAUAUGAAUUUAGUUGUGCGAUAAACAGAAGUCUAGAGCCAAUAAAUUACAAGAGAACCAUCAAAAUAUAGCAUAUUCAGAUAAUGAACUGAGUAAUAUCAACAACGUGAUUGCAGAUGAAGUGAAAAAGCAAAUCAGGUUACUUCUUAACAACAUUAGAUUGGUAUGAGCUGAAAAUAACGACAGAAAAGACAACAUGAGCUGGCAGGUUUACAUGGAGACAUUCAAAAACAAUGUUGUGAAUAAUUAUUGUGUAACAAUAUUUAAUAAGCUGUUGAGUUCUGGCCCAUGUUUGUAUUGUAUGGCAUAGAAAUUGCCGAAGUGCAUGCAGGCAAGGUUCACUUGCUGUGCACCAACAUUGAAACAUGCAAAAAAAAUGCAGAUCAGGAAAUUAGGAACUUAUCAAACUUAUUUUAAACUGAGACGUCAACUCAAUAAUAUUCCCAAGGAGCCAUUUCCUAUCAUGAUUGUCAACUCCAUGAAUUGUUUGAUGAACCAGAAAAAAACACCAUUGCCAUUAUGUGCAAUUGUCAUGAAUACCGACAAUUACGCUACACGAGACACAACUACAAUUAGGUCUUCUAAUUUUGGAUAUACGACACCCGAAUCACGUCCAUGGCGUAGACACCCUGCGUCUGACAUAUCUGAAUAGAAACAACACUGUUCCAAUGGAGAAACAGAAAAAAUGGCCAUUGGUGUUAUGUAGAAUUGCAGAUCAUUAAUACCAGCCAUGCUUAUAAAACAACAAUUUUUUUCAUGCUCGGACUAGAAUAAUGGCAUUGCCCGAAGAACAGACAUGAUAGUAGAACAAACGUUUGCAAAAUGACAAAAAUUCCCCUCGCCAAGCUAUACGAUUUGAUUGAAAUUGGGAAGAAUACCAAAAAAAUUCGUUACACGAUAUAUGACUAAACUCAGCUCUUCUACCUAUGGCUAUACGGCACCUGUAGAACGACACCGAACCUCAAUUGUGCGGCCGUGUCGUGAGGUACGCACCCAGUGCCGACACAUCCAAAUAAAGAACAACAUCGAUGCCGUGGAAAAACUAGAAAAAACACAAUUAGAGAUACAUAGAAUAGCAGAUCAUUAAUACCAGAAAAAACACCAUUAGUAAUACACGGAAUAGCAGAUCAUUAAUACCAGGAAUAUUCUGAAAAUGACAACAAUUUAUCCUCAUCAUUGAUAUUAAUCGGGAUACCGGUAACUCCGUUACACUAAAUGCAACUAAACUCGAUUCUUCUAAUUACGUCUAUGGGGCAGUGCAACCGACAAAUAAGAAUCAUUCGCCCAGUAUAAUAAAUAGAUUUGAAUCACACGACAUUGAGGCAGCGGGCAAACAAACAUAGAGUUAAAAAUAAGCAGGUGGAGGAGAGAGAAAGGGUUUAUGAUGGUCAUCACCUAGAGGUGCACCGCAUGAGCUGCUGCGUCAGGGCUUCCACCUCAUCAAAGUCCACUUCGGGCUCCUCCCUACGAUUUCCAGAGCAGAUAAUUAAGAUGAGUCAGUACCGAGACAGAGAGCAGAGGGAGAGAUGAUAGAGGGCGUGGGGGCGGACAUCAGGAUGUCGAUGUCGUUGAUGAUCUUGGAGGCGUCGUAGAUGAAGAGGCGGGAGACCUCGACAGCGGUGCCCUCGUCCCACAGCUCCUCGAACGUGUCCUCGUCCACGACACCCUGGAUCGACGUCAACCACGGCAAGGCAAACUCAUAGGCCAAGUCAGGACAAAUUCCACAACCACAUGACUAGAGGGGAGGGGAGGGGCCUCACAACAGUGUACAUGCCGGCGAUAUGAGCGUUGAGCUGCGCCCUCAGUGCUGCGGCUGCCAUGGCAAGGCGAGGAGAAGUCCGGCGGUCCGAGGGACUGAGCGGUGGAGACGGGGGGAAUUCGGCUGCGGAUGCGGAGUGAACGAGGACGGGAUCAAGGAGGAGCGGAGGUUGUAUAGCUGGGCUCACGAGGGUCUCUCAUGUAGGCGUUUGGCAGCGAGUGCUCUACUAGCUGUACUGCGUCGUCGGCCGGGCGCCAUUAGUUAGCUUGGAAACGGCCCGCGUGCGUAAUGCGUGCAUGCAUCAUGCAUUCAGGCAUGGAACCACCGGUUGUGUGUCCACGUGUUCAUAGAAGUGAGCGUCUGUUUCAACUUUAAUCUCUUUUCCUUUCAGAAAAAACUUUAGUCCCUCACAAUGUUUAUAGGGACGAAUAGAAGACCAUCCACUCUCCUCUGUCUCACUUGAGUGAAUUGGUUUCGAGAGCAUUCCACCACUUUUUAUGACUUUCACAGUUUCACUUUCAACCCGAUUCACCGCCUACACGCCCUUUACGUCCAGUCAUUCCAAAGAGUACUUGCCCCCCACCCCUUGUCUUAGCGCGGCUGCUGGCACGCAGUUACCGGGACUUCUUCCUCUAGUUCUGCCGUGAUCGCGCACUCGACGUAAGAACUUUACAAGGAGCAUUGACCUUCUCACUCACGCGAGAUUGCUGGAUUGGGCUUUCGCCCAUUGUCCAAGAUUCCCCUCUGUUGCCCCCCAUGGGAGUCUGGGUUGUGUCUCAGUCCUAGUGUGGCUAAUCAUUCAAAAAGACCAGCUAAGCAUCAUUGGCUUGGCCAACCUUUACCUGACCAACUAACUAAUGCUACGCAGGCUCAUCAAACAACGCUUUGAACUUUCUUCAGGAUUUGGCCCAAACUAUUCAACAGAUUCCCACGCAUUAGGCAUCCGUUCGUCACUUUGUUCUCACCUAUUCCGAUUAAUUCCAGCAAACGGAGGCUGUUAGGUCAAAGCCGCAGCGCACGCCCUAUAGUUUUGAAGCAAGGCGAGAGAACUUUAGCUAUGGGGAGACCUAACCAAACAUGGCGGUCAACCCCUAGGGAUAAAUCAUGCUUCACGAGUUUGUGAGCUUCAACAUUCAAGCUCCUAAAUUCAUGGCUAAUGAUACAAUUAGUAAAAGUAGCCUUCCGAUCUAUGAUCCAUGUAUGAUUGCUCUGCAUAUAGCUGUGCUCUUCUGAUGUAUAUCUGCAAUGCUACCUUGAAAUCUGAAGCCACCUUAAUCUUCCUCUCAUAGAGAUUAUCAGCAAGCGCAAGUGCCACCCUUAUUGCUGCAUAUUCGACAGUAGCAAGAUCUAAUAUAUGUGGGAACACAAUGGCUGACACACCCAGAAAAUUACAUGCUUGAUCUCUGCAUAUAGCUCCCAUUGCGCCUCGAGUGCCGCCUGGUCCAACCACCGAACCCACAUUGACCUACACCAUUUCUUUGGGUAGCGCUCAUCUUAGUUAAGUAACUCUGCACAAAAGCCUGAAAAGUGAAAGGACUUUUAUAUAUCUCCUCAUGUAUAGCUUUGUGCCCAGCUCCCCAUAUCAUCCGCAAAAGUGAUCGUAAACAUGAUAAAAUCCUCAUCAUGUGAUAACACCUCAUGCAUGGUGAAUAGCCAUUGUUUGGCGUCAUCAUUUACAUUCAGACUCAACCGCUCGACAAUUUGCUCGUAUGAUAGUGCCCACGUGCUCCUUGAAACCAAGCAAUUCAGCAGGGCGUGCCUGCAUGUAUCGUUAGACCCGCACAAACAACAAGCACUCAUCGUCGACAUGUUUCUAUGAUGAAGAAGGACAUUGCGAGUAUAGUGCUAAUCUCCACAUGAACACCUUGAUUUUUGAGGGGCUUUUAUAUGCCAUAAGUCUGUCCAUCCUGGACAAUCAGCCUCUGAGUUUGAUCGGCCGCCCUGCUCAUACAGCCAUGAUUCUCUUCUGAUCUUGGUUCACUGUAUCUUCUUGUAAGCGGAAUCCACAGUGAACAUACCCCUUCUAUCCUCACUUCAAGCACAAAAUCAGAUAUAUGUCUCGUGCAAAGAAGGAUCUUCAAUAUAGUCUCGGCAUCAAUGGGAAUAAGUUAUGAUUACAUAAGUUCAUCCCUUGAUGACACAGUGUAAUCAGUGUGUUCCGCGAACCUUGUCGGCGGCUGCGGUAUUUGUGAAGUUCUCGGCCUCUUUAUAUGCUCUCUAGUUAUCUAGUUGUCAUUCCAAAUAUCAGGGGAUUCUCUAUCUCCUAAUCUCCAUAUCAAACCAUAAGUCGUUAUGUCUUUCCCAUGCAAAAUAGCCCGCCAUAUCUGUGAUGGGUGUGGUCCCAAGGUUGCAUCAGAAAGAGAGUUAUUUGGAUAGUAGAAAACUUUUAAGAUUAAUGAACUCGGAGAACCGGUAUGGUCUAGCAAGGUACAGGCUUGCCUGGAAAGUAGGGCUAGAUUAAAGAUCUCAAAUAAACGGUCUCAUCGUAACAUCCCAUGAGACCCAGCAUGUCUUAGUUCUCCCAUGUUUACUUCCCUACCAAAAUUGUCGGAUUCAAGAGGUGACACUCGCGCAACAUCCUCGCGGGAAACGGAAGCAGGCCAUGGAAUAUACAGGAAUUGCCUAUGCCACAGAGUUUAUCAAAACCUCGUUACCUGCAGUUGACAGGAGCUCUUCCAUCUAUCCUCUCAGCUUUUCGGAAACUCUGUCACGUAAGUAUUUGAAAGUCCUGUUCUUGGACUGCCCCACAUCAGUUGGCAUACACAAUUUCCUGUCAUUGAGUGACUCAUUUUAGACGUUCAAAGUAUGCUUGACAUCUUCCUUGAGAGCCUGAGGGCAUCCUCUCUAUUGCAAAAUAUAAAGGACUUGUCAUGAUUUAUUCUUCGUCUGGAUCCCAACCAAUAAUUCUCUAGUAGGUUUGAUACUUCAACUGCCCCAUCAUGACUCGACUUAAAAAGCAAGAUGUUGUCAUCUGCAAAAAGUAGAUGGUUCACAGCCAAAGUUGUUGGUGCCACUUAAGCGUGACGAAGAAGAACUGGAUUUCAGGAGGCAUUAAAGGCCCUCUACUGCAAUUAAGAAAUGAUAUGGGGAUAUUGGAUCUCCCUGCCGGAUAACUCUGUUGGGUUGUAAUUGAUCAAGUAUCUCAUGAUUAAAAAGAACCGAGAAAGAUACCAUCUGAACCAUGCCCAUAACUAUUUGUACCCAUGUUGGAGAAAAACCCAAUUUCAACAUCGUGGCUUUAGAAUAGUCCCACUCCAACCUAUCAUAUGCCCUCCUCAUAUCGAGCUUCAAAGUAUAGUAGCUACUAACUUUUUCCCUCGCUGCAUUUCAUGAAAUGUAGGAACUCAUAUGCACUAACAAUAUUAUCCGUGAUCAUUCUUCCAAGGGAAAAAGUUGAUUGCUCCUCGGAUAUGAUAUCAGGUAAAAUUUGCUUCAAUCUAUUUGCAAUAACCUUGGAAGCUAUCUUGUAUAAAACAUUGCACAACUGAUAGGCCUAAAUUUUGUUAAGAGGGUUGGGUUUGUUACCUUGGGAAUCAAAACCAGAAUUGUAUGAUUGAUGCAUUCAGGACUAUCUUCCCCUCUCACGAUUGUCAAAACCGCCUCUAUUACUUCUUUACCACAAAUAUCCCAAUGACGCUGAUAAAAAUGGGCAGGGAACCUAUCAGAGCAUGUAGACUUCAUUGGGAACAUUUGAAAUUGUGGCACCCUGGCUCAGAGUAACCAGUUUACCUUGCAUUGCCAGCCCAGAGAUCAAGUCUUCUGGCAACACAUAACAACUUGGUACAUACAUAACCGCUUUAUUGAUCUCUUGCAAAUACAUAGGUUUGAUGAUUACAUAAGAAAGCGAGGCCAAGCGGCACACACGGUGCGACUCCACUAUGUACAUUAUCUAUUAAACAUCUCAAGGGCCUUGAUGCUAGAGGAUACAACUACUCAGUAGCUAAACAAUGAGGUAGCAAACUCCGUGCCACAAGGACACUGCUAGGACACAGCCUAGAUCGUGAAGCACCGAUCAACCUCAACUCCUUGCACGGUUUCUCCUGCAUCUAGCAUGACACACCAGGUGGGUACUUUGAAUGUAGUCGCAAGCUCACAGCAAAAAUGACAAACAAUAACAUGGAAUGGACAAAUUAAACAUGAUCAUUAGCAUGAUGUUACCAAUCGUAGUGUGCAAGUGGAAUACCGUCAUGGUCCCUUGGACCAACUUACCCAUCUCAAGGGUUACCUCGUAACCACCAUUGGUAGCAACCAUACCAUCGUGAUCAACACACGAUCACCUCAAGAUCAAGUGACUUCUUCAUGUGCAAGCUCGAGGUUCAUAAGUGUGCAAGUUAAUUAUUUAUGUUGACCCAUAGUGUGACCUACUACAAACUGUGUCCAUAACCGAGGAUGUGGCUAUCGAUAGAUUAUACACUCUGCAGAGGUUAGUACACUCUACCCACACUAUGGAACUCAUGGCCUCAUGCUCCCAUUCGGGUGGACUAACGACAUUCCAACAAAACCAAUAUAUUGUAUACACUCUGCCUGCCACUCCGAAAAACUCCUGACUGGGCUAUGCCAUGGGUCACCCCUAUGUUAACUCGUGAAUCCGCUACCUUUGUGGCCGCCACCGCCAUGCCCAAACAAACUUUAUCAUCCCAAAUGGGGACCUCGUUACCAUAAAACUUGGUCUCACAAGGUUAUUGACGCCUACCGGGAUAGGGUAGCACAUGCACAUAGCAUUCCCUCGUUAGAGGCACCGGCGAGAGGCAUGACAAUAGAGCGAAUUAGAACAUCCUCAUCCAGGAAAGUGUGGUUGCACUAGUGAGCUCGAUUCGGUGGUACUAUGACUCUAUUAAUAGCUUUGACCCAGUUUGAUUAUAGUCAAGUUUAACUUGAAUUAAAAUUAUUCGAGCCAUAGAAUGCAAUAGAGUGCAUGAUAGUGAGCUAAAUGGUGGAUGAAUCCUAACUUAACCAUAUAACAUUUACUCUAUUGUCUACAACAUACAUAUGACAUGGAAAUGAGCAUAAUGUAACAAGUAGCAUGCAGGUAAUAGUUUAAAUUCAUAAGGCAUAUAAGUAAUCUAUAUUCAAUUCGAACCAAAUCCAUUGCAAUGCCAUCUUGCAAAUGAAUGUUGUGGCUUGCCUUAGUUCAGAGGAGUGUCACGAUACUCCUGGUCUUCUCCCACACAGUUAGUUUCUUCUAAAAAUAAAUUUAAUAACAAAAAUAAAAUGUCGCAUAAAGCUUUUUCUAAUACCAUAAAUUCUAGACAGCAAGGGAUAAUCUCAAAUUGCACCAACAGAAAGUUCAUCUCAUGACGAAACUAUGGCAAAAAGUUCAACUCAUUUGGACUUUUGGUUUAGAAAUCAUAGCUAGUCAAAGUUUGGGUCAAAAUCUAAUUUUAAAUUGAAUUAACAGAAAUUCCAGGGAGGGACACGUUGAAGGCGUAUUUUGCUAGGGCGCCUCCAUAGAAAAUGAUUCAGAGGGGAAGAGAGAAGCUUACAAGUAUGGUCCCCGUGUUAGGUUUAGGAGAGAGAAAGAGAGAGAGAGAGAGAGAGAGAGAGAGAGAGAGAGAGCAGAGGUAGGCGGCUAUUGCCGUUGGCGAUGGUCGUGAUGGGUUCAGAGCAGCGUGGGGAGCACACAUGUCCCCCUUGCUUGGUCGGAGGUGGACGAACGGCGAGGCUGGCUUCCUCUCCAGAGAAGAUGGGCAAUGGAGCUCGUCGGAGUCGGUGUUCCCGAUAUUGUUCCGACUGAUCAACUGCACCAUCGUGCUCUAGAGAUCAACACGAGCUCGCCUGAAGAAGUCAUGGAAGUAGAGGAGGGCAGGAGCGAGAGAAUGGUCUAGGGGGGGUCCGCAGGCAACUCCGGCGAUGAUCGGAGGCAGGAGGCCAUCCUGGCCUUGCCCCGCUCGUCGGUGGUAAAUUUAUGGCCAGUGGAGGAGUGGUGGAUGGUUUACCAGCUAGGGAGGGGGCUAUUUAUAAGAGAGGGAGAUGCCGAGCACCGGGCACCGCCGUGAGGAAGCUUGCGGAGCUCUGGCUAGGUGUGUAGCUCGGGCACGGGUGGUGAAGUGACUAGAGGGGCACCGGGGAGAUGUAGAUGCACUCGGGCAAAGCUAGGGCGCACGAUGUGGGUCAGGAGACGCACUAACGCACACUAUUCCCGCACGGGCACGCCGUGUCCGCGUCCGGCGAGCCUCUUGCUGACGUCGGGAAGGACUUGGAGCUGGCCAGGUGGAAGAAGGAGAGCAAGUGAGGCGGCGUGGGCAAGCUAUAGUGUCGAAAGGGCGGCGUUUGGGUGACGGCCGAGGGUCCCAGCGUCCAGAGCGCGCGCAUUGCAUGUCGAACAACUACAUCCCGCAUGGUCACUGCAUGAAGUGGCACACACGGGACUUUAGGCCAACGAGCCAAAAACUAGGGUGUCAUAGAGAAAGAGUGCAUUUUUGAGUUCCUCGAGUGUGUAAGGGGAAACUAGCAUAUCAUUCAUCUCAGUUGUGACCUUGCAUGGGACAUUUUUUAGUAUUGUAUCCAUAUAACUUACACCCUCAGAUGUAUACAGAGAUUUGUAGAAUUCGUGGACCAUGUUUUUCAACUGCUUGGAUCCUCCGCCGUUACACCAAGAGAAUUCUGCAAAGCUUUGGUCAUAUUUUUCUUCCUCGAGAUGCUAGCCUGAAGAUGGAAAAACUUCAAGUUUUUGUCUCCAGAGGCCAACCACUCAGGUCUUGCUCGUUGUCGCCAGAUCACCUCCUCACGAUGGUACAUCUCUACUAAUUUUUCAUUGAUUUUUAGCUCGGCGUGAGUGGGAACCGUCCUGUUUGGAUCAGACCAAAGCUUUUCUGAUUCUCCCUUUGUUUUGAUCUCCUUGCAUACCUGCCAAAUGUAUCAUUGUUCCAGCGCAGGAAAGGACUGCCAACUUCGUACUCAACUUGUUUGUUCCCAAGGUGGUACCCGAUGCAGCCAUGUCGUGUUAAUCAUAUCACCCCAUUGCUCAUGUCCUUCCCUCAUAACCUCGUAAAAAAGGUCUUGGCCAUUGUGUUUGUUGGGAAACAUAGUAGAAAACAAAAAAUGCCCCUACGCACACCCAAGAUCAAUAUGAAGAUGUAUUACGGGUUGAGGUCAUGAUUGUUUCCGUCAUCGAGUUGCAGCAGAAGAAUAACGUGUGAGUUCAGAUCAUACUUGGAGUCCCUUGAACCGUCGAGGAACGAUACCGCAAACCGCCGAUGAACAGUCCCUCGAAUUGAAGACUGAAACACAGUCUCUCUACUUGGUUGCAAGCGUGCAGCCUUCAUGACCUGACAGUGCUUCACCAUUUACUCUUGGCUACUUAUGUUGAUCUAAAGCAACUCUAAUGGUGUUAAAUCUAGCAACAAGAGUAAGAAAGAUUCUUCUUCUAGUAGUAACAAUAAUCAUGCCAAACCCAAUGUUGUUGCUUCUAGUAGUUCUCUUGAGUCCACUAAUGAUUCUCUUAGCCAAGUUACACUUGAGCAAGAAAAUAGCUUAUUGAAGGGAAUUAUAGAGAAAGGUGUUUACAAGAGCCUUGCCGGGAGUAAGCAAUUUGAGGAAAUUGUACGCAAGCAAGGAAGACACCGGAAGAAUCAAGCAAUUGGUUUUGAACGAAGGUUUAAUGCCAAUGGAGUUGAGUGGGAAGAAGAUCAAUGCCCCAAGACGAAGUUUGUUCCUCAACAAAAGAAGUAUGAUCCUACUUCUUUCCAAGGAACACAAGCUCAAGAUGAUCUUCCACCACAAGACCACAAGCAAAAAGGCAAGGACAAGCUUCAAGAGGAGAUUGAUGCAUUUGAAGAAUCUCCCAAAGCCUUGGUCAAGUGGGUUCCCAAGACUACAUCAAGUUCAACUUCAUCGAGUACGCCUACAACUCCAGGGAUUCCCAUCAAGAUGGUGUGGAUCCCGAAGAAAAAUAACUAGAGAGUUCUUGAGGGUGACUCCGCCAACACUUCACUCAUAUCUUUUGGCAAGGACAUGUGCAAACAACUUCCAUAUCUUGCACUAGUUCAAGGAGUCACAAACCCUCUUGUUGAUAAGACAAGGGACAAGGUAACCUAAUGGUUUCGUGGACAUCAUUUUAUGUGAACAUCACUCUAUGUCUAUGGAUAUCCUUGUUUGAUCCUUGUGGGACUAACCCGUGUAGGUAUUGAAAGUGCAACUCACUCUAAUUGAUUGCUCCAAAUGAUCUACAUCAACAUUGAGCAUCUACAUCUUCAACACCUACAUGAAGUCAUCGUCGACAAAACCCAAGGUUAGUUCAUCCCUCUUAGGGGGGAUAUCACAUUAGGGGGAGCUUUACUCUAAUCAAUUGAGCUAAAGCAACUCUAAUGGUGUGAACACAACAAUGCUUUAUGUAAAAGUGGCAACCCCACUUAUGCUUAAACGAUGAGUAUGACCUAUGAUCAAAUGUUCUCAUUUGACUCCUCAGUCAAUAUACUCAUAUAUGGAUGACCUAGUCAUCGCCAAUUGCUUGAUAGAUUCUAGAGUGUUUGUGCAUGCUCUGCCACAAAUUUCAUUUGCCAUUUUAUUGUGUGAGCAUGUUGGUCGCAUAUUUUACUCAUUCAAGGACAUCCACUUGUUGUUUUGAUUGGUUGGCAUUUUUCUAUUUUGCCAAGUGGAUGAACAAGAAUGCCUAAGAACCUCCUCUAGCUAUCUAUGCUUUUCUCGUCUCAAACUCUAUUCAUGCUACAUCACAAAGUUUGAUCAAGUCAGAUUCGAACCACUCUGUGUGAGGAGCACUCGGAGUCCCGGAUUCAUCAUAGACUUAAACUUCCAAAACCUCUUUGUGCAUUUCAGUAUGACCGAGUCAUCCACUUCGAUCACACCGAGUUCACUAAGUUAAUCUAGGUUUUCCAUCUCGGUACAACCGAUUUGAACUUUUCGGCCACAUCGAGUUGCAGUAACCGCUCGUGAUUCUGCAUCUCGGUGCCACCGAGUUGUUCCACUCAGUCACACCGACAGGGUCGGGAUAUAUAUACCGACGGGUUGAAUUUUAGAAAUUUCUCUCAAACACUUCACCCCGCGCAUGUCCUGCUCUGCCUCCUCGGGUCUCUAGAUCGUCUCCUCGCCGCUAGUGACCUCCCGCCGCUAGUCUCCGUCGCCGUCAAUGGAAUUCUGCUCCGCCGUUGUCGCCGUAGCGAACUCCCGCCGAACUAGGGUAUGAGUUCGACUCUUUGUGCUAUUUCCCAACUCCGAUUUGUAGCACAUUACUUUGCCAUGAUAAUGACCACGUAUGCAAACAAUCCAUCCACUAAAAACCUCCUUUAGAUUAGAUUGGAUUUGAAAAUUUAGUGUUAGGUCUCCGUCGGACUCAUCUCGGACCGACCGAAUUGUAGAAAUCGGUCUCACUGAUUUGGCUUAGGCCGUAGCACAUGCAUUUUCGGUCUCACCACAAAUUGCAAAUCAGGGUGACCGAGUUCGAUUCUCUGUGAAACCCUAGCAGUCUUGGUGCCACCGAACUGUGACUCGGUCUGACCGAGUUCACUAGUUUAGGUUCCAAAAGUUGCUUCGGUAUCACCGAGUUUAUCAAAUCGGUAGCUCCGAAAUGCUUUCUGUGGAGAACUAAAACUAGAUCUAGUUCUAGCUCUAGCUCUAAUUAGAUCCUACACACUAGGAUUCUACUUAUGAGGAUUAGAGGAUCUAGGUCUAGCUCUAAUUAGAUCGACUAGGAUCAACUAGAACUAGAACUAAAGGAAACAUGAGGAUACUCCAAACUUGUAUAUGUCCAUAGAGAAAAAACCCUGGUAUAUAUAGGUUGGAAGGGANNNNNNNNNNNNNNNNNNNNNNNNNNNNNNNNNNNNNNNNNNNNNNNNNNNNNNNNNNNNNNNNNNNNNNNNNNNNNNNNNNNNNNNNNNNNNNNNNNNNNNNNNNNNNNNNNNNNNNNNNNNNNNNNNNNNNNNNNNNNNNNNNNNNNNNNNNNNNNNNNNNNNNNNNNNNNNNNNNNNNNNNNNNNNNNNNNNNNNNNNNNNNNNNNNNNNNNNNNNNNNNNNNNNNNNNNNNNNNNNNNNNNNNNNNNNNNNNNNNNNNNNNNNNNNNNNNNNNNNNNNNNNNNNNNNNNNNNNNNNNNNNNNNNNNNNNNNNNNNNNNNNNNNNNNNNNNNNNNNNNNNNNNNNNNNNNNNNNNNNNNNNNNNNNNNNNNNNNNNNNNNNNNNNNNNNNNNNNNNNNNNNNNNNNNNNNNNNNNNNNNNNNNNNNNNNNNNNNNNNNNNNNNNNNNNNNNNNNNNNNNNNNNNNNNNNNNNNNNNNNNNNNNNNNNNNNNNNNNNNNNNNNNNNNNNNNNNNNNNNNNNNNNNNNNNNNNNNNNNNNNNNNNNNNNNNNNNNNNNNNNNNNNNNNNNNNNNNNNNNNNNNNNNNNNNNNNNNNNNNNNNNNNNNNNNNNNNNNNNNNNNNNNNNNNNNNNNNNNNGUAACUCAUAGACAUGAACGAAACCCCUUUGCUCAAUGACCGAUAGCAGAAACGUGGACGUCCAUAUCGAUCCCUAUGACCACAUGAAUGAUAUUCAAGUGAAUAUUUGGUUAUCAUGUGAUGUUCCCUUUGCUUCGCAAUAUUUCACAAAACCCAGGAUACAUCGGUGUCCUCCUGAGUCAUCACAUGCUCACGAUACUAUUAUCCUCGUUACCGGUUUUGUUCUUCUUUCUCAUUGUCGUGUUCCGGCAUCCCCGUGACGUAGUCACAUGUGUCGUGCCAGAUGAUGAUUGACACCAUCACACCGAGAGGGCCCUAAGAAUAUCUCUCCUUCUUCAUAGGAGCCAAUCCCACUCCCGGGCUAUCUAGUCCCUUGUCAAACUUUCUGAUGAACCUGUAAGUUGUCAUUAUGAUCACCAUGUUACGGGUGAUGUUUGAGCAACCCCAAAGUCCACCGUACGGUAAGAAGUGAUUACGAUACUCUCAUGUUCUAAGGAGAAAAAUCACACGUUAGCACUCGGUGUUGUUACAGUUGAUUACAGACGAUAUAAACUCAAUUCGUUACACAGAAAUUUUGGUCAAUUCAAUAUGAUCGUUCUUCUAACGUCAUACUAUAAAUGUUUUUUAGGAGUAUCAUUACACUUAGCGAUAUCCUAAGAUCUGGAAAACAUGAUCACUAACAACACUUGAGCCAGUCUUAGAGGCAAGAUUAGGAACCUAUUCUCUACUGUUUAUCAUUCCACACGUGCAUAUGAGUUUUCCACUGAGUCGCCUAUUCCAGGAUCAUAGCAGUUAUAGCGUGAAAUAUAAACACUUAAUUAUGAAAAUGAAAUUAUAAUAAUACAAUACUAUUGCCUCUAGGGCAUAUUCCCAAUAGUAUUAUGUUGUUGCUGCCGAUGUAAAGUCCACCAAUAUCGCGUCAUGAUCUGAAGUCACGAUUGUCAGGUGAGUUUAAUCAGCAAGUGAAACAUUCAUUGCCAGUCCACAAAAACCAUCACUCGGUCUAGGCGCACCAUUGUGAAAGUUCCACAUGUAACCUUCAUCUCAAAGGUCGGGCCAGAGUAACCCAAAUCCAACAGCAUGCAGACAUCAACCUUGUCUUGAAAAGCUUGGAUCUGCACACUGCUGCGUUGUCCAACUCCUUCGUGCUCAUCUGUAUGUAAAACUUCAUUGAAAUCGCCCAGGCAAAGCCAUGGGAGAUUGCUGGAAGUACUAAUGUUUUUAAUAGUAUACCAUGUUUGGUGCCUCAAGUGGGUUUGAGCUUCACCAUACACUAUUGUAACUCUCCAAGGAUCAAGGCUUGGUUCAAGAAUGGAGCACUCAAAAUAAUACACAGAGUAACCAAUAAUAUCUAUUUUUAUUUCAUUAUUCUAGAAAAUGCCAAUACCGCCAUUUCUAUCCUGGCUAUCAAUCGCAUAUCCAUUAUCAUACCCUAAUGUUCCUACUAAAGAUUCUACCCUUGAGCCUCUUGUUGGGUUUCUACUAUGUAGACGAUGGUAGGGGAAAAUUUCCUUGUGAAAUCACAAAGCUCACUGAUUAUCGUGGCUCUGCCCGCACCGCAACAAUUCUAGCAGAAGACACACAUUGGACAUGGCGGCACUCCUCUAGGGAGCCUAACAAUUUUGCCAUUGGGUUUUUUGUGUUGCCACCGUUCUUAUGCAACGUGUUCUUAUCUGCUGCAAUUACUUGUCCUUGACCUGUUUUGUUCCUGCCGAGACGAGGGGCUCGAUGGGAUUUGAGGGGAAGGUAGCGUCGGUGUUUUGCCUUGGGCCGACAUAGCUGUUAUGGCUAACUCAUCUGCCACUGGAUCAACUGUCGUUGCAAGCUCUGAAGCUCGUUUUUUGUUCAGUUCAGCCUUGUGCAUGUAGGCAUCAGGGUCCUCAUACUCUGAUUCCCCCUGGGUGCGCUUUGGUCCAUGACUAGUCCUGCCGCCGUGGCCACGGCCUCGCCCUCUCCCUCCUCCAGGUCCUCUCCACGCUCCCUUGAACCAGCUAGCUCACAGAUUUUUGAAAACUAGGGCUAACGGUGGAUGCACUCCAUCCCGACAUUCCUUGUACAUGUGGCGCAAAUAACCACAAACCACGAAUGAAUCUGGUAGCCGCUCAUAUGCGACUGUGAAGACCAUAUGUUCAUACACAUUUAACAUUUUUCAAAUGCUUGAGUUACAUUUUUUCAAAUACUUGUUCAACAUUUAUUUUAGAUACUUGUUCAUCAUCUUUUGAACAUAUGGUCAACAUUUCUUCCAUACCAAAACCCCAAUGUAUUGGGAAGAUGUCUACAUAUAAAAAAUUAGGACAAAUAAUGGAGUGGAAUAAAAAAUGCAUUGGGAAGAUGCAAGCUACCAUCUCUUUUUUUAUUACCAAAACCCCAAUGAGCUAAAUGUAGAAUGUUACUGGUCUUGAUUACCGUGUGAUGACAGAGAAGCAUUUUUUCUACUUUCGUGUGCAUUGGGAGGAUAGGAAUACACUCUUUUGUGGACAAAAUUUAAAGCCAAACGUACACCCUUCAGCGGACGGAGGGACUACAUAGUAAACAUUUUCCAUAUGCUUGGUUAACAUUUAUUAAAUACAUCUUCAACAUUUUUUUCAAAUACUUGAUUAAAAUUUGUAUACAUAUUAUAAAAAAUUCAUCAUUUUUUCAUAUAUGGUCAACAUUUUUCUAUACACAUUUAACAUUUUCAAAUGCAUAACUAUUUUUAGAAAAAACUUUAUGUAGAGUAUAUUUUUGUCAUAUAUAUAUAUAUAUAUANNNNNNNNNNAAAUGCUUGAGUUACAUUUUUUCAAAUACUUGUUCAACAUUUAUUUUAGAUACGUGUUCAUCAUCUUUUGAACAUAUGGUCAACAUUUCUUCCAUACUCCCGCCGUCCGGUGAAAUGUCUACAUAUAAAAAAUUAGGACAAAUAAUGGAGUGGAAUAAAAAAUGCAUUGGGAAGAUGCAAGCCACCAUCUCUCUUUUUAUUACCAAAACCCCAAUGAGCUAAAUGUAGAAUGUUUGGUCUUGAUUACCGUGUGAUGACAGAGAAGCAUUUUUUCUACUUUCGUGUGCAUUGGGAGGAUAGGAAUACACUCUUUUGUGGACAAAAUUUAAAGCCAAACGUACACCCUUCAGCGAACGGAGGGACUACAUAGUAAAGAUUUUCCAUAUGCUUGGUUAACAUUUAUUAAAUACAUCUUCAACAUUUUUUUCAAAUACUUGAUUAAAAUUUGUAUACAUAUUAUAAAAAAUUCAUCAUUUUUUUCAUAUAUGGUCAACAUUUUUCUAUACACAUUUAACAUUUUCAAAUGCAUAACUAUUUUUAGAAAANNNNNNNNNNNNNNNNNNNNNNNNNNNNNNNNNNNNNNNNNNNNNNNNNNNNNNNNNNNNNNNNNNNNNNNNNNNNNNNNNNNNNNNNNNNNNNNNNNNNNNNNNNNNNNNNNNNNNNNNNNNNNNNNNNNNNNNNNNNNNNNNNNNNNNNNNNNNNNNNNNNNNNNNNNNNNNNNNNNNNNNNNNNNNNNNNNNNNNNNNNNNNNNNNNNNNNNNNNNNNNNNNNNNNNNNNNNNNNNNNNNNNNNNNNNNNNNNNNNNNNNNNNNNNNNNNNNNNNNNNNNNNNNAAACGACAACAAUUUAUCCUCAUCAUUGAUAUUAAUCGGGAUACCAGUAACUCCGUUGCACUAAACACAACUAAACUCGAUUCAUCUAAUUACGCCUAUGGGGAAGUGCAACCAACAAAUAAGAAUCAUUCGCCCAGUAUAAUAAACAGAUCUGAAUCGCACGACAUUGACGCAGCCGGCAAACAAACCUAGAGUUAAAAAUAAGCAGGUGGAAGAGAGAGAAAGGGUUUAUGAUGGUCAUCACCUGGAGGUGCACCGUGUGAGCUGCUGCGUCAGGGCUUGCACCUCGUCAAAGUCCACUUCGGGCUCCUCCCUGCGAUUUUCAGAGCAGGUAAUUAAGAUGAGUCAGUACCGAGACAGAGAGCAGAGGGAGAGAUGAUAGAGGGCGUGGGGGUAGACAUCGGGGUAGACAUCAGGAUGUCGAUGUCGUCGAUGAUCUCGGAGGCGUCGUAGAUGAAGAGGCGGGAGACCUUGACGUGGUGCCCUGGUCCCACAGCUCCUCGAAUGUGUCCUCGUCCACGACACCCUGGAUCGACGUCGACCACGGCAAGGCAAACUGAUAGGCCAAGUCAAGCCAAAUUCCACAACCACACGACUAGAGGGCAGGGGAGGGGCCUCACCUCGGUGUACAUGCCGGCGAUAUGGGCGUUGAGCUGGGCCCUACGGUAUGAUGUUCCAGCGAUCAUCGUUGGAGCUGUAGUUGGCGACUUAAUUAGCCCAGACUUUUCGUACCAAUGCAAAUACACCUAAGCCCAGAGAUGCUCUUCACGCUGUCUCGCGAACCGAUAGCUUUGUGAUCCCUGGAUGUGACCUCACAGACCAUCCAUUCUGUUUUUCCCUCCUCUGGCUACUGCUCGUGGUGUCGUCGUACUCUUAUAAGGAGGCCACGCUGAAAUUUCAGACCGAAAGGACAUGUUUAACAUGCGGAAAUAUGGUGAUUGGCUACACUCUGGGGACAACAACCAACAACAAGACUUGCUUAUAGAGAAAAACAAACCGAACAUACAGCAAAACAAAGUCACUAGAGGACCAACCAACCAGGUAUAGGUUUUAUAAACAGCCCAUAGGAAGGGCGGCAACACAUCCACGACACACUAAAAUAUGGACUUCACACUGACAUCAACACACGACAAUAGUUUUUGUUCACAGGGUUACGAGCCCAAAGUUUCGACACGAGAAUAUUCAUCUAAGUUUUACGCGCACCCUUUGAAAACCGCUACAUCUUCGGAGACACAUGGAACACAUAAUGCAAGGGAUUGCAUGGGGCCACGUUCUCCCCCCUUCACUUGCCGCUACUUAGGAGUUAGGACCGCUUGCCGCGAUCUGUUCUUCGAGCUGCAUCAAAAGAUGAAUAAUAGGUCAAUGAUUAAGAUAAGUCUAUGGCACAUAAUGAUGCUCAAGUCACGUGGUUUCACUAAUCAGCCAUGUUACAAGUUAGCUAGUUUCUUAUUUGCGCAUUUGGCGAAGCUUAAUUUAAGCUGGGAAACAAAGAAUUUCUACCACUUUUUUAGCUACCAUGUGCAUCUACCAAGCAUGAUGACAAAAUUACCACAUAAUCAUUUAACGGCUAAAUGAGACUUUUCGGUACCUCAAACUAAGUGAUCCAAAUCAUAAUGUCAAAAGAAUUAGAUUAAGUAUUAAACAUUGUUCCCUUUUCUCUAUCUUAAUAUGACCAAUCUAUGAGUUAUGAAACUAGCGGGAAUUUGGUAUCAAAAUCCAACAUUAGGCACAUAAGGUGCUACCUGCAUCAUGAUCUCCAACUCAUGUCGCACAUUUUAGAACUCAUUCCUAACAAGAGCCAAUGACAUGAGACACCUGAAAUAAUGCAAAAAUACCACAUUGUCAGAUUCUGAAGAGGUUAACAGAACUGAGAUGAAAUGGUUCAAAAAUUGUAACCCUAUGCUUCAAAAGAGAAAAACCUCUAGCCAUAUAUGAAUUUAGUUGUGCGAUAAACAGAAGUCUAGAGCCAAUAAAUUACAAGAGAACCAUCAAAAUGUAGCAUAUUCAGAUAAUGAACUGAGUAAUAUCAACAAUGUGAUUGCAGACGAAGUGAAAAAGUAAAUCAGGUUACUUCUUAACAAUGUUAGAUUGGUAUGAGCUGAAAAUAACGACAGAAAAGACAACAUGAGCUGGUAGGUUUACAUGGAGACAUUGAAAAACAAUGUUGUGAAUAAUUAUUGUGUAACAAUAUUUAAUAAGCUGUUGAGUUCUGACCCAUGUUUGUAUUGUAUGGCAUAGAAAUUGCCGAAGUGCAUGCAGGCGAGGUUUACUUGCUGUGCACCAACACUGAAACAUGCAAAAAAAAAUGCAGAUCAGGAAAUUAGGAACUUAUCAAACUUAUUUUAAACUGAGACGUCAACUCAAUAAUAUUCCCAAGGAGCCAUUUCCUAUCAUGAUUGUCAACUCCAUGAAUUGUUUGAUGAACCAGAAAAAAACACCAUUGCCGUCAUGUGCAAUGGCAGAUCAGUAGUACCAGAAAUAUUCAGAAAACGACAAAGUUUUUCUUGACAAACCAUGAAAUUGUCAUGAAUACCGACAAAUCCGCUACACGAGACACAACUACGAUCAGGUCUUCUAAUUUUCGAUAUACGACACCCGAAUCACGUCCAUGACGUAGACACCCUGCGCCUGACAAAUCUGAAUAGAAACAACACCGUUCCAAUGGAGAAACAGAAAAAAUGGCCAUUGGUGUUAUGUAGAAUUGCAGAUCAUUAAUACCAGCCAUGCUUAUAAAACAACAAUUUAUUUCAUGUUCGGACUAGAAUUAUGGCAUUGCCCAAAGAACAGACACGAUAGUAGAACAAACAUUUGCAAAACGACAAAAGUUCCCCUCGCCAAGCUAUAUGAUUUGAUUGAAAUUGGGAAGAAUACCAAAAAAAAUUGUUACACGAUAUAUGACUAAACUCAUCUCUUCUACCUAUGGCUAUACGGCGCCUGUAGAAUGACACGAACCUCAAUUGUGCGGCCGUGUCGUGAGGUACGCACCCCGUGCCGACACAUCCAAAUAAAGAACAACAUCAAUGCCGUGGACAAACUAGAAAAAACACAAUUAGAGAUACAUAGAAUAGCAGAACAUUAAUACUAGAAAAACCACCAUUAGUAAUACACAGAAUAGCAGAUCAUUAAUACCAGGAAUAUUCCGAAAACGACAACAAUUUAUCCUCAUCAUUGAUAUUUAUCGGGAUACCGGUAACUCCGUUACACUAAACGCAACUAAACUCGAUUCUUCUAAUUACGCCUAUGGGGCAGUGCAACCGACAAAUAAGAAUCACUCGCCCAGUAUAAUAAACAGAUCUGAAUCGCACGACAUUGACGCAGUGGGCAAACAAACAUAGAGUUAAAAAUAAGCAGGUGGAAGAGAGAGAAAGGGUUUAUGUUGGUCAUCACCUGGAGGUGCACCGCAUGAGAUGCUGCGUCAGGGCUUCCACCUCAUCAAAGUCCACUUUGGGCUCCUCCCUGCGAUUUCCAGAGCAGAUAAUUAAGAUAAGUCAGUACCAAACAGAGAGUAGAGGGAGAGAUGAUAGAGGGCGUGGGGGGCGGACAUCAGGAUGUCGAUGUCGUCGAUGAUCUUGGAGGCGUCGUAGAUGAAGAGGCGGGAGACCUCGACGGCGGUGCCCUCGUCCCGCAGCUCCUCGAACGUGUCCUCGUCCAUGACACCCUAGAUCGACAUCAACCACGGCAAGGCAAACUCAUAGGCCAAGUCAGGCCAAAUUCCACAACCACACGACUAGAGGGGAGGGGAGGGGCCUCACAUCAGUGUACAUGCCGGUGAUAUGAGCGUUGAGCUGCGCCCUCAGUGCUGCGGCUGCCAUGGCAAGGCGAGGAGAAGUCCGGCGGUCCGGGGGACUGAGCGGUGGAGAUGGGGGAAAUUCGGCUGCGGAUGCGGAGUGAACAAGGACGGGAUCGAGGAGGAGCGGAGGUUGUAUAGCUGGGCUCACGAGGGUCUCUCACGUAGGCGUUUGGCAGCGAGUGCUCUACUAGCUGUACUGCGUCGUCGGCCGGGCGCCAUUAGUUAGCUUGGAAACGGCCCGCGUGCGUAAUGCGUGCAUGCAUCAUGCAUUCAGGCAUGGAACCACCGGUUGUGUGUCCACGUGUUCAUGGAAGUGAGCGUCUGUUUCAACUUUAAUCUCUUUUCCUUUCAUAAAAAACUUUAGUCCCUCACAAUGCUUAUAGGGACGAAUAGAAGACCAUCCACUCUCCUCUGUCUCACUUGAGUGAAUUGGUUUCGAGAGCAUUCCACCACUUUUUAUGAUUUUCACAGUUUCACUUUCAACCCGAUUCACCGCCUACAUGCCCUUUACGUCCAGUCAUUCCAAAGAGUACUUGCCCCCCACCCCUUGUCUUAGCGCGGCUGCUGGCACGCAGUUACCGGGGCUUCUUCCUCUAGUUCUGCCGUGAUCGCGCACUCGACGUAAGAGCUUUACAAGGAGCAUUGACCUUCUUCACUAACGCGAGAUUGCUGGAUUGGGCUUUCGCCCAUUGUCCAAGAUUCCCCUCUGUUGCCCCCCAUGGGAGUUUGGGUUGUGUCUCAGUCCCAGUGUGGCUAAUCAUUCAAAAAGACCAGCUAAGCAUCAUUGGCUUGGCCAGCAUUUACCUGACCAACUAACUAAUGCUACGCAGGCUCAUCAAACAAUGCUUUGAACUUUCUUCAGAAUUCGGCCCAAACUAUUCAACAGAUUCCCACGCAUUACGCAUCCGUUCGUCACUUUGUUCUCACCUAUUCCGAUUAAUUCCAGCAAACGGAGGCUGUUAGGUCAAAGCCGCAGCGCACGCCCUAUAGUUUUGAAGCAAGGCGAGACAACUUUAGCUAUGGGGAGACCUAACCAAACAUGGCGGUCAACCCCUAGAAUAAAUCAUGCUUCACGAGUUUGCGAGCUUCAACAUUCAAGCUCCUAAAUUCAUGGCUAAUGAUACAAUUAGUAAAAGUAGCCUUCCGAUCUAUGAUCCAUGUAUGAUUGCUCUGUAUAUAGCUGCGCUCUUCUGAUGUAUAUCUGCAACACUACCUUGAAAUCUGAAGCCACCUGAAUCUUCCUCUCAUAGAGAUUAUCAGCAAGCGCAAGUGCCACCCUUAUUGCUGAAGAUUCGACAGUAGCAAGAUCUAAUAUAUGUGGGAACACAAUGGCUGACACACCCAGAAAAUUACAUGCUUGAUCUCUGCAUAUAGCUCCCAUUGCGCCUCGAGUGCCGCCUGGUCCAACCACCGAACCCACAUUGACCUUCACCAUUGCUUUGGGUAGCGCUCAGCUUAGUUAAGUAACUCUGCACAAAAGCCUGAAAAGUGAAAGGACUUUUAUAUAUCUCCUCAUGUAUAGCUUUGUGCCCAGCUCCCCAUAUCAUCCGCAAAAGUGAUCGUAAACAUGAUAAAAUCCUCCUCAUGUGAUAACACCUCAUGCAUGGUGAAUAGCCAUUGUUUGGUGUCAUCAUUUACAUUCAGACUCAACCGCUCGACAAUUUGCUCGUAUGAUAGUGCCCACAUGCUCCUUGAAACCAAGCAAUUCAGCAGGGCGUGCCUGCACGUAUCAUUAGACCCGCACAAACAACAAGCACUCAUCGUCGACAUGUUUCUAUGAUGAAGAAGGACAUUGUGAGUAUUGUGCUAAUCUCCACAUGAACACCUUGAUUUUCGAGGGGCUUUUAUAUGCCAUAAGUCUGUCCAUCCUGGACAAUCAGCCUCUGAGUUUGAUCGGCCGCCCUGCUCAUACAGCCAUGAUUCUCUAUUGAUCUUGGUUCACUGUAUCAUCUUGUAAGCGGAAUCCACAGUGAACAUACCCCUUCUAUCCUCACUUCAAGCACAAAAUCAGAUAUAUGUCUCGUGCAAAGAGGGAUCUUCAAUAUAGUCUCGGCAUCAAUGGGAAUAAGUUACGAUUAAAUAAGUUCAUCCGUUGACGACAUAGUGUAAUCAGUGUGUUCAGCGACCCUUGUCGGCGGCUGUGGUAUUUGUGAAGUUCUUGGCCUCUUUAUAUGCUCUCUAGUUAUCUAGUUGUCAUUCCAAAUAUCAGGGGAUUCUCUAUCUCCUAAUCUCCAUAUCAAACCAUGAGUCGUUAUGUCUUUCCCAUGCAAAAUAGCCCGCCAUAUCUGUGAUGGGUGUGGUCCCAAGGUUGCAUCAGAAAGAGAGUUAUUUGGAUAGUAGAAAACUUUUAAGAUUAAUGAACUCAGAGAACCGGUAUGGUCUAGCAAGGUACAGGCUUGCCUGGCAAGUAGGGCUAGAUUAAAGAUCUCAAAUAAUCGGUCUCAUCGUAACAUCCCAUGAGACCCAGCAUGGCUUCCUUCUCCCAUGUUUACUUCCCUACCAAAAUUGUUGGAUUGAAGAGGUGACACUCGCGCAACAUCCUCGCGGGAAACAGAAGCGGGCCAUGGAAUAUACCGGAAUUGCCUAUGCCAUAGAGUUUAUCAAAACCUCUUUACCUGUAGUUGACAGGAGCUUUUCCAUCUAUCCUCUCAGCUUUUCCGAAACUCUGUCACGUAAGUAUUUGAAAGUCAUGUUCUUGGACUGCCCCACAUCAGUUGGCAUACACAAUUUCCUGUCAUUGAGCGACUCAUUUUAGACGUUCAAAGUAUGCUUGACAUCUUCCUUGAGAGCCUGAGGGCAUCCUCUCUAUUGCAAAAUAUAAAGGACUUGCCAUGAUUUAUUCUUCGUCUGGAUCCCAACCAAUAAUUCUCUAGUAGGUUUGAUACUUCAACUGCCCAAUCAUGACUUGACUUAAAAAGCAAGAUGUUGUCAUCUGCAAAAAGUAGAUGGUUCACAGCCAAAGUUGUUGGUGCCACUUAAGCGUGAUGAAGAAGAACUGGAUUUCAGGAGGCAUUAAAGGCCCUCUACUGCAAUUAAGAAAAGAUAUGGGGAUAUUGGAUCUCCCUGCCGGAUAACUCUUUUGGGUUGUAAUUGAUCAAGUAUCCCACGAUUAAAAAGAACCGAGAAAGAUACCGUCUGAACCAUGCCCAUAACUAUUUGUACCCAUGUAGGAGAAAACCCCAAUUUCAACAUCGUGGCUUUAGAAUAGUCCCACUCCAACCUAUCAUAUGCCUUCCUCAUAUCGAGCUUCAAAGCAUAGUAGCUACUAACUUUUUCCCUCGCUGCAUUUCAUGAAAUGUAAGAACUCAUAUGCACUAAUAAUAUUAUCCGUGAUCAUUCUUCCAAGGACAAAAAUUGAUUGCUCCUCAGAUAUGAUAUCAGGAAAAAUUUGCUUCAAUCUAUUUGCAAUAACCUUGGAAGCUAUCUUGUAUAAAACAUUGCACAACUGAUAGGCCUAAAUUUUGUUAAGAGGGUUUGGUUUUUUACCUUUGGAAUCAAAACCAGAAUUGUAUCAUUGAUGCAUUCAGGUCUAUCUUCCCCUCUCACGAUUGUCAAAACCGCCUCUAUUACUUCUUUACCACAAAUAUCCCAAUGAUGCUAAUAAAAAUGGGCAGGGAACCCAUCAGAGCAUGGAGCCUUCAUUGGGAACAUUUGAAAUUGUGGCACCCUGGCUCAGAGUAACCGGUUUACCUUGCAUUGACAGCCCAGAGAUCAAGUCUUCUGGCAACACAUAACAACUUGGUACAUACAUAACCGCUUUAUUGAUCUCUUGCGGAUACAUAGGUUUGAUGAUUACAUAAGAAAGCGAGGCCAAGCGGCACACACGGUGCGACUCCACUAUGUACAUUAUCUAUUAAACAUCUCAAGGGCCUUGAUGCUAGAGGAUACAACUACUCAGUAGCGAAACAAUGAGCUAGCAGAACUCCAUGCCACAAGGACACUACUAGGACACAGCCUAGAUCGUGAAGUACCGAUCAACCUCAACUCCUUGCACGGUUUCUCCUGCAUCUGGCAUGACGCACCAGGUGGGUACUUUGAAUGUAGUCGCAAGCUCACAGCAAAAAUGACAAACAAUAACAUGGAAUGAACAAAUUAAACAUGAUCAUUAGCAUGAUGUUACCAAUCGCAGUGUGCAAGAGUGGAAUACCGUCAUGGUCCCUUGGACCAACUUACCCAUCUCAAGGGUUACCUCGUAACCACCAUUGAUAGCAACCAUACCAUCGUGAUCAACACACGAUCACCUCAAGAUCAACUGACUUCUUCUUGUGCAAGCUCGAGGUUCAUAAGUGUGCAAGUUAAUUAUUUAUCUUGACCCAUAGUGUGACCUACUACAAACUGUGUCCAUAACCGAGGACGUGGCUAUCGAUAGAUUAUACACUCUACAUAGGCUAGUACACUGUACCCACACUAUGGAACUCAUGGCCUCAUGCUCCCAUUCGGGUGGACUAACGAGGUUCCAACAAAACCAAUCUAUUAUAUACACUCUCCCGACCACUCCGAAAAACUCCUGUCUGGGCUAUGCCAUGGGUCACCCCUAUGUCAACUCGUGAAUCCGCCACCUUUGUGGCCGCCACCGCCGUGGCCAACCAAACUUUAUCGUCCCAAACGGGGACCUCGAUACUAUAAAACUUGGGCUCAAAAGGUUAUUGACGCCUACUGGGCUAGGGUAGCACGUGCACAUAACAUUCCCUCGUUAGAGGCACCGGCGAGAGGCAUGAUAAUAGAGCGAAUUAGAACAUCCUCAUCCAAGAAAGUGUGGUUGCACUAGUGAGCUCGAUUCGGUGGCACUAUGACUCUAUUAAUAGCUUUGAUCAAGUUUGAUUAUAGUCAAGUUUAACUUGAAUGAAAAUGAUUCGAGCCAUAGAAUGCAAUAGGGUGCAUGAUAGUGAGCUAAAUGGUGGAUGAAUCCUAACUUAACCAUAUAACAUUUACUCUACUGUCUACAACAUACAUAUGACAUGGAAAUUAGCAUUGUUUGACAUGAAAAAUAAUAACAAACAACAAUGGUUAUCGUGUUAUUAUCUCUCAAUGCGCCAGGGGAAAUAAAAAAUUGCGGGCGUGCCAGUGUACUAAGUACACAAAUAAACAGAGGGAAACAUGCACUUUAUUAAUCUCUCAGUGGAGAAACAAAAUUACAAGAUCCCUUUACAUAUGCGCUCCGUGGCCUACUAGCGCGGCCUGCCUGACUGUGGCGAUUGCGGUCUCCUGGUUCCCAGGGCCUCGGAAGGCUCCCGGUUAAUUACUCCCGCGGGUUGCUUCGCGAGAUACCUUCAAUUAAGCUGUGUGGUCGUCUUCGUUGUCUUCGCUUCUCGUCCUCCAUGCAUGAUGAUGGUGAUGUGUGUGUGGGCAGCGGCAGAGCCCGUGUCCUCGUCGGUACACACGCCGCAAGUGGCGUGGUCUUAGCGGUGGCCGCGCCUGCCCUGGCCGUCGUGCCUCGUCGGUCUUGGCGGCGUUGGAGUAGUUGGUGUUGGGGUAGCAUGGGUCGCGGUCGGCUCAGACUUCUUGAUGACAUGUUGCUUCAUCGGGGUGUUCAAGAGGCUACGCCUUGCGGGAGUAACAGUUUGGGGAGACCGGCGUCAGUGUAAAAACUAACGGACACACGCUCACAUUGGCGUGGCCGGGGUGGUUGGCGCCUCAUCUUGACUAGACGCCAAGUAUUUGGCGGUCUGCCAAGGCAAAGGCGCCGCCUCACAGGGCCGUGGAAAGUGGUGUCGCAAAGGCCGCAUCGCCUUGGGCUGGUACUACGUGAAAGAGUGACCUGUGCGCCGGCGAUGCCAUGGACCUAUACACUAAGGACCUGUCCGCCAUGGUGGGUGUGCCUCUCGAAGGAGGGACUAUCUUGGACAGCGUCGUUGCAACAUUCGUUUCAGUGAAGGAUCUGUACGCCAUUGACCUGUUCGUCGGGGACGCGGGCCUCAUGAAGGAGGGACCGGUCUUAGACCCGUCGUUGCGGAUAUUGGUUCCACCAAGGAUCUGUACGUCGUGAUGGGAAAGGCGGGGGCUGCGUUGUCGGCGAGCUCCGGUUCCGCCGCACCGUCCCCUCCAAGAGUGUGACGCAAAACCUGUCCACCGUGGCCUUGUUCGUCGCAAUCUGUGCGUUAUGAAGGGAAAAGCGAGACUCGGGCUGCGUCGUCAGCGAGCUCCGGUUCCGCCAUGCCGUCUCCUCCAAGAGCGUGAUGCAAAACCUAUACGCCUGUGUAUCCUUUGCCAUGAACCUGUUCACAAUGGCCCUGUUCGUCGCAAUCUGUGCGUCGCGACCUGUACACCAUGGGCUAUUCGCCGAGCGCCAUGAAGGCCGCCAUGGUAGAGCGCCGGGGCUAGCGGUUGGGCCGCGUCGUUGGCGAGCUCCGGCAGCUCCCGAGUCAUCUCCAGCCAAGAACAUGACACCUGAAAAUAAAAGGCUUGGCGUAGACGAUCUCCGGCGGUGUCAGUGCAGUCUACUGUUUCGGUGCAGUCAUCUCCGGCGGCGGCGAUGGGAUCACACGAGGGUCAUCUCCGGUGACCGGCACAUACUCUCCGCGUAGCGAAUGCAUGCUAGAGAGGAGACAGAAGAAAAUAGAUGUAUUAGAUCAAAAUCUCACCCUUCGGGAACAUAAGCUUGGUGUCCAUGUCGCUGGCGCUGGUGUUCUCGCCCGGCUGCGUUGGCCCGUCGAUGCUAUCUGGUCUUCUGCCUGGUGAGUUAUGGUGGAUGAAGUGCAGCGUGAUGGAUGAGUACGAUCUAUGUGGGCGCUCGCAAAUUGAUGUGCAGCCUUGCGGCGUGGGUUCUCCCUCUCUGGCCGUGCGUGCGUGUGCAGGGCGACGGCGUCUACGCGUGCGUGCCUCUCUCCUCGUGCCUUUUUUUCCUGCGAAUGGCCUUGUGCCUCUUUAUAUAGGCAGCGGGGUGGGAGCUGGCGAUGCUCAGCCAAGGCCACGGCCUAGAUAUGGACUGUAACCAAUCCAUCUAUCUUCGCUGCUUAUCAUUUCAUUAUUUUUCUUGGCGCACACUUCUGCCAAAAACAAAACAAGACCGAACCAAAUAACACACGUACAUGGCUGGCUGUAGGUGGGCCGAUUCGACUGCCGAAAAUAUGACUCUCUGGCCGUCUCCAAAGCUCACCCAUUUGUAAUUUAUUUUAUACAGAUUAUACGGGUAUUCGGGUAUGUAUGCAUGCUUGCCGGCCGGUACAUGGGUAUUCAGAUACGCAUACGAUCCGACCGAGACGUCUUCUGGGACGUGAACUGCACCAAGUCUUACAUCUACCUGAUUAACUCGUGAGUAGCCUAGCUCAUACCAGGCAUGUGAUUGGCAAAACAAAUACACUUGCAUGCAUGCAUGGUACGUCAAGCGAACCUAGUCAAAUAUGUGCAGGCAUGUACGUGUACAUCCAAAUAUCAACAUGGACGUGUAACUUGCACUAAAAUAAAUUGCAUUUAGACUUAGAUUUCUGAAAGCAAGAAGCACAAAAACACCUCAAACAAGCAUAAUGUAAAAAGUAGCAUGCAGGUAAUAGUUUAAAUUCAUAAGGCAUAUAAGUAAUCUAUAUUCAAUUGGAACCAAAUCCAUUGCAAUGCCAUCUUGCAAAUGAAUGUUGUGGCUUGCCUUAGUUCAGAGGAGUGUCACGAUACUCCUGGUCUUCUCACAUAGAAUUAGUUUCUUCUAAAAAUAAAUUUCAUAACAAAAAGAAAAUGUCACAUAAAGCUUUUUCUAAUACCAUAAAUUCUAGACAGCAAGGGAUAAUCUCAAAUUGCACCAACAUAAAGUUCAGCUCAUGACGAAACUAUAGCAAAAAGUUCAACUCAUUUGGACUUUUGGUUUAGAAAUCAUAGCUAGUCAAAGUUUGGGUCAAAAUCUAAUUUUAAAUUGAAUUAACAGAAAUUCUAAGGAGGGCCACGUCGAAGGCGUUUUUGCUAGGGCGCCUCCAUAGAAAAUGAUUCGGGGGGAAGAGAGAAGCUUACCAGUAUGGUCCCCGUGUUAGGUUUAGGAGAGAGAAGGAGAGAGAGAGAGAGAGAGUAGAGGUGGGCGGCUAUUGCCAAUGAUCCUCCUGUGAGGAGACCAUGGCGGCUGUCGGCGAUGGUCGUGAUGGGUUCAGAACAGCGUGGGGAGCACGCACGUCCCCCUUGCUUGGUCGGAGGUGGACGAACGGCGAGGCUGGCUUCCUCUCCAGAGAAGAUGGGCAAUCGAGCUCAUCGGAGUCGGUGUUCCCGAUAUUGUUCCGACUGAUCAACUACACCGUCGUGCUCUAGAGAUCAAUACGAGCUCGCCUGAAGAAGUCGUGGAAGCAGAGGAGGGCAGGACCGAGAGAAUGGUCUAGGGGGAUCCGCAGGCAACUCCAGCGAUGGUUGAAGACAGGAGGCCCUCCUAGCCUUGCCCCGCUCGUCGGUGGUCAACUUGUGGCCAGUGGAGGAGUGGUGGAUAGUUUGACCAGCUAGGGAGGGGUCUAUUUAUAAGAGAGAGGGAGAUGCCGAGCACCGAGCACCGCCAUGAGGAAGCUAGCGGAGCUCUGGCGAGGCGUGUAGCUCGGGCACGGGUGGUGAAGUGACUAGAGUGGCACGGGGUGAUGUAGAUGCAUGCGGGCAAAGCUAGGGCGCGCGAUGUGGGUCAGGCGACGCACUAACGCACACUAUUCCCGCACGGGCACGCCGUGUCCGCGUCCGGCGAGCCUCUUGCCGACGUCGGGAAGGACUUGGAGCUGGCCAAGUGGAAGAGGAGAGCAAGUGAGGCGGCGCGGGCAAGCUGUAGUGUCGCAAGGGCGGCAUUUGGGUGACGGCCGAGGGUCCCGGCGUCCAGAGCGCGCGCAUUGCAUGUCGAACAACUGCAUCCCGCAUGGUCACUGCAUGAAGUGGCACACGCGGGACUUUAGGCCAACAGGCCAAAAACCAGGGUGUCACAGAGAAAGAGUGCAUUUUUGAGUUCCUCGAGUGUGUAAGGGGAAACUAGCAUAUCAUUCAUCUCAGUUGUGACCUUGCUUGGGACAUUUUUUUAGUAUUAUAUCCAUAUAACUUACACCCUCAGAUGUAUACAGAGAUUUGUAGAAUUCAUGGACCAUGUUUUUCAACUCCUUCGAUCCUCCGCCGUUACACCAAGAGAAUUCUGCAAAGCUUUGGUCAUAUUUUUCUUCCUCGAGAUGCUAGCCUGAAGAUGGAAAAGCUUCAAGUUUUUGUCUCCCGAAGCCAACCACUCAGGUCUUGCUCGUUGCCGCCACAUCACCUCCUCACGAUGGUACAUCUCUACUAAUUUUUCAUUGAUUUUUAGCUCGGCGUGAGUGGGAACCGUCCUGUUUGGAUCAGACCAAAGCUUUUCUGAUUCUCGCUUUGUUUUGAUCUCCUUGCAUACACUGCCAAAUGUAUCAUUGUUCCAGCGCAAGAGACGGCUGCCAACUUCGUACUCAACUCGUUUGUUCCGAAGGUGGUACCCGAUGCAGCCAUGUCGUGUUAAUCAUAUCACCCCAUUGCUCAUGUCCUUCCCUCAUAACCUCGUAAAACGGUCUUGCCCUUGUGUUUGUUGGGAAACGUAGUAGAAAACAAAAAAGUGCCUCUACGCACACCCAAGAUCAAUAUGAAGAUGCAUUACGUGUUGAGGUCAUGAUUAUUGCCGUCUCCGUGUUGCAGCAGAAAAAUAACGUGUCAGUUUAGAUCAUACUUGGAGUCCCUUGAACCUUCGAGGAACAAUCCCGCAAACCGCUGACGAACAAUGCCUCGAAUUGAAGACUGAAAGCACAGUCUCUCUACUUGUUUGCAAGCGUGCAACCUUCAUGACCUGGUAGCGCUUCGCCGUUUACUCUUGUCUACUUACACUGAGCUAAAGCAACUCUAAUGGUGUUAAAUCUUGCAACAAGAGUAAGAAAGAUUCUUCUUCUAAUAGUAACAAUAAUCAUGCUAAACCCAAUGUUGUUGCUUCUAGUAGUUCUCUUGAGUCCACUAAUGAUCCUCUUAGCCAAGUUACAUUUGAUCAAGAAAAUAGCUAAUUAAAGGGAAUUAUAGAGAAAGGUGUUUACAAGAGCCUUGCCGGAAGUAAGCAAUUUGAGGAAAUUUUAUGCAAGCAAGGAAGACACCGGAAGAAUCAAGGAAUUGGUUUUGAAUGAAGGUUUAAUGCCAAUGGAGUUGAGUGGGAAGAAGAUCAAUACCACAAGAAGAAGUUUGUUCCUCAACAAAAGAAGUAUGAUCCUACUUCUUUCCAAGGAACACAAGCUCAAGAUGUUCUUCCACCACAAGACCACAAGCAAAAAGGCAAGGACAAGCUUCAAGAGGAGAUUGAUGCAUUUGAAGAAUCUCCCAAAGCCUUGGUCAAGUGGGUUCCCAAGACUACAUCAAGUUCAACUUCAUCGAGUACGACUACAACUCCAGGGGUUCCCAUCAAGAUGGUGUGGAUCCCGAAGAAAAAGAACUAGAGAGUUCUUGAGGGUGACUCCGCCAACACUUCACUCAUAUCUUUUGGCAAGGACACGUGCAAAAAACUUCCAUAUCUUGCACUAGUUCAAGGAGUCACAAACCCUCUUGUUGAUAAGACAAGGGACAAGGUAACCUAAUGCUUUCAUGGACAUCAUCUUAUGUGAACAUCACUCUAUGUCUAUGGAUAUCCUUGUUUGUUCCUUGUGGGACUAACCCGUGUAGGUAUUGAAAGUGCAACUCACUCUAAUGGAUUUCUCUAAAUGAUCUACAUCAACAUUGAGCAUCUACAUCUUCAACACCUACAUGAAUUCAUCAUCGACAAAACCCAAGGUUAGUUCAUCCCUCUUAGGGGGGGAUAUCACAUCUAGGUGGAGCUUUACUCUAAUCAAUUGAGCUAAAGGAACUCUAAUGGUGUGAACACAACAAUGCUUUAUAUAAAAGUGGCAACCCCACUUAUGCUUAAACGAUGAGUAUGACCUAUGAUCAAAUGUUCUCAUUUGACUCCUCAGUCAAUAUACUCAUAUAUGGAUGACCUAGUCAUCGCUAAUUGCUUGAUAGAUUCUAGAGUGUUUGUGCAUGCUCUGCCACAAAUUUCAUUUGUCAUUUUAUUGUGUGAGCAUGUUGGUUGCAUAUUUUACACAUUCGAGGACAUCUACUUAUUGUUUUGAUUGGUUGGCAUUUUCUCUUUUGCCAAGUGGAUGAACAAGAAGGCCUAAGAACCUCCUCUAGCUAUCUAUGCAUUUCUCGUCAGUUUGAUCAAGUUAAACUAGAACCACUCUGUGUGAGGAGCACUCAGAGUCCCCGAUUCGUCGUAGACUUAAAUUUCCAAAACCUCUUUGUGCAUUUCGGUAUGACCGAGUCAUCCACUUUGUUCACACCGAGUUCACUAAGUUAAUCUAGGUUUUCCAUCUCGGUGUAACCGAUUUGAACUUUUCACUCACAUCGAGUUGCAGUAACCGCUUGCGAUUCUGCAUCUCGGUGCCACCGAGUUGUUCCACUCAGUCACACCGACAGGGUCGGGAUAUAUAUACCGACGGGUUGAAUUUUUGAAAUUUCUCUAAAACACUUAACCCCGCACAUGUCCUGCUCUGCCUCCUCGGGUCUCUGGAUCGUCUCCUCGCCGCUAGUGACCUCCCGCCGCUAGUCUCUGUCGCCGUCAACGGAAUUCUGCUCCGCCGUUGUCGCCGUAGCGAACUCCCACCGAACUAGGGUAUGAGUUCGACUCUUUGUGCUAUUUCCCAACUCCGAUUCGUAGAACAUUACUUUGCCAUGAUAAUGACCAUGUAUGCAAACAAUCCAUCCACUAAAAACCUCCUUUAGAUUAGAUUGGUUUUGAAAAUUUAGGGUUAGGCCUCCGUCGGACUCAUCUCGGACCGACCGAAUUGUAGAAAUCGGUCUCACUGAUUUGGCUUAGGCCGUAGCACAUGCAUUUUCGGUCUGACCAAAAACUGCAAAUUGGUGUGACCGAGUUCGAUUCUCUGUGAAAUCCUAGCAGUCUUGGUGCCACCGAACUGUGACUCGGUCUGACCGAGUUCACUAGUUUAGGUUCCAAAAGUUGCUUCGGUAUCAUCGAGUUUAUCAAAUCGGUAGCUCCGAAAUGCUUUCUGUGGAGAACUAAAACUAGGUUAUUAAGUCAUUUGUUUUGCAAAAACUUUGGACUUUGUGAUGCUCAUCCACUCUACCUCAUCGACAUCUAUUCAUAGGGUUUGCUGUCAGUGAUUUCCAGGAUGUCUGACCAGAGUGACAGUCGGAACAAAUCUGAGGAACAUGUGAGGGUUCAGAUCCAUCAAGCACCUCAGAUGAUGGCAGCAGGAGCACUCCUAGUAACUUGCCAAAGGCAGCCACCAGGACAAGGAAGAAGAAAACCUCAGACUGUGAGGAUGAAGACUAUGUGGCUGUUGAGGAUGAGGCCACCUCAAAGAGGAAAGUGUUGAAUAAGGAGUAUGGCUCAGCUGGUACAACAGAGUCAGGGAUGCACAAGAAGGCUCCUACCAAGAGAAUGCCAACAUCCAAGCCUAGGAAAGCAGCCUUGGAAGAAAUUAUGGAGUUCACUCUUGAACCCAAAGAGGCUGGAGAAGGCAAGAAGAGAAAGGAGAGGGUCAAGAAGACCACUGCCAGAGUUCUAGGGAGAUCAUCCAUGUUCAAGGAUCCCGCGGAAGAAGAGGAAGAGGAAGAGGAUGCUCCAGCACCCAAAGCUCAGAAAAUUAUGGGAGAUGCAAUUAAGUCAAGGGCUGCAACAUCGAAGCCCAAGUCUGCUCCCAAAGCUCGAGCUCAGAAGUCAAAGCCCAAGGGAAACACUAGAAGUAUUCCUGCAGAAGAGAAGGACAAGGCCCAGUGCCUCAAGCUGAAGAAGAGGAUGAUGAGUCUCUUGUUUUGAGGAAAUUGAAACCCAAGAUCCUAGACCACAAUGAUACUCAUCUAGUGGCUGAAGACAUGCACAUCAGAAAAGAUGUUGGACUGAGAUUGUGGAGACAGUCUGAUCCCUAUGCUAUGAGGAGAAAGACUGCAAUUGACUACAUGUUCCACACAAAAGAAUAGCAAGACUUCUAUGAAACUAUUUUGCUUGACAAGAAACCCAUUGUUUCUGACAUGAUAUGGGUUGAUUGGGAAUUCAUCAAGGAUAAUGAAGAUCAUUUCCCAGGAGUAUAUGACAGCUUCAAAGCAUGUGGAGUAGAUGAGUUUGUUGGACAGAAGCUCACAAAAUGGAAUGAUGAGCUGAUCAUGCAGUUUUACUCCACUACUCAUUUUUACCCAGAUGGGAAGAUCAUAUGGAUGUCUGAAGGUACUAGGUACCAAUCCACUGUUGAAUAAUGGGCCAAGCUGAUCAAUGCCCCAGAGGAACAUGAGGAUGACUUGGAUGUGUAUGCCAAGAAGAAGAAACACCGCAACUCCAUGGCAAACAUGUACAAAGAGAUCCCUGAUAAAGCUUUGGAGACUCACAGGCUUGGAUCUGUACAUUACUUGAUGUGUGGUCUGCCUACCAUCAACUGGAUCCUAAGGCACACAUUACUACCCAAGUCAGGAGAUCACAAGAUGAUCAGAGGACAUUCCAUCAACAUGCUGCAAAUCUUUGAUGUCCCUCAGAAGUUCAAGGUCAUGAGUUUGAUUGUAGAGACAAUCAAGAGGACUGGUACUGACCAAAAGAGAAGUUGUGGGUAUGCUCCGAAUAUUCAGGAGCUCAUCAAUUCUAAGAUGGGCACAGGAACAUACUUGUUGGACAAGGAGCAUCUACCCCUUUAUCCUGAAUUUGAAGACAACACAGUUGUGAUGAAUGAGGAGGAACCAUCUUCAGUACAAGCACAAGAGAAGUGAGCCAAAGCUAAGGCAGAGAAAGCUGCAAGGAUGCCAAGUGCAGAAGAAGCAUCUCAGGUGUUCCUCAAGUCAAAACAAGAUCAAUUAGGCUAUCUGUUUCAAGCUGCACUAAGGAUUGAGAAGGGCUUGGCCACCCUGACUCAGAAUCAGGAGAGCCUGGAGAGGAUUGUUGAGACAAAAUUCUAUGACCUUGACCUCAAGGUAACUGAGAUAUAGACUGUAGUUGAGCAGCUCCAGGAGGAAGCAGAAGAGAGGAGAGGGAAGGCAACUACUGAUGCUUUUUAGCAUGUGCCACGAGGUCAGAGGUCUACCGCAGUGCCAGUACCAGUCUCUAGAACUACUCUGUUAGCACCAGCAGCUACAGCCUCAGUACCACCUCCUACAGCCACUCCACCAGCUCCAACUACAUCGACAGAUGCCUUCGUCCUUGGAGUUCUCUCUACACCACCUCCCGAAGACCGAGCCUGAGAGACGCAUAGCACUAUGCAUUUUCAAACUUUUUGGUAACUUCUUGCCAAAGGGGGAGAAAUAUGUAUAGAUAAUAGGCUUCAAGAGAGUGUGUGUUGUUUUUUAUCUCUCUUGUUUUUGGUUGAACCUUUUUAUGCGCUUGGUUGAUACACUAUGUCUUUGUCUGUGUGAGAUACUUGUUUGAUCAUGUGUUUGAUCAUAUGCUACCUUAAUGCUUGCUUGAUUGAUAUUAUCUGUUAUAUUCUUAUAUGAUCAUUCACUUUGCUUGGUGAUGAGUGCAUGCUUUUAAGUUAUAUCAUUUUGAGCGCUCCACCAAGAUGUAUGUGACAUGGAAGAGUAACUCAUGAUCCUAAUCGAUUGUGCAUUUGCAUUCAAAAGAAAAUUUUAAAUAAUGCACAAAUUUAGGGGGAGCUCUUGCUUAUCACAUACUUCUCAAAGUGACGAUGUAUUUCAAUCUUAUAAUCAUUUGUUGAAGCUUUGAUCUAUAUGUUGUCAUCAAUUACCAAAAAGGGGGAGAUUGAAAGUGCAACUAUCCCUGGGUGGUUUUGGUAAUUCCUAACAACAUAUAGCUCAUUGAGCUAAUACUAUUUCAAGAUAAAUAUUUCAGGAAAGCUCAAUGAUUGGCAUGGCAUGGAUUAGAAAUGUGGACCCCUCAAACUGCUAAGGACAAAAGAUUGGCUCAAGCUCUAAAGCUCGAGACUCUACAUCUUACCUUUUAGUGAUCCAAGAUCACAUUGAGUCCAUAGGAAAAGCCAAUACUAUUAAAAGGGGAUGAGGUGUUGCCUAAUGGGUUACUUGCUAAAAUGCUUAGUGAUAUGCUCCAAAACCCUUAACCACUUUCUCAUAUCCACAUUUGUCCCAAACCAAAAGUCAAACUCGGCCCCACCAAAACUUUCCAUCCAGCACCACCGAGUUCAGUUGACAUAGCCACUGCCACAAAACCCUAGUCUUUUCAGUCUCACCGAUAGGAUCUCGGUCUCACCGAGAUGGGAUUGCAAACUCUCUGUUUCCCUUCGUAAUGUUUCGGUCUAACCGAGAUGAGCGAUCGGUCCCACCGAGUUCACAAUGCAAACUCGGUGUUUCCCCAUCCGAACGUUUCGGUCCAACCGAGAUGAGCAAAUCGGUCCCACCCAGUUUGCCUGACCAACUCUCUGAUUAGCUUAUUACCAAAAUCGGUCCCACCGAGUUUGUGUAACCAGCCUCACCGAGAUUACGUUAUGACCUAACCCUAAUGAAAUCGGUCCCACCGAGUUUGUGUAACCAGCAUCACCGAGAUUACGUUAUGCCCUAACCCUAAUGAAAUCGGUCCCACCGAGUUGACGUGUCGGUCCCAUCGAAAAUCCUAACGUUCACAUUUUGAACUGAAUCGGUCCGACCGAGUUUCACGAUUCGGUCUCACCGAGUUUGGUAAAUUGUGUGUAACGGUUAGAUUUUGUGUGGAGGCUAUAUAUACCCCUCCACCCACUCUUCAUUCAUGGAGAGAGCCAUCAGAACAUGCCUACACUUCCAACAUACAUUUUUUGAGAGAGAACCACCUACACUUGUGUUGAGGUCAAUAUAUUCCACUCCAACCACAUAAAUCUUGAUCUCUAGCCAUCUCUAAGUUGCUUUCCACUCAAAUCAUCUUUCGACCAAAUCCAAAUCAGUGAGAGAGAGUUGAGUGUUGGGGAGACUAUCAUUUGAAGCACAAGAGCAAUGAGUUCAUAAUCAACACACCAUCUAUUACCUUUUGGAGAGUGGUGUCUCCUAGAUUGGUUAGGUGUCACUUGGGAGCCUCCGUCAAGACUGUGGAGUUGAACCAAGGAGUUUGUACGGGCAAGGAGAUCGCCUACUUCGUGAAGAUCUACCCUAGUGAGGCAAGUCCUUCGUGGGUGAUGGCCAUGGUGGGAUAGACAAGGUUGCUUCUUCGUGGACCCUUCGUGGGUGGAGCCCUCUGUGGACUCGAGCAACCAUUACCCUUCGUGGGUCAAAGUCUCCAUCAACGUGGAUGUACAAUAGCACCACCUAUCGGAACCAUGCCAAAAAUCUCCGUGACUACAUUGCGUUUUCUCCCUCCAAACUCCUCCCUUUACCUUCGUGUGCAAUGUUUUACAUUCCGCUGCUAUACCCUUAGACUUGCAUGUGUAGGUUGUUUACUUGACUAGUGCUAAGUUGCUAAAAUCUGUCAAGACUUAAAAUUGGGAAAAGGCUAGUGUUUUAUUUGGUCAAGUAGUCUAAGCACCCCCCCUCUAGACAUAAUUUCGAUCCUACACACUGGGAUUCUACUUAUGAGGAUUAGAGGAUCUAGGUCUAGCUCUAAUUAGAUCAACUAGGAUCAACUAGAACUAGAACUAAAGGAAACAUGAGGAUGCUCCAAACUUGUAUAUGUCCAUAGAGAAAAAAACCCUGGUAUAUAUAGGUUGGAAGGGAGGGAGAGGGCAGCCAUGGAGGGAAAGUCUCUCCUUGGGGCGCCUCCCCCGCCCUCCCACCCACAUACACACACACACACGAGGAAGGGCCGCCAGUUCCUAUUGGGCCAAGUUGGCCCGAUGCUCCUUCCCCGGUUUGGCCUUUUAAUGACCGUUUGUAUUAAAUUUAUUAUAAAAUCCUUCCAAUAAAUAAUAGACCCUUUAUAUAUCAUUUAACAGCCCUGGAAACAUUUUACACCUAUAUAUUAUUUAACAGUAAUACCCUAUAUUAGUCGAUACUCUCCGAAACCCUUUCGGUGACCCCGAAACGCUUACGGAUAUUUAUGAAACAAUUCCACAAACAUAUACUAAUCAUUCCCAUCCUACUAACACUUAGCAGAUCAUAAUUGCCUUAAGCUUGUGACCCCGUAGUUUCGGUAACUCAUAGACAUGAACGAAACCCCUUUGCUCAAUGACCGAUAGCGGAAACGUGGACGUCCAUAUCGAUCCCUAUGAGCACACGAAUGAUAUUCAAGUGAAUAUUUGGUUAUCAUGUGAUGUUCCCUUUGCUUCGCAAUAUUUCACAAAACCCAGGAUACAUCGGUGUCCUCCUGAGUCAUCACAUGCUCACGAUACCAUUAUCCCCGUUACUGGUUUUGUUCUUCUUUCUCGUUGUCGUGUUCCAGCAUCCUCGUGACGUAGUCACAUGUGUCGUGCCAGACGAUGAUUGAUACCAUCACACCGAGAGGGCCCUAAUAAUAUCUCUCCAUCUUCAUAGGAGCCAAUCCCACUCUCAGGCUAUCUAGUCCCUUGUCAAACUUUCUCAUGAACAUGUAAGUUGUCAUUAUGAUCACCAUGUCACAGGUGACGUUUGAGCAACACCAAAGUCCACCGUGCGGUAAGAAGUGAUUACGAUACUCUCAUGGUCUAAGGAGAAAAAUCACACGUUAACAGUCUGUGUUGUUACAAUUGAUUACAGACGAUAUAAUUUCAAUUUGUUACACACAAAUUUUGGUCGAUUCAAUAUGAUCGUUCUUCUAACAUCACACUCUAAAUGUUGUUUUAGGACUAUCGUUACACUUAGAGAUAUCCUAAGAUCUGGAAAACAUGAUCACCAACAACACUUGAGCCAGUCUUAGAGGCAAGAUUGGGAACCUAUUCUUUACCGUUUAUCAUUCCACGCGUGCAUAUGAGUUUUCCACUAAGUCGCCUAUUCCAGUAUCAUGGUAGUUAUAGCAUGAAAUAUACACUCUUAAUUAUGAAAAUGAAAUUAUAAUAAUACAAUAUUAUUGUCUCUAGGGCAUAUUCCCAAUAGUGUUGUGUUGUUGUUGCCGAUGCAAAGUCCACCAAUAUCGCGUCAUGAUCUGAAGUCACGACUGUCAAGUGAGUUUAAUCAGCAAGUGAAACCUUUACUGCCAGUCCACAGAAACCAGCACUCGGUCUAGGCGCACCAUUGUGAAAGUACCACCUGUAACCUUCAUCUCAAAGGUCGGGCCUGAGUAACCAGCAUGCAAACAUCAACCUUUUCUUGAAAAGCUUGGAUCUGCACACUGCUACGUUGUCUAACUCCUUCGUGCUCAUCCGGAUGUAGAACAUCAUUGAAAUUGCCCAAGCAAAGCCAUGGGAGAUUGCUGGAAGUACUAAUGUUUUUAAUAGUAUCCCAUGUUUGGUGCUUCAAGUGGGUAUGAGCUUCACCGUACACUAUUGUAACUCUCCAAGGAUCAAGGCUUGGUUCAAGAAUGGAGCACUCAACAUGAUACACAGAGUAACCCAGAAUAUCUAUUUUAUUUCAUUAUUCCAGAAAAUGCCAAUACCGCCAUUGCUUCCCUGGCUAUCAAUCGCAUAUCCAUUAUCAUACCCUAAUGUUCCUGCUAAAGAUUCUACCCUCGAGACUCUUGUUGCGUUUCUACUAUGUAGAGGAUGGCGGGGGAAAAUUUCCUUGUGAAAUCACAAAGCUCACUGACUGUCGUGGCUCUGGCCGAACCACAACAAUUCCAGCGGAAGACACACAUUGGACAUGGCGGCACUCCCCUCGGGAGCCUAACAAUUUUUCCAUUGGGUUUUUUGUGUUGCCAUCGUUCUUGUGCAACGUGUUCUUAUCUGCUGCAAUUACUUGUCCUUGAGAUGUUUUGUUCCUGCCGAGACGAGGGGCUCGAUGGGAUUUGAGGGGAAGGUAGUGUCGGUGUUUUGCCUUGGGCCGACAUAGUUGUUAUGGCUAACUCAGCUGCCACUGGAUCAACUGUCGCUGCGAGCUCUGAAGUUCGGUUUUUGUUCAGUUCGGCCUUGUGCACAUAGGCAGCAGGGUGCUCAUACUCUGAUUCCCCGCUAGCUUCCUCCUGGGUGCACCCUGGUCCAUGACCGGUCCUGCCACAAAGGCCACGGCCUCGCCCUCUCCCUCCUCCAGGUCCUCUUCCCACUGCCUUGAACCAGCUAGCUCGCAGAUUUUUGAAAACUAGGGCUAACGGUGGAUGCACUCCAUCCCGACAUUCCUUGUACAUGUGGCGCAAAUAACAACAAACCAUGAAUGACUCUGGUAGCCGCUCAUAUGUGACUGUGAAGACCAUAUGUUCAUACACAUUUAACAUUUUUCAAAUUCUUGAGUUACAUUUUUUCAAAUACGUGUUCAACAUUUUUUUCAGAUACUUGUUCAUCAUCUUUUGAGCAUAUGAUCAACAUUUCUUCCAUACUCCCGCCGUCCGGUGAAAGGUCUACAUAUACAAAUUUUAGGACAAAUAAAUGAGUGGAGUAAAAAAUGCAUUGGGAAGAGGCAAGUCACCAUCUCUUUUUUUAAUUACCAAAACCCCAAUGAGUUAAGUGUAGAAUGUUAUUGGUCUUGAUUACUGUGUGAUGACAGAGAAGCAUUUUUUCUACUUUCAUGUGCAUUGGGAGGAUAGAAGUACACUCUUUUGUGGACAAAAUUUAAAGCCAAACGUACACCCUUCACCGGACGGAGGGACUACACAGUUAACAUUUUCCAUAUGAUUGUUUAACAUUUAUUAAAUACAUGUUCAACAUUUUUUCAAAUACUUGAUUAAAAUUUGUAUACAUAUUAUAAAAAAUUCAUCAUUUUUUUCUUACAUGGUCAACAUUUUCCUAUACACAUUCAACAUUUUCAAAUGCAUAACUAUUUUUAGAAAAAACUUUAUGUAGAGUAUAUUUUUGUCAUAUAUAUCUUUAGAGUAUUUGGAGGCGUAAAUGAAAGUAGAAAUCAAAAAAGGAAUAGCAGAUCAUUAAUACCAGGAAUAUUCCGAAAACGACAACAAUUUAUCCUCAUCAUUGAUAUUAAUCGGGAUACCGGUAACUCCGGUACACUAAACGCAACUAAACUCGAUUCUUCUAAUUACGCCUAUGGGGCAGUGCAACCGACAAAUAAGAAUCAUUCGCCUGGUAUAAUAAACAGAUCUGAAUCGCACGACAUUGACUUAGCGGGCAAACAAAUAUAGAGUUAAAAUAAGCGGGUGGAAGAGAGAGAAAGGGUUUAUGAUGGUCAUCACCUGGAGGUGCACCGCAUGAGCUGCUGCGUCAGGGCUUCCACCUCGUCAAUGUCCACUUCGGGCUCCGCCCUGCGAUUUCCAGAGCAGAUAAUUAAGAUGAGUCAGUACCGAGACAGAGAGCAGAGGGAGAGAUGAUAGAGGGCGUGGGGGCGGACAUCAGGAUGUCGAUGCCGUCGAUGAUCUCGGAGGCGUCGUAGAUGAAGAGGCGGGAGACCUCGACGGCGGUGCCCUUGUCCCACAGCUCCUCGAAUGUGUCCUCGUCCACGACACCCUGGAUCAACGUCGACCACGGCAAGGCAAACUCAUAGGCCAAGUCAGGCCAAAUUCCACAACCACACGACUAGAGGGGGGGAGGGGCCUCACCUCCGUGUACAUGCCGGUGAUAUGGGCGUUAAGCUGGGCCCUACGGUAUGAUGUUCCAGCGAUCAUCGUUGGACCUGUAAUUGGCGACUUAAUUAGCCCAGACUUUUCGUACCAAUGCAAAUACACCUAAGCCGAGAGAUGCUCUUCACGCUGUCUCGCGAACCGACAGCUUUGUGAUCCCUCGAUGUGACCUUGCAGACCAUCCCUUCUGUUUUGCCCCUCCUCCGGCUACUGCUUGUGGUGCCGUCGUACUCUUAUAAGAAGGCCACGCUGAAAUUUCAGACCGAAAAGACCUGUUUAACAUGCCCAAAUAUGGUGAUUGGCUACACUCUGGGUACAACAACCAACAACAAGACUUGUUUGUAGAGAAAAACAAAUAGAACAUACAACAAAACAAAGUCACUAGAGGACAAACCAGCCAGGUAUAUGUUUUAUAAACAGCCCAUAGGAAGGGCGGCAACACAUCCACGUCACACUAGAAUAUGGACUUCACACCGACAUCAACACACGACAACAGUUUCCGUUCACAGGGUUACGAGCCCAAAGUUCCGACACGAGAAUAUUCAUCUAAGCUUUACGCGCACCCUUUAAAAACCGCUACAUCAGCAGAGACACAUGGAACGCAUAAUGAAAGGGAUUGCAUGGGGCCACACUCUUCCCCCUUCACUUGCCGCUACUUAGGAGUUAGGACCACAU